UUUUGUUUUUUUGUUUCCAUUUUUUUCUUUUUAAUUUUUAAAGCCUAAAAACCUGGACCGUUGAUAUGGAAAUCAACGGUCUAGAUUCAAAGGUAACUGCAUGGCGUUGACAUGCGGGUCCCAACAUCUGAAAACACGUAGGAGACGUGCCCCGACACGCGCAUGUUAUGCACGUGUUUGAUGUAAAAAUUUUUAUAACGUGGCUAAUGUCAACCUUGCAUUAAUCCCCCUCAUACGCUCAGGCUUGGACUCCUGCCCUCUCCCACAGGCUCCCCCUUUAAGCCCAAUUGCCUGAAUGGGCUGGAGCUAGUUUGGGAGGGGAUUGGGUUGGUUUAGUUCCCUGUCCACAGGCUAAACCCAAAGCUAGAUUUCCUCUUAGCCAUCACUUCUAUCCCAUUGUUAUGAUUUGAUUUAAAUCCCAAAAUAUGUUAAAUGACGAAAGUACCCUUAGUUAUAUAUAAUCAAGAAAAAUGUGAUUGGACAAAGGAGAGGAAAAGGGCACAGAAUUUUGCAAACAAGGGCAGCCCAAGCAGUUGAAAACCAAAACCAAAUCAAAUCGACAGCCAAACCUAAAACCCCAAUCUCUCUAUCUCUUUCUCUCUCCUCCUCGACCCAGUUUCUCUCUCCUCAAUUUUGGCACAAGACCUCCUUCUUCUUCUUCAGCAGCUGAAGUACAGUCUUCCAGGCCUGCAAUUUUCCAAUUUUGCCCUUCAAUUUCAAAUCUUGAAUCCCCCAGAACAAAACCCUUGUCCAUUUUUGUUCAGACAUGCCCAUCCCGAACCGAUAACGCAGAGGAAGGAACCCACCCAAACCCAAAACGCCGCCGUUUACCAAGAUGAUCGUGAGAACGUACGGCCGUCGCAAGGGAGGGGGCAUUCCCAGUACUUAUUCCGACACAGAGCUAAACGACGCCGUUCACGACGACGACGAUGUCGGCAGCGAUCCCUUCGGAUUUUCCCUGUCGCAGCCGCAAGAAAGCAGCGACCCUUUCAAUUUCUCGUCUCAGGAGGACUCGUCUUCCGGGUGGGCCCAUUUCGAUUCGGACCCCUACGUCACCAAGGACGACUCCUUGAAGCGCUUUCCGCUGGACGGCGUCGUCGCGGGGCGUUCCAAGAAAGCCAAGACUCGGAAGGAGGUGGUGGGAAAGAACUCCUGCAGGCCGCCACUGCCGCCGUCAAUUCUUGCGACUUCGACUUUGAUGGAGGCCCAGGAGUUUGGAGAGAUGAUGGAGCACGUGGACGAGGUCAAUUUCGCUUUGGAUGGGCUCCGGAAGGGUCAGCCGGUUCGGAUCAGAAGGGCUAGCUUGCUCUCAUUGCUGUCUAUUUGUGGGACGGCGCAGCAGAGGCGGCUUCUCAGGACUCAGGGGUAAGUUAGGCCGACUUUAAACUACUUCUUCAUUGGUUCUUGGAUAUAAAAAUCCAAUUUUUGAAAUGGGGUUUUGUGAAAUAUCAAGAAUUUCUUGGUGGGGAAUUGGAAAUGUUAGUUUUAAGUCCUUUUUUUCUCAUGGAUAUUUGAAUUUUGGGUAUGUGAGGGUUUGGAAUUAUAAGUAGUUCUUGAUAGGUAUGUGGAUUUGGAGAGUGUGGUGGUGUGUAUUUUAAGUAAACCUUGAUUGCAUUUCGAGUUUACAACUUUACAUUGAGGUUUUGGAGAUCUGUGGUUAGAGAUGCAUGGUUUUUAUUCGAAUUUUGUUUACUGGUAUGUGGAUGCCUAGCUGUGUUGAAUGUAUCCGAGGUUACAUGAUAGUGCAAUAGAAAAUUUGAUUUGACUGCUAAUUUUUCAUUUCAAAUUAUCAAGUGUAUUUGCAUCUUCGUUGGGGGCCAUUUAUUCCCAAUAUUGUGACACUGUGUAAUGAUUGCCUACGAUAUUGUUGUUUAUCAAGUUUUUGCUUACUCCUUGUUUCUAUCAAAAUUGUUGUGUGUUGUUUUAUGGGUUAUAAAUUGAUCGGUAGUCCCUUCGUUUCAGGAUGGCAAAAACAAUAAUAGAGGCUAUAAUGGGUCUCAGCUUUGAUGAUUCACCCAGCAAUCUGGCUGCUGCAACUAUUUUCUAUGUUUUGACAAGUGAUGUAAGUCAUUUAGUAUUCGAAAAGUGAUGAUUCUAACUUGAAGUUUUUAUCAUUAUCAGUACCUUUCAUGAAGUUUUCUUGUGCACGACUCAUGUCUGCUGUGAGUCUGUGAUUUUUCAAGAGCACAUACAAUUAAGUUUAUUUUUUUCUUAGUAGUAAACCUAAGGGAUUGUCAUCUUUCACUUUUGCAGGGUCAGGAUGAUCAUCUUCUGGAAUCACCAAACUGUAUUAAUUUUUUGAUUAGGUUUUGCAAACCAAUUGUCUCAAACACCACUGAAGAUAAAGUACCAAAAAUUGGACGUAAGCUUCUAGCAUUGCGUAUCGGUGCUGACAUCUCUCAGUGUACGACAAAAAGAUUGGACUCCAGCUCUGCCGCUAUCUUUUCCAAAGUUCAAGAAAUUCUUGUAGGUUGCAAGGACUUGAAGCCGAGUUGUGCGGAUGAUGGAGGAAUGGAAAAGCCGGAGUUAUGCCCAAAAUGGAUAGCUUUGCUGACUAUUGAGAAAGCUUGCUUAUCUACUAUUUCUCUUGAAGGUCUGUUUCUGUGUUGAAGCUGAUGGUUUUUUGGUUAUGAUGCACAUUGCUAUGUUUAAUUUAGUCAGGAUCUCAAGCAUUCAUAAGAUUGUAUUUAAUGUUUAAUUUAGGCAUGAGAUUAUGCACAAUGUAGAACACCACAUGGUUGCUUGAACUAUUUCAUUUGUGUUAAAACAUCAACUGUGCAUUAUAAUUUACUAUGUUCUGAUGACUAUGCAAUAGAUUUUCAAAUAAUUCUUCUUUAAUCCUGGGUUGGGAUGAGUAGGUAACUAUCAUGUUUUGUUUUGUUUUACAUCCUUAUUAUUUUUCAUUUUCGUCCUUUUAUUUAUUCCUGAUUGUUUUGUUUGUCUUCGCCUGCACUUUCAGAAACCACUGGCGCAGUAAGGAAGUUGGGGUGCAACUUUAAGGAAAAAUUACGAGAGCUUGGAGGUCUUGAUGCUGUAUUUGAGGUGACCAUGGGUUGCCAUUCCAAUAUGGAGGUGUGAACCUGUAUGUUUGUUUGAUCUCAUUGUCUGUUUCAUCAUAUCAGAACUUACAUUCUGUGAAAAAAUAAUGCAUGCCAUGGUAAAGAACCAAAAUGAUAGUGAGCAGCCUUACUUGUAUUAGGUUCACAAGUUUCUUCUGUUUCUUCACCUAUAUGCUUCUUUAGUUUAUGAGCAACACUGACUACACAUUAUAGUAAUAAUUGGGCAGUUAUCUAUUUGAUAGCAUCAUCUUCUUUAUUGUUCAUUGUAGUUCCUGAUUUUCUUCUUGGAGUAACAUGAGUGGUUUUGCAUGCUAACAAUAUCACUUCUCAAUCAUGAAUUUAUGGAAUUUAUGUCUGCUUUUGAACAAUUUGUUUAUGGUGGUGCUAUCCACACAUCCCUUUUUACCUCCCACACAACCUUGUUAAAUUCUGUCCUUUGAUAUUCUUCAAUUCAUUCCAUCUGAUGGCCGGAAAUUGAGAGGUGUGUGGAACAUAAAAAGAGGUAUGUGGAUAUAACCACACUUGUUUUAUUUCUUUAUUACAUGCACAUCAUGAAUGUUGAGUUGUGAUAAGUUGGUAACGAACCAUAGUCACGACUCACAAUAUAACUAUUUCCUUAUAUACUUUGUUGGUUUUUCAUUUGAAACCUGGGGUCUAUAUGGUACUCAAUUGUUAUUGGGGAAAUUGCCUUUUUAAGCAGAAGAAACUAAUAUGCAGGGUUGGCUAAAAGAUAGCUCACAUUCUAUUUGGGAAAAGGAAAUCGACAUGGUGCGGAGCCUGGUUCUUCUUUUGAAAUGUUUGAAGAUCAUGGAAAAUGCGACAUUCCUAAGUAAAGAGAAUCAGGUAAUUUUACUGUGAUUUACUCCCUCUCUGUCCCUCCCUCCUCUGUCCGUUGGUCUGUCUGUCUCUGUAUCUCUCUCACGCUUAUCUUCUCCUUUUUAGUUUGUAAAAAUCAUACUGCAUUAUGAUGUUGGAUUAUUGUUAACUAUUGAAAGGGGUAAUAAAUCUCCACAUCCAUGUUUUCUAAACAGAGCCAUUUGCUAGAAAUGAAAAGGAAGUUGGAUCCCAUGGCAAUUCCUAUGUCUUUUACAGAACUUGUUAUAAGUGCCAUCAAUAUUCUAUCAGGUAACUAUUAGUUUUUGGAGUUACGUUUGAUUCUUAAUCUUUUUGGCUUUCUGAUAAUUAAUGGUAUUGUUUUCUAGGGCUUUAUCUACAGGAAAGUUCCUCAUCUGCCUCUAAUGACGAAAAGUCUUAUAGUCUCUCUAAUGGGGUUGAACAUGUUUCUAAGAAGAGAUCUGAUAUAUGUCAGAGCAAUCAGGUAAUGUCAACGCCUUGCUCAGUGUAUACUAUAUCCAGUUCGGAAACUACCAGCACCUCCAUGGCUGAUGCUUAUUCAUUGAAGACAAGACUCAAUUCUUCUAGAAAUGGUUCUUCCAAUGGUGUAUCAAGCCAUGUAAGCAGUGGAAUCAGUAAAUUUAGCAAUCUUACCACGAAGAAUGCUGGUCUCAGACGGCGAUCCUCUAACUUUGACAACUCCAAAAUUGAUCUUUCAGAAGAGAGUCAAGAUCCUUUCGCAUUUAGCGAAGAUUCCAGGAUGGAUGCUGAUCUCAGUCAGAGAUCCUAUAUUUCCCAAGACUCCAAAACUGAUCUUUCACAGGAGAGUCAAGAUCCUUUUGCAUUUGAUGAAAAUGAUUAUAAACCUUCUAAGUGGGACAAGUUAUCUGGCAAGAAAAAGUUCUCUCUUUCGCAGGAGAAUGCGACAGCAUACAGAGAAAUUGAUGACAUUUGUCAAUUGCAGCUUAUUAUGAGCCAAGAAGCAUCAAGUAAUGGAGAAAACCAUCAGACACAAGAGACAACCUGUUCAGGUGCUGUUAGCAGAGAAGGUUCCAGUAUUGUAGCUGACUGCCUUCUUACUGCUGUCAAGGUAAUUCGGCAGUCCACUAUAUUAAACCUUUUUCACAUCACAUUGAACUUUUGUGGCUCUUCCUGUCAAAAUCUAUGCAGUUGAGGAUGGGGCGGUGGUGUUACUGGUGUACAAUGUAGUCUUUUUUGUUCUCUUGAUCAGAUGCAGGGUUUAUUUUUAGAUUCAUUAGUUACUGUUUACUGUUAUCAUGGUCUACUAUCAACUCUCAACUAUGACUUGUUCAGUGAUUUUUCCAGUGUAACUUUUGUGUUUAUUAAUACUCAUCAGCUGUUUGAUGAUUUUGGCUACUCAUAUUAAUGGAAGACCGCCUUUUCAAUGAAUCAAAAUCCCAUCAUCCAUGCAGUGUGUUGGAACACAGAAAAAGCCAUUAAACUGUGCGGACUCAUAAAAAUUUUUCUUGGCAGGUUCUGAUGAACUUAGCAAAUGAUAAUCCUGUUGGGUGUCAGCAAAUUGCUGCCUAUGGAGGACUGGAAACCUUGUCUUCCUUGAUUGCCAACCACUUUCCAUCUUUCAACUCAUUAUCGUCUCCCUUCAGCGAGAGAAGUGAGAAUACUUCCAGCAUUGAACUUGACCAUCAGAAUGAUAAACGUCUCACUGAUCAAGAGCUGGACUUUCUUGUUGCUAUUUUAGGCCUGCUUGUGAACUUAGUGGAGAAAAAUGGCCAAAACAGGUUACUUUCCAUCUCAUUUUUUGUCCAUCUGUUUAUACAUUCUCAUUUUAACAACCGACCUCCAUUUUUUAGCUCAAUUUAUAGUUCAAUCAAGAGAACAAGUUACCACAUUCAAUUUUUUAGCUCAAUUUUUUAGCUCCAAUGAAGUGGUAUCGUUGAGAGAGUGAAAAUGUCUUCCACAUUCUAUUCUUAUAGAGUCCAAAUUGCUUCUUAAUUUGGUGUAUCAGAGAUGCUCCUUUUAAAGUAUCUGGAAUAAUAUGCAUGAAUACAUUACUGUUAGGCCAGUUUUGAAUAAUUGUAUAGAUAGGGUGAGGGGUCUGUACAAGAAUUUGUCCAAUAUUUUUGUUUACAUCUGUGUGGAAAUAAUGGCAGGGUUAUGGAAGGGAAUGCUCCCAUUAAACAACUUGUAGAUACAAAAAAAAUUUAGUCAGUGAAAGUUGCUAUAUUGUAAUCGUAGUGCUUGUGCUGUGGAUUAACUAGUCUUAGUUUCCAAUUCUUUAUAAAUCAUUCUGCCGCAUUAGGACUGUCAUGCUCGUAAAUUUAAGAAACUUGCUUUUCAUCCAGAUCGCGUCUUGCAGCAGCUAGUGUUCACUUACCUAGUUCGGAAGGGUUUAAAGAGGAGAGUCGCAAGGAUCUAAUUCUGCUAAUCUGCUCUAUCUUUCUAGCCAACCAAGGUGCAGGCGAGGGAGGUGGAGAAGAAAUGGUUUUACCAGUGAGUGACAUGUUCUUGUUGACUAUGGAAAUUUCAGUUUUGUUGUUUAAGUUGUGAUUUCUUGAAAACACAAGUGCCUGCCUCCUAAUGAUUUUACCACUUCGCCUUCAGACUGAUGAGGCAGCUGUCUUACAAGGAGAACAGGAAGCAGAGAAAAUGAUAGUAGAAGCUUAUUCUGCCCUGCUUCUAGCGUUUCUUUCAACUGAGAGGUAGGUUUGUUUGCUCUCUUUCCUGUUUAUCAAGCACAUCGUUGUGCGUAUUCUCAUCUGAAUUUGUUUGCUGUCCUCAGUAAGAGCAUACGUGAUGCAAUUUCUGACUGUCUCCCAGACCGCAACCUGGCUAUCCUAGUACCUGUGUUGGACAGAUUUGUGGUAUGUGUAUUAAGUUCUAAACCAUGAUAUAUAUGAUGUUAGAGCUUAACAGAACGAAAUUUGUCGAUGCCAAGUUAUGCUAGAAUUGAAACAUCAAAAAAUUGGUGCACGUAGUUUGUUAACUGACGGAAAGUUAUAGUUGCUCUUAUGUGAUUAUAUAUAUCUAUGAUUUCUUCCUCAGGCAUUCCAUUUGACGCUAAACAUGAUAUCGCCCGAGACGCAUAAAGCUGUGAGCGAAGUAAUUGAAUCAUGUAGGAUACGGUGAGAGCUUGAGAGAUGGACGAGAAUCCUGUACAGAUUUGGCUUUCCUUUUAGAAAAAUGGUUGCUUACCCAUCUCCACGACGCUCACCGAGCCUGGAUUCAGGUGCACGCCAUGUUUAGCUGACUGCAGGCAGGCCUGUUUGCUUUGUAUUUUUUUUAGGUUUUGGUCUUCCUUCCCUCUGUCACGCUAUUCUUUUGUCUCCUUUUUUCUUGUCCCACCAUUUUUAAGUAGGUCAGAGACCAUACUUGUAUACGAAGAAUAAUAGCUUAAUGAAAAUGUCUUGCUUUCCUUGUAAUUAACAUUUAUUCCUUUUGUUUUGCCCAUUAUUUUUUCUUUUGGCUUAAAUGUCAAAAUGGUCAUUGUGGUUUACUCUGUCAACCAAUUUAGUUCCCGUGUUUUCAAUUUGGCCAAAUUGGUCCCUGUUUUUAUAUCUGUUAGCCAAUUCAAGACAUUCCAUUAAAUGACCGGUAAAAUUGACAUAUGUCAAGCACGUGAGAGGACAAAAACAUAAUACGGUGCCUAUCUUUAGAAAUUCAUGUUUCAUUUGAUUCACUUGAGUAUUAUGUGAUUUACGACAUGUCAAUUUUAAUUGUCUUUUAAUAGAUUGUCUUGAAUUUGGUAACAGAUGUAAACCCAGAGACCAAAUUGGCCAAAUUGAAAAUACAAGGACAAAUUAGCCAACAGGUAGAACACAAAACAUUUUGAUAUUUAAGCCUUUUCUUUUUGUCGUCCCAAUAAUAAGUAUAAUGUUAUCUAAAUCCUGCGGUCUACGAAAAUUGUGGUCACUCACCAUUUGUGGUCUCAAUCUAAUUGUAGGUGGCCAUUUAAUUUUUAUUAUUGUAUUUUCGCUUUCGCAGCUGAAUUAAGAUCGGCUCCACUUUGCAUCGUUAACAUUAAUUCCGAAACGCUUGGGUUUAUAAGUAGGACUUCUCAAAUUGUACAAGAACUUAAAUUCAGUGACUUUAUGUGGACCUUAAUUUAACCAAAUUGGCUAGAGUUGUGUGCUUCAAUUCUCCGAGUUGGGUUUAUAAGGAUGGAACGAGAAACAUUACAAGCCGCAAGAGAAUUACAAAGUUUGCCUUCUGCAUAAGAUUUCAUCUCUGGCCAUCUUCAAGCAAAGCAUCAGUGUUCGAAAUGUGCUUUCGGAGGAAGGUGAGGAUCAGCUGAUUGACCUCGUCAGGCAACUGUUCUUGAACAAAAUGCGUUCCUUGGGGAAGAAAUACAAUCUCUGAAUUAGGGGCAAACUCUUUGACCUUUCCACUGUUUAUGUAAUCCUCUAUCCCUGGAAAUUUGUUCGAAUAAUCCUUGCCUCCCCGUAUAAGAAGUGCCGGAGCUUUAACUACUGGAUCUGAUACAGCUUGGUAGAAUGCUAGGUGCGAUCGUUCGUUUCACAUUAGUUAGUUUUCAUCAACAGUUAAAGAGUAUGUGACAGCAUAAACCACUUGAUCAACUGCAUUACCUGUAUGGAACUUGCAGCGCUGUUCCGAAACCUGAUUUCUCAUACAAAGCUCCAUAUGCUGCAAGAUCUUGCUCACUGAACCAAGGGGGAAGAGGCGUAGAUGGAUCCACGAGGUCCAUAAUCUCCUGGUCUUCUGCAGCUAUUGGUAUUUCGCUUCUGGAGAACAGGAUGUAAACAUUACGAACAACUGUUUUUGCAUCAAGGCGCCCAAAAUCAGCCUCUGCCCGUCCAGGUUCCUGCAACAGAGGUAACAGUUAGUUGCAAAACUCGCAAGCAAAUCAUGCUUGCAAAAGUAUAGAACAUAUAACAAGGUAAAUGCACACCUGCCAUCUUGAAAUGUAGAGACCUUCUCGGAGAGAUUUAUCGAUUCUACGAGGGCCUGGUGACAUGAUUGGCGCUCCCAUUGUUACAACGCCUAAGACCCUCUCCGCGUGCAGAAGGGAAAAUAAUGUCGCCACCCCAACUCCAAAAUCUUUUGCAAUUAGGAAAACCUAUGCAUAUUUGAAUACAAUUUUUAGAGCCUUAAAUCUUGAAUACAGUUACCAACUAGCUCUUAUGUGUAGUGAUACUACGGAUCCCUACUCCAAUUACAACAACAAAGCUUUAUUCCACUAAGUGGAGUUGGCUGUAUGAAUCCUAGUACGCCACUCCCCUUGGUUUUGCAUCAAGUCUUCCGUUAGUUGUACUCUCCAUAUCUUUUUUUAGAGUCUCUUUUCAAAUCUUCCUAGGUCUUCCUCACCCUUGUCUCAUAAGCACAUCUUCUAAUCAGAGCAUCCAUGCUCCUAUAGGUCUUUGUUUCACGUGUCAAAUUCACCUUAACCGAUUUUCUCACAUCUUAUCUUCAAUUACAGCCACUCCUAUUUUACCUUAGAUAAUCUCGUUUUUAAUCCUAUUCUUUCACAUAUGCUCCCUUCAAUUACUAAAUUUAAAAAGAAAAAAAAGAAUCCAUUAACAAUGAAUUAACUUUCUUUUGAACAAAUUAGUACUAAUGACAAGAAAUAUUUUGGAGAUGCCACUGCAAUCGCAUUCGAAACUAAUUAUUUGCCGACAUGCAUAACAAUGACAUCUUGUUGUCCGUAAGUUUGUUUUAACUUCUACCAAAACAAAAGGGAGAAAGACUUGUGUAAUUAAGCAAAUUAAUCGGAAUUAAUAAUUAGGGAGAAGAAUCCGGAGACAAGGAUUCUUUCAAACAAGUACCUUGGGAAUAGCAAGGAAAUCAAGAAUUCCAAGGAUGUCACUGGCGAGGUCACGGUACGAGGUCUUCUCGGAUUGGGGAGGCGGGUCGGAUAGUCCGUAUCCGCGGUAGUCGGGAGCGAUGGCCCGGAAGCCGGCGUCGGCUACCGCAAUCAUCUGGUGCCGCCACGAGUACCAAAUUUCCGGGAAACCGUGCAGGAACACGACCACAUUGGAGCCUAUGAAAAACAAAAAAAAAAAGAAGACGGCGAUCGAUCGAUUGCGUUUGUGUUCGAUUUUAUUAAAAAUAAUAAAUGGUGUGCGCGAGAGGAAGUGGGGAGGAAGAUAAUCUGACCUGUUCCGAUGUCGGCGACGUGGAGCUUGAGGCCUUGUACGGUUAUGUACUUGUGCCGGAUUUGCUCCAUUUCAGGUGGUUUUUCAGACAAGACAGUGUGUACGAAAAAGACAAGACAAAUUAAUGAAAGAGAAAAUACCAGUCAGUUGACGUUGACUGUUUAUCCAAAACGACAUGUCGCUUUCACGCAGUAUCUGAAAAACUAAAAAAAGCGGCUGCUUUUCUCGCACAAGACUGACAUACCCUGAUCUCGCGCGCGGCAGACCGAAUUGACUCAGCGAGUUUACGAUCGCCUGAAAAAGGCGGGAUCUUUUCAAAUUUUACAAGCCCUUUAAAUGCCUCGACUCUCUUGCUUUUGUCCGGCGAGUUGGUUAUCCGAAUAUAUCUAACCAGCGAAACCCUCAGAUUUUUGAAUAUUUUCAGGUGACGUAUUAAUUUGAUUUAAUAUUAUCCUUUUGUUCGAGUACCGGAAAUUUAAGUAUUAAAACGGGUGAAAACUAAAUACCCUUUUGGGUUUUGAGCAAGUUUUGCUGUAAUUUGAAGAGAUUAAGACAUACAGGAAGGGACAGCAGAUAAUGGCAGAGUUAGAAAAUUUGCUAUUGGAGGCUGCAGGAAGAACGAGUUCAUCAGGGAAACCGAACUCAUUUGUCUACUCAGCCGCAACUGUGAAGCAGAUGAUACUAUGUGUCAAAGUCCGGUGGACAAAAAGGGGAGGCAGAGGCAAUUGAAGAGGCUGAUGGAGCCUUGACAGCAGUGGUGGGAGCAGUACGGGCUGGUAUGGCAGCUACUGCGCCGGCUCUGGAAGCUGCAGCUGGCGUCAGAGUCCCAGAGAAUGACGGGUGGAAGCAUGCACUGACACUUACAGUUAGCGACUACAAGAGAAGAAGAGGGCUUCUCUGAAAUGCGCUCGAGCCCGAAGAACAGCCACAGAGGCAAUAUAGACACCAUCUCCACCAACAAACUGAACAGGUGGUGCUGGUCUUCAAAGGUAAAAGCUUUAGAUUACUUGGAAGUUAAAGCUACAAUUACACUUGCUUCGAGCAGCAAGUGUGAUGGCAUGUUGGGGUAUUUUGCGUUAUCGGACGUCUGUAUAACGAGCAUUGAUUCCUAAUUUUGAAUAAAACAUGGCGUGUUUGAUUUGUUCAAAGAGAAAUCACAAAAUGCGGCUUGUGGGACUUGAUAUGCAGAACCUUAAUAAGAUUCCAGUUGUUUCGAUAAUAAGUCAUAAGUUUAUACAAUUUCUAUUCGACCAAAACUUAAAAAUGUAUUGACCACCACCGCAACAGUUGAAAAUAAAAAGGUAUUAACCACACUAAGUGAAGUGCAUUUUUAAAGAAAUAAUAUAACCACACUAAGUGAAAGCUGAUCCGUCUCUGUACUCAGUCAAAUACUGGCAUCAAACCUCAAUCUCUAAUGGCUCUAUGAUAAAUGAUCGUCAGCUUCGUCCUUGUCGUCAUCAUCAUCAUGAUCGGCAUGAUCAUCAACAUCGUCAUCUUCAUGAUCGGCAUGAUCGGCAUGAUCAUCAUCAUCAUUGAUAGAAAAUUUGUUGAUGGCCUCACAUCAUAAGGGAUGGAACCGUAAUCAAUAGACGAAAAGCUGAAGUUAAUACGUUUGUCAGAUACUAAGACGUACCCCUGUUUUCUCCACCCCGAUGAACCCAGUCUCAGUGUCUCGGGCUUGUACAAUAACAUGGACGGAGUCGCCGCCUUCCAAUUUGAAGUCGUUGUUUGAGAAAUGUCCCAUCCAAAGGUAUUCUUCCAAAGCGAGCAGGCGGGUAGAAAUCGGAUACAUGGGCAUGAAUGCAAGUGCACUUGGUAUGAUUAACAACAGAAACGGAAUAUGUCAAAGGAGAGUUCAACUGAUAAGGACGACAAGAGAAGCACACAGCCAACGCUUUUAAAUUAUAACCGAUUUCAUGAGGCACUUGAAAACAGACUCGGUCACCCUUCUUGUUGACAUUAUUGAACCAAGUCGGAAUAUGAUUUGCUCGAAGAUAAAUAUAUCCAGUACCAGUCCAUCCCUAUAGCAUGUUCAACAAGAUUUGUAUAAGGUACAUGGCAUUGAGAGAGAGAGAGAGAGAGAGAGAGAGAGAGAGAGAGAGAGAACCUGUAGUGUGCUAUCCUUGAAUAGGAAUUCAGUGAUUCUGUUGUGCGCUCGCAUGCCAAGUAUCAUACCCGUGUUUAACGCCCUGUCCAAGCCCUGAAACUCAAUGAGAUUGGAGGAACCAUCCUAGAGCCACAACUCUCGGCCAUCCUGAUAAAUUUGGCCAUUCUUUCUAGUGAAGUGCAGUCAUUCAUACUCAAGGAGACUUCAAAUUUGGUGGUAAAUCAUCAGUGAUUUCAACCAGGUCUUCGCAACCAUUCAAGCUUAGUCUUUGAAGCCUGGAGAGGCUACUGAAGCUUGGAAGGCUAUGGAAACCAUUGCGGUCCAGAAGUAAUGAUACCAAAGAAGAUAGACUGCUGAUAUCGUUAGGAAUUUCCUUUAAAUUGCCGCCACUAAGAUCUAAUUCUCUUAAUGCGUGCAUGCCCAUUAACGAAGGUGGUAACUUCAAAGACGACCUCAUGUUACGCAGAGAUAAGGACUCAAGCUUCUCCAGUAGUCCGAUGGAAGAUGGUACUUCUGUUAUGGCCGUCUCAUCUGCAACAAGGGUUGUCAAGGAUGACAUUUUUCCCAAGUCCUCAGACAAGUUUUUGAAUCUUGAACAACCUUUAAGAACAAGAAUUUUAGCAGAUUUCAACUUAUAAAAAGUCCUGGGGAGAUUCCUUAAGCAUUUUCGCAGCCUUCCAAAUUUACCAAAGCAAGACUCUUCAGAUCUCCAAUCGAUUCGUGAACAUUAGACAAUCUCUUACAACCUUUGAGUAUCAAUUUCUCAAGAUUUGGGAGUUUUGAAAAGUCCGGCGAUCGUGUUAGGUCAUGGGAAUGGCUGAGAUUUAGAAUCUUCAACUUGUCAAGCAACUGUUAGACAAAACCAAAUUAAAAAUCAAAAUCCAAAAAGAAGAUAAAGAGAGCAUGAUGUUUUGCACAGUACCAGAAGGAAAAAAAAUAUUAAUUUGGUUGAGGUUACUUGGUACUUACCCCGGAUUCUUCACAAAGAACUUGUCUGAGGCUGCUAUAUCUCAUGUCAAUAGCAACUAUAUUUGGUUGACACAAGUCUUUUGGUAUGAACUUUAGAGGGAAUCCACGCCAGCACAACCAUUUUAAUUUUUUGGAAAGACAUUGAUAUCCUCCUGUGAGCUGAAUGUACUUGAGUUGGAGCAAUCUGAGUCUCUUCAUAUUUGUAAAUGCCUCAGUGCUGAAACUACCCUCCUUCAUCAAGACUCGGCAAAUUCAAAGACAGUCCUUCAAUUUCUUCAGUUCCCUGCUAACCAAAAACAGGCUCGAAAUAUGAGAAGGUUUUGCAUGCAAAAAAGUUCGAUUGCUUACGUACACAUAUAUGAUUCUCUUCUAUUCCUUACGCAUUUAACAUAAAGUUCAAUUCGGUAAAGUACUUACAGAAUUGUCUAUCAAUAAAGCUUUUACAUCUUCAGGACGCCACAACCUACUCCGUUUUUCAGGAUACUUAGGAUUUUCUGCACGCACGAUUUCUCUUCCCAUGUCCCGAAGCAAAUCGUGCAUCAUUAGCUUGUUUUUUCUAUUAACAGUUACAAGGCACCGUUCCAUGGAGGACCUCGAUUCCUGCCGUUGCAGAAAAGCCACAACCAUCCAAGAUCUGCAUGACAUCAUUCUUUGUCCAUCCCAAUAAAGAAACAAGAUAUAUCGCAGAAUAUCUCCCUCGCGUAAUCAUCAUUUAGUCCGUCGUAGCUUAUUUUCAGUUGUUCAUGAACUUUUUCCAGGAGGAAUUUUUUCCAGUUUAUCCAAUGUACUUUUCCACUCUCCUAUGCUUCUUUUGAACAGGGUAGAUCCUAAAACUUGAAGAGCCAAUGGCAGUCCUCCACAGUAAUCGACAACUUCUCUUGCGAGCUCUAAGAUAUUCACUAGGACAACACUUACUUUCGAAAGCAUACCAACUUAGGAGCUCAAGAGCUUCUUCUUGUUCCAUUCCUUUCGCCGGAUAUAUCUUAUCAACUGCAAAUUCUUGUAGCAUAUGUUCGUUUCUUGUUGUGAUGAUAAUUCUGCUCCCCGGGCCAAAAGAGUGGCGAUUUCCAGCUAAUUCGCGCAGCUGCUUCACAUCGUCUACAUCAUCAAAUAUGACAAGUACUUUUAAGCGUCGAAAUCUUUCCCCUACCAAGGCGGUCCCUGCAGCAACACUGCUUACCUUUGUCUUGGUCGUUUGCAAGAUAUCUGAAAGAAGUUUUUUUGCAAUUUUUCUACUUCCUUUUCCCUCACUUUUUCAAGGAAACUUUUAUGCUCAAACUUGUCAUAAAAUUCGUUAUAAACAGCUUUAGCAAUCGUUGUUUUUCCUAUUCCACCCAUGCCCGAAAUUCCAAUCACGCGAACAUCAUUUGAAUCUCCGACGCCUAAAUAUUUACUGAUAUCUUGCAUUCGAGAAUCUAUUCCAACUUGGUAAGGCGCUACAUCUAAGUAUGUGUUGUUCAGCUUCUUACCCGAAUGACUUCACUAGUAAUCAUCACUGAUAAACCGUGCUUCAGACCUGGCAUUAGUCGAGUUGAGAAGCAAAACGAAGAUUGUUAUACAACUAUAAGACUAAAAUUGAACUAAUACACAAAAUUAUUCAUCCAUGACUAGAGAUUUUUAAUUUAAGACAACUUUCUUUAAGAUGUUUUGUUUAAACUCAGUAAACAUCAAUUAAAAUUUAAGUUAAAAUUUAAAUAAGAAACACAAACAAACAAAACGCAGCAUCCCCUUCCCUCCGCAGCCAUUCGCCGGCGACUUCCCUGCUGUGAUUAGUGUAGCCUUAACAGUUUAAGCUUUAUUGUACGAUUUUAUUAAGAGAGGUCUAAGAAUUCACAGUUGUAUCAUAACAUGGUCCGAAGAAGGGAAAUGUUUUCCUUUAUUUUAUUUUAUGUUGCAAAGAUACGGACACGGAUACGGCGAAACGCCACACAGCAACAUAAAAAAUCUCAAAAGAUAAAAACACGAACACAACUAGGACACGGCAAUUAAAGUCUAAUAUUUACAAAUAUGCCCCAAAAUAUUUUAGAUUUAAGGGGUUUUUUUAACUUUAAUCCUUGAAAAAAAAUUGAAAUUUAAUAAAAACCUAGUGUUAAACUACAUAUUAAUUAUAGUCAAUUGAUAUGUCCUUAAUUAAAAUUAAUUAUUUUAUUUUAUUCAACGUAUCCCAUUAAAUAUUUGAUUUUAUUAAUAUACACAUUUUAAUUUAUUUUUUAUCAAAAAAAAGUUUUUAAAUUUAUUAAUUUUAUUCAACAUUCUUUAAACUUAAAAAACUCAAUUAAUGUACCUAAAAUGUAUGUACCAAAAUGCAUGAACCAAAUUGUAUACACCAAAAUGUAUUAUAUUAAAUUAAUGUUCUUAAAUAUGUGCAUUGAAAUGUAUGCAUAGAAAUGGUAGUAGCGAAAUGUAUUAUAUUGAAUUAAUGUAUCGAUAUGUUUGUAGUGAAAUGUGUGUAUUAAAAUGUAUACAACAAAAUGUAUUAUAUUAAAUUUAAUAUACCGAAUCGAGAUAUAUUGUAUAACAAAAAUUAGUUUAUCUAAUGUUUACAAACGAAAUAUAUUAUGAUGAAGGAAAUGAAAAUAAUAAUUAAAACUUUAAAUAUUAUUAAUAAAUGAGAUUAAUGUCAAUGGACUAAAAUUAAAUUUUGACGGUACUCAUGAUUUUAGUCUAAAAAACAUAGGUUUUAUUCAAUCUAUAAACCAAGUAAAUAGAGGUCCGUUAAAGCCUGAAUGCAUAAAAGAAGAAAUUAGUAGAUACCCGCUAUCGUGAACAAAACCAGCCCAAGUUGCAACAAAACCAGCCAAACUUGCAGCUUCAGUAAGAGCAGCUCGCCACCUCGCUACCUUCUUUUUAUCUGUAUGUUUUAGAAACGAUUGCGCAAAACUACCGGUCUGUUUCCUGACAUGCGAAGGAUCAACUUUAUAAAAUAUCGGUAUAACUAUUUGCCCCAGCGUUGUUCUACACUCCAUGAUAUGAACCAGCUCCUCGAGGCACCAGCUGGAGUCCGCGUACCGUCUUGAGAAGACGAUGAGAGAGAUCUUAGAACCUUGGAUUGCCCGCCCUAGGGCGGUAGUUAUAUUUUCUCCUCUUUUUAGUUCUUCGUCGUCAAUAAAGGCGUUGACUCCGGCCUUUGUUAAUGCUUCAUAGAGGUCAAUUAAAAUUUAAAUUUAAAUUUAAAUAAGAAACACAAACAAACAAAACCCAGCAUCCCCUUCCUCCGCAGCCAUUCGCCGGCGACUUCCCUGUCGUGAUUACUGUAGCCUUAACAGCUUAAGCUUUAUUGUACGAUUUUAUUAAGAGAGGUCUAAGAAUUCACAGUUGUAUGCAUAAACAUGAUCCGAAGAAGGGAAAGGUUUUCCUUUAUUUUAUUUUAUGUUGCACAGAUAGGGGCAUGGAUAUGUCAGAAACAGGACACGGUUACACGAAAAAUCUCAAAAGAUAAGAACACGAACACAACUAGGACAUGACAUGUAAAUUCUAAUAAAUUUAUAAUAAAUAUUACAUAAGUUUUUAUAUUUACAUAACUGCCCGAAAUGUUAGGUGUUAUAAGUUUUUGAUAUUUACAAAUAUGCCCCAAAAUAUUUUAGAUUAAAGGAUUUUUUAACUUUAAUCUUUGAAAAAUAUUGAAAUUUAAUAAAAAUCUGGUGUUAUACUACAUAUUAAUUAUAGUUCAUUGAUAUGUCCUUAAUUCAAAUUAAUUAAUGUGUAUUUUAUUUAAUGUUUCCCAUUAAUUAUUCAUUUGAUUUAACAUUCUUUAAAUUUGAAAGACUCAAUUAAUGUACCUAAAAUGUUAGUACCGAGUAUGUGCCGAAAUAUUUGUAUCGAAAUGUAUAUACUGAAUUGUAUGCACUGAAAUGUAUUAUAUUAAAUUAAUGCACCCAAAUGUAUCAAAAUGUGUGCACCGAAAUGUUAUGACUAAAUUGUAUCAUACUAAAUUAAUGUACCUAAAUGUAUAUACCAAAUAUAUGUACAUAAAUGUUAAUACCGAAAUGUAUUAUAUUAAAUUAAUGUACCAACGUAUUUGUACCGAAAUGUGUGUAUCAAAAUGUAUGCAUUGAAAUGUAUUAUAUUGAAUUUAAUAUACCUAAAUGAAGAAGACAAAGUAUUUCUCGAUAUAUUGUACAAUAAAAAUUAAUUUAUCUAAAUAUUUAAAAUAAAAUAUAUUGAAUAAAAUGAAAAUGAAAAUGAUAAUGUAACAUAAUUAAUAGAUCAGAAUUUGGAAGAAAAAGAGAAAUAAUUAAAACUUCUAAAUAUAAUUAAUAAGGAGGUGAUUAAUGUCAAGAGACUAAAAUUAGAUUUUAAUCUUACUUAUGAUUUUAGUAAAAAGGUCAUCUUUAUUAAGGAUUAUAAUGAAGUUUUUCAUAAUUGAAGGGAACUUUAACGAAAAGCUCCCAGUACUGUUCACUGUAACGAAAAAUCACAUUUUUACAUUAAAAAGUCAAUACUGGUACUAUUCACUUUAUCAUUUAUUUUGUCUUUAUCGUUAAAACUCAAAGUUUUCAAACCAUUUUCAUUAUUUUUUCUUAAAUUGAAUUGUCCCAAAAUGUUUUUAUAUUUACAAAAAGAUCCCUGCCGUGUCUUGAUCGUGUCAAAACCGUGUCCGAACACUUUGGGGUUUCCCAGUGUUGGUGCAACAUAGGUUUUAUUGAAUCUAUAAACCGAAAGUAAAUAAAGAUACGUUAAAGCCUGAAUUCAUAAAAGAAGAACUUAGUAGAUACCUGUUUUCGAGAUGCCAUCCAGCCAAAUUUGCAGCAAGAGUAAGAGCAGCUCUCCACCUCGCUACCUUCUUUUUAUCUGUAUGUUUCAGCAACGAUUGCGCAACACGACCAGUCUGUUUCUUGACAUCCGAAGGAUCAAUGUCAUAGAAUAUCGGGUAAACCAUUUGUCCCAGCGUUGUUCUACACUCAAUGAUAUGAACCAGCUCCUCGAGGCACCAGCUGGAGUCCGCGUACCCGCUUGAGAAGACGACGAUUGACAUCUUAGAACCUUGGAUUGCCCGCACUAGUACGUUAGUUAAUUCUUCUCCUCUUUUUAUUUCUUCUUCGUCAAAAAAGACGUUGACUCCGGCAUUUGUUAAUGCUUUACGGAGGUGGCUUGUGAAGCUUUUACGUGUGUCUUUGCCUCUGAAGUUUAAGAACACAUCGUAGAGCGAACCUUUCGAGAAGGAGAAGAACGACGAGGAGGACAAGGAGGUGGAGGAUGAUGAAGAGGAGGCUUCAUCGGGGACCGAGAAGGAUGACGAGGAGGACAAGGAGGUGGAGGAUGAUGAAGAGGAGGCUUCAUCGGGGACCGAGAUGGACGACGAGGAGGACAAGGAGGUGGAGGAUGAUGAAGAGGAGGCUUCAUCGGGGACCGAGAUGCUCAUUUGGCGAAAGACAAGGCCGAUAGAGAAAAGGAGGAAGACUAGGACAGCAAAGUGGUAGGACUCUAAGCAACCACAUACCAGCACCAUGAUUGACAGCGUCACGAAUUUCAGCCAGUUAUCCAUUUCUUAGAUUUUUUAUUUUUUUUUUGUUACCAGCUCAGCUGCUAGCCAACCCGCUCCAGCUACAAAACAGAGAGGAUGAGCAGCUGCAGAACUACGCCUGCAAAUUUAAGAAUAGCUUCCUGCAGCAACCCACUUGUUAGAGUAAAUAUGUUUUUAUUUAAAUAUUUAAAUUGCUAUGCUUUUGUCCGAUGUGGCUUUUAUAUCUAUUCUAUAAAAAGAACCUUCUUGUCAAAUUUUUUCCUAUUUUUUUUUUUAAUUUUGUCUUCAUUUUUUAUAUACAUUAUUGAUAAAAUUAGGGUAAAAUAGUAAUUUUACACCUUUUCACAGAAUGACAAUCAUAUCCCUAUUUUUCCAAUUUUACCUUUUUUUUAAGAAAAUGACAAUCAUAUACUUAUUUUUCUAAUUUUACCCUCAUUUUUGAUACACAAUAUGUACAUAAGAAAUAAAACAAUAAUUAUGUAAUAUUAAAAAAUAUGCACUUAUUAAGAAAAAUUGUUCACACAUAUAAAAUGUGUGCUCUCUGCUAAUUGGGUUUAUUACAAUCAUUAAAUUUAUAUAACCUAAAUUGUCUUUAACCGUAUCUUUUGAUGAGGAGUAAUUUCCUCCCCACUUUUGAAACGUGAGAAAGCUUUCUCACAUUAAUUGAUGGGAUCCCUUCUCAGAAUGGUGAAUCAGAUUAGGUCAGAUUAGGUACUUACUUUCUUUUGUUCUGUUUGAAUAUUUACGUUUUUGAUUUGAUCGUUUAGGUUUUCUUCAGUUUUGAUUCUUUAAGAUUUUAAGCCCUUGAAUCUCUCAAACUUGCAACGUAUAUUUGAUCGAAGAAAAAGUGGAAAAAAAACUACAACUUAUAUAUUUUUUUAAAAAUUGAGUUCUGAAAUCAACAUUUAGAUAAUAUGUGAAUUCAAAGGUUUUUGCAUUGUUCAAGAAAGAACUUAUUAGAGGAAGAAGGUUUUGGAUUGUUUUCUCCUAUUGAAUAUUAGAGUGAUAACUAAGACUACAAAUUAAUAGAAAUAUUAUUAAACAAACGAAAAUGUCAAAACGGCUACAUAACCUUAGGAGGCUACAUUGUGACUAACUUACUCUCAAAUGAAUAACAAGCAUGCUAUUUAUAAUAAACUAACCAUAAUCCUAAAAGAUAAGAAACCGAAAUCCUAAUGCUAACGGGCUAAGCCUAGAAAACCAAAAUUCAAAUAAAUCAAAAUACUAAUAUUUUCCAACAUCCCCUGUCAAACUCAUGGCGGUAUACGACAUGGGUUUGCAAACAAGCAGAUGUGGACUAGCUCCGUUAGGCGGACUGUCAGGCAUGCAAACUUGACUCGACUUGACUGGCGAACUGGAGAACUGGUUCUUGUUGGCAAGCUAAUUCUGGCUAACAAACUGAUUCUGAUUCAAACUGACUAGUGUUGAGAGUAUGUAAAGAACCCGUCUCUAAAUGGACGAGAUUUCCAUAUCUCAAUUAUAGCAACGAACAAACAAAACACAAACACUAUCACUCGAGUGGUCACAAUUCCAAGCACUCGAGUAAUAGUCACAAAACAAUCUCAAACAAGCCAACAACUCGUGUGGGCCUUAAACACAUCAAACCAAAAAAUGGGCGGUAAACAGCCUCCAACCCAUUUUUCCUCUUUGCCCAUGUAGGCCAAAACCUCCAACAAUUUUUUUCCUACUUUUUUUCUUUUUUUUUCUUUCUCUAAUAUAGAAGCAGCAAUGGUGUAAUCCAUGGAGAUGGAAAUGGGUGCAGGUUGGUGGACAAUCUGGAUUUGGUACAAUGCGGUGACUGGGCACGAUGGACAGCAGCGGUAGGCUUGGAUGGGUUUCUCAGCAAUGGUCGAUGGAUCGGGCGGUUCGGAUUUAGUCAAAUGUGGCGGCGGGUACUAGCAUGGUGGGUUCUUGCAAGUUGGGUUCAACAUAAAAGCCUAAGGUAGAGACGAACUUGAUCCGAGUUUGUGAUUCUCGAGUCAGAGCUUCAUUAAAACCGUCGUCAAACAAAUUCUUUUUCUACACGCUUUUCUUUACUUUUUCUGCAACCUAAGCCAACGACAAAUGAGAACAGAACAACAAACAAACGGACGAGACAUACAAAUUGAUUGAUACCAAAUUGAAUAUCAGAGUGCACGAUAACAAACUAAUAGGGAUAUUAUUAAACAAACGAAAAUGUCGAAACGACUACAUAACCCUAAGAGGCUACUGUUGAGCAAAAAUUGUACACAAUAUGUAAAAAAAUAAUUUACUCGACAUAAUUUCACCCUCGUUCAUUUUGUCGAAGAGGGUUUUAUUAAUUUGAGUUCGACCCAUUCUAGGCUACGUGCCUAUUAAUUACAACCUUUCUUUUGGGAAAGGAAUACCCUUUGAUUCUAAUAUGAAUAAAUCGUAACUUGGGGAUUUGGGUGUUUAUUUGAUUUUGUGACUGCACCUAAGUAGAGCCCUAGAUUGCCUAUGUACCCUCGUUGAGGGAUCAAGUCACUCGUAGUUCCUUGGUAUUUGGUACUUGUUUGGAUUUGAUGCCUUGUGCAAUUUUAGCACGUGCAGGCGAGGACUUUGAACCAUUGGAGCGAUUGAUGCCUUGUGUAGUUUUAAUUCGUGCGAGCGAGGACUUUAAGCUGUUGGAGCGUUUAAUACCUUGUGCAAUUUUAGCUCAUACGAGUGAAGACUUUAAGCCAUUGGAGCGAUCAGUGUUCUAAAAAUCUGCCUAGGCGCUGGGCGGUGGAGCUCCGACCCGAUUUAGACCAAAACAUUCAGUUAGGCGAGGAGGAUAUAGGCGGCCGCCUAUGCGCUCACUAGGCGCCUGAGGCGGGCUAGGCGGCGCUAGGCGGUAGUCUAGGCGGUUUGAAUCUAGCUGCAAAUUCCAAACUUGCUGCAAUUUUCGCAAAGAUCUACAACUUCCGAUCUCUUACGUAGCAACAGAGACCCGGAAAAUUUUAUGUAGCUCGUAUCUGUGAAUAUGAGGAAAGAGAGAGUGCGAAGAGAGAGAGAGAGAGACUGUCGGUGAAGAUAAUUUCAUAAUUUCUGCAACUCAUCUGUGAAGAUGAGAGCAGAGAAGAAAGUGCGAAGAGAAAAUGCGAAAAGAGAAAGAGAGAGAGACUAACAUUUCUGUGUUGGUGGUGCAAGUUGAGGACUAAAAGCUUGGGUGAUGUGAAAGAGCAUGGACGGUUUGUGAUUUUAAAAUUGAAAACCAUGGACUUUGAUAGUUUUGCGGAUGGGUGAUGUGAAAACCACCUUGGGUGGAUGGGUGAUGGACGGUUUGAUGGUUUAACAAUGAAAACCACCCACUAUGUGGGUUUUUUAUAUUUUUAAAAGUUUGGGAUAUAUAUUAUGUGUGUAUAUAUAUAUCUUAUAUAAAUUAUAAAUUAUUUAGAUAAUAUUUUGUUUUUUUUUCCUAGGCAAGCAUUUCAUAUAUGUACAUAAAACUUUCAUAUAUGUAUGUUCUUAUAUAAGAAAUAGCAUAUUAGUCAAUAAUUAUUUACAUUUUAUAUAGUAAAUUUAAUUAAUUUAUAUAAUAUAUCAUAAAUUUACCUAAAUCCGCCUAGACCCUGUCUAGCCACCUAGGCACUAGGCGCUAACCCAUCGCCCGACUAGCGCCUAGCGUUUUUUAAAACCUUGGGAGCGAUUAUAAAUUUGAUAUGGCUUUAUGCCAUUUGAAAUUUGAUACGGCUUUGUGCCAUUUGACCACUUUGGUAAUUAAAGGGAAUAUGAUCCAUGGUGUGAGUUUCACCAACUUGAAGUGGUGAGUCUAUCAAAUUUUGUACUUUGAGAUGGUUCACAUCCAUAGUAUUGAAGUGGUUCGGAGUUGUCUAUAUUUGUAUUGCUUUUGUCCUCCACUUUGCUCUGUGUCUUGAUUUGAUCUUGGCCUAACAAUGACCAUCCAAAGAUUUUGAAGACAAGCAUUAAUUCAAUCAUGCUCAUGAAUUAAUUCAAGCCAUAGGUUGCGUGGGUUUGUCCUUGUGGGAUCAAACCAACCUUCAACUAAAGUCAUGACAAAUUUUGUCUCUUCACCUACUUAAUUGCUUGCUGGAGAUCUUUAUUCCAAUUCUUCACAUGAGCAACAUUCCCUAUAAAUUAGAAAUUUUGUUGUGUGAGCGACAUCCAUUAAAUGGAAAUCUAGGAAUUGUGCUUUGCAGACUUCUCUUUUACUCUUUGUAGAAUUUGUCAUUACUUGGUCAAAGUAGUAGAAGUGAAUUUAGUUUAUAUAAACCAGGGAUUCGUUCCGGUUUCACGAUUGCGUCUAAAAUUUGAUAUCAGACUUCCUCUGUAUCUUUAUCGGAAUACAACCGACGUAAUUCAUGAUAUGCUAGCCUUGGAUUUGCGUACUUGUGUUCAGACUUGGCAAAAUGAGUAGUCAAUUGGAUUUAUUUAAAACUCAUAUAUGACCUUUGGUAAUAUCGAAUAGGUCUUUGUGAAAUAGGACUUCAUUUUUUCCUUAAGUAGAAACCCACGUAAGAUGCACGGUUCAAAGUGAAAAUGGGACUUUGUCUUUUCCUUAAGUAGAAAGUGGGACUCCAAGUCCCACAUGAAACGCACAGUUCAAAAACCCAAUCAAAAAUCUUCCAUGCUCCAAUAUUCAUUCCUCUAAACAGCGAUGUCGAUAUAUUUGAACUCCACGUCGAUUUGGCAAUGUUUUUUUUUAAAAUUCCUUUUGGGUUUAUUAGCUGUUGAAUUCCAAACGAAGAUGAGUAAGAUUGGUGGAGUUCAAAGUCUUUUGAAUUGCUCCAAUUUAUCCUCUUUUCCUCCUAAAUCACAGUUUCUUCUUUUAUGCAGGUCACAAAAGCCUUUGUUUUUUAGCUGCCUUGUUCUUUUGCUCGUGUGCUUCCUUUGUGGAUCAAAAUUUCAAAGCGGAAAGGAGGAGAAAAUUACCAGCAUGUCACCCCAUUUUCGUUUUCUAUGUUUUGGGUUUGUUUCGGAGUGGGUUGAAACUCUAAACUACAACUAAUUCAUUUAAUUAUUUCGUGCAGGCGUCACUGGCAAUAGUAUCACUUCGAUUUGGUUGUUGCUAUGUCCCUUAGGUUGAAUUGUCCAAACCCUUUUUUGUGUACUGGUAGAUGAUAAACCCCACUUCUUGUUGGUAGCUUUUGUAGUCUAAAUUCAUUUAGCUUUUCGUUUAUCACGAGUAGCUUUUCGGUAUCAGUUUGACUUGGUUUUUGACAUGGUUGCUGGACAAACUAUUUUGCAACAUUGGGUCCGUUGAAAACAAGUGUUGAUUCAUGGCUCCAAAGGUGAGAAUUGCACUCUAAAAUUUGUAGUAACACACUCAUAGUAUCUACCGUAUUUUUAAUGGGUUUCGAUGUAUUAGUGUGUAAUUAUCACUCUCUGUCAUUUCUACUUCCACAUAGAGAAUUAUUUGACUGGUCUUGAUAGUGGGCAUUUGAACACCCUUUUUGUGUUCCCAUUCAUGUUUUGUCUCCGAUGCUUGCCAUCCUUUCUCAUUAACACUUGUACAAAGUGAAGCUUUUCCCAAAAUCUUCUGUAGUUUUGAUUUGUCUUCUAGUUCUUAGGGUGUUAAUACAAAGGUUGCCAUAUGAAUGAGUUUUCCAAAUAAUUUGGGAAGUUUGACAACAAGCUUUUCCUUCUUUGUAAACUUGGGACAACUUGAAUUCUUUCAAGUCCAACUUCUCGUGGCAGAGAAGCAAAUACCUUUUAGCUACUUAUUUAGAGAUUGGCAAACUUUCUUUCUUUCCUUUUGUCUUAUAGCAUUUGUCAGUUUCAUUUCAAUGUUUUUGGUCAAUAUUUUGACCCAAUAUUUGACCAAAAUGGUAUCCACAUUUAAGUCCUCCGAAAGAUGUCCUCCUCUCUUUUUAUUUGUCUUUAUCAAAAGUUGAAUUGGGGAAUUUCUAUUAGGAAAGAUGAUACGUCAUCCAUUUCUGUUAAUGAAAAAUAGUUUAGAAAAACUAAAUGUGGUUAGUUUUGUUAUUAGUUGUGGUUAGUUAGAAUAAUAAAAGUUUAGUUAAGGAAGUUAAGGGUAUAAAUGUAAAGAGCCUAAGGCUAGAUAUAUACACAUCCAUGUAAUUGUUUAUUCACUGAAUGAAAUACAAUCUUGUAGUAGAAGAAGUUUUCCUCUUGUGGAAUUGGACCAAGCAUGAGUCGGUCACUUCUUGUCCCUUGUUCAUUUGUCUACACAUGCACUUAUUCUCUUAUUGGACCACAAAAAAUGACUUUGCAUAUAAGACUUGACUUCCUGUAUCUGUGUCCUUAGCUUGAUUUUUCUGACUUCUUGUGUUUGCAUAUAAGACUUGACUUCUUAUGUCUGCUUCAUUAGAAUUAACUUUACCCAACAUGACAACAAUGUGAACGGUGUUCAUGUUAUCUAGAAGUCUUUUCUUGUUCCUCCUAUUGACACUCCCCGAUCCCGAUAUUCCACGAACACCAAGAUAGGCAUGUGUUGGCCGACACCCGAGGGUGACGAAAGCCAUUUAUUGAAAGCAAAUGCUGAGAAUAAAGAAUAAAUAAGACUUAUAAAUUUAAAUAUAAUGAAUAAGGCAUGGACUCUGUUGUGGGGAGCAUUGCACGUGACACCAAUCCAUGCGCAAACAGUAGUUGCAGACCAGUUUUUUGCCAUGACAAUGUGAGGGUCAUGAGUGAUGUUGGAUUUGAGAGCAAGCAGGGCAGAUUGGUCUGUGGUGAUGUUGGUUACUGCUGCCGCCACAAUGAAGCUACGAAGAAAGCAGUGCAGCAGCGGCAGCAACAGAUUCGUACACCGAAAUGGUGAGGACCGAGCUCUUCCCUCCAUGAGGUACGCGCGGCUGUUGACUUUGUCUUAUACAAGAGGCUGCAAGUGAAGAAAUUUUAUGAAGUAAUUUUCUCUGUUUCAGUUGUAUGUCACUUUCAUGCUUGAAAUAUUUCUUGAUCUAUGAAAAGAAACUUAUGUGCUCUCCACGUUUAUAUCAUGAAAGGACAUCUCGCACAAUCGAUGCGUGUGACACUUCCUUUUCUUCUUUUUUAGUAGUAUGUUGCUUUUAAUCCCCCGUUUGAAGAGCGUUUGCGGAGAGGCUAGUAAGAACCUUAUAGAAGUCAAUGUGCCCUUUGAGGAAUUAAGGGGACAGAAGGCCUCUUAACAACCUUAAUAAGAUAACUAUAAACAAAAGAAGAUAGGAUAACUUCUGUAGGAAAAUUGAGUAGAAUAAAGCCUUUGCCUAAUCCUCGAUUCAAAUCGCAAACGAGCAUAAUGGUUAGAAUUGCAGAAGACUGGAAAUUAAUCCUUAUUGUUUCAAUUAAAUCAAUACAAUCUGAUUUCAAACUCCAUCAGCCUUCAAAAUGAAAGUUCAUGGAAGAUCUAAAUAAGUUUCAAGUACAUGGGAGCCAAGAACAAGAUGGCCGGGAAAAUAUUUCUCUUUUGAUUCUGCUGUAAUAUAUGCAAUCGGGUACAUUUUGCAGUCAAACAAAUUGAGGAAACGUAAGUAUGCUAAAACUAAUAUAUGUAACGCGCAACCUGCCUAUUAUGGCUCCAGACUUGUUGCAGGCUCUACUAUUGGAAGCUUGUUCUGCACUAGACGUUCUGCAUCUCCCAUUUCAACCUCACCACCGCCUUGCCAUUCUCCUUCGUCUUGGAAAAGCUUUUCAAUUUCUUCCAAAGUCUUUCCUUUUGUUUCUGGAACACAUGUGUGGACAAAAGCAACAGAGAGAGCUGAAAUCAUUGAAAAAAUAAAGAAGGUUCCUGCCACUGUUAUUGCUCCAGACACGGAGAGGAAUGACAUGGUAAUCACACCACUACUAACCCUACUACCAACGGCCCCAAGGGCGGAUGCUUGAGCUCGAAGCUUUAGAGGGAAGACUUCCGAUGACAAUACCCAACAAAUUGGGCCAAUUCCUACUGAGAAGAAAGCUACAUUCCCACAAACAGCUAAUAUUGCCGCUCCAAUCCCCAGUUUCCCCUGUCCUGGCAAUGCUAGAGCAAUGCUCAGAAGAAAUAAACAAGAGGUCAUUCCUAUAGUGCCCACAUAAAGCAAAGGCUUUCUCCCCACUCUGUCAAUCAGAAAGAUAGCUACCAAAAUGAACACAGUUUUGGUAAAACCAACAACAACAGUUGCAGCAAGAACUUCAGUGUUGCCUUUAAUCCCAGCAUCUUUGAAAAUCGUAGGACUAUAAUACACAAGUGCAUCAAUACCAGUAAUCUGUUGGAAACAUUGGAUUCCACAACCAGUAAUCAGCAUUCGUCGAACUGCAGGAUUAGGAAUAAAAAUUUCGCGCCAUAUAGCUUUUGCUUCAUAGUUUUCAGCAUUGGCCAUCCCUGCGGCUUGCUGUAUUUCUGCCAAUCUAUCCUCAACAUCUUUUUCACUCUCAUUAGUCCUGGUCAAUACCAUCCUUGCUUCUUCCAUCCUAUUCUGUGUCACCAACCACCUUGGGGACUCCGGGAUCACAAAAAGAGCAAAUCCAAGAAAGACCGAAGGUAUGAUCCCCACACCAAGCAUGACCCUCCAGCUUAUAUGUACCGGAAGUCCUGAAAAAACAUAAUUUGAUAUAUAUCCAAGCAGGAUCCCAAAAUUUAUAAAUAUCUCAGGAAAAGAUGUAAGAGAGCCUCGUGCUGUUGCAGAAGAAAUCUCAGCAAUGUAAACAGGCGCAACCAUGACCCCGAACCCUAUCCCCACCCCAGCAAAGAGUCUACCAAUCAUCAGUACUGUGAAAUUAGGAGCAAGUGCCAUUAUAAGAGCACCAGUCUGAAAGACAAUUGAUGCCAAUGCAAUUGUCCACUUUCUACCAAUGACAUCGGAUGUUUUUCCACCGGCUAAGCUUCCCAAUAGGGAGAUGAUACUCAAAAUUCCAACAAGAAGUUCUAGUUGUACGUUGGUGAUUUUCAGAUCCUCUUGGAUGAAUAUAAUUGCUCCACUCAUUACACCCACAUCUGCAUUGUGAUAAAACAGACAUCAUAAACCAGGCAGUUGUACUGCAUAAAAGUUACCAGCUAAGUAAAGGGAUAAACAAACACCGGUGAAGAAGUAUUAAAGUUUCCGCUUACACAAGACCAAAAUCACAAUGAACCAAGCCAAUGUUACGCCAUUUUUUUCAAAGGGGAGCCCUUAUCUUCUGGUGCAUUUAGUAUUGAACAAAUCAAAGGAGAAUCAACGGAUAAAAACAAAGGGAGGAACGCAGAAGUAAAAAAAGGGAGCAUGAAAACCUUCCCCUUUUUCGAAAAAGCCAUAACUUUAAGAGUCAAAACAGGUUCUUUACUUCGCUACGCCAUUUCAACUGCUCAAAGCAUUGAAAAUGGAUCUUGGAACAUGACACAUUAACUUCACAUUGGCAACAUUUGUCACUCAAAAUUUCUGGAACUUAAAUCCAAAUUGGAUACACUUACUCGGAUUAUCUUACUGAAAUUUAGACAACUAGACAAGUGUUUUUUUAACAAUUAAGUCGGAAAAACAUCCUUAAAAAUUCUACAUCUAAAUAUAGUUGUCUAGUUAAUUUCAAUAACUAAAUAAAUAUAUUUCCAACCAUUAAAUCCCGAUAGGAGUUUGCCAAACAAGCAGAUCAAGCAGAAUUACAGAAACAUAUAAUUAUACCAAUAAAAUAAAAUAAAACAAGAAAAAUGCAAAAAAAGCAAAAUGGUCGGGCAGAUCAAGCGAAAAACAAAACAUAGAUCAAGGAAAGAGAAUGAAACAAACCGUAUCCAAGAAGCACGGAAUUGAGGGAGGCAAAGAUUGCGCAGGCGAAGACAUAUCUCUCGGUAUUUUUGUCGGUCAAUGGAGCAUCUUCCUCUGUCUCUCCGACCUCGGACUCCAUUCUCUUGUACUUGGUCUUGCUCCCUCCGAGUUGAAAUUCGCACCCAGCAACCCCAUUCUCAGCUGCAUUCCCGUUUUGCUGCCCACCCAGCAACCCCAUCACCCUCUUUCUCUCUCUCUUACCCCUCUCUCUCUCUCUCCUCUGUUCUGACGAGGUGGGAGAGAAAAGAAGGACCUUUUUUUACGUGGGCAGCUGUUUUUUCGAGUUCUUAAUCCGAUCGAACUCAGAUUUCCGAAAAAAACAAAAGAAUUAUUGUGGGUUUUGUGACUUUUGUCUCAGAUCUGGAACAGAGGAGGAGGGAUUUUUGGUUAUGUUUUCUGUCUCUACGGACGAUCCCGCGUUUUUCGGGUUUUUUUUCUUCCUUUAUUGCCGUCUGUGUCGGCUUUUCCCUUUUUUCUGAAGCAAAACGGAGGAUUUUUUAACAUUUUACUUGAAGAAAUUGGGUGUUUUGUGAUUUACCGAACAAAUUACUAUUUAUAAACCAAAUUAGGACCUAAUUAGUACACUCUUUGACUAUGUAUACAGUACAUGUGAGACUUAAUGUAUAAAUUGAGUGUAUUUUGGCUCACCACCGUCAAGCUGUGUAGUCAUCACCUAUUUAUUAUUAUGUAAUAAAUUUAAAUUUUGAGAUUUGUAUCUAUCCAUUAAAUAGAUCUCGAAAUUUAAAUUUAUAUAACAAUGAUAAAAAAGAGUAAAAAAUAUCGUAUCCAGUGCACAAGGCUCUUGCUUUACGCAGGGUCUGGAAGAGUGAUGAACAAAAAUAUUUCCGUAUAAAUUAUUACGAGUAAAGUUACGAAUAACAUAUUAGUUGUACAAUUACAAUGCCUUAAUUUUUUUUAAUAAAACGUAAAAUUAUUUAGAUACAUUUUCUGGCACAAUCUCUAAUAUAAUUGAGAUUCAUAUACAACAGAGUUUAUAUCACUUGAGAGUGUUUUUUUUAUUGACAAAUAAAAGUAUCAUUCAACCGUCAUAUAAAGUCAUUUUAUAUAACACUUUGGACAAAUCAAUGUUGAAACUUUCUUCUUCUUUAAAAAAAAUAAACGUUGAAACUUCUUUCGUUGGAAAAUUAGGACAAAAUAUUCCUUCAAAUCAAGGAUCAAAAUGAUAACACUGGUAAUUCUAUUUAAAUUGGAAGACAAUCUUCUUCGGAUUAUAUCCUUUGUAGAAAUCUACCAUAAUUGUAAAUUCAUGCUAUUUAAAAAAAAAGUGAAACUAAUUAGUGACUUCGUUACAAUAGUCUACCAUUUUGAAGGAGAUCAGAGUGAAAUAAUAAAUCACUCUCUAUUUCUUAAGCAUAGAAGAGGUAUGCACAGCCUGAAAGUGACGUCAAGGAAUAUAUAAUAUAAUUAUAAAAGGACAACGAUUGUCUGUCAUCUUUGUUCCCGUGUCCUUCUGUUUGUAUGGUCACGGUUAAGCUACGUCAACAUUUUAUAUUACUAUUCAUUUUUGUCUUAUUAUCUCUAUAAAAAACAAUAUAAAAUAUUAACGUUGCUUAACCGUCACCACACAAAACAGGAGGGCACGAAAACAAAGAAGGCAGACAAUCUUUGCCCUUAUAAAAGAAUGCACAGCAUGAAAGUGACGUCAAGGAAUAUAUAAUAUAAUUAGAAAAGAAUGCACAGCAUGAAAGUGACGUCAAUAAAUAUUAUAUAUAAGUACAAAAAUAUAUAAAAACACAGAGAAUACCAUUCCAAAACUUACGUUGCCAGCAAGCAAAGUGGGGCCAGAUGUCGCUUUGUAGUUGAGCUAAGUUUUCACAUAUUUUGGGCUUAGCCCACUCAAACUGUCAUAUGGGCCUGAAAUUUUAAGCCCAAUUAUUAUUAUAGUAGCUUCUCUGACGUUGAAUAAUUAGGGUUUUGUAGAGACAUUUUCAGAUAAUUAAAAGCAUUUUUUUACAGUCUUUUGUAUAAUAUAGCUUGUGUAAAAGUUCUUUGAAAAUGAAUUAAAGCACUUGUGAUGGAAUUACUUUCGAUACCAAUCUUAAGUAAAAAUGCAAGUGAAUCCAGAAAAAACACUUUAAAAGACAUUCAUAAAAAACGCUUCCAAGAGGAUCUAAAUUAAGUGUUUCUUCAAAAAGCGUUUUCUAUUGUUUUGUAUUAGGAACUUGAAUUUUUAUAUUACAAUGUUUGAGAGUCAAAAUGCUUCAUACGAAAAAACCUUCAGUAGAGCAAUGAACACCCGUAGUAAUAAAUAACUUAUUGGAUGACUCUGAAAGUCCGACCGCGUGACACCCUUACUGAAGAGAUUCUCUCCCUUAAUUGGGCUUCAUAUGGGUCCCCAGCCCACUUAAAACCUGACGCAUCCACAAACUUUGAUAUGGGCUAUCAGGCCCAACUACGGUGGCCUCUCACGUGGUGAGUCACGUGCCAAUUCUUGCACGCUGUAAAUACCAUUCCCAUUUCCUGCCCAAAUUAUCUUCCCAAAUUGUUUACACGCGCGGCCACUCUGAGAGAGCCUCUUUCCUCUCGAUUCGGUUUUCCGCUGUUCGCUUUCCGAUCCCGAACCAUGACUGCGGAGGUUCUCGCGCAGCCAAACGGCGCCGUCGCGAACGGCGACCUGAACGGAAUCCCUAACAACAACGCCGCCGCCGCCAAGAAGUCGAGGGAGAGCGAGCGACGCCGUCGCAGGAGAAAGCAGAAGAAGAACAACAAAGCCUCUCAGGCGCCGGAGUCCAGCGCCGGCGAGACCGACGAUGACGUCAAGGAGAAUAAUGAUACUCAGCAGGUUCUUCGCCUCCCUCUCCCUCUGAUUCUUUUGUGAAAUGUUUGUUUAGUUAUUGUUCGUCGCAGAUUGAUUUCCAGGGUUUUAACGAAGUCUUAUGCUCUGAUUUGGACGCCGUUCUGUUGGGUAGAUUUUCGGGUUUUAUCGAAGGGUUGUAAUCUGAUUUGGAUGCCAUUCUUUCUAGUAGUUUAUUUUUGUUUAGAUUGGAGGUUUUAGGGUUUGCAUUCAACUCCUUUAGCUAAUUAGAUUAGGGUUUUGGCUCCGCGGCUGCUUAGAAUAUAUUAGCUAUGUAACGAAAACAAAGAACAAUGUGUAGGGUUGCCAAGCCAUUAAUUGAACUACACCGCUUGAGUAAAUCUUAGAAAAAGAAAUGGUUACCCUGUAACUUCUUAUCUUGCAGUGAAGAUUUAGGCGGGGAAAGUGGAACCCGGAACUCUAUUUUAAUUCGCUUGUCUACACACUGGUGUUAAUCUUUGAAAACCCAUUGUGAAAGUUGUUAACUGUAAUUUUCAAUACCAUGUGAGCAGCCAAACAAGAGUUUGUAAUACUGUUGAUAUUUUGUUUUUGCUUCUUUUGUUUCGAGAAUGCUAAUUCUGGUAUAUUAUCUUUUCAUGUGUAUUAAUGAUACUUUUUGAACCGUGUAGAUUAUUGAGCAAGUUCAAAUUGAAUAUGUUCCAGAGAAACCUGAGUUAAUUGAUGGCAUGGAUGAGGAAUUCAGAAAAAUUUUCGAGAAAUUCUCCUUCCAGGACUCUGAGGGUGUUGAGGUAAAAAGGCAUCUUGUGUAACAUCUGAAUUUCAGUGCACUUUUUUAUUUAUUUGCUAGAAUGUUCCAUGAUGCAUUUCUCUGAUCUAUCCAGGUGGAUAAGAAGGAUGAGUCUGAAGGAGUCCCCAAAAAGAAGGCUGACUCAGAUUCUGAAGAGGAAGAGCAGGAUAAUGAACAAAAAGAGAAAGGAAUAUCAAACAAGAAGAAAAAGGUUUGUUAGUAUUUUCCAUUUGUUAAUGUUAUGUUAAUUUUUUUUUAUUGUUAGCGCUAUAUCAACAACAUUUUGUCGAGGCUAAAUAAAUGUGUUGUUAUCUUUCAGCUUCAACGGAGAAUGAAGAUUGCAGAAUUGAAACAGAUUUGCCAAAGGCCUGAUGUUGUUGAGGUCUGGAUACCUUGAUCUUUUAUAUGUUUGAAUUUGUUUUAUAUGUUGUUCCUGUUGUUUUCCAUUUUUGUAUGUUUGAAAUUAAGCUUGUCUGUCUACAUAUUCUCAGGUGUGGGAUGCAACUGCAGCUGAUCCUAAGCUGCUGGUGUUUCUAAAAUCAUAUCGCAAUACUGUACCCGUGCCAAGACAUUGGUGUCAGAAAAGGAAAUUUCUGCAGGUUAGUGAUUACCCUGAUGUUAAAACUAUCUAUUAAAAUGUGGAUGCAUGAUUAAUGGGUAUGAUUAACAUGAUGGGAUUAGGGAUAGGGUAUGGUAAGAUCACGUCGAUGAGGUUUCUCUUAUAUGUAUACAUGUGGUUCUUGCAGGGGAGCGGCUGUGACAACCAUGGAGCCUGGACUUGUAGGUGUUUGGAAAAUUAAACCUUGAAUGUUUAUCUUUAUAUAUCUACUAGUGCCUAGUGGGGUGGGUAUCUGGGCAUAAUUUAGAGCUAUUAUUGGGGGAUAUUUUUAGUAUCUGUGCAUGAUGGAUUUUGGGAUUUUAUUCAGGUGCUGAUAUAUCUAUUUUGAAUUUUCAGAUGCCUUCCCAUAAUGCUUAGUCAUUGGGCCCAAUUCUGCUAUAAUUUUAAUAUUUAAGACUGCUGAUUUGAUGUAGAAAUCUAUGCUGAUGAUUGUAAAAUAUUACAUGUUUCUCAUCAAGACUGGAUUGAUUUUGCAGGGUAAGCGUGGUAUUGAGAAACAACCGUUUCAGCUUCCAGACUUCAUUGCUGCUACAGGAAUUGAGAAAAUUAGACAGGUAAAUUGGUAAUGAGAUUUUUAAAAAUCUCAAUUCUUGUUCAAGCAUGGCUUGUUUGUUAAGUUUUGCUCGUAACAUAUAACUUUAACCUCAUAAGUGAAAUAUUUCUUUUGUUCCUGAAUCUUAAUUAAGUUUUAACAAAGAAACAUGCAUCAAAUUCUUGUUACCUAUGCAUAAUUAUAUUUAUGGUUUUAUCUGCCUUGUCUUUCCAAUUUUCUGAUUUUGUUGUGUGUUGAUUGUGAUAUGGUUGUCUUGUGCAGGCGUACAUUGAAAAAGAAGAUAGCAAGAAGUUGAAGCAAAAACAACGGGAGCGUAUGCAACCAAAGAUGGGGAAAAUGGAUAUCGAUUAUCAGGUGUUCAUUUAUUAUAAUUCAGACUUUUUAAUCUUGUGUUUUAAUGUAAUUCAAGAGGACAUGCAUCUGUAAUCAUUAUCUUGAUUUACUGAUGUGAUUGUUUUCUGUUUGUUAGGUUCUCCAUGAUGCAUUUUUCAAGUACCAGACUAAGCCAAAGUUGACAACUCUUGGUGAUCUGUACCAUGAAGGGAAGGAAUUUGAGGUAUAUUAUUCCAGCAUCUAUUCAUAAACACCUCUGUGCUAUUGGUCGUGUGAAUAUUCUAUCUGUGUAUCUUGUGUGAAGGUGUAACAUAAUUUUUAUUUGUGUUGGUUUCUGGUUUUGUGUUCAGGUGAAAUUGAGGGAGAUGAAACCAGGCAUGCUUUCACAUGAACUAAAAGAAGCUCUGGGUAUGCCAGAUGGUGCUCCUCCCCCAUGGCUCAUCAAUAUGCAGGUGAGUGUGCACAUAUCUAUAUAACUUUGUUAAUGUUGGGUAUUGCCUUUAUUUGACUUUUUUUUUUCUUGUAGAGAUAUGGUCCUCCACCAUCAUAUCCACAUCUGAAAAUUCCCGGGCUGAAUGCUCCUAUCCCUCCUGGAGCCAGCUUUGGUUACCAUCCUGGUGGCUGGGGAAAGCCUCCUGUUGAUGAAGUAAGUUUUAAAUUCUUGGUAUUGUUUCCCUUGUUUUACUCCAAUUUCAAACCACUAUAUAUAAAUAUUUGUUUUUUAACCAUUUAACUUUGGUCGUUUAACAGUAUGGCCAACCGUUGUAUGGAGAUGUAUUUGGCGUUCAGCAACAAGAUCAGCCCAAUUAUGAGGUACAGCUUUUGGUCAUUAGAUUUAACUUUGUACGUAAUUUCUAUUUGUCUGAUGAGCCUAUAGAGUACUACUUUAAUUACUAGGAGAUAUAUUUAUGAUUGACUUGUAUUAUUGUUUCUAAUUCAUUGAAUUGUCAUCGGACCAUGGCCUUUACUUAUUAAAUUGCAAUAACAUUUUCAUUUAAAUUCAGGAGGAGCCUGUUGACAAGACAAAGCAUUGGGGUGAUUUGGAGGAAGAGGAAGAGGAGGAAGAAGAAGAAGAAGAGGAAGAGGAAGAACAGCCUGAGGACGAAGAUUUAGAGGAUGGCAUUCAAUCUGUAGACAGCAUGUCAAGGUAUCUUAUUUCCAGUGUUUCCCAUAUUUAUUUGUUUUAACAUGCUUUUUCGGUUGUACAUUUCUUAGUUUUUUCUUUCCAUUUUUUUCCAGAUUGGUUGUUUUAUCUUAUCGUUCCACUGAAGAUUGCAACGUAAACUCUUUUUUCCCUUUUACUAAUUUUUCAUCUUUUCCUCAGUACUCCCACUGGCGUUGAGACACCUGCUCAAAUUGAACUUCGCAAGGAUCAGAAAAAAGAACCUGAAAAGCCUUUAUACCAAGUAAGCCCAGUGAUUAGAGACUUUUGUCGUUUGUGUAGUAUGUUUGAUUACCAACAUUUUGUAAUUCUUCGUCUAACUUGUUUUGCAAAGGUACUUGAACAAAAAGAGGAAAGAAUUGCUCCCGGGACACUUCUUGCAACGGGUCACACGUACGCAAUCUGCUUCGUCUCUUUAAACGUUGUGUGUCUACCUUUUUGUUUUUCAACUUCAUUAGUUUCUAAACUUGUCCUUUUUCACGUGCAGGUAUAAUUUGGCUGGCACCCAAGACAAAGCAGGGGCCAAAAAGGUAAUGACUGCAUGAAUUGUUUCUUUCUAAGCUCUAAAAGAAAUUCUGAUGUAUCCGUACCUUCUUACGUUCAAUCUCUGUCUGGCAACUAUUUGUUAUUUUGCUUAUUAUUCUCGAUUGUGUAUCAAUGAUUGAUUUGUCAUUGUUGUCUUAGGUUGAGCUGCUUAGAGGUCAGAAAGCUGAUAAAGUGGAGGUCACUAUACAACCCGAAGAAUUGGAUGAUAUGGAGACCGUUUUGCCUGCAAAGUAAGUCCGAAACAUGAAAAUAUUGAACUUUACUUUUACCAUUUACCUUAGCAGCAGAUAGCUUAUAACUAAUGUAUGGCCUUUAAUAGGUAUGAAGAAGCAAGGGAGGAGGAGAAGCUGCGAAGUCAGAAGGAAGACUUCAGUGACAUGGUCGCAGAGGUGUGUGCCUCUUCUCUACCUUUGGCAAAUUCUAACAAUUAGUUUUUUCAUUUACGCAUUUAACAAAUUCUAAUGGGAUCCCAUCAUAACACCGAAGUUAAGCGAGUUUGGGGUGAGAGUAGUACUAGGAUGGGUGACCUCCUAGGAAAUCCUCGUGUUGCAUACCCCCACCUUAGCCGACCCCACUUAGUGGGAAAGGGCUUUGUUGUGUUGUUAUUUAACAAAUUCUAAUAAGUUGGUUUAUGGUGCAGAACGAGAAGAAGAGGAAACGUAAAAUGCAAGAGAAAGAUGGGAAAAACAAGAAGAGGGACUUUAAGUUUUAGGCUCUACCGGUGUUGUUAUUACGAUUUUUUUUUUCUGGAGGCCACCCUUAUGUUGAGAUUUUGGUGCCGGGGUUUGAAACUUGGUUGUACCGAGAAAUAUGAUACGUUUGCUCCGCUCGUAGCACUUUGAUACACAUUUAGUGAUCUGUAUUGUAAUAUAAUCAAUCACCUUUUGUCAUGUUAAGCCGUAUUUGUUAGUGACUUGGAGAAUCAAAUCGAAAAUAAAUUUAGUGGUCUAUGUGAAUCCCACAAUUGAGAUUAAGACUUGCGUUUUUCAUUGAGUAAAUUGGAGUAAUGGUCCCUCAAUUCUAAUCAAAUUGGAGUAGUUGUUUCUCAACUAAAAAUCCAUUACUAUUGGUCCCUUAACUUAUCAAAAUGUGUAGUUAUGGUUUUAUUUGUCAACUUCGUCAGAAUUUUGUCAAAAUAAGUUAUAUUAGAAUGAUCAUUGCUACAAUUGGGUUAAAGUUGAGGAAUCAUUGCUUCAAUUGAGGUUAAAGUUGAUGGACCAUUUCUUCAGUUGGAUUAAAGUUGAAGGAGCAAUGAUAAUGGAUUUUUUGUUGAGGGAUUAUAGUUGUGCGUUUUGAUGAGUUGAGUGUCAAUGGUAAUGAAUUUUUAGUUAAGGGAUCAUUGCUCCAAUUGAGUUAAGGUUAAAGGAUCAUUGUUACAAUUUAUUCUUUUUCAUUUCUCGUAUACAAUUAGGAUCCCAUGCCAAAAAGGCUAAAAAAAGUAAACGGAGAUUCAAAAGGGAAAACGUAGUCUUGUUUCUUCGCCACUAAGAAGUGAGGUUGUGUUCCUCUUUUCGCUCUCGUUUUCUUUUUCGGCACGUCUCUUAUUUUCAUCUCUUAAAUUUAUUGCGCUUUCUUCAACUCGAAGGUUAUCAAAAGGGAAGUGAGCAUUAUGAGAGAAAAGAGGAUUGUGAAAAUUGCUCAUCAAAUUUUACGACCCAUUUGGAACUUGCACGUUAAACUCUUCCAAUUGUUUUACUUCUAUCUAAAUAAUCACGAUUAUUUAGUUUAGUGAUACUCUCUCUUAUUUUUAUUGAAAAAAAUCUUAACUUCAAAUCUUAUGAAUAAAAAACGUGACGUUUGGUAUUGCAUGGCGAUAUUGAAGCAGUAGGGGCAUGGGACGGGACCUACGGUAUUUGUACUUUUCCAUGGAGUUAUUGAGUUCUCGUUUAGUUUCUUGGGAACUGAUUUUGGGUAUUAUGGAUAGGUUUGAAUAAGAGCAUUAGGGCAAAGUUGUGGACGUUGUUGAAAGGUAGGGAGCUGUCAAAGUUCAAACCCUAAUUUGAGACUCUAGGGUGUUUAGUCGGCUCAAUUAUUGACGUAAACAACCAAAUUAUGUUUCCUCUCACACUUAAUUUCCAUGCAUACGAUAAAAAAAAGGGUGGACCAACCACUGCCACCCUCUACCACUAUAGAGUAUUAGGGCAUAGCCAAUUCAUUGGAGAGAUUUUUUUAGUGUUGGGAACAUGAUCAUGUACAUUAAGUAUUUUAGAAAUAUUCAGUCACUGGUAUUAUGAAAUUUAGUUUACGUGUAGUGUUUUCGGCAGAGCAUUGUCCCACUUAAUACUAUACAUGAGUCUCAUACAUACUUUUUUGACCCUUCAUGUCAUUUGACUAGUAGAUAUAUAGUUACCCAUGAAUUCUCCUCCAACCCUUUCGUACAUUGUUUCAUUCACAAAACCUCCUAUUAUUUUAGCAAAGUUCACGAUUUCAUUACAAAAUUUGUAACACCACCGUGCAACUCGAAUCUUAACAUGAUUGGAAAAAUAGAAACUUGAAAAAGAAGAAUUAAACAAAUAAAAAACGUAUCAACAAAAUCUAAAACAAUUUGCAUCCAAGUCAUGCAAUUCAAAACAAUCAAAACCCUAACUUAUUUCGAAAUCCAUGUGUAUAUAACAGCGAAUAACAAUUUUGAUUUGACAAGGUAACUUGCUUGAUUUGCAAACAAAUUAAUUAGUCAAAUUAAUCAAAGUGACCAUAAUUAGUGUUGCAUGCACAAACCUAAACACCUAAAGUUACCAUCAUCAAUUGCACACCUAGUCCAACCACAGCCCCCUUUACUGUACCAAUGACAUCGCGACACGUGAAACAAUCAUAUUUGGACCCUUCCUAGAACUUCCUCCCUCCCACAUGGAAAAUAAAAUAAUCCAUCUUAAUAAUUUAAUUAGUGUGACAACGAUAGUAAACAAUAAAAACAAAUAAAAGUGUUGGCAUGCGUUUUAAGCUUUUGGAAUUCUUCAUUUGGUCACUGAGAUUGAAUUGUUAAAUAUUAUAUAAUUAAAGUAUGAAUUAAUGUGGUACGAUGCCUUCGUUUCUUUGGUAUGAAUUAAUGUGGUACGAUGCCUUCGUUUCUUUGGUUAAUAAGACUAUUCUUUUGCUUAAUUAAUUUUAAACUUUGGUAUUAUUUUUUUAAGUUUAAUUCGUUUACGACAUAUAUUCUGUCGUAUACUUUUUAAUAAAUUAAUUAAAAUGUGUGGGAGACGACCAUAUAAACAAGAACCUUUACCUAACCAAACUACUCGAUCGAACAAGUUUGAUUUCAACAUCUAACAAAGAUUGGAAUUUGCUUCAAAUUAUUUAAUAAGUUUGGUGCCUUCAUCAUAUUCAUAUGUACGUGGAUCUCGUGGUCUUAUAUGUUCGACGGCCAAACCUCCAUCCAUUGAUGAUGAUAAUAUAAACUCAUCAUAAAUAAUUAAUUCACUCUUUGCUCGUAAUUAGGAAGUUAAGAACCAUGUUAAUGAGAAAAUUUUCAAUGUGCCGGGAGUAUGCUCGAUAUACCAAGUGUCAUAAUACAAGUGUUUGAAUUUUUUUUGUUACAAGUAUCCAACCACUUAUAUUACGACACUUGAUAUGAGAUAUGCUAAGGAAACUCUGAAAAGUGGGACUUUGAGCUAAAUUUUUUCAAAUAUUAAUGUUGACAUGAGAAUUAACGUUAAACUGUGAGGUGUCAGAGGGUCCAUGGAGAGUCCUACUUUGAGAGAGCAACAUUUCAAUAUAGUGGUACUCAAUCUCCACUUUGUUACAAAUUAAGACAUGUAAAUUUAAAAAAAAAAAAUAUCUAUACAAAGAGAUAGGGAGAUGUCUAAACCUCACCAUAGGCUACCUAUAAUAAUUUGGUUCGAAUUUACCUUUAACAAGAAUUGAACCUAAAAUCUCUUAUUUACAAGUGAAGAGGAAUAUAUACCACUACUAAAUGAUAAAGACAUAUCGAGUUUAAAUAUAUCAUAGAUGACAACUGUUCUUGAACACAAUUUGCAUAAAAAAAUUAUUAUUACACACUCAUUUUCUUCUCUGCAUAUGCAUAUUUAUGUAUGACCAUAUAAUAAAAUAAAUAAAAAACAGAGAUAGACAGAAAUUAGAAUCUAGGUUUAGAGAUUAACUAUUUCCUUUUGCAUGGACCACUAACCCUUCAUUGUAGCUACAUUGCACAUAUUUGCAUGGUGCAUGGAUGUGAUUAGAACACAUAAGGCCAACCUGUAACAUGUAAUCACAUGUAUAUAGGGCCACAGGGUCAUCAAAACCCUCCAAAUAUUGUAAUACAAAUGCCCCACUUGUGACCACGUGCUGCUCGACUGUGCAAUUUAUCCCCACAAAAUUGGGUCUACUCGCCACCCCUCUACAACAAUUUGAUCCCCCAACAAGUCGAGCUAGCUAGUCCAUGGAUCCUAGCGUACUUUUUUCCAUUUUAUGUCCAUAUAUAUAUAUAUAUAUAUAUAUAUAUAUUUCAAUUGCCCAAAAUUUCCAAAUUAUAUUAUUUUAUAUGGUAUUGUCGCACAUAAUGUCAUCUAGGACUAGUGAGCUUAAUUUUGGGAACAAUAGUAGUCGACGACGUGAUGUGAUAAUAAUAAGAGCAGUACAUCGAUUGAUGUGACAAUAUUUGUAUUUCAUGUUUAGCCUGAGUCUAAACCUUAUACGUAGUUACUCAAUGUGAUAAAUUAAACUUGUACACAAGCAUAAUUGUUAAUACCAAAAUGUUAUAACCGCUUUAGUUGUUAGCUGAAUUUGCUUGAUUUAAUCCAAACAUUCUAAUCUAGUUGUUUGUAAAACAAUGCAUCACAUACACUGCUGUAUUUUAUGGUUGACUCUUGUUAAAACUGUUAUAUAUAUAUAGCAUUGCAUGCACAGACGACGUUGUAUAUGAUCUGUUUACAUAGCCAACGUAUAAAGCACUAUCAAUGGUGCUGAAGGUAGCCACAUGUCAACAACCCACCUUCACCUUCGAGGUUAAGUAAUUUUCUCUCUUUCUCUGUCUCCUCCACGUUGUUUCUUCUCUUAUAUUACUUUAGUCCUUGAAUAUUUUGUUUCUAUAAAAUUGUGGGGGUGAUGAGUAAGGAAUAUAUAAGAGCAUGGUAGUAUGGUACUAUUGAUUGUCGCCUAAGUUUGCAUAAUUUUAUAAGGUUGCCGCCACCCACCAGUACCAAACCCCACACAUCUAUCAAUCACAACUUUCCUCGACCAUUCAAAAACCUUUCCUGCUCUUCCAUCAUCAUAUCUUAAUAUUCUUCUUGAUAAACCAAAUAUUCAGUUCAAACUACCUGAGUAUAAGCCAUGUGCUGCUGACAUAUAAUCCAUGUGCUGCUGACAUGGUGAAAGGACUAUUCUAAAUGAAACCCAUGAAGUCCUGUCGAAGAUGGGCAGAAGAAUAUUGCAUGAUCUCACAUUAUUUAUUGCAUGCGUGUACUAUUGUUUAUGGCAUGCGGGUGUAUGUAAAACUGUAUAAAAACCAUACUGCAAUGAUGCAGAUUGUAAGAAAGCCAAACCAUACUCCUUGAUGAGUUUAUGCAGUUCACAGUUUUCGAACCCUAGCUUAAACUCUUUCAUGGUAUCAAAGAGCUAAAGUCUAGCGACAAUAAUUUUUUUUUCCCCGUUCUCCCAUGGCUUCUCAAUCUUCCUCUCCCAUUCCCUUUCCUAAUGUCUCCAAUUUUCUCACGAUCAAACUUGAUCGUACCAACUACCCUCUCUGGCAAGCCCAAAUGCUACCUCUCCUCCGCAGUCGAAAUCUGGUUUCCUUUGUUGAUGGAACUAGUAAGUGUCCCCCAGCAUUGCUGACAGAUGAGGAUGGAAACAUCACUGACAAAGUCAACCCUGAUUUCGACACUUGGAUACAACAGGAUGCAACUGUUAUGUCAUGGAUCAACUCCUCCGUCCAUCCUACCGUGCUUGCUGCUUUAAUUGGGAAAACCAGCUCCCACUCUGCCUGGACAACACUACGUGAUCGUUAUGCUUCUCAGUCCACCGGUCGCCUUCUCCAGCUUCGUAGUGAGUUGAUGAAUACUCACCGAGGUGAUUCUUCCAUUUCUGAAUUUUUGGAUAAAAUUAUUGUCUCGCAGAUACCCUCUCUCUCUCUGGUGCUCCCGUUUCCGACUCCGACAUCGUUGCCAUCAUCCUCAACAACGUUGGUCCGGCCUAUGAAAGUACCGUUGCUUCCGCUCAAGCCCGUGAUGAGGCUAUUACCUACAGUGCUUUGGAAGCCCUCCUCCUUGGCGCUGAAAGACGACAGCAAAUACAUUCCGCGUUUGGUACUGACAGUGGGCUCACUGUCCUUGCCGCCGCUCGCAAUGGCAACCGCGCACCUGCAUCUUCUCGAGGACGAGGAUCCUCUACUGGCUUCCGUGGUCGUAGUAACUUCAAUACUGGUCGCGGCUCUACCAAUCGCCACUACAGCUCCUCACCCUCUCACCAAGGUUCCUACUAUCACCAAGGGUCCAACUCUCACCAAGUAUCCCACUCCCGCCCACAUGAUGGGAUUCUUGGCACCUCUCCUUCCCAAGGUACUUUUACUACAAGCCGGAUUCAAUGCCAAAUAUGUAAUCGUUAUGGUCAUUCUGCGAUUGACUGCUUCAACCGCCUAAAUAUGUCUUAUGAGGGACGUGUCCCUGCACCACGUCUUCAAGCCUUUGCUGCUCGUGCUCCUCCUGCUUCUGCAACAGCACCUGCCAUACAGGAAUGGCUGUUUGACUCCGGGGCCAAUGCUCACAUCACCAAUAAUCUAGCUACUGUUGCGCAUCCUCAUCCUUAUACUGGCAUGGACCAAGUCAAUGGAGUUGUUGGUGGCACAGGUUUGCAAAUUUCACACAUAGGCAACACUUCCAUUCGUACACCUACCUCUACUUUCACAUUACCUAAUACACUACUAUGCCCUAAUGCAUCAACCAAUAUUAUUUCUAUCCAUCGUUUUACUACCGAUAAUAACUGUUCUCUAACCUUAUAUCCCAACUCAUACUGUGUUCAGGAACUCCACACGGGGAGGAUGCUUUUACAAGGCCCGAGUAGGAAUGGAUUCUACCCUUUUUCUGGUGUUUCAUCUUCCAUUAAAGGCGUGUCUGCAUUUUUAGGAACUAGAGUGUCCAAUUCAAUUUGGCACUCUAGGUUAGGUCAUCCAUCUUCUCAUAUUUUGCAAAAUUUGGUUUCUAGGAACAAAUUGCCUAUUAAGGGCGUUGUAACUAGUGAGUUAUGUCACUCAUGUCCCAUGGGCAAGAGUCACAAGUUACCUUUUCCAUUGUCUGUCUCUAGGUCUUCAUCUCCUUUACAAUUGGUUCAUUCCGAUGUAUGGACUUCACCUUCUUUUUCUAUCAAUGGUUUUAAAUAUUAUGUCGUGUUUAUUGAUGAUUUUUCUCGCUACUCUUGGCUAUAUCCCUUAAAAUUAAAAUCUGAUGUUUUUCUCACUUUUGUGUCCUUUAAGAAAUUGGUUGAAAACAUGUUCCACACUACAAUUAAAUCCUUUCAAACUGAUGGAGGAGGGGAGUACGUAAACAACAAAUUCAAAAUUUUUUUUGACUCAACAUGGCAUUCUACACAUCGUUUUACAUGUCCACAUAUCAUCCUGAACAAAAUGGAAUUUCCGAACGUAAACACCGUCAUAUCGUUGAAACUGGUCUCACUCUUCUUGCUCAUUCCUCCUUACCAACUUCUUUUUGGGAUGAUGCUUUCCAUACAGCAAACUAUUUGAUCAAUCGUUUACCCACUAAAGUUCUCCAUGAUGAGUCUCCCUUUCAAAAACUGUUUCAAAAAUCUCCUCAAUAUGAUUUUCUUAAAGUUUUUGGGUGUGCAUGUUUUCCAUUUCUUCGUCCUUAUAAUACUAACAAGCUGCAAUUUCGCUCCAAACGUUGCAUUUUCUUAGGUUAUUCAUUAAAUCAACAAGGUUAUAGGUGUUUAGAUACGUCCACAGGUCGCAUUUUUUUGUCACGCCAUGUCCUAUUUGAUGAAACCAAUUUUCCAUACAAAGAAUCCAUUUCUACAACGUCCUCAUCCUCCCAAUCGUCUAUGGUACUGAACAUUGACCCCUCUUCUUUCCAUUAUCCCUCUAGGAACCCCAUUUUCCCAACUGUACCACCAAACCCACAUCCGUCCAACUUAUUCCCCAUAUUAUCUCACCCACCUAACCCUAGUCCUAUUCCCUGCCCUUUACCACCACAUCCGCACCAUCACAUGCAUCCCACUAUACCAUCCCCCAACCUAACCCUAUUUCCUCUAAUUUCCCACCAAAUCCGCACCUCCCUGCCCCUUCUUCCAUUCCAUCCCCUACGACUGCAAUGGGUGUUGCUCCUGUCUCACCUUCCUCUCAGAGACAAAUUCAACCUGUUCACUCCAUGGUUACACGCUCAAAGGAUGGCAUUCAGAAGCCAAACCCCAAGUAUGCUCUUGUUUCUGAUGUGACUAAUGAACUUGUUGAGCCCUCUUGUUUUACACAGGCAAAUAAGUCUCCCGAAUGGCGUAUGGCAAUGGCAGAAGAGUUCAAUGCUCUACAAAGCACAGGAACGUGGUCCCUAGUUCCUUCUCAUCCCUCCAUGAAUGUCCUACCAAAUAAAUGGGUCUACCGUAUUAAACGGAAAUCUGACGGUUCCAUUGAAAGAUUUAAAGCACGUCUUGUUGCCAAUGGUUUCCAUCAACAAGAAGGGCUUGAUUACAGUGAGACGUUUAGUCCCGUCGUCACUCAUGGCUUCUCAAUCUUCCUCUCCCAUUCCCUUUCCUAAUGUCUCCAAUUUUCUCACGAUCAAACUUGAUCGUACCAACUACCCUCUCUGGCAAGCCCAAAUGCUACCUCUCCUCCGCAGUCGAAAUCUGGUUUCCUUUGUUGAUGGAACUAGUAAGUGUCCCCCAGCAUUGCUGACAGAUGAGGAUGGAAACAUCACUGACAAAGUCAACCCUGAUUUCGACACUUGGAUACAACAGGAUGCAACUGUUAUGUCAUGGAUCAACUCCUCCGUCCAUCCUACCGUGCUUGCUGCUUUAAUUGGGAAAACCAGCUCCCACUCUGCCUGGACAACACUACGUGAUCGUUAUGCUUCUCAGUCCACCGGUCGCCUUCUCCAGCUUCGUAGUGAGUUGAUGAAUACUCACCGAGGUGAUUCUUCCAUUUCUGAAUUUUUGGAUAAAAUUAAUUGUCUCGCAGAUACCCUCUCUCUCUCUGGUGCUCCCGUUUCCGACUCCGACAUCGUUGCCAUCAUCCUCAACAACGUUGGUCCGGCCUAUGAAAGUACCGUUGCUUCCGCUCAAGCCCGUGAUGAGGCUAUUACCUACAGUGCUUUGGAAGCCCUCCUCCUUGGCGCUGAAAGACGACAGCAAAUACAUUCGCGUUUGGUACUGACAGUGGGCUCACUGUCCUUGCCGCCGCUCGCAAUGGCAACCGCGCACCUGCAUCUUCUCGAGGACGAGGAUCCUCUACUGGCUUCCGUGGUCGUAGUAACUUCAAUACUGGUCGCGGCUCUACCAAUCGCCACUACAGCUCCUCACCCUCUCACCAAGGUUCCUACUAUCACCAAGGGUCCAACUCUCACCAAGUAUCCCACUCCCGCCCACAUGAUGGGAUUUCUUGGCACCUCUCCUUCCCAAGGUACUUUUUACUACAAGCCGGAUUCAAUGCCAAAUAUGUAAUCGUUAUGGUCAUUCUGCGAUUGACUGCUUCAACCGCCUAAAUAUGUCUUAUGAGGGACGUGUCCCUGCACCACGUCUUCAAGCCUUUGCUGCUCGUGCUCCUCCUGCUUCUGCAACAGCACCUGCCAUACAGGAAUGGCUGUUUGACUCCGGGGCCAAUGCUCACAUCACCAAUAAUCUAGCUACUGUUUGCGCAUCCUCAUCCUUAUACUGGCAUGGACCAAGUCAAUGGAGUUGUUGGUGGCACAGGUUUGCAAAUUUCACACAUAGGCAACACUUCCAUUCGUACACCUACCUCUACUUUCACAUUACCUAAUACACUACUAUGCCCUAAUGCAUCAACCAAUAUUAUUUCUAUCCAUCGUUUUACUACCGAUAAUAACUGUUCUCUAACCUUAUAUCCCAACUCAUACUGUGUUCAGGAACUCCACACGGGAGGAUGCUUUUACAAGGCCCGAGUAGGAAUGGAUUCUACCCUUUUUCUGGUGUUUCAUCUUCCAUUAAAGGCGUGUCUGCAUUUUUAGGAACUAGAGUGUCCAAUUCAAUUUGGCACUCUAGGUUAGGUCAUCCAUCUUCUCAUAUUUUGCAAAAUUUGGUUUCUAGGAACAAAUUGCCUAUUAAGGGCGUUGUAACUAGUGAGUUAUGUCACUCAUGUCCCAUGGGCAAGAGUCACAAGUUACCUUUUCCAUUGUCUGUCUCUAGGUCUUCAUCUCCUUUACAAUUGGUUCAUUCCGAUGUAUGGACUUCACCUUCUUUUUCUAUCAAUGGUUUUAAAUAUUAUGUCGUGUUUAUUGAUGAUUUUUCUCGCUACUCUUGGCUAUAUCCCUUAAAAUUAAAAUCUGAUGUUUUUCUCACUUUUGUGUCCUUUAAGAAAUUGGUUGAAAACAUGUUCCACACUACAAUUAAAUCCUUUCAAACUGAUGGAGGAGGGGAGUACGUAAACAACAAAUUCAAAAUUUUUUUGACUCAACAUGGCAUUCUACAUCGUUUUACAUGUCCACAUCAUCCUGAACAAAAUGGAAUUUCCGAACGUAAACACCGUCAUAUCGUUGAAACUGGUCUCACUCUUCUUGCUCAUUCCUCCUUACCAACUUCUUUUUGGGAUGAUGCUUUCCAUACAGCAAACUAUUUGAUCAAUCGUUUACCCACUAAAGUUCUCCAUGAUGAGUCUCCCUUUCAAAAACUGUUUCAAAAAUCUCCUCAAUAUGAUUUUCUUAAAGUUUUUGGGUGUGCAUGUUUUCCAUUUCUUCGUCCUUAUAAUACUAACAAGCUGCAAUUUCGCUCCAAACGUUGCAUUUUCUUAGGUUAUUCAUUAAAUCAACAAGGUUAUAGGUGUUUAGAUACGUCCACAGGUCGCAUUUUUUUGUCACGCCAUGUCCUAUUUGAUGAAACCAAUUUUCCAUACAAAGAAUCCAUUUCUACAACGUCCUCUCCUCAUCCUCCCAAUCGUCUAUGGUACUGAACAUUGACCCCUCUUCUUUCCAUUAUCCCUCUAGGAACCCCAUUUUCCCAACUGUACCACCAAACCCACAUCCGUCCAACUUAUUCCCCAUAUUAUCUCACCACCCACCUAACCCUAGUCCUAUUCCCUGCCCUUUACCACCACAUCCGCACCAUCACAUGCAUCCCACUAUACCAUCCCCCCAACCUAACCCUAUUUCCUCUAAUUUCCCACCAAAUCCGCACCUCCCUGCCCCUUCUUCCAUUCCAUCCCCUACGACUGCAAUGGUGUUGCUCCUGUCUCACCUUCCUCUCAGAGACAAAUUCAACCUGUUCACUCCAUGGUUACACGCUCAAAGGAUGGCAUUCAGAAGCCAAACCCCAAGUAUGCUCUUGUUUCUGAUGUGACUAAUGAACUUGUUGAGCCCUCUUGUUUUACACAGGCAAAUAAGUCUCUCCCGAAUGGCGUAUGGCAAUGGCAGAAGAGUUCAAUGCUCUACAAAGCACAGGAACGUGGUCCCUAGUUCCUUCUCAUCCCUCCAUGAAUGUCCUACCAAAUAAAUGGGUCUACCGUAUUAAACGGAAAUCUGACGGUUCCAUUGAAAGAUUUAAAGCACGUCUUGUUGCCAAUGGUUUCCAUCAACAAGAAGGGCUUGAUUACAGUGAGACGUUUAGUCCCGUCGUCACUCAUGCUACCAUCAGGAUCAUUCUCUCCGUGGCUCUUCAUUUUUAACUGGCCAAUUCGCCAACUUGACGUCAAAAAUGCGUUCCUUCAUGGCUCUUUAAAUGAAGAAGUCUACAUGCGCCAACCUUCUGGUUUUGUCGAUCCGCAGUUUCCGUCACAUGUAUGCCGUCUUCGCCGGUCCUUAUACGGCUUAAAACAGGCUCCACGUGCCUGGUUUCAGUGCUUCUCUCACCAUCUGGAGGAGCUCGGCUUUCAAGCCUCCAUGGCAGAUUCUUCGCUGUUCAUUUUCUGCAAUGGAACUAAUGUCAUUUACUUGCUCAUUUACGUUGAUGACAUCCUCGUCACCGGUAAUAAUCCAGCUCACAUCUCCACCUUGAUUCAUCAAUUGGGUCGAAAAUUCUCCAUGAAGGACCUUGGUCCCUUGCAUUAUUUUUUGGGAAUGGAAAUUACGAGAACGCCAACGGCCAUGUACUUAACACAGUCAAAAUAUAUCCUGGACCUCCUCAAACGAACUCAGAUGGCUGACGCCAAACCCUUGUCUACUCCAGCCCUCCCUGGCCGCAAGCUUAGUUUGUAUGAGGGCGAGCCCUUGGCGGAUGGAACAACCUUUCGAAGUAUUGUUGGGGCUCUCCAAUAUCUCUUAUUCACACGUCCGGACAUUGCUUUCGCUGUGAAUCAAGUCUGCCAGUAUAUGCAUUCGCCCACCACUACACAUUGGGUUGCCGUCAAACGCAUUCUUCGCUAUUUGAAAGCCACUCAUGAUCGCGGUCUCGUUUAUAAACCCAGUUUUUUGUCCCUCACAGCAUUUGCCGAUGCUGACUACGCUGGUGACCCUGAUGAUCGUCGCUCCACUGGUGGUCAUUGCAUAUUUCUAGGGGAUAACUUGGUCUCCUGGAGUUCUAAAAAGCAGCGCGGCGUGUCUCGCUCAAGUACGGAGGCCGAGUAUCGCCAAAUGGCCUACACAGCUGCCACCUUAUCUUGGUUCAGACACAUUUUUUGUGAUCUUCGUCUUCCUCUCACUCCACCAAAAUUGUGGUGUGACAAUAUCAGUGCACUGGCAGUGGCUUCCAAUCCUCUAAUUUCCCACCAAAUCCGCACCUCCCUGCCCCUUCUUCCAUUCCAUCCCCUACGACUGCAAUGGGUGUUGCUCCUGUCUCACCUUCCUCUCAGAGACAAAUUCAACCUGUUCACUCCAUGGUUACACGCUCAAAGGAUGGCAUUCAGAAGCCAAACCCCAAGUAUGCUCUUGUUUCUGAUGUGACUAAUGAACUUGUUGAGCCCUCUUGUUUUACACAGGCAAAUAAGUCUCCCGAAUGGCGUAUGGCAAUGGCAGAAGAGUUCAAUGCUCUACAAAGCACAGGAACGUGGUCCCUAGUUCCUUCUCAUCCCUCCAUGAAUGUCCUACCAAAUAAAUGGGUCUACCGUAUUAAACGGAAAUCUGACGGUUCCAUUGAAAGAUUUAAAGCACGUCUUGUUGCCAAUGGUUUCCAUCAACAAGAAGGGCUUGAUUACAGUGAGACGUUUAGUCCCGUCGUCACUCAUGGCUUCUCAAUCUUCCUCUCCCAUUCCCUUUCCUAAUGUCUCCAAUUUUCUCACGAUCAAACUUGAUCGUACCAACUACCCUCUCUGGCAAGCCCAAAUGCUACCUCUCCUCCGCAGUCGAAAUCUGGUUUCGAACCCUAGCUUAAACUCUUUCACUUCUCACACUUAUAUAUCAUUAAUAGUUAUAUAUACACAUAUAUACACACACUUACAUAUACAUAUAUGUUAAAAUUAUUGAGAUAAGGAGAUUCAACUUAGACAUGCUCACUUCUCAGGAGCUUCCUAGGCAUUUCAUUGCACCUGAAACCAGAAUCACUCAUUUCCUCAGAUCAACGCGUUACCCUUUUGCUUAUAAACAACCCUAGCUAGUCUCAGCCUCGUCAACUUCAUCAGACUGCUUUCUCUUUCGACGUCUGCGUUUCAAGGGCUAGAUAUAAGUAUACCAGAAGAAGAAAAAGAAAAAUCAAACACUUGUUCCUUGAUCUUCAUCUUCGGGUAACUUGUAAUCAAAUCGUUGUUUCGGGUUUUGAGAGGGUUCGAGGAGAUGGGAUUGAGUACUAAGCAGGUCAACAGUGACGGGAUGGAUUGGAGUCAGACAAGCUUGCUGCAAGCUCAGACGUUUCAGCUGCCAAAACCACCAACCGCCAUGAGGAGGCAGCAGCAACAAAAUCAGCAGCAGCAAUCCGAGCCGUUGAAGUGUCCGAGAUGUGAAUCAACGAACACAAAGUUUUGUUACUACAACAACUACAACAAGUCGCAGCCAAGGCACUUCUGCAGAGCUUGCAAGAGGCACUGGACAAAAGGUGGGACUCUCCGAAAUGUCCCCGUUGGUGGCGUCCGCAAAAACAAGCGCCUCAAAAAGUCAUCAAACACUUCUCCCGCGGAAGCAGCUGCCACAACCGCCGCAAACAGUGCAGGGAUUGAGGAUCAUCACGAGAAAAAAACCGCGGCGCAAGCUCUCUAUCACGCUCUUAUCAGUCCCCAAUCUUUGCUUCCGCAACAGAAUUUGGACAACACAAUCAUAUUUUCAUCAGCAGGUUUAAGUAGCACCACUACUUUGCCUUUUCUUCAUCAAAGUAGAAACCUGAUAACCUUUGAUCCCUUCUCAAGCUCAAUUAGUACUACUACUUCAAGUUCCUUUGACACAAACUUCUCUUCAAUCUCAACAUCUUUGCAAUCCUUAAACGUUUAUAACUACGCUGGCGCCGAAGAUCAGUUCAAAGCCACCGUAGAGGAGCCAACCAUUACAAGCAUCAUGCCAAAUAUUCUUCCUCAGCAGCCCAAUUGGAAAGCCCCUUCCACAAGUAACGCUGCCACGGACGUGUACUCGAACGACUGGAAUUGGGAAGACAUCGAAACCCUCGUUUCUACUGAUCUCAACUUGCCUCAUUGGGAUGAUUCUUCUGAUCACAUGAAACCGUAAAAUUAAAGAAUUAGCCAUCUUCAUUAGCGGUAUGUUAAUUUGAAUUGCGUGUGUGUGAGAAAUCUACGACACAGAAACAGUCUCCCAGUUCUCUUGAUGUGUCACUUUCAGUUUGUCACAUUGUGCGAUCUUCAGGUGAUAUAAUUUCUGGUAGUUUGCUCUCUCAAUCUUGUAAUUUCUAAAGAGAGAUGUAGACUGUUUAAAGCUGUCCUUGUCCUUAGGUUUCAGCUUCGAGAUAUUUAAUUUGAAAAAAAAAAAAUAUAUAUAUAUAUAUAUGUAUGUAUGUAUGUAUUAAUUUGUAAGUUUGUAAAUCUUGAUUGCUCUUUGAUUUUCUUUAACCUGAUGGAAGAAGCAAAUACAUGCAUGUAAAGGUUUAUAUUAGGGUUUUUUUUGGUUCAAUGAGAUAGAAUAGAACUAAUUGGCUUAUUGAUUUUAUUUUAUUUAUUUUUAGAGUAAAUUGUAGCAAUGGUCCCUCAACUAAAAAUCCAUUACCAUUGGUCCCUCAACUCAUCAAAACGUGUAGCUAUGGUCUUUUUUGUCAACUUCGUCAAAAUUUUGUCAAAAUAAGUUAUGUUGGAAGGACUAUUGCUACAACUGGGUUAAAGUUGAGGGAUUAUUUUUCCAAUUGGGUUAAAGUUGAGGGAUCAUUUCUCCAGUUGGAUUAUAGUUGAGGGACCAUUGGUAAUGGAUUUUUAGUUGAGGGACUAUAGCUGCACUUUUUGAUGAGUUGAGGGACCAAUGCUAAUGGAUUUUUAGUUGAGGGACCAUUGUUCUAAUUGAGUUAAAAUUGAGGGAUCAUUGCUACAAUUUACUCUUAUUUUUAUAGAAAUUUUGGUGAGUGGUUUGUGAUAGGAAUGGAAAUGGGGACUCCUACACAGCAGGGCGAACGACAGAAUGUGAUGGAAGAUUCUUGUAAGAUAUGUAUGUAUAUUUGGACAACUGAAUAAGCUUGCACAGAUUUGUUUCCCCAUAUUUUAUGGCCACUGGUUCUAGUCCCUACAGAGUUUGGGUUGUAAAGUAAUUUUAUAACACAAUUUAUAUGUUUUUUUUUUUAAUUUUAUUUAAUGAUUUUUGUGAACUUCUUCAUUUUGUUAGCACAUGACUUGAAUGAAUCAAAAGAAAAUAAAAAAACAGAAUAAGAAUUGCAUGAGAAGAAAACGAGAGCGAAAAUUCACGACCCAUUCCAUAUUUAAUUAUUUUAUUAUUCCCUUCCUGGUGUUGUGUAUUUGAUCCUUCAUAAAACACUAUUCUAAAAAUCCCUGCCUAACGCCGUCUAGGUGUUAGGCGGCUGGCCACCAUCCCGAUUAAUGCCUAGGUGUAUGAAAAUUAAGAAAGGGCACCUAGACAUGAUGAGACACCCGCCUAGCCCGCCCAAACCCGCUUAGGUUGCGACUCACUUAGAGAGAAAAUAGAUAACUUUCAUUUUGUAUUUUAUUUUUUUUUGCAAUAAAUUGUAAGAGACUUGCUGAAUGGUUAAAUGAACACACAUUCCCCAUGUUUUCAUUAUGUUCCAAUACUUCAUAAUAUAUAUGUCAUUCUUGAUGAAAAAAUAUAUUUUUAAGUAUAAAAAGACACUUAUUUACAUGAAAUAUAAUUUAUUUACUUAAAUUCCCCUAGUCCGUCUAGGCACUAGGUUCCAGUCCACUGCCCAACUAGCGCCUAGCUCGCCGCCCGGCUAGCGCCUAGCGUCUUUUAGAACCUUGUCAUAAAGUUGUAAGAUUGAGCCCUAAAAUCCAGAUCGUUUCAAAGUGGUCCCAUUCUCAUACUCUCACUCCAGUUCUAAAGACUACGGAUUUAGCAUGUGCAUUUGGGGCCACAGUUCUGUGACAUAUUUUUCUUUUUGUUAAAAAUAGAUCAUGUUUUGAUGCUUCAAACCUACGUUUCCUCAGAUCCAUCUGUAAAAUAAUUAGGAUUAUGAAGCAAAUUGCCAUCGAUGGAUGACUCCAAAAGCACCAGUCCAAUGCUUGUGCUGUAAAGUGAGGGAGCAAAAUUGAUCUAGGAAUGGACUGAGGCACCGGACAGAUGCCAGAUACUAGUUUGGUGGCUCGGUGUGGAACGGACUAUCCAUUUUCGAAUGUCUGAUGAGGGCUAGUGGACUAUUGUCUUGGCCGUUGUUUGACGCUGGAACUGGAACUGGAACUGGACUAGUUAAACCGGACAACAAUCCAAUGUACUGUGUCUCUGUUACAGGUUCCACCGAGAGGAGUGAGAUUAUAACACUGACUUGCACUCAAUUCUAAUCUCAUCCAGUUCCAUCCGUCGAACGAGCCUUGUGGUAAUAGGACACUGAACUCCAAAUUAGUAAUUUUAAGAGACAUAAAACUCCAAAUAUCAUACAUAAAUCACAAGCAUUUCAAAUAUUCAAUCAUAUGGCCUGUUAAUUAACUAACUUAGUCCAUAAGAUAGGCAUGCAGCUAUUAGUCAACCAACUACCAAGUGAUAAUACAAGAUCACUGUCACUUCCCUCCACUUGGUUUCUGUUCUAGAGGUUCUGAAUCCUCACACCGGUGUCUCUGCUAUAGGCAGCCGGGGAUUCGUUAGCCCUGGAAUAACUAACAUAGUAAAGCUCUGAGAAUAUGCCUGUGAGGACGACAAAUGCAGCCCCAGCUCCGAAGAUUCAUUUCAUCAUUGUCUCACAUGAAAGUUUAUCGUUCAUAAACACAGUCCGGUACUUCGUGCGGUAUGCAUUUCUCACUGAACCGGCGAGAGGCAUCCCUCAGCAAUAAGAAAAAACACCCUGAAGUUUUCAAUUCGACACCAGUAAAUCUGAAGUCUGAAAUUGAAAUAUAAGAAUAGCAUUUAUCUUUCGACAACAAGCGAUAUUAAGAUGUUGAUCUUGAGAGUGUAAACAUUAUACACCAAACAUGAUCUCAGAGAAUGAGGGGAUUAUAUGAGGAGUACUUACCAGCUGGUAAUGAAUUGCAUGAUUGCCCAUGACCGAGAUCCGCUGGGUCUCAAUGCCUUUCCACAGCACAAGCAUCGACUUGCCACCAUUAUCAGAGCUUGACUCGCCAAUAAGAACAGAAAUGAUAGCACGAAUUUGCUUGAGUUUGUGUCUUGGCCUGCAAGGGAGAGAUAAUAUAUGAAGUAACAUAUGCAUGGGUUCGACUGAAAUUGCUCGACAGGUCAACUAACAAUGUAUCGAACUGUAAAACAAACUGAUGGUUCUAAUAACUUAAGCUAUCAGUGUGUGUUUCCUCCUCGUUCCAGUUAACGCCAAAUUUGAAAUUUGGAAAUGAAAAAUGUUCCUGCGAUUCGAGUAGAACGUUGAUGACAUACACAUCUUAUGAGAUUUUUCCUCCUUCCUUCGGCUUUUGAGAUUUUGAAUUUCAAUAAUUUGAGGAUGAAUCUCAAGUCUCAACUCAAGUUCCUAGUUGACAUUUGGGUUAAUCUCCACAGAAAAAUCAUGUCCUUAUCAUUAAUUUAACAAAAUUUACACACUAAUUGUAAAUUUUCUAAACCCUAUUAUAAAUCUAAACCUGUAAUAACAUUAUAAGUGGAUUUCAAGGUUUUGCGCCAAUUGGACACAUGUGAGAUUCUCAUGCUAAGUUGUCGGAACUUUAUUUGGACUUUGAUUUGGCAUGAAGAUUACAAAUUGAUAAAUUACUAGAAGAAUCAAACUCUGCACUCACAAUUUAUUUUGAUGUUGCAAUCGGGCACGAGUCGGGCACCAAUCGCCUGAUUGGGCAGUCCGGCACAGCUGGGCCCACAGAUUGCCCAGCAUUUUGUCAUGGGCUGGAGCUGGGUUUUCCAUCUUUUGGGUAAUAAUGGCCCAUUUGCCUGCCUUUUUGUCAUGGGCUGGAAACAUUGAAGCCAUCCCCCAAAACCCCUCUUGUUCUCUCGAGCUCGAAUUUCGUUUAAAACCCCAACACAAAUCGCAGAGACGGAGACUGAGAAACGAAAUGAAGAAAAAAGCGUUUGAUGUUUUUUUUGUUUUUUGUUUUUUUUUUGGAAAGAGGAAUGACAUUCCAAGGCAGAAGCCAAAAGGUACAGGAGAGCCUACAAGAGGCUAACACCAAACAAGCACAAAGAGAAUGAAAGCGAUGAAAGGGGAUACAAACUAGAAGACGCUACAACCAAAUUGAGCAUCACCCCAAACACUACCACACCAAAUCAAUGCGGACAAGGAAGGCCAUCCUUGUUCAAAACAUGCACCAACGAAGAUGGGGGUCUGUCAACCCAAACCCGAUCACACAUCUCCGGAAAACCAACCGACGCAAGAAAAUCCGCCGCAGAAUUGGCUGAUCUUGGAACCCAAGACCAGCGACAAAUCUGGAAAGCUUCACUCAACUGCUUGACUCUUGGCAAGAUAAGGAAAGCCUCCCAACCUCCCAACUGCCAGAAUCAAUAGCACCAGAAAGACAAGAUAUGGAUUCACGAGAAUCCAAUUCCAAAAUGACCGAGCUACACCCCAAAGAGGUGCCCAAUUCACAGCCACGCAAUAACGCAAAAGCUUUUGCCGCAUCAACAUUAAGGGACAUAAUAGCAUACCUCGCAGCCGCCACAAAACUCCCUCCCUCUACACGCAUGACCAUCCCAACAAAGCCCAGUUUAGACACCUUAGACCAGCUAGCAUCAACAUUAAUUUUUUAAAAAAAAAAGGAGAUGUUGGAGGGAUCCACCGAGGAACCAAAUCCUACCGAGCAGAAACCACCGAACCCCCUGUCAUCGUGAAACCCCCCGCAUUCCAGUAAGACCCAACGGCAGAAGACAACCCCAACAGCACCGAAAUAAGAUUAAUGGGAACCUGAUUGAAAACAAAAUUACAACGAGCAAAAAGAAAAGAAAUAACCCCUCGCCGCCCCAAGCAAAUAAACGAAAUCUGAAUUCUCUUACCAAUGAGAAAAUUUUGAAUCCAACUGCUUAAAUCAGAGUGUGUCGCUUAUAUUGUGUUGAUUCGUUUGAUGUUACAAUCGUUGUUGCAAAUCAAGAGGCCACAAAACACCCACUUUUUUUUACCUUUUUUUUCUUUUUUUAAGUGCGACCUUUUCUUCUCUUUUUAUUUACAGUUAUUUACUUCAUGGUGAAGAACAUGAAUAAAGGUGAAAAGGAGUCCAAAUAAUUAUUAAAAAAAGAAAAGAAAUAAACCCUCGCCGCCCCAAGAAAAUAAACGAAAUUUGAAUUCUCUUACCAAUGAGAAAAUUUUAAAUCCAACUGCUUAAAUCAGAGCGUCUCGCUUAUAUUGUGUCGAUAUCAAUAUGUUUAGGUAACAAAGAAUCGAUAUGAUGUUGGGAUAGUCUAAUUCGAAUUGGUCAAGUCCUGAUCCUUAUGGUUGAUAGUUGAUUUUUUUUUUUUUUUUUUUUUUUGAGAAACUGGAAAUCAUAUAACCAGGGCGAAACAAAGAAACCCGAUGUAUGGCAAACAGAGGUGCAUAGACGUGGGGGUAGGGGACAAACGACAUUGCCACUGUUGGCAAAGGUGUUACCCAACCCACACACAAAACUAUCUAAGUCAGGGUACAAGGUAAUCCGUCUUUGUUUAGAAUUCUUACAAACGAAAAUGGGGGCCAAUUGAUCCAGACAUAAUUGCGCAUCUCCGAAACCUGGUGUGACUCAACAAAAUCCGCCGCUUCAUUCCCCGAUCUUGGAACCCAAGACCAGCUGCAAGUUUGAAGUGAGGCACCGAUAUCCAACGCCCGAGACAGCACAUGGAAGGCCUCCCAAAAAGCGUUGUCAAUAGAAUCCCUCAACCAAGCGUUGUCAAUAGUUGAAUCUAUUUUGACAUUUACUUUUACCAUUCAGUAAAGUCAAUCGUAAUUCAAUCUAUCUAUGAACAUUAUUGAUACCACAAAAUCAACAAGUUAUGAGAGAACCGGCAAGUCCUUUAAUUACAUUGAUAGUUUUUUUUUUUUUUUUUUUUUUUUUUUUUUUUUUUUUUUUGAGGUAUAUGGAUAGUUAUCCUAAUGUUAAUGCACACAAAUAUUUUUCACAAUAUGUAUAGGAGGAACAUUAGAAAAUGAGUAGAUAGAAUCAAAUAUUUGCAUGUUUAUUUCAUUUCUCAAGUUUCAUCCUCAAUCAAACACUACCAUAUUCUCACAUCAGUACAUUGAUUUCUAUCACUAAAUUUACUACUGCAUACCAAGAAAAAAAAAAAUUAAGGUGACCAUCUUGUAUUCCUUGGCACCAAAGCUACCACCAGCUAUCAUCUUCAACUCAUCCCACAGCAAGUCCUUUAUCUCUAUACGCAAGCUAUUUUAUUUUUACAUGAUUUCUCUGUUGAUUGUAUCGAAGAUUAAGAGGUUGCGCAUAGAGAUAACGGACUUGUUGGAGGAUGAGUUGAAUACAGUAACAGUCGGGUGGUGACUUUGGUGCCAAGAUAUAAAAAAUGGCGGCCCCGGUUUUGUUUGUGCAUAGCUUGCAUGUGCUUAACAAAAUAUAUGAGAUGGAAGUGGUAACAUGAGUUCAAGGACAAGGGACUUGUUGGACUUGGAAGCUGAAGGUGAUGAAAGUAGCACUCCGGUGAUCAAUUUGGUGCCGAUUGUGGAUGCCAUAAAUUCAGGCAGGUUCAUUCGAUCGACGGGAACGAUGAACUCAAACCAUAAUACUGCAUUGGAUCGUCUCCAAUUCCUGACAAAAAAUGCUCAGAUUAACUAAUUACAGAAACAAAAGAAGUGCAUAAGGAGAAAACGAGAGUGCGGAAAUUUCCCCCUAUGCACUCCGCUCUUUGUUUCUAGCAUUUGAGGUGAAUAAACGGAACAAAAAUCAAAUGAAAAACUUACUUGAAGUUGAAGUGGUAAAGUUGCUGAGCUGAUUUCUGCUGCAAUGGUAAUAGAGAGAUGAUGUAUUUAUAGGUGUUGAUGCAAUAUAAUCAAAAGGUUGGAGUACUGGAAUUUAGUACUCACUGGUACUUGUACAUCUAAGAUGUAGUACAGAUUGGUUAGCAGUGCAAAUGUAGUACGACUGAGAAGAUAACAGAAUAAGGCAACAAAUGAAAUCGCGUUUGCAUCGAGAUCCAACAACAGAUUACUGUUAAGAAAAAAAGUUGGGCUAUCAUAGUGAACUUUGUGUUGAACUAGUGGCAGUGGUCAAAAAUCUUUCGGUAUAUAAAAUAAAAAAUGAAGGACAUAAUGAUGUGGGAACAUCAUUAUGAGGAGACAAAUUAUUAUGUUUGUUGAAAAGAAAAAUGAAGAUCAUGAUGAUGCUUGUAGAUGAAUGAUUAUUCAUUUAGUUUGGAUUUUUUAUUGGAUGCUUUAUGAUGGAUGAAUGUGUGCAGCCGAGUGUGAGAGAGGGAGAGUACAACAUUUCUGUUUUAGUAGCCCAUCUUUGAGAGAGAAAAGACAGCCACAGAGAGCAGAAGAAGAAGAAAGUGCUCAUCUCUUUGGUUAGUAAUCACCCACCAAGGUAGUUGUUGUUGUAAUAGCUUUAAGCUUUGUAUAGAGAGGAAAUUAUUCAUUAUAUUUCUCUCUAUUUGUUUCUUUGGUGUGUGAGAGUGUUUGGACCCAAAUUUACACUAUCGGCCCGUGCAGUUAAGGCCGUUAGAUGAGUAAAGUUCUAGACCAUUUGAUGAUAAAGUGUUUGAGAUAAUUUUCAAUUAUUAUUAAGAAAUAAUAUUGUGAUUUUAAGCAUAAUAUUAUCUCUUAAUAUAUAUUAGAAUAUCUAAGCCUAAUAUUGGCUAUAUCCGGUUGGUUGUUUGAAGAUAAGUGAUGAGGCAAAUCAUAUUUCCAACUUAGAAGUACAGUUCGAAUGGGGUUUGGAUGUUUGGUAUGACUUACAUGGGAAUACAACUACGAAUGGAUUAGAUUGCAUUUUAAGUUAAUGCAUGUAUUGGAUAAAGGUGAAAUGGUGCAGCAGUGGCCAAUGAUUUACAAAUGGCAGAGAAGAAUCAAUCCAUCAGGAUCAGGAUCAUGUAUUGGAUAAAGGUGAUUUGAUGGUGAUCAGGGUCAGGGUCAGUUUGUGAUAAUGGCUGCAAUUGACAUGCAAAUGGAUAAGACAAACAUGAAAAAAGGAAGAUUUAUAUGGUCUCCACGUGGAAGUUUACUGCGAACAUAAGAAGAUUACUUGACACGGUAGUUUUAAAGGCAUGCAUUUUAGGAAUGUGUGGAAAAAGGUUAGUCCAUUGAUUCGGCUAGCAUUAAGGCAUCAUGUAUUAUUCUGCUAGUCAGAUUAUAUUGAAGUGCGUCAAAUCAGAAUUCACCCACUAUAAAUACAAAGUCGCAUGCAACAUUGAGACCAUCUUCAACACAACACACAAACUAUCCUGUGCAAACCCUCGCUCUACGAGAAACCUCUCAAAUAUCUUGAGAUUUUUUAUUUUCUUUUUCGCCAACACAUCUUCAGUUUGGAUAAACAACACUGUGAAGGCAACCGGUGAACAUCUUCAGUUUGGAUAAACAACACUGUUGCCGUAGAAUCAGCCGACCUUGGAGCACUUUCAGUUUGGAUAAACAGCACUGCGUCGAGGCGGACUGGUUAUCUAUCCAAGUCUCGGUUGAGAAGGAUUUUCGAAUCCUUAUUGGCAGAGGUCAUCUCAUUAGCCUUAUCAACGAGGUAAGGUGUUACAAGUUACUACAUUCGGCACAUUGAAAGCUGAAUUUGAUAUUGAACUUCGCAGAACUAGCAGCAUUGUCUUCAUGCUUUAGAACUCGAAGGCCGAGAUGUGUUCCUUCCUCGGUCGCAGUCGCAAGAUCAAGAAGUCAUUAGCGCACCUAACGCAACAUCAACAAAUUUUACUCCUCGACCGAUGAGUUGGCACGCCCGGUGGGAUCCAGUGCUAAAACUACGAAGUUCACAUGAUAGAUCAAGAUUUCAACCAGGUUCCGUUGGAGAUUUGGCGCUAAGUAAAGCAUUGCUACAAGAAGAAAGCAAAACUCCUUGAGAAGUUGUCUAGAAUAUGGGGGCAAUUUUCCGCUCCAGCAAUAAUCAAAAUUCGGCCUAGGAAAAUUGUCAAGACGGCCGAAGAAGAACCUAGGCCAUUUGUUUGUUCGGUCGAGACUGAAAGUGUGGUAGGCCUAAAAGGAAAAGUUCAAGUUUCUGAGCCAGAAAUUGACUCAGAAAAUGAUUCGUCAGAGGAGUGUUCCAAUGACGAACAAGACCGAUACACGGCCUCAAACCAUAAAAUCACAUCGAUUGAUAUGGUAAUUGAAGACAUAGGCCUAGCCGAAAAAAAUCACGCCAAUUGAUAUGAUUAUUGGUGAUAAAGCCGAUAUGGAGAAAUCUUGUUCGGCUAAGAUGUUCAAGUUAAAAGACGAAAUUGGAAAAAUUAUUAUGCCUGGGGGGCAUAAUAAUUGUUCAACACAUUCGGCGGCCGAUGAUAAAAAAUCUUUCGUCAAGCCGAACAUAUUUGCAGAUGAUCUUUUAUUCGGCUUUGGAAAAUCUCAAAGUGAAAACUUUGAUGUAAAAAGAUCCCGGCUUAGAAUAAAGCAUCGUUGGCCUCCUCCUGAUUACGAUUUAACCGUUUUCAAUUUCUUUAUCUAAAAAAAAAAGAAGAAUAAAUUAUUUUCUUAACCAUUCGGCCUUUCAAGCCGAUGCAUAAGAAAAUAAGGGGGGCAACAUUUGGGGCGGCAACCCAAAAAAUGGUGUGCUCGGCUUAGAAAGUUUUUUUUUUAAUACAUUAGCCAAGCCGAGGAAGGAUGUGUGCAGAAGGCCACCCGUUGUGGGAGCUCUUUUUGAGUCGAGUACCAGGCCAAAUUCACACUCGGUGGAGGUAUUUAAGGAUCAAAGAGAAUUGAGAGUUUGACAGCUGAGUUCAUCAAAUACACACACACACACACACACACAUAUAUAUAUAUAUAUAAUCACCUCAGUAUCUUCCAUCAAGAGUAAAUGACUAGGAUGGGCCAAUUUUUGCCGAGACCAUUCAAUGCAUGCAUGCAGUGUUUUGGGGGUACUUCCUGUUCAAUAAUCUCGGCAGAGAAAUUUUGGUGGUGUGUUCGUCGAGCUCAACAAUAUUUUCGGUCUGUACAUCUCGACCGAGAAAAUUAGGGAAGCUAAUCAACGACCACCACGUUUAUUCGGAAAAUAACAAGUGAGAAUGAGUAUAGGAGCUGCUUGGUAAUAUUUGAUAGUCAGUGCAGAAGAGAAAUAAAAAGGAGGAAUCUAGAAAAAAUAAGGGUGCAAACUGUAUGCUCGACAAUCCAAACUUUAGUCUUGCCAAGACUACAUAUUAUACAUAUAGAGUUUUGAUGUUGGACAUAAAUCAUGCAACAUUUGCCGAGUGGCCGAAUACAAUUCUUUGUCUAAAUAAAAGAAAUUUGGUGAGCUCGACGAGAAGCGUUGCAGGGCGUUUUGUUGGCCGAAGUUGGUUUGUCACGAUUUGGGCCUGGCUUAGCAGUAUCACAGUCAUGAUUGAUGACAAUGGGUUUAAUAUAUAUAUUUAUAUAUAGGCAGGCCGAGCUGCCAAGACAAAUGCUUCUCGACCUCGGUCCACUUUACCCUCGACCCUAAAUUUUUUUUUUGUGGCAGCCGAGAAGGACCACUGCGUUGGCAGAACAUACAUGUUAUUGUCAUGGAACAAAGUUUCUUUUUCGGCAAUACGACGAGAUCUUACUGACUCCAAACAAUUAAUUUCCUUAACCAUUCGGCUCACGAGCCGAAGCUCAAGAAAACUGGGGGCAAUGUUUGGACCCAAAUUUACACUAUCGGCCCCUGCAAUCAAGGUCGUUAGAUAAGUAAAGUUCUAGACCAUUGGAUGAUAAAGUGGUUGAGAUAAUUUUCAAUUAUUAUUAAGAAAUAAUAUUGUGAUUUUAAGCAUAAUAUUAUCUCUUAAUAUAUAUUAGAUUAUCUAAGCCUAAUAUUGGCUGUAUCCGGCUGAUUGUUUGAAGAUAAGUGAUGAGGCAAAUCAUAUUUCCAACUUAGAAGUACAGUUCGAAUGGGUUUGGGAUGUUUGGUAUGACUUACGCGGGAAUACAACUACGAAUGGAUUAGAUUGCAUUUUAAGUUAAUGCAUGUAUUUGAUAAAGGUGAAAUGGUGCAGCAGAGGCCAACGAUUUACAAAUGGUAGAGAAGAAUCAAUCAAUCCAUCAGGAUUAGGAUCAUGUAUUGGAUAAAGGUGAUUUGAUGGUGAUCAGGGUCAGGGUCAGUUUGUGAUAAUGGCUGCAAUUGAUUCGCAAAUGGAUAGGACAAACAUGAAAAAAGGGAGAUUUCUAUGGUCUCCACGUGGAAGUUUACUGCGUACAUAAGAAGAUUACUUGACACGGUAGUUUUAAAGGCAUGCAUUUUAGGAACGUGAGUAAAAAGGUUAGUCCAUUGAUUCGGCUAGCAUUAGGGCAUCAAGUAUUAUUUUGCUAGUCAGAUUCUAUUGAAGUGCGUCGAAUCAGAAUUCACCCACUAUAAAUAUAGAGUCGCAUGCAACAUUGAGACCAUCUCCAACACAACACAAAAACUGCCCUGUGCAAACCCUUGCUCUACGGGAAACCUUUCAAACAUCUUGAGAUUUUUUAAUUUCUUUUUCGCCAACACAUCUUCAGUUUGGAUAAACAACAUUGUGAAGGCAACCGACGAACAUCUUUAGUUUGGAUAAACAGUAUUGUUGCCGUAGAAUCAGCCUACCGCGGAGCACCUUCAGUUUGGACAAACAGCACUACGUCGAGGCGGACUGGUUAUCUAUCCAAGUCUCGGUCGAGAAGGAUUUUUGAAUCCUUUUUGGCAGAGGUCAUCUCAUUAGCCUUCUCGGCGAUUUGAGGUGAGGUGUUACAAGUUACUACAUUCGAUACAUUGAAAGCCGAAUUUGAUAUUGAACUUCGCAGAACUAGCAGCCUUGUCUUCAGACUCUAGAACCCGAAGGCUGAGACUUGUUCCUUCCUCGGCCGCAGUCGCAAGAUCAAGAAGUCAGCAGUGCACCCAACGCAACAUCAACAAAUUUUACUCCUCGACCGAGCUCGGCUGACGAGUUGGCACGCCCGCAUACAACCGAAGGACGUAGUUAGCUUACUAAUUACUCGGCCUGCGCGCCACGUAGGCUUGAUAGUUUUUAGGGUCAACAGAGAGCUAUUGGUUGUAUUGGGUUUUGGGUUGUGAACUUGCCAACACUUUGUAAACUCCCAUUUGGUUGAUAGUGAAUUAUUGGGUGAGCUCCUACUGCUCCGAGGACGUACUCCAUUUACACUAACUGUUGAAGAACCUCGUUAAAAUCUUGGUGUCCUUUAAUAUUUUGUUCUUGCAUUCAAUUUGAUAUAUUUCCUGUGGAUUAGCUUGAGUUGGUUCCAUAAGGUUUGGUGCUAUCCUAGCACAACACUUUGGUGGAACAUAACAUGUUAAGCAUAGUCGUUUGUGUAACGUUACUUGUCCAACGAAGAUAAAGAUGACAACGAGAAUCAAUGCAUCAUGAUCCAACCAAUUGGGCUCGUGUAGGACUCGAAUUCAAAAAAUUAUCGUUAUGUACGUCAUAAGUGAACAAAUUAACAUGACAUGAGCGUCAUAUUAAAAAAAAUAAUAAAUGAAUUUUUUAAGUCAUGUGAAGUGGGUGUGAUUUUGACAAAAGUAGGCACUGAUAACAAAAAGUCUCGUCCUUAUCCAGACUAAUGGCUACAUAGAACGUGUGGCUGUAAAUGUGAUUAGACACUGCAAAUGACAUAAAUUGUUCAUACAUGCAUAGCUCUUGACAAAAAGGAAACAAAAACCAUGGCUUCUUCUCUUCCAUUAUCAUCCAACACCAAGAUUGCCACUUACGCUAUCGCCCCUUCACUCCCUCAAAUCUUCCCAAACAAAUCCCAGAUCUCCUUAGUCAGAAAUCUUAGAGGUUCAUGUAAAGCAACAACAAUCAACAGUGACCAAAACCCUAAUCAUGAUCCGCAAACUUGUCUGGUAAAAUUGGAUAGGAGAAAUCUCCUCCUUGGUCUAGGAGGACUUGCCUUGGCUACUCAUAACAUAACAAGGCCAGCAAACGCGGCAGAGACGUCAAAGAAGGUAGUGAAUUGUCUUGAGAACAUAACGUCAAACAUUUGCCUCAACAUUUUUCAUGUUUCUCUAACCCAUGUUAAAUUGCGUAUUUAAUUUGUUGAAUCAUGUGUGAUUAAAAUUUAGCAAUUAUAUUCUGUAUCUUUUCAAUAGGUAGUUUUGGUGGAGAGUAGUGAUUUGCCAAUAGCUUUGGACUCUGUGGUGAGCGUGAUCGUGCCGCGGCCGAGGAGGUCGAGGAGCAAGAAGGACAAGGAGGAGGAAGAGGAGGUGUUGGCGAUUGAAGGGAUUGAGUUUGUGGCAGACAAGGUGCUCAAGUUCGACGUGCAUGUGAACGAUGAUGAGGACUCGCUGUGUCGACCUGACAAGUCUGAGUUUGCAGGGAGCUUGGUGUUUUUGCCACAGUCCAAGAAAAAGGUUAAAACCAGCCUGCAUCUUGGGAUUUCGGCCUUGUUGGAGGACUUGGGAGUUGACGAUGAUGGCAGUAUUAAGGUAACUUUGGUGCCAAGGAAUGUCCAGCGACCCGUCACCAUUGGUCGGAUCAAGAUCGACUAUUUUGCCUAGAUAAUUAGAAAAGAAGCUUGCUUAAUUUCAUGUAACAUAACAUUGUGUAAGAUGAUCAAGAUUCAAAAGACAACGGUAUACCUAUAAAUCAAUCAUCAGAUUCAGAAUUUCAGACCAAGUAACCAUGCCGGCUGCCGACUAAACUACCUGCUCUCCUCCACUUGAUCUUGUACUAGUACUAGUAGUAUUGCCAAAGAUUCCACUCUUAAAUAAUUUGUCCCCAUGAAAGUUGUACCUUUUCUCUUCAACAUAUCUUCUGCUGCGGUUUGGUUGUUGUCCACUUUCGUGUCUUCGUCAUUGGCUUUCCUCUUCUUACCUGCUUCCGCCACAUGAUUUGAAGUACUAGAGCCCGAUUUAUGUCUAGUAACUGGUGUCGGCCACCAUGGGAGCGCAAAUGGGAAGACAGCCGUCGCGGAGUUAUUAACUGGAGCAUAAUUAACCGGAGUGACCUAGUAGUCGUACCUUUCUUGCACGAAUGUUGCACAUGACAUUGUGUUCAUUGAGUUCUAGAUAUAAGAUAUCUUCACUAUUUGGGUCGAAAGCAAGCACCCCUAUUGUGUUGAUCAAUGCAUUUCGCAUAACCAUUCUGGAUACGAAACCGUGCCUACCAAACACCAUUUGCCUGCAGAGUUGUCAACCUGAUCAUCAUCUAUCAACUCCCAAACACUCAAAUCAUUCACUCGAUUAUGAGCUAACUGGCACUUUCGCAGACACGUACCUCCUCUAGCUCUGUUACACACACCUGGGAAUUCAAAUCUUGUAGUGACAGUGACCAGAUCAUCUUUAGGCAUAUCAAUGAAGCGACAAUUAAUAUUAGUAUGACCAGAGCUAUUACUUGUGGAGCUUGUUGUGUUAUUAUUAAUGGAGUUGGGAUGCAACCCAAUUAUAAGUGACCCCUUCUUCGAGAGUCAAGCUAUCGAAACAAAAGCUUCGUGGGCUUAAUACAACAGUAGUUGUCCAUUUACGAGUCUCAGAAGAGAAGAAACUGGAAGGAUGAGUCUUUUGCAAGUUUAGAAAAAAAAAUCCACACUACCUUCUACCUAUACUCAACAUUGAGCUGGAAUAAUGUUUUACAACCGGUUCUACCACAACUUUCUUCUUUUCUUCGGUCGUCAUCUUCCUUGCAUCCGUUAUAGUAGGGUUCACAGAUGAAUCCUACUUGUAUGUCCUCGUGACACUGAGGAGGGGGAGGAAGAGCAUCCCACUGUUUAGUGUAUGGAUUGCAAAUGUAGUAAUUACAUUAACGAUACAUGGUUGCCCAACAUAAAACUAAGCAGUAUAUAAAUACUACCACAAUUGGUUCAUACUCUUGUGACUUGACAGGACCUUGAUGAUAACGAAGGAAGCUCAAAAAGAAGUUCCAUGCUUCGGGCGCCAGAGGCUGCUCGGACAAGGAAAAGAAUUUCUUCGUGUUCGUUGGAUCAAUGAACACUAAAGUAGCAAGCGGAAUUGGAUGUUCGUUAUCACUUUGAGACGUAGAAAGCGUUCAAUAAAAUAAAGAUUAGAAACGAAACUGAACCAGCGUUUCAUGGCAAAAUGAAGAUCGAUUGAGCUGCAGAUUUACUGCGUAGAGGUUUUGGGAGUUAGACGGGCAUAUUUCUUGCGUUAUAAACUUAAUUUAUAUAUACAUACAGUGCAGAAUAUAGGUUGCCCAUUUUCAUCUUUAAGCAGGUUCACCUUUUCUUUUGGUGGCGGUAUUUCAAACUACUAACGCAUUUAUUUGUGUCUUAAAUUUCUUAUAUGACCGUCUAUUAUUAAUUUAAGAUACCGUUAUAUACUAAGUAAUUUUUGGUUCCUUUUCUACCAACUAGUCAAACAUUUUACAAACAGUUGGUGGGCUAAAAAAAUUAAGUAUUAAAACCAAGCUUUCCGCCAUGGCUCCCAUCUCUCGAGCCCACUCCCUUAUUUCCUUCCUCUAAAUCACAAUACUCCCUACACCCUAGGGGGCUUUCUGGUUGUCGUCCCCUUGUCCCAAAAGUUCGCCUCCGGCGUACAAAAAUCUCAAUCCCCCCUUUGCAUAAGGGUCAUCAAAUUAAUCAUAUUAUUAGCUUACAGCGAUUCAAAAGAGAAAUUUGAGUACAAAAGAGACGUUAAGGGAUCGUUUGAUAACCAUUUCGUUUUUUGUUUUCAGCUUUCAUUUUUUUGAAAAUUGAAAUCUUGUUUGGUAACUGCUUUUAGUUUUUCAGUUUAAAAUAAUAAUAAAAAGUGAAAACUCAAGGCCAAUAUUUGAAAAUUGAAGUCAUAUUUGAAAAUAAUUAUCAAAUAUGACUUCAAUUUUCAAUUUGAAAAUAAGUGAAAAUUAAAAUUGAAAAUAAAAUAGUUAUCAAACAGCCUUUAAGAAACAAUAUCUACGUACAUGACGACGAAGACGGGCUAAGUCGACCCGAGAAGGCCGAGUUCGCUGGGAACUUCGUGUAUUUACCGCAUAAGCAGAAGAAGGUGACAACAAGCCUCCAACUAACAGAGUAACGGACUUGUUGGGGGACUUGGUGAUAACGGUGACGACAGUUUUAAGGUUCCUUGGCACCUAAGCUUGGUACCUGAGUACGUCAAACGGCCCGUUACCAUCCGUCUGAUCAAGGUCGAGUUGCUGAACUAGGAGUGCGUAGAUGGAUAUUUCGGGUGUGCUGAGAUGAUUUCACGUGCAAAAUAAUGUAGUCACAAACAACCCACUUAAAUUAAGUUUUCUUAUGUUUAUGACGUAUUUAAUUAGUUUCUUGCUUGUUGUUUGUUUUUGUUGUAUUUUCUCUUUAUAAUAUGUUCUGUAAUUCUCUCCAGAUUAACAAUAAAUAUCAGAAAUGAAAUUGAUAUUAAAAAAUAAAAAUUGUUAUUUCUCACCCUCCAAAAUAUCAUUUACUUCCAUAAAAAAAAGAAAAUCAUGUGCUACAGAAGAUUUCAUUCUUCCGCAGGCUCAGCCCAACGUGUUUAUCAUAGCAGAUUGGGCUAGCCCAGUAAUUUGGGUCAAACGGGCCUGACCCAGAUCACCAUUUUUUUUUUAUUUAAUCAAUGGAGAUCACCAAUUUGAUCAUUGCAUGGAGUGGUGGUGUACAAUUUGGAUAGGUUCGACCCAAACUCAGAUUCAGAUUUCAAUCCAGCAGGGGCAGGAUAAGGCUUAAAACACUUUACGCCGAGAGAUGAUUGGUUUGGAGUCAGUUUUAUAAUUGAUUAGGAGGUUUUUUUUAUUUUUUAUUUUUUUAACUAAAAUGAUUCCCGAGAUUAGCAUAACUCCUCACUUUGAUUCUGGGAUUUGAAAUCGAUAGAAGUGGUCUUGAGUUUGUAAAUUAUUUUGGCUCUUAUGUGAAAAUUCUCCAUUAAAUAAGGAUAAAAUGAUUAAAAUAUCCUCAUUUUUUGUCAAAUCAUUUUGGUCCACUGUUUAUCAAAUUGAGGAUAUUUUCGUCAUCUUGGUCCUUAUCUAACAGAAUUUUUCAUGGAAUGAUAAAAUGAUUGAUAGUGAACAAACUUAAGGAUCACUUCUAUUGAUUUCAAAAUUCAGGAACCAAAGUGAGGAAGCCUAUCUCAACUAGCAUUUGCCUACACAUUUUGUGUGUAUGUACACAAGCCUAUCUCAACUAGCAUUUGCCUACACAUUUUGUGUGUAUGUACACAUUUUUUUUUUAGAAAAUGAGGAGAGGGAGAGAGAGAGAGAGAGAGAGAGAGAGAGAGAGAGAGAGAGAAGGUGAGGGGGGGAGUGGGAGGUUUUUGUUUGUUUUUUUAAAUAUUGAAGGUAUUUUAACAUCAUAUGUAGGUGAGGUUUCAAUAAAAAACAGUAAAAUUUGGACCUGUGAAAUUAUAUUAUUACCCAUCAUUUUUUUGUGUGAUAAAAGAUUAAAUUGUCUUUUCACCAUUUUUUAUUGACAAAGAGAGUUUCAUUAAUUAGUAGAGAUAACCAUUUUUUUUUCCAAAUUACACAAGAUUGUUUUCACAUUCAAUAACCACCAUUAUCUAAUGACUUGAAAUUGCAGGACUCGCCCCCAAAAUAUCCUCGAACUAUUUUCUGUGGUUUGGUUAGUGGGUUUGGAGGAUGAGUCAUGCUCUGAUUGCUAACAAUUGACGAUACAAUCAUCCUAACAAAGGGUAUAAAUUUGAAAAUUUUCUAACAGUGGGGUGCAACGUGCAAAAAUUGAAACUUCAUGACUCAUUGUAAAUUGACUUCAAACAUUGAUAGUGUAAAAUAUAUUUAGCCCAACAAAUAAGUCGGUGUUAAACCAUGAAUGCUCGCUACACUAAGAAAGCUACACUAAGAAAGGGGGGAGAGUUUGGACUCAAGCACAGUAAAUUAAAAGGGAGACUCUAACCACCAAUUUGUGGUACAUGGUUUAAAGAACAAUAUCGAUAAUUCAUACAUAAUUAACACAAAUCUAUAUGUGGAAAUAAAAUCGUCUUAAAUUUUGUCGAUGUGACAGAUUUCUAACCCAAACCGUCCCAUUGUGGUUUUAUUUUACUCUGUUGUGCUGGUUCUAUAUAUGAUAUCUUAUUAUAAGAUGACACACAAUGGUUGAUGGUUCAUUGAUCAAUUUGAAGUAGCUGUGCAAUUUAUGUUUUACUUUUUUUAUUUUUUUGUCAAAAGAUAAAUUUGUUAAAUUAGAUGUCAGAUUAGGGAGCAGGGUUCGAAUUCAUGCCGUAGUGCAAGGGCAACACUCAUCUCCACCAAUGUGAUAGAGGGCCCAAUUUAAUUUGAUAGAAGACUUGAGAUCCUCAUCAGCCAUAUAGGGUUAGGGAAUAAACAUUACUUGCGAUACUAAAGCUAUAAACAUUACUUGUUUGUCUAAAUAUAAAUUUUACAAAAAGCUAGUGCCGGAUUAUUGUUGCUAAUUUUGAUCCUCGUCUUACACAAGCAGUAAUCUGUUGAAUUCAUGAUUCAUAUAGGUUGAACAAAGGAAAAAAGCAGCACUGCCGGAGCAUGUCAAGAGGGACCUUCAUCGUUGGAAAGUUCAUUGCAAGAUGUUGCAUCACGAUCGAUAUAGUUUCAUGGAUCUCUGGCCCUGCUCUUCAAAGGACUGGGAUCAUUUAGCCCGGCAAGAGGUACCUUUAGUGAAAAUGUUAUGCUAGUAUGUCCAUUUCCACCAUGAACAUCUUUGUCAUCAGCCUUUUCCUUUUUCGUAGUAUGCACACAUGCCCCGUACUACCAUCUAUUCAAAAAGCUGAUGUCUAAGAGAUUAUAUUUAUUUAUUUAUUUAUUUUACAUUUUCUUCAUGCUACCGAAAACACUAAAAUCAUAAGAACGAAAUAUGUAAAGGGGACGGUGUAAUUUAAUGUUGAAUCGGUAUUCAUUCACCAUACAAAAUGGAAUAGUACUAGCUUAUGUGUAGAGUAAACCCCUGGACGCUAGUAAGCUCUAGCCCUCUGCAUGGACAAGGGAAUUAUUAAGCUUAUUGUGGAAAUGCAUUCUGCGGCUGCUGUUACUUUGCUGCAGCUGGAUGCAGCUCAUAAGUUUCACCCUCUUGCCUUUCUUUUGAUCAGUUGCCAUAAGAUUUCCUGCUUUGAGAUCAAACAUUUUUUUGUUGUGAAUAUCGCGUAAAGAAAUGAACCAUUUGAAAAAUUUGCAAUUGAGAAAGAACAGUUUUCUUCAUCCUUGAAUUGAAGUCAAAUUAGUUUGCAUUGGUCUGUCUUUCUUGUGAAUAUAAUUUGACUAUUUCUGCCAUAAUGAAGUUAUCCAAUUUCAUUGGAGUUGGCACAUUAACGCUUUUGUCAAAUCAAACCCCUAAGUUUGGUCUUUUUAAGAUGAGUAAACUGCCGAUUUGCCCCCUGAACUAUCACCCAACUUUCGAUUUGCCCCCUGAACUUUUUAAUUGGAAAAUUAAGGACUUAAACUAAUUUUUUUGGCCGAUUUGCCCCCUGCUGUUAAUUUUUCAUUCAUUCCAUCAAAAUUUCUGUUAAAUGGAAGCAUAUGCACAACAUGUGUAGGUAGUUCGGUCGUUUCAUUCUUUAAAAUAAUUGAAAAUCUUAGAUUUCUAAAAUAUAAACCUAUGCAAAUAUGUGUGAUUCUAUAGCUUUUUUGUCUGAAUGUCUAGUGAAAUGACGCUUUUGUCCACAAAUGAGAGUUACGUGGUUUGCACACGAUAAGAGUUAACGUUAAUUUGGAUGAAAUCUAUGAAAAACUAAUGGUAGGGGGGAAAUCGGCCAAAAAAAAUAGUUUAAGUCCUUAAUUUUCCAAUCAAAAAGUUCAGGGGGCAAAUCGAAAGUUGGGUGAUAGUUCAGGGGGCAAAUCGGCAGUUUACUCUUUUAAGAUCUCCAUACCCUCGUUUUCCCUCAAAAGUCUAAUCUAGCAUAUGCACCAAGUGGAAAAAAUUUAUCUUUACAAUCUACCUAAAUCUAAUAAAAAUAUCAGAAGAAUGAAUUUAGGUCGUUGUAUUUCUGAGUCAGCAGAGAGAGGGCAAAUAGUCUUUAAACAUGGAGAGGUGGCAAAAGAGAGAGAUCAAGGAAAGAUUUUUUAGUGUGUCAGGAACACAAUCAUAUAUGUUAGACAUCAUCAUACAAAUAGAGGAUAUAAUAAUAUAUAAUGUACUGCCACAUAUUCUGAACAUAUUAAAAAAUCUCUCGAAAUCAAGGACAGUUGCGUCGUGUGAGGGGCAGGCAAUGUUGAGCCCCUCUUGACAAAUUAUUACAUCCGGAGGGUCCCGUUUUGUGCCUUUUUUUUUCCUCUUAGCAAACCCACAUGCUGCCCAUCUGCAUUAUUAAUAAAAAAAAACCUCACAACUACGUCGUCCCUUGGAUUGCCAAUUGCAAUUGGGGAUCGAUCAUCGAUCUCUCUAUAUAUGCCUUGAAAGUGCCUAUCUGCAUUAUUAAAAAAAAUAAAAACUUCUCGAGAUUACAUGAGAUACCACUUUACUUUACUCAUCCACCUCACUCUCUCUUUCCCUUUUCACGUUUUUUGAUAGGCAUCGAUCACACCUCGAUCAAUGAUGGGAAACUGGCAUCGAGAAUUCCACUUGUGUGGAAAUACGGUGACUCAAUCAGCCAUUAUAUAAAGAGGACACUUGAUCUUCAUUUCUGCACACAUGCAUGUAGCUGAAAAAACCUAAUUGAUAAAGCCAUGGCUUCAUUUCUUCCACUUGCACCCGCCACUACGCUUAUUAACCGCCCUUCUUCCAUUCGUUCUAAUACUUCAACUUCCCUUAGUUGUUUCCCUAGACCUUUGUUCUCAAUACAUCGUUCAUUUGAAAAAGGUAAGCAUGGAUCUCCAUGCAAAGCAAGAAAGAGCGAUGAUGAACAGGGUAUUAACCAAGACGAUGGAAAACUGGACAGGAGAAACAUGCUGAUUGGUCUUGGAGCUGGAGGUCUGUACGGGGCAACCAGUCUUGGCCUUGGGACCAACCCAUUCGCCACCGCUGUUCCGAUUCCCGCUCCUGACCUAAAAACUUGCGUCCGGACCACCGAAGAUAUGAAAGGACUUAAUUGUUGUCCACCGUCAACCGAAAUCAUCAAUUUCGAGCUACCCGAAGUCAAAACACUCCGCACCAGGCCAGCGGCACAUACAGUCGAUCAAAAGUAUAUAGAAAACUACAAAACGGCCAUCGAGCUGAUGAAGAACCUCCCCGAGGACGACCCACGUAACUUCUGGAACCAAGCUCAAGUCCACUGUGCCUACUGUGAGGGUGCAUAUUACUAUGCUAGCAAUGAUUGUGAUGGCACCAAGGAAGAAAUACAAGUUCACUCCUCGUGGCUCUUUUACCCCUUCCAUCGCUGGUACCUCUACUUUUAUGAGAGAAUCCUUGCCAAACUCAUUAAGGACCCAAAUUUUGCUCUGCCCUUCUGGAACUGGGACGGUAAAGACGGCAUGUACUUGCCUCCUAUUUUCGAGGAGGGCCGCAGUAGUUCCCCACUCUUCGACCACUACCGAAACGCCAAGCACCGGAAGAAGAAAUUUGUGUUGGACCUCAACUACAAUUGCACCGACUCCGGCAAAACAGAUGAAGAAAUUAAAGAGGAUAACCUCUGUACUAUGCACCGGCAGAUGUACUCUGCUUCUACUGGUAAGGAUUUGCGUCUUUUCUUUGGCCACCCUUACAGGAAAGGCGACAAACCUAGCCCCGGUGCAGGAAACAUUGAGCGUAUUCCCCACAACAAUGUCCACAUCUGGACUGGCGACCCCGAUUGGGUUAGAGAGGACAUGGGAAACCUUUACUCUGCUGCUAGAGAUCCCAUCUUUUUCGCGCACCAUGCCAACGUAGACCGCAUGUGGUACUUGUGGAAAAAAGAAUUACACUGCAAGGACAUCUCCCAAGAUGACUGGCUGAAAGCCGAGUUUCUAUUCUACAACGAGAACAAGCAACUCGUCCGAGUUAACGUCGAACAAUCUCUCGACACGGACAAGCUCGGGUACAAGUACGAUGAUGAUGUUGAUAUCGAGUGGAUGAGCAAUAAGUACAAGCCAAAAGCUCGUAAGUCAUUAAACAAGGCAAAGCCAAACGUCUCUAGGUUCCCGGUGAAAUUGGACUCCAAGGCAAGUGUUAAAGUGCAGAGAGCAUCUUUGAAGCGGCCCGCGAACGAGAAGGCAGAACGAGCAGAGGUGUUGUUGAUCGAAGGGAUUGAGUUCCCUGGUAACCAGGCUGUGAAGUUUGAUGUGUAUGUCAAUGACGAUGCAGACACGGAGAGCGGGCCUUGCAACUCUGAGUUUGCUGGCAGCUUUGUUCACGUCCCACACAGGCACAGCCACACUAUUAAGACCAAUAUGACAUUAGGGAUUACGGAUCUGUUGCAGGACUUGGAAGCUGAAGAUGACAGCCACGUGGUUGUGACUUUGGUGCCAAGGUAUGGGAAGGGGCCUAUCACCAUUGGUGAUGUCAAGAUUGAGCUCUGAUUCUUUUCUCGGCCUUCUCGAUCCACUGGAUCUGUUUCCAUGCAUGCUUUCUACGUAUCCUAGCUACCCCUUUCUUGCUGCCAGUGCUAAUAAAUUGCAUGCAUGCUUUGAUCAGAGCACUGCGAUGUUUCUGCUGCCUUUCAUUUCCAUCCUUCAUUACUUUCACUUCUUGUUUGUGUCAAGUUCUUGUGUAUGUGUAAUGCAUGCGUCGAUCAAGACCACGUACGCAUGUACCACAGUGCAUGCUUCCGUGGGAGAUCAUUUAUGUUGGUUGUUGCUAAAUAAACCUUAUGUUCAGUGUGUUUAAGUUGCUUUAAUUUGCUUUUUGUUCUCUCUCUCUUUUUCCUAAAGGCGAUUCAUAUAUACUGCAGUGGCGAAGCCAGGAAUUCUCGGGAGGAGGGGCAAACUUAUAUGCGUGCAAGGUUAAAGAAAAAUGGCAACAACCAAAUCUUUUUAUAUAGAAAUGUCUUAUAUAAUUAAUCAAUACAAAUAAAUUACAGUUGUUGUCGGCGAAGUUUCAUGUUAUGAAAACGUCACAUAAUAGGAUCAUUAUCAGUAAAAGCAAAUACAUCUCUCUCAAAGUAACAAUCAUGUUAUCACUCAACUAUUGACUCUCAUUUUGUUACGCAAUGAUGUUUUCACAAUCUUCAUAGUAGAAAAAACUCUUUUCACCGAAACGGUUGCAACCGGUAACACUAAAGUUAAUGUAAGAAACUUAUACAUUAACAUGUAGCUUUCACACCUCCUGGUUCAUUUUGUGAGAUUUAGGUUAACAAAGUUCAUUUUAGAGUUACUACCUACGAAUUGCUUCGCGAUAAUUGGAGAAGGAUUUAAGCACUGUUUCUUAUAGUAUCGUUCCAUUACAUAACUGUAUAACAAAAGAAAAAAAUAUAUCUUAGACUCUUAAUCCUAGAGUAGACUAUAGGGUAAUAUCUAAUCAAAUCACAAAUUAAUUAAUCAAUACUAACAAUCAUAUGAAUAAUCAAGAAUUCAAUUUUUAUUCUAAACCACAAUUAAAAAUUGAGUAAGUUGAUUAGGGUUUAUAGCGGUUACUGCAAUCAAUUUUUAUUACUAGACCACGUGUGAUUCAACUUCAUAUAAUAUAUAUAAUGUAUGAAUCCUCUUUUAUGUACUUCAAAAAAAAAAUAAAAAAAAAAUCAAUAAUCAUAGUAUUUAUAUGAAUAAUCUAUAAUCGAUAACCAUAAAUUUAAAAAAAAAAAUUAAAAAUUAACCUCACUUGGAGCGGCUGGCAUGGCGUCUGGAGCUUGGUGGGCAACGGAACAGGACUUUCUUAUGUUCAAUCUCGGGAUUUGAGUCAAUUUUGAAAAUUGAAAUAUGGGAAUAAAGGUGGGGGGAUGGGAUUUGUAAUUUAUGGGCAAGAGUGGGGGUAAUAAUUGAAACGGGUGGGAGGAUUGGGAUGGGUACCAGUGGCUCUUUAAAAAAAAAUUUAUUUGAUUAAUGCAAAACGACGUCGUUUACCAAACCAAAAUUAAAAAUUAAAAAAAGAACCUGCAAGCUCACAGUUCCCAGAUUCGAACCAUGAACCACCGUGGUUCCCAGAUUCCGGCCGAACCAAAGGGGUUCAAGCCUCGCUCCUGCCUUUGUUUUCCGGCGAGCGGAGGGGCGGCCGCCCCCCUUCGCUCCUAUGUAGCUUCGCCAUAAUAUACUCCAACUGCAUUUGAUUCGGUGAAUGUCUCAUUACAUGUCUUUUACAUUUUUGAUAAAUUUUUUUAUAGAGGGAUGGCCCGGAUGGGCAAUUAAUGAUAUUAUAUAUGAUCAAUCGAACGAAAACUAAUUAAAUUCAAGACGUAAACCUAAAACUUAAGUGUAAAUGAAUACACACGUGCUAAAGGAUUUUGGUGCUUGUAGACGAGAUGAAGACCUAGUUUGGGAGUGAGGUGCUUAAAAAAAAAACACCCAUGAAAAAAAGCUGUGAGGGUUUUAGGUGUUUGGUAAACUGAAAAAAAAGGGCUUAUUUUAGAAGCUGCUGUGAGAAUAAGCUGAAAUCAAAGGAAAAAGCUGAAGCUGCUAUUUGUAGCUUUGGAAAACUGGCUUUUUUUCAAAGCACACGGAGCUACAGUGCUUCUUUAAUGAAAAGACCCACUAUCAGACUGCUUUUUUUUUCCAAAAGCACUUUUACAAAAAAGUUUACCAAACACUCAGCUGAUUUAUUUCACAGCCGCUUAUUCUCACAGCACAGCCGCUUAUUCUCACAGCAGCUUUUUUUCAAAGCACAGCAAUACCAAACCAGCCCGAACUUAUAUAUGGUGGCUGGUUAACUGACAUAAUGUAUAUGACACAUAUUUGAUCACAUAAGUAUAGACACCAACAUAGAAGAUGAAGAUGGAUUAGGAAGUGAAGAACUUACCAAGAGAGGCUGCUGAGAGGCCGUGGAAAAAUUGGUUGAGACCUUUAUGAACUGGUUGGUUUAACAAGCACGUGAUAAACAAUGAAAUAAAACUAGGUCAGUAACUAUUGAAUUAAUAGAACAGAAAGAAGAAGAUUUUGUGAAGGAGUUGUAGACAUGUAAAUUUCAGUGAAAUAAAUGUUCACCAAUAAAUUAAAUUUUGAUCCACUAGAGCUUAAGACGCGCACACCAUGGGCUCCACAAAUUGCUCACAUUGCAGGUGAUUCAUCAAAACUGGAUGAAUUAAUAAGAGUGACACGUGUCAGCAUCUGAAACCUCCGUCAAACAAAUCAAAUCAAGUGCAAAAGAUAACAAAUUAACCCUAUAUAAUAUGAUCAAAUUAUAUCAAUUGGGGUUUAAUUUCCUAAAUAAAAAAUUAUGAGCUAAAUUAAAUAAUUUGCUCAAAUUAAAGCACAUCAGAAAAUCAAUCCCACAACUCACAGGAUUCAAAUUGAGUGUUCUAAACGAAAACUCAAUCCCUUGCCUAUAAAUACUAGGCUCAUUUUCAAAACACAAACUUCAGAGAAAUGAAGCAAUUCCAAGCCUUUGGAGAAACUUUGACAAAAAAAAAAAAAAAAGCCUUUGGAGAAAACCAUAAAGCUCUUUUGCCAAAGCAAACACCAAACAUUCUUGUUCUUCAUCAAUCUCAUGGAGGAUUAACAAGCACAAGAAAUACACGUGCCAGUUCCUCCACCAAAGCCGAAGAUCACAACCACACUACUCGUGGUCCCAAUUUGUUCAAGAUCAAGUCUCUACAACUUUUGACCAAAUCACAUCUGGUUCAAGAGUAGUGCUCGCCACCCUUAGAUCAAACUCAAUAUUGGAGAUCGAAUAAGAGAAAAUUCUUUUCUUGUAAAGAAUAUUCCCUAAACAUUCAUUUAAUACAAGUAUUACUUUGUAAACGUGUUCUUGUUUUAUUUGUUGAAAAAAAAAUCAUGUUUAUAGGAGUAUAAAUCCCAAUUCAGAGAGGAUUUCAGAGCAAAAAAUGAUACGGCCAACAAGAGGUUUAAUAAGCACCAUUAAUCCUAGAAAUAAGUAAAACUAAGGAAUUGUAUUGAUAAGAAGAGCUAUAGUAUUAACCCGCCUGCGACGACCAUCGGUCAUUCUGGCCAACGAUUAACCGUUUGAUUCAUAUCUCUCAAUUUUUUUUUCUCCUCCCCUAUCUGCCUCUUCCUCUCUCUUUAAACAUUUACCUUCCACAGGUUUCGAUCCAUCUCAUUUUUCCCAGAUCUUGGAUGCAAGAACACAAGGCCUAGAUUUUCCAUACAAUAACAUCCAUAUCUGGUGCGGUGACCCGAACCAUACCAACCAGGAGGACAUGGGCAACUUCUACUUAACUGGUCGGGAUCCCCUGUUUUACGCCCACCAUUGUAACGUGGACCGGAUGUGGAACAUUUGGAAAACCCUCGGGGGCAAGCGUAAGGACCCAACCGACACCGAUUGGCUCGACGCUGAGUUUCUUUUCUACGACAAAAACGCGGAGAUUGUGAGCUGUAAGGUCCGGGACAGCAUCCAUCCUGAGAAAGAUCUUCGUUAAACCUACGAGCCUGUUAAUGUUCCAUGGCUGUUCACGAAGCCAACCGCUUGUAAGCCGAAGACCAAGACCAAAGCCAAGGUGGCGGCUACUGAGCUGACAACCAAGUUCCCAGCAACGUUUGACUCAAAGACGACGGUGGAGGUAGCGAGGCCAAAGCUGAAGAAGAGUGUUGAGCUAGGAUAGCACCAAACCCGUUGGAACCAACUCAAGCUAACCCACAGGAAAUUUAUCAAAUGAAAAAGCAAGAGCAAAAUAUUAAAGACACCAAGAUUUUAACGAGAUUCCUCAACAGUCAGUGUAACUGGAGUACGUCCUUGGAGCAGUAGGAGCUCACCCAAGAAUCCACUAUCAACCAAAUGAGAGUUUAAGUGUUGGCAAUCUCACAACCCAAAACCCCAAUACACCCAAUAACUCUCACUCACCAAAGAAACAAAUAGAGAGGGAAAUAUAGUGAAUAAUUUCCUCUCUAUACAAAGCUCAAAGCUAAUACACAAAUACAACUUUGAUUGAGUGAGUACCAACAAAGAAAGAAAAUCACCUUUCUUUCUUCUCUUCAAAAUGGGGCUGUAGCACCUCUGUUUUCUUCUCUGUUUUUCUGGUGCACUCUAUCACUACAAUCAGAAAAUGCUCUCUAUUUUCUGCACCUUCUACAACUCCCCUUCCGUUUCUCUUAUUUCCAAAGGCUAAAUAAAAAAUUAAUUUUCUCCAACAUCAUCAUUUGUCAUCAUCACAAAGCAAGGAACAACAUCAUGAUGUUUCCCUUUUUUUUCUUUUUAACAAACAUAAUCAUUUGUCUUUUUCUUUCUUUUGCUUUGUUUAAUAGCUAAAAGGUGAUGUUGAGUUGCCACUUGGCCACAAUUCAACAAUCUCCACCUUGGCCAAGUUCCGAAAACGCCAUGAUAAGCCAACCAACACAAUUGAUUCAAAAAAUCACUCUCAAACACUAGCAAGAGAACAACUCAUGCCGAGCCAAAUGCUCCAAAAACUCCUACUGCUCAAUGCCUUCUUUAUAUAGGCAAAAUGUGAGCCAAGUUCAAGCAAUGAACAAACUUGGCGACACCAACAACCUUAGUCAACAUAUCAGCGGGGUUGUCUUUAGUUGGAAUUUUCUGGAGAAUGAUUUCCCCUUCACCAACAAUUUCACGAACAAAGUGAUAACGCACAUCUAUGUGCUUGGUCCUCGCAUGAUGAACCUGAUACUUAGCCAAAUAAAUGGCACUCUGACUAUCACAAUGUACCUCCACCUGCUUCUGAUCAACCCCCAAAUCUCUAAUCAGCCCAUGUAUCCACAUGGCCUUCUUUAUAGCUUCAGCAACUGCCAUAUAUUUAGCCUCUGUAGUAGACAAGGCAACAGACUGCAAAAUGAACCUCCAACAAACUGGCUCUUUAGCCAUAGUAAACACAUAGCCUGUAGUAGACUUCCUUCCAUCCAGAUCACCUGCAUAAUCUGAAUCAACAUAACCAACUGCAAAAUGACCAAUACCAGAGUCAUCAUUCUCAAAGCAUAAACCAACAUCUCGAGUACCAUGGAGAUAUCUCAAUAUCCACUUAGCUGCUUGCCAAUGCUCUUUACCUGGAUUAUGCAUAUAUCGACUCACCAUGCCAACUGCAUGAGCAAUAUCCGGUCUAGAGCAUACCAUUGCAUACAUCAAACUACCAACCAAAUUUGCAUAUGGUAUAUUUUUCAUUUGCAGCUUCUCUUUAUCAGUUUUAGGACACUGUAGAGAACUCAAUUUAAAAUGAGGAGCUAAAGGGGUACUAACCGGUUUGGUUGAAUCAUGAACUCCAAACUUCCGAAUCAACUUCUCAAUGUAUUGUUUUUUAUUCAAACUGACCAAACCCUUCUCUCUAUCUCUAGUGAUCUCUAUGCCAAGGAUCUUAUUCGCUUCACCAAGAUCCUUAAUCUCAAACUCAUUCUUCAUUUGCUUCUUCAAUUUUUCAAUCUCUUCAACAUUCUUUGAGGCAAUCAACAUAUCACCAACAUAUAUCAACAAAUAAAUGAAAGACCCAUCUUGCAACUUUUUGAAGUACACACAAUGAUCAUAUUGACUUCUAGAAUAAUUUUGACCUCUCAUAAAUUUAUCAAACCUCAAAUACCAUUGUCUUGGAGAUCGCUUCAAGCCAUAAAGUGAUUUCUUCAAUUUGCAAAACAAAUUCUCCUUCCCUUUCACUAUAUACCCAUCCGGUUGACACAUAUAAAUCUCUUCAUUCAAAUCAUCAUGUAGGAAAGUCGUUUUCACAUCAAGUUGCACAAGCUCAAGAUCAUACUGUGCAACAAGAGCUAACAUAAUGCGAAUUGAGGAGUGUUUCACAACCGGAGAAAAGAUUUCAUUGUAGUCAAUGCCCUCCUUUUGUGCAUACCCUUUAACAACUAAUCUUGCUUUGAAUCUCACAUUGCUUUUCUCAUCAGCAUCUUCCUUCUUGGCAUACACUCAUUUGCAACCGAUAUCUUUCUUGCCCUUAGGCAAUUUAGCUAACUCCCAAGUCUUGUUCUUCAAGAGAGAAUUCAUCUCAUCACCCAUGGCAUUGCACCACCUCUCAUUUUCUUCACUCUCAAUAGCUUCCUCAAAAUUGGAUGGAAUCUCAUCAGUGAUAAUAGGAAGAGCAAAAGAAACAUAGUCACUAUACCGAGCUGGCUUGGUAAUUUGUCUCUUUCCUCUGUUCUUGGCAAUAGACUCUUGAGGUGAAACUUCCUCUUCAACUUGAAUAGAAUCUUCAAGUUCAACUUCUUCAACAUCCUCAUGGUCUUCAACUUCUUCACUUGUAGUGGCUUCGACAUCAGCGGAAAUAGGAUUUGAAGUACCAGAGGCAACUUUCUCAAGCUCCACCUGUUGGACAUCUUUCACAUUCUUCUCAGAGACUUUGAACAUACUUUCUUCAUCAAAUGUCACAUCUCUGCUGAUUACAAGUUUUUUCAUCUCUGGGCACCACAACCUGUAACCUUUGACACCACUACUAAAACCAAGAAAGAUAGCCUUUUUGGCUAUAGGAUCAAGUUUAUUUUCAGUCACAUGAAAAUAAGCAGGUGAACCAAAAAUACGGAUAUAGUCAUAAUCAGAAGAAGGUUUUCCAAUCCAUACCUCCAUUGGUGUCUUACCCUGAACAGCAGCUGAGGGUAACCGGUUGAUGAUGUGACAUGCAUAAUUAACUGCUUCUGCCCAAAAUGACUUGCUUAAACCCGACUGAGACAACAUACAUCUAACCUUCUCAAGCAAGGUUCGAUUCAAUCUUUCUGCAACUCCAUUUUGUUAUGGAGUUCCCCGAACACUAAAAUGUCUCACAAUUCCUUCCUCUUUGCAAACUUUAAAGAAAGGGUCGGAUGUGUAUUCACCACCAUUAUCCGAUCUCAAAAUAUUAAUCUUUCUCCCAGUCUGGUUCUCAACCAUUUUCUUCCAACUCAAGAAAAUGCUCAAUACCUCACUCUUGUGCUUCAUAGUGUAAACCCAAGACCUUCUUGAAUAAUCAUCAACAAAGGUCACGAACCAAUGUCUAUCACUCAAAGAGGGAGUCUUUGUAGGACCCCAAACAUUCGAAUGCACAUAAUCAAGAAUGCCCUUCGUCUGAUGUACAGCAGUACCAAACUUCACUCUAGUUUGCUUCCCCAAGACACAAUGCUCGCAGAAAUCAAGCUUACAAGUCGUGACACCUUUUAGAAGACCUUUUUUCACAAGCCCUUGUAGAGCUUUCUCACCGGCAUGACCUAAUCUCAUAUGCCACAAUCUAGUAGUAUCUGAAUCAGAUGUGCCCAUAUUUUCAGAGACUACUGAUGCUUCACCUGUCACCGUGCUUCCCUGCAAUAAAUACAAAUGGCCACAUCUAGGAGCUUUCAUCACAACAAGUGCACCAUAAGUAACUUUCAAUGUUUGUCCAUCUGAAUGAAACCUGAAACCCUUGGAUUCCAAAGUACCCAAAGAAAUAAGAUUUUUCUUCAAAUUCGGUACAUACCGAACACCUGUCAACUCUUUAACCAUGCCAUCAUGCAACUUCAAACGAACUGUACCAAUCCCUUUUGUUGUGCAAGGAUUGUCAUCUCCCAUGAACACAACUCCACCAUCAAACUCUUUCAAGCUUGAAAACUAAUCCUUGUGAGGAGUCAUAUGAUGAGUACAACCCGUAUCCAACACCCACUUAGUAGCACAAUCAAAUGAUGAGGAAGUGGUUAAAGAAAAAUCAGAAAAAUCUGUUUCAACCUCAGCAACAUUAGCUUCAGAACUUUCUUUGCCUUUGGUCUUCAACCUAGGACAAUCUUUCUUCCAAUGACCCUUAUUAUGACAAAAGGCACAUUCAUCCCUUUCCAAAGGUUUUCUACCUUUAGAGUUUCCUCUAGGUCGAGACUGUGAUUUUUUCCUACUAGAAGAUGAUCUUCUCUCCGAUGAUCUACCUCUAACAAAUAAAGCUUCAGAUGUACUAUCAUGAUUUUUAUCUCUAUGCCUCAUUUCAUAAUUCAUCAAGGCAUUUGACACAUCUUCAAAUUUCACAGUUUCUUUACCGUGUAUAAUAGUGGUAACAAAAUGCUCAUAAGAGUCAGGCAAUGAAUUCAACAAUAUUAAGGCCUUAUCUUCAUCCUUAAUAUCCUCAUCUAAAUUUAAAAAGUCGGCAAUCAACUUAUUAAAAGCAUGAAGGUGUCUAAUCAUUUUUGUACCUUCUUUGUAUUGGAAGCGGUAGAGCUUUUUCUUCAAGUGUAGCCGGUUCUCUGCACUCUUCGUCAUAUACUUGUCUUCCAAUUUUUGCCACAACACACUUGCUACCGUCUCCCGCAUCACAAAAUACUUUUGAGUUUUUGCAAGGCACAACCGAAUUGAAGAGCAAGCCCACAAAUUUAAUUUCUCCCAUUCCGGCUUCGACAUAGCUUCCGGCUUCUCUCCCAAAGCGGCAAGUAGAUCUUGUUGAGCCAACACAUCUUUGACCUCACAUUGCCACAUCCCGAAGUUGUUUGUGCCAUCAAACUUUUCAACUUCGAACUUUGCAUUUUGCACCGUAGUUCUUGCAAACCCGGAGGUGCUUCUAAAAGGAUUCUCAUCUUGCCCGUCUGACAUAUUUGGCAACUAGACAGUACCCAAGAGCAACCAGUGCUCUGAUACCAAUUGUUGUGCUAGGAUAGCACCAAACCCGUUGGAACCAACUCAAGCUAACCCACAGGAAAUUUAUCAAAUGAAAAAGCAAGAACAAAAUAUUAAAGACACCAAGAUUUUAACGAGGUUCCUCAACAGUCAGUGUAACUGGAGUACGUCCUCGGAGCAGUAUGAGCUCACCCAAGAAUCCACUAUCAACCAAAUGGGAGUUUACAAAGUGUUGGCAAUCUCACAACCCAAAACCCUAAUACACCCAAUAACUCUCACUCACCAAAGAAACAAAUAGAGAGGGAAAUAUAGUGAAUAAUUUCCUCUCUAUACAAAGCUCAAAGCUAAUACACAAAUACAACUUUGAUUGAGUGAGUACCAACAAAGAAAGAAAAUCACAUUUCUUUCUUCUCUUCAAAAUGAGGCUGCAGCACCUCUGUUUUCUUCUCUGUUUUUCUGGUGCACUCUAUCACUACAAUCAGAAAAUGCUCUCUAUUUUCUGCACCUUCUACAACUCCCUUUCCGUUUCUCUUAUUUCCAAAGGCUAAAUAAAAAAUUAAUUUUCUCCAACAUCAUCAUUUGUCAUCAUAACAAAGCAAGGAACAACAUCAUGAUGUCUCCAUUUUUUUCUUUUUAACAAACAUAAUCAUUUGUCUUUUUCUUUCUUUUGCUUUGUUUAAUAGCUAAAAGGUGAACUUUCCAAGUGGCAACUCAACAAAGAGGACCAAGAAGGAGAAGAGCAACGAGGAGGAGGUGCUGAUCAUCAAGGACAUCGAGUUUGAGAGCAACGAGGCGGUGAAGUUCAAUGUGUUUAUUAAUGACGAUGCUGAUUCGCUGAGUCGGAAGGACAAGUCUGAGUUUGUCGGGAGUUUUGUGCACGUGCCGCAUAGCCAGAAGACUGGCCUAAAAACAAGUCAAGUCAUUUCGUUUAUUUGUGAAAAAACGAAUUGUGAUUCUUUAUUUGUUGUUUACUAAGACCAUCUCCAACCCUUGGGCUAAAAGCCAAAUUUUUUAGCCCGGAAAAUUUAGCUUUUAGCCCAGAAACAUCUUUUCUGCUUCAACCCUUCUACCCUAAAUUUUAGCCCGAAAUUAUUAAAGAAUGAAAUUAGCCUAAAUUUUUUUCUUAAAUCAAUUUUUUUUAAAAAAAAUAAAUAUGUAGAUUAUUGUAAAUUAAUUUUAUGAACAUUUUAAUCUAAAAAAAUUUAAAUUCCGAUAAACAUUUCGCAUUUAGCCCGGGGGGAAAAUUGGGGGGUAUUUGGCCCAGAAAUAGCAUUUGGCAUUUAGCCUAAAAUUUUAGCAUGGGUUGGAGAGUGUUUGGGGGGGUAAUUUGGCUUUUAGCCCAGGGUUGGAGAUGGUCUAAAAGAUCAUUUGAUAACCGGUCAUUUCGUUUUUACUUUUCAUUUUUUCGAAAAAUGAAAUCUUGUUUAGUAACUAUUUUCACUUUUCAAAAAAAUGAUAACAUAAACAAAAAAGUGAAAACUUAUGGCCAAAUUUUAAAGACGGAUAAUAUUAGGGAUACUAAUUUGUAGACAAAAGUUACAAAUUAAAUGAUGUUUUACCAAUAAGACUGAUUAUGUUUAUUGAUGCUUAAGUAAUAAACCAAUCAUCAAAUUUCAGUCCUUUAGUUUUUAAAAUUUUGUCUACAAAUUUAGUAUAUCAAGCAUUACCCUUUAAAAACUCAUGAAAAUAGGUUUCAAUUUUCAGCUUUCAAAAAAGUAAAAAUGAAGGCUGAAAAUGAAAUGGUUAUCAAACAUCCCCUAAAGAAGUCAUUCUUAGUGAUAAUAAGGAGAGACUAGAGAGAGAUUCCUAUACUUAGCCGUGAGAGUUUCCCAUAUAUGAUUUUCAUUAACAAGAUUGAAAUGAUUACAGAGAGAAGAUCAAGUAUGGUUUAUUUUUAUUUUGUAGAGUGUAGACUUUAUACCUAUACAUUCAUAAUAACAUGAGUAAUGUUAUAUUUAUCACAUUUGUACUUUUUUUCUAAUAAUAGUAGGACCUAUUAACACAUGUGAGUUCCAUUUGCCCAUCAACACAUAUGUGUCUCAUUUCUGUGAGAAAAAUAUGAUAUGGAAAAUAUGAUAAGAUCGCAAUUUUGUAAUAACAUAUAUACUCAACUAUCUAUAUACCGACCCCCCCCUCUCUCUUUUAGUGUAGAUAAUAUCGCUUGUUCAAAAAAAAAUGAACUUGUCAUAAUCAUUGAAUCUAUUUACCAUGAACAAAUGGCAGUUUACUAAACUUGCCCUCAUAGUAUAUAUAAAAGGUCAAUCACAAUCUAUUGGAUUAAUAUAAGGAAACAAUAUGCUAUGCACAAUGAAAAUUAAGCUCACACUUUAUCCCAAAUAAGGUGUUGCACAUUUAAUUUAUGGAUGCUGGUUUGGUAAAAUGAGAGGUUCGGAAACAAGGAUAAAGGCCAUUAUUGAAGCAAAUAAUUGGAGCAAUAAAUCAUGCAAAUAAUUGGUUGUCUCAUAAACGCCUAUUCGCAUCACUAUAAAUGCGUAUUUCCUAUAUUGCACAUGGAGUAGAAUUGAUCUUACAGUAUUGGUAAUGCUAGGGACGAACUUAUUAAAUCAAAUUUUAUAAAUUUGAUAACGUAGUUGUUGAUAAUUUAAGGGAAUUGUUAUUAGCACUCUAAAAAACUCAUUUGGCAUUCUAAACUUUCUAUAAUUAGAAAGAAAAAUACACUUAUAAGGGAGUGUAGAAUGAGAUUUUGGAGUAUUAAUAACAUUUCUCUAAUUUAAUUACUUAAGUGUUGAUUAACGUGUUUAAUUUCUAUUUGUGACACAUCAUAUAAUUCGCAUAUUCGGUCUAUCUAGCAUUACUCUAGAGUAAUAUAGAUCAAAUUUGUAAACUAUGUGAUGUGUCACCAAUAGGAAAAAAUUUCAGUAUGCUGGAAAUACGGCUCAGAACACCAAGUGUCAUAAUAUAUACUUGGUUGGAAAUUUUUUAUUUUCAAGUUUCCAACUAAUUGUAUUGUAACACUUCGUAUUCCAGACUAUGUUCUUAGUGCGCUGGAAAAUCUCUUCACCAAUAGGAAAUAAGCAUAUUAAUGAACACUUAAGUAAUAAUUCAAUCAUCAACAACUACGUCAUAGAAUUUAUGAAAUGUGGUCUAAAUUGAUGGUCUCCAUAGCAUUACCUUUAUCUUAGCGUAUACGUACCCCUUCACAUGUUUAUUUGCUGAUAUGCAGCUUGAGUGAAAAUUUCUUUUUAAGAACAUAUAUGUGAAUAUAAACAUAUAUAUCUAGUGACGGAUGUAGCGUUAUUUAAAAAUAAACAAAUUAAUUAAUUAAUAAAUGAACUGUGUACCUGUCUGUGUCGAGUAAUCCAUAUGUAUGCUUGAAUCCUGAUCACCACGAAACCCUAACAUAUAAGCUACUCAAGGCCCGAAAGCUUGGAUUGAAGAGAAAAACACCCAGUCAGAUUAAGCCAAUAUAUCAAAGUUAUAAUUCCAAAUGUAAGCUUUAAGAUUGAAAAAUCACUUACUACCUUGAGCAGUUGAGCUUCUUCAAUGGCAUAAAGCUUUUAGCAUGAGAUGGACUGCAUCACAACUAAAAUUUUCUCUUGGAAACUACACAAGGAAUAGCAUACAUACCUAUAACAUUGAGAAAGUACGCCAAUUUUUUCCUUCUGCUCGUUCAUGUUUAAAAUUAAUCCUCAGAUGAACUUGCCCACAAUGAAGUGCAAUUUGAGGUAGUCGAGUGUUCCAUUUCCAUCCUAUGGAAAUUACUACUAAACUUUAAGAUGGCAAAAGUGUUUAAGUUAAUAUUUAAACUAUGGGCUUUUAGGAAGGGAAGCCCAAAAAGGAGCUCAAGGAGGAGAUUCAGCUCGAGGCCCAGCACCUAAGCUCAUAUCAUCCAUCCUAAAAGCCAGUUGGCACCCCCAUUAAUACAAAUGCUAGUUGCAUACAAGAAGUGACAACCGAUGGGAGUUCACCUGCUCUAGGCCCAAAAGCACUUUAUGGAUGGCAUAGCAUGUAAAUAUCAAUGGUUCUCUACCCUCCAAAUUACUUUCGGGCAAGAACAGGAGCAGCACAAAUCAAGUUAACUCAUCUAUAAAAUGGGGAUGAGGGCCCAGAGACAAAGAGACUCAACCAAUCAAACAAACAUACAACUUGACUCUCAGCCAAGUAAAUGCCCAGAAAGUCGUGCUUUGUCCAGACUCUGCACCCUUUUAGCCUUAGAUUUCCUUAGAAAUACAUCUUUUGUCUAUGUAAAAGCUCUACUACCCUUUCCCAGAUGUCGUAGUAUCGAUCUUUAGUGUAUAAACUCCUUUCCAGUCGUUCCCCUUAAUAUUCAAUCAUCUGCAAACUGCAAGGAGAAGAGAUUGCAAGACGUUUAACCUUGCCCAACAAGGUGAAAUCUUGCUCGACUCUCUUUGUUUUGUCUUUCAAUUAAUAGAUCUGCACUACUACAAUAUUAGCUUUAGGUGGCGGAUGAUGGUGGCGGAUAUUAAAAAAUCCUGUCGAAUAAAUUAUAUCCGACACAUCAUUUAAUUACUGGCGGAUAUUAGAAAAAUCAUGUCGGUUCUAUCCAACAUAAAUUUCGGGCGGAUAUUUACUGGCGGAAUUUUUGAAUCUUUUUUUUUAAUAUUUUUUACAUAUCCUGGCGGUUUUACGUUAAUAGUGGCAGUUAUAACCGACAGAAAUUGACUAUUUUAUUAUUUUACUUUAUGGCUGUUAUAACCGACAUAGAUGAAAAUUUUAUUAUUUUAAAAUGUUAUAUUGAUUAAAAAUAAAUAAAUAAACACAUAUUUUAAAUAAAAAAUUUUCACUCAUGACCCUAAAGUCUAAUGAACCCAAUUCUCACAAGUCAUAAAUUUUCUGAGAGAAUAAUGACAAUAGACUACAAUCUAAAGCUCUAUCAUUUUUGUAAUAAGGAUUAUGCUCCCUCAUAGGCAAGCAACAAGAUACAAAGAAAUUUAAACAAUUUUUUCUAAUGCACAUAAACACACAUAAACACACAUGAACAUCUGAUGUACUUUAUCAUGUCUAAUUUUAUUAUUUUAAAAUGUUAUAUUGAUUAAAAAUAAAUAAACACAUGUUUUAAAUAUUAUAUUUUUUGCGAUUUUUUACACAUGCUAUCUCAUAGUAUAUACGAACAUAUUUGACGAAUGCAUAUCCUAUCAAAUUGAUAGAUUUAACAAACAUUUAAGAGUUAAUGUUAUGCUUCCAUUAUUUAUAAAAUAAGAUUUAUCCACUAGUGUGAAUAUUUUAAAUUGAAGAUUGAAUUCAUUCAUUGCAUUCUUAAAGGAUCGAGGAGUGUAGCUGCAAAAAAUCAUCAAAAGCGAAGCUAAAAUAACCGUUAAAUUGUGAUAUUUCCUUUAUAACCGUUGAAAACUUUUGUUUUGUUACCUAAUCUCUGAACGUUUGCUUUUUGUGAUUUUUUACGUAUGUGAUCUCGGAGUGUUUACAAACAAGUUUGACGGAUAGAUCAUUGAAAAAAGUUUCGUAGAAUGUGUAUUGCGUCAAAAUGGUAGAUUAAAUAAACACUUAAGAGUUAAUGUUAUACUUCCAUUAAGUAUAAAAUAAAAUUGUGUGGUAUCCACUAGUGUAAAUAUUUUAAAUUGAAGAUCAAAUUCAUUCAUUACAUUCUUAUAGGGUCGAGGAUUGUAGCUGUAAAAAAAUCAUUAAAAUCGGAGCUAAAAUAACUGUUAAAUUGUGAUUUUUCGUUUAUAAUCGUUGAAAACUUUUAUUUUGUUACCUAAUCUCUUAAUGUUUGUUGUUUGUGAUUUUUUACGUAUGCGAUCUCGGAGUGUGUACAAACAAGUUUGACGGUUGGAUUGUUGAAAAACGCUUCGUAGAAUGCAUAUCCUAUCAAAUUGAUAGAUUUAACAAACAUUUAAGAGUUAAUGUUAUGCUUCCAUUAUUUAUAAAAUAAGAUUUAUCCACUAGUGUAAAUAUUUUAAAUUGAAGAUCGAAUUCAUUCAAUGCAUUCUUAUAGGGUCGAGGAGUGUUUCUGUAAAAAAUCAUCAAAAACGGAGCUAAAGUAACCGUUAAAUUGUGAUUUUUCGUUUAUAACCGUUGAAAACUUUUCUUUUGUUACAUAAUCUCUUAAUGUUUGUUUUUUGUGAUUUUUUACGUAUACGAUCUCGGAGUGUGUACAAAUAAGUUUGACGGUUGGAUCGUUGAAAAACGCUUCGUAGAAUGCGUAUCGCAUCAAAACGGUAGAUUAAACAAACACUUAGAGUUAAUGUUAUACUUCCAUUAAGUAUAAAAUAAGAUUUAUCCACUAGUGUAAAUAUUUUAAAUUGAAGAUCAAAUUCGUUCAAUGCAUUCUUAUAGGGUCGAGGAGUGUUGUUGUAAAAAAUCAUCAAAAUCGGAGCUAAAGUAACCGUUAAAUUGUGAUUUUUCGUUUAUAACCGUUGAAAACUUUUCUUUGUUACCUAAUCUCUUAAUGUUUGUUUAUUUUUAUUUUUUACGUAUGCGAUCUCGGAGUGUGUACAAACAAGUUUGACGGUUAGAUCGUUGAAAAACGCUUCGUAGAAUGCGUAUCGCAUCAAAACGGUAGAUUAAACAAACACUUAAAGUUAAUGUUAUACUUCCAUUAAGUAUAAAAUAGUGUAAAUAUUUUAAAUUGAAGAUCAAAUUCAUUCAAUGCAUUCUUAUAGGGUCGAGGAGUGUUGCUGUAAAAAAUCAUCAAAAUCGGAGCUAAAGUAAACGUUAAAUUGUGAUUUUUCGUUUAUAACCGUUGAAAACUUUUCUUUUGUUACCUAAUCUCUUAAUGUUUGUUUUUUUUGAUUUUUUACGUAUGCGAUCUCGAAGUGUGUACAAACAAGUUUGACGGUUAGAUCGUUGAAAAACGCUUCGUAGAAUGCGUAUCGCAUCAAAACGGUAGAUUAAACAAACACUUAGAGUUAAUGUUAUACUUCCAUUAAGUAUAAAAUAAGAUUUAUCCACUAGUGUAAAUAUUUUAAAUUGAAGAUCGAAUUCGUUCAAUGCAUUCUUAUAGGGUCGAGGAGUGUUGCUGUAAAAAAUCAUCAAAAUCGGAGCUAAAGUAACCGUUAAAUUGUGAUUUUUCGUUUAUAACCGUUGAAAACUUUUCUUUUGUUACCUAAUCUCUUAAUGUUUUUUUUUGUGAUUUUUUACGUAUGCGAUCUCGGAGUGUGUACAAACAAGUUUGACGGUUGGAUCGUUGAAAAACGCUUCGUAGAAUGUGUAUCCCAUCAAAACGGUAGAUUAAACAAACACUUAGAGUUAAUGUUAUACUUCCAUUAAGUAUAAGUGUAAAUAUUUUAAAUUGAAUAUCAAAUUUAUUCAUUAGACAAUAUUUAUUUAUGUUUUUCAAGUAUUGAUUAGACAAUAUUUAGUUUGUGUGAUGACAUUUUAUCGCAUAUUUUACAUGCAUUAUUCUCUAUUAAACCAAAAGUGUAAAAAUUAUCUAUUAAACCAAACAAUUAUUUAUUUAAUUUUUAAAAACAUAUUCUAUUUAAAUACAUAUUAUUUAUUUAUUUAUUAAACCAAACAAUUAUUAUUUUAUUUUUUAAAAUUGUAACAAAAUUUGGGGGGAAUUUAAAAUUUUGAGGGAAAAUUUUAAAAUUUUCGGAGGGAAGUUUGCCGCCAUUUUUUUGUCUGUCGGUUAUAACCGACAGUAAUGAAAUUUUUCUGUCAGUUUUUAUUUUUAAAAAAUGUUUCUGUCGGUUUUAACCGACAGUAAAUAAAAUAACCUAAAUUUUUAAAACCCAUCCAUCUUCCUUGCGCCGAUGCUUCCCCCUUCCCCCUAUUCUCCUGUCCUCAUUUCUUUCUCCUUCUCCUUCUCCUCUUUUCUUUUCUAUUCUGUUCGAACACUUGCAACCCAUUCCAACCAACAAUUCCAGACACACUGUAGAGGGCGUGGACAGAGGGUUGAUGGGAAGGGUUGGCCGUGGACGGAUGGUUGAUGGGAAGGGUAGGAGCUAGAGAGAGGGGGUGAGGGGUGGGUUCUGUCCACUGACGUUGGUUGCUGGGAGAGAAAGAGAGAGAGAGAGAGAGAUGGGGAAAAGUAUGGGGUUAAGGUUGAGGGGAACGAAACGGGUACAGAGAGAGAGUGAGGAAGGGACAUAGGAGUUAGAGGUAUGGAUUGAUUUGUCAGGGGCUGCUGCAUCCUUCCUAUUCGAAAGGUAACAAAUAAUUUUCAAUUCAUUCUGCUGCAUCCUUACUAUUCGAGAGGUACAUGAAUGGCUUCUCAUCUGAAAUUAUUAAACAUUGGAUUUGCUAGUUUGGUUGCGCAACUAUGCAGGUGCUCUCUCCAAUCUAUCGAUCAGUUUAGUGCUAGCUGUUAUUGCUGCCUUGGAAGUCAACAAUAUUCCUUCAGCUCCUUGGUUCCUGUCAUUGUGUUUGCAUAUUUUAUAUCAUUUGGUUUCUCAGGUUAUGUAUUUAUGUUUGGCGUUGCUUGCUUAUUGUUUUCGUGUUUAUAUUGUAUCAACGACUCUUAGCUUGUUUUGGCUUCUUGCAGGCUUACGGGAUUCUGGAAAAAUAUCUGUGUUAUUUUGUUCCUCUCCUCGAACUGAAGAGAUGAUGUUCAUGUUAGCAUGGAUGUUUGUCUAGUCUCCUCACAUAAUGAAAUGUUGUGCUUGACAUGAAUAAGGGUACUUGAUACAACCAUUUUUUCCGAUUUUGUUUGGCCAAGAAUGUAUCUGUAUAAAAUCCAAAUGCAACCGCAGUUGGGUGAUGGAUUACAUUAUCGCUCGUUUGUUUAACUUCUAAGAUUUCUACCUGCGAUAAUUUUGCAAUAUCUUGUCUGUCAUUGUGAUUUUCUUUCCCUGAUUGCAACCAUACGAAAACUUAGGUUGAGGAUUUAGAACGAAUAUUAGCAAGCUUCUCUUAUCUAUAUUGUUAAUUUGUUAUAGCCUAGAAAGGAUGAUCAUGACCCUCCCUGUUUAUCAUUAUCAGUGUAGGGGAUGGGCGGAGGGGUCGGAUGACGAGUCGUGGACUAAGAAAACGGUGCCCAUUAUUGCUCCCUUGCCUAAGACUUUAAAGGCCCUGACAGUCACCGGUGAGAUCGAGCUCCGGCGAGGUUGGAUGGUGAAUGUGGGGAUAUGGAAAAUGCAGAAAGCAAUUUUUUUUUUAUUAUUAAUAUAAGUCAUAUCGGUUUUAGCCGACAUUAAAUGAUUUUAUUUAUUAUUUUUAAUUAAUUUCUGUCGGUUUUAGCUGACAGGAAAUGGUUUUAUUUAUUCAUUUUUAAUUAAUUUCUGUCGGAUGGUUUAAUGAUUUUCUGUCGGUUUUAUCCGACAGAAAUAUUUCUGUUAGUUCUAUCCGACACAAUUUCUGUCGGUUUUAGAGUAUUUUCUGUCGGAUCUAUCCGACACAAUUCCUGACGCAGGCAAUUCUGUCGCUUAUUAUAUCCGCCACUGCAUCCAUUUUCUGUCGGAUUUUGCUUAAAAUCCGACAAUAAUAUAUGUUUUUUGUCGGUUUUCAAAACGCCACUAAUAACUGGUUUUCUAGUAGUGAUGGUGCUAUAAUGUAUUCCCUAGUUUAUAUUCAAGUUGUUUCUAGUCUUUUGAUGAUUCAAAGCCCUAUCAGUUCCCAGAUAUAGUUCACUUAGUGGUUUUAUCAAGAUUGGAAUGAGUUAAACUGAUGACUUGAUCAGAUCUGGACCUCCACCCCUCGAGCAUACAAGAUAACUAAAAGUCCUUGAUAUCAAGGCAUAGAAAAGAACUUAAUGUAGACUUAACCCAUCCUUUGAUAAACAAGAAAUCUGAAAUAACUUGGGGUGCAAGUAAUCGGCUUAAAACACACUUGUUCUACAUCUUCCAUACAAAAUGGCAAUGGCACGCCUAAGCAUUUAGUUGGUUUUGAUUGCGAGCCUCAAGGCCUACACCUAAGGCCCCAUGAAGGCACCUUUCAGAACUAACUCUAUUAUCCUCUUGCAGCAUUGUGACAAGCAGGAGUCCGACAAUCAACCAAAGUGCCAACUCCUCGGGGAGCUAUGUGCUCGAGCCAGGGACGCCCACUGGCCAAAUUUCUUGCCCGAACAAAAAGGUCCAUGAAGAAUUUUACUUUUGAGAUUGUCUCCUUAGCAUUUCUCUUAGCUAUAAUAACGAGGAAAUACUUCAUCUUGUAUCAAACAAGGGAGACAGAAAGUCAACUACAAAUAGCAUCACAGAGCCAGCAAGAUUGAGGAGGCCAUGAAGAGGAAAGAGAAAAUACACUCUUGUUUUGUAAGGACAGAGAUAAUACAUUCAAUGAAGGGUACUGAUGUUUAUAUGCAAAGCUGAUAAAUAGUCGUAUUUAUUCUCUACAAUGCCAAUAUUACCCCUCGUUAGUACACUUUCAAGACACUAUACUCCAGUGUAUGCACUAUGCAGUACGUUGUACUCCUCAUUUUUUUAGGAAAUUCGUUAUUGGCCUUCAUGUCUUCUUUAUUUUCCUUGUCCUCAUUGUGCCACAUGUCUAAAACACUAAUUAUAGGUAAAAGAAAGAUAAUUAAAUGUCAUUUAGUACUACAAUCUAACGAUAUUCCUCUUCAGUGUAAAAAUUUUAUAAUUAAAACCGUUCAAUUUUUUAAUAUCUUCAUUUGAAUAUUAUCUGUACAGAAAAAUUAUUCGAAUCAGAGAUCGUUUAUGCAUUCAAAUGUAUGAAAUAAAUUGACAUUGUGAGUACUAAUUAAUAUUUUUUUUAUAAAAUACAAUUAUUUAAUACAUUUGAAUGACCAAAUGAUCUAUAAUUCAAAAUAAAUAUUAAGAUAUUAAAUAUAAUUAUGAAAUUAAUAAAGUAAAGAUACAUGACCUCGUGAAGGAUGCAUGUAUUAUUAAAAAAAUAUAAAAAAUUUGAAAAACGAUGCCGUUGUUGCCACCACUUUUGCAAUGAUCGUUGCCACCACUUCUGCAAUGAUCGUCGCCACCAUCACCAAACCCCAACACCCCAUUACAGCUCAUAAAAGCACAUCAAAAGAAAUUUAUAAAAUAAAAUUACUCGAAUACCAAAUUCCCCCUUAGUUUAGGUCACCAAUGUUUAGAUUUUAUCACAACUUUCAUUCCAAAUUUACUUUUUAUCCGUUGCUUUGUUUGUUCAAAUUUACUUUGGCAUUUCAAUUAGUAUUAAAAUCUAAUUUAAAUUUUAGUGUUCAAACUAGAAGAAAAGAAAACUAACGAAAAGUUCAAAAAAACUUUAGUUUUAAUGAAAAAUGACAAAUAAAGAUGUAGCGAAUAGUACCAGGAAAAAGUAAAAAUAUGUUUUUUUGUUAAAAAAUGAAUAGUACCGAAAGUGUUGCAAUUCCCUAGAAGAAGUGUUCCAUUUAAUAUUUAAUAUCAGUUUUUCUCUUUAUUCUUUUAUUGGGAUUUGGUUGCAUCGUAUCUCCAUUUUUCUUGGUGUUGUAUGUUCAUAAGGCUUGUGAAAUGAGUUGAAUAUCAGAGUGCGCAACGAACGAGACUACAAAAUAAUAGGAAUAUUAUUAAAUAAACGAGAAUGCCGGAACGGCUACAAAACCCUAAAGGCUACAUUGUGAAUGACUUUUUCUCUAAUGAAUAACAAAGCACCCUAUUUAUAAUAGCCUAACCCUAAUCUCUAACAAAACCUAAUUCUAACCGGCUAAGGCCAGAAAACCAAACAUUCAAAUAAACCAAAAUACUAAUAUUUUCCAACAAAACGUUGGCAUGUAGUGCAUGGUACUCAUUUUUUGGCCCAAAAUGCAUAAGGCAUGUAGAUAUGUAGACUAAAUUUUAUAAACUAAAUAACAUGAAAGUUGAUGAUUAGAUUAUUACUUAGGGUAAUGCUAGGGAGACUAAAUUUGGAGAGAAAAUAUACAAACUAAAUGAUGCGUCACCAAUAAAAAUGAGCAUGUUUAUCAACACUUAAGUAAUAAACCAAUCAUCAACUUUCAUGUCAUUUUGUUGAUCUUAAAAACUACCAAGCCUACGUGGCGCGCAGGCCGAGUAAUUAAUAAGCUAACUACAACCUUCGGUUAUGUGCGGGACAUCACAACUAGUCGGCCGAGCUCGGCCGGGGAGUAAAAUGUGUUGAUGUUGCGUUGAGCGCGCUGUUGACUUCUUGGUCUUGCAACUGCGGCCGAGGAAGGAACACGUCUUGGCCUUCAGGCUCUAGAGCCUGAAGACAAGGCUGCUAGUUCUGCGAAGUUCAAUAUUAGAUUCGGCUUUCAACGUGCCAAAUGUAGUAACCUGGUAACACCUUACUUCGCCGAGAAUGCUAAUGAGAUGACCUCUACCAACAAGGACUCAAAAAUCCUUGUCGAUUGAGACUUGGAUAGGUAAUCAGUCGGUCGAAAAGCAGUGUUGUUUAUCCAAACUGAAGGUGUUCCUUGAUCGGUUGAUUCUACAAAUCCAGUGUUGUUUAUCUAAACUGAAGAUGUCGCCGAUUGCCUUCACAGUGUUGUUUAUCCAAACUGAAGAUGUGUCAGCGGAAAAAAGAAAAUAAAAAUCUCAAGGUUAUUGAUAGGUUUUGCGUAGAGCGAGAGUUUGCGCAGGGCAAUUUGUGUGUUGAAUUGGAGAGAGAUUGAAUGUUGUCCGUGACUCUGUAUUUAGAAGCAAAUGUUGUGUGGUGCGACCAGAUAAUUUUGUAGAGUCCAACUGCAACUCUAAUUCGCGGAACUAAACUUGAUCCGCGUCAAAAGCCAAGGCAUAUCCUUCUAAUUGAUCCAUGGGAUUUGUUCCUUGACCUCUCAAACCUAAUUAAAGUUAGGCUUAUCAUAUCACAUCAGAAACCAAACCUAUUUAGGCUUCUUCAUAAUCUUUACCAUCAUAAUCUUUACCGAUGCAUGCAUCCUGAUCCCUACCAUACUUUGAAUAGACAAUAAUCAGUUUGCAACACACCACUUGUCAGUCAACCACACUGAUCUCACCUACACAUUCACACGCCAAAACAUCCAAAUCAGCUUGAAUUGUGCUGCCAUGUUUCCAGUUGGAAAUACAUAUCUCAUCUUUCAUAAUAAAUUAUUAUUAAAAGAUAAUUAUGAUAAAACACCAUAACAUUAUCCUUUAAUAAUAACAAAAUGAAUUAUCUCCACUUUUCAUCUGACGGUGUGAAACUAUGCUCACUCAACGACCUUGAUUGCACGGGCCGAUGGUGACACGCCCCGAUCCCAAUAUUCCCCGAAUACCAGGAUAGGCAUGUGCUGGCCGACAUCCGAGAGUGACGAAAGCCAUUUAUUGAGUACAAAUGCUGAGAAUAAAGGAUGGAUAUGACUUAUAAAUAUAAAAGAAUCAAGAAUAUGCAUUUAAGGAACGUGUUCAAAGCACACAACUAACUAGAUUACUAAAAGAAAUAAUAUAAAAUGGAGUGAAUAAAAGAAUGGGUCAUACACCGAAAGGACUCGAAGAAGUUGAUGUAGGAGUCCUUUGACGUCAGGAUUGUAUGCCUCGAUUCUAAGUCCUGAAGGGGGCGCAAAACAAACAUGAGUGGACCAAUUUGAUAUAUAAAUAGUAAAACAGUUAUCAACGUACUAACCCCCAGGUUUUAUGAAAACACAUAUAUAUCAUGAUAAACAUAAUUUUUUCGAAACCUAGCAUGCCGUGCAAUGUCUCAAACCAUACCUUGUAUAUAUAUAAUAAUCACUAGUGAAUUGUUCGAUAAACCCCAGGCCCCAUGCCGGCUCCCCGUCUCUGAGCAGACAGUCAGAGGAAAAUAUACUUCAGGCCCCAUGCCGGCUCAUGCCGGCUCCCCGUCCCUGUGCUAAAUAGCCAGAGGAAACACAUUACAGGCCCUAUGCCAACACCAAACCGUCGCCCAGGACGGACCGGAUCUAUCCCUACUUCCCGUAGCGGAAAUGACCACUAGGUAAAUACAAAACCAUUGAACAUACAUAUAUUGAAAAGCAACUUCAUAGUAUAAAGUCAUCCAUCAUCUAUAUUAUAAAGAGGUGUUCGAAACAUGUUCUAAAUAUCAUAUCGUCAUCCAUCGGAUAUUCUAUAAGAACAUGAGUUAUAGGAAAAAUAGUAAUAAUUCAAAGUAGCCUUAGUAAGCAUGUUAUCUCACAAAACGUUUCAUAAAAUGUAAUCAUCAAAUCAUGCUUUUCAUGUAUGCAUUUCUACUAUUAAAACAUGAAUUUUGAGAAGGGGUCCACUCACAGUACUUAGCCGCCGAAGAGCCACGCAAACUAGUAACCACGAAAACAUCACAAAUAUUGCCCUUAAGCACAUAAAUGGUCCAAUUAAUAAAACUCUAUUGUAACAAUUGAAUUUGGGAAAACGGAAGUUGGAAACGGAUUCAGAACGUCAAAUUACCCUAAGAAGGGUCCUGGAUAAAUUUCGUAAAAUGUCAACAAAAUAUUCCCUGACAUAAUAUUUCCCAUAAAAGGUAUGGGCCGAUUAGGGUUUAGGGUUAGCUAAUUAGGUGGGCUAGGUUUAGAGGAGAGGGCUUAGGGCCCUGGUUCAAAAGGCCCGAAGGCCUUAAGCCUAAGGGUUUUGGGUUUUUAGAUAAAAAGGCUUAGGGCCUUAGCUAAUUUGGCCCAAAGGCCUUUAACUUAAAACAAUUAAUAAAAAUACAUAAUAAAAAUUGAAAUGGGUUUUGGGUUGGGCUCGGCAGGAAAGGCCCAAAGGCCUUGGGAUUUUUGGGUUGCAGAAUUCAAAGGAAGGAGAAGGCCGGAUUCGGCCGGAAAACUACAUCAACUUUAAACGGCCAUAACUUUGUCAAAACUCAACGAAAUCGAGUGAUUCAAAAACAGAAAUUGUAUCCCUCGAAGAGACGAAGAGAAUGGUACCUCGCACGAUGUGGUUUAAAGUUGUUGGACUCGCCGGAAACUGGGUAAGAUUCAAAUGAGUAUAACUUCUUCAAUACUCAACAAAAUUGGGUGAAACAAAAAGGAAAGUUGUAGUACUCAGUGAGACCAAGAGAUUGAUACCUUGCACGCCGGCCAACUCACUAUAGUUUGGCCGGAAAUUGCCUCGAAAGUGGCGGUGCUCGCCAGAAAAUUUGGAAAAGCUUUCCCGAGCUAUUUUCUGUGAUUCAAAUGUAUACACAACUUAAAACAAGCUUCAAUCUAACCCUAAAACACAUCCCAGGGGUUUUUAGAAGCUUACCAACAUUGAAAAAUCAAGAAACUCAUCGGGGAAGAAGAUGAACAGUACCGGCCGAAUGGAAGAGAGGGGUUUGGGGUGCUAAUGGAGAUGUUGUUGUUGUUGUGGUGUUGUUUGUUGGUAAGAAAAGCCCUUGGAGGGGCUGAGAUAGAGAGAGCUGAGAGAGUGUAAGGGAGAGCGAGGGAGAAGAGAGAAAGAGAGACUUUUCAAAAGAAAGAAGAAAAAAAAUAAAAGAAAGGGAAAGGGAACGGGAACGGGGGACAAAACAGGGGGUGGGCCCCUUGAGCACAAUCCAAAAAUAAUUUUAAAAGCAAGAUAAUAUCAAACUUAGUGAAAAUACAAUUUAAAUUAGGGGUGAGUGUAACAGAUUGUGUAAAUUUGGGUCCAAACACCUUUAGUUUCCAAAAUUUAGUAUAUAAAUUUAGUCUCCCUAGCAUUACUCUAUUACUUAAGUAUUGAUUAACGGACUUAUUUCUUAUGGUGACACAUUAUUUUAGUUUACAAAUUUAAUCUACAAAUUUAGUCUACCUAACAUUACUCUUUUGAGAAUUUAACUAUCUUGUCCACUAAUAUAAUUCUAUUUUUCUUAUGAUCAAAACUUCAAAUGUUAGCAAGUCGCACGUAAAGUCGCUUCUGAGAGAAUGUGCUCACAUUGUAGUUGAAAGAUUAUGUGGCUAGCAACAUUACAAAUUUAAUUUGGUAUAAUUUUAAAAUAUGGAUUGAGGAAAAAAAUGAUCACAUUAACUAGAAACUGAAAAGGUUUCAGCACAGUUUGUUCAAGCAAGAAACUCAAUUUUGAUGCUACCGAUCUUGAGCGCCGUACCUGGGCACCAAAGUCACCACCACACUCUCAUCAUCUUCAGCACCCAAAUCCUCCAACAGGUCCGUUAACCCCAACCUUAAACAACUCUUGCUCUUUUCCUUCUGCUUAUGUGGCACACUCACAAAACUCCCAGCAAACUCGCUCUUGUCGGGUCCACUCGGUGCCGCAUCCUCAUCGUCCACGUCAUUCACAUACACAUCAAACUUCACAGCCACAUCUUUGUCAAGCUCAAUCCCCUGAAUCACCAAUAUCUCCUCCUCAUCCUCUUUCUCCUUCUUGCUCCUCUUCUUCGGCUUCGGCCUUGACACCACCGUACUUAUCUUCGUCUCCAAAUUUAUUGGAAAAUCUUUACCCGCCACCACCUUCCCUGAUGACGUCGUCUCAGCGGCCUUCGCCACUCCAGCCGCCUUUGCCUUUCUCGCAAGCUUUGUCCGACGUGGCGUCGGUCUAGACUUGAGCCAUGGAAUCUCAACAUCUUCAUACGUAUACCCUAGCUUUUUAUUAUCAAGAGUGUCCCUCACCGUGACCCUAACAAGCUCAGCAUUCUCGUCAUAAAACAAAAACCCCGUAUCCAACCAAUCCUUAUCGUUAAUAUCUUUAUUUUUAGUCCCUAUACUUUUCCAAAUAUUCCACAUUCGAUCUAUAUUCGAAUGGUGCGAAAAAAAUAUUGGAUCCCUUCCAGCGGAGUAAAAAUUCCCCAUGUCUUCAAAUUAGGUUGCGUGUUAUCUCCGGUCCAUAAAUGAACCGGACCAUGUGGGGUCGUUUCGAUUGAACCGCCCCCUGGAUCUGGUUCAGUGCCAGCCCUGUAGGGCGAACCAAAGAACAACAGCGGUUUCUUGGAGUUGGAAACCAUCUGCCUAUACAUAAUUUUGAGGUUGGCUUCGAUUUGAGCAUCGUUGGACAUUGUUUCAUCCGUGCCGUUGAAGUCAAGAUCGAUGAGAGUCGGCGGCUGAUGGCUGGCAGCGCGAAGCUCGUCGUAAAGCGGAGAGUCCGGGUUAGCGAACAAGGCAGGGAGUUGCAUGCCAGCUGGCGCGUCCCAGUUCCAAAACGGCAACGCGAACGUCGGAUCGUCUAUGAGUUUGGCCAAGAUUCUUUCGUGGAAGUAUAGGUAGUAACGAUGGAAGGGGAAGAAAAGCCAGCAUUGAUGGAUUUGGAGCUCGAGGUUGGGGAAGCCGACUUGGUCGUACGCGCCGUCGCAAUAGGCACAGUGGAGAUCGGCUUGCUGGGUGAAGCUACGCGGAUCGUCGUCCGGGAGGGCUUUCAUGAGCUCGAUGGCUUUUGAAUAUUUUUCGAUGUAGGCUUUAUCCACGGUGUGAGCUGCCGGCCUGACGCGGAGUUUGGUAGGGGAGGGGAAUUUGAAGUCUACGAUUUUUUGGGACGUUGGCGGGCAACAGUUGGUCGGGACUGCUCCACUUGGAAAGUCCGCAGCUCCGCAUUUGGCUAGGUCAGGCGGCGACACUGGCUUUGCAACAGCGAAGGGGUCGCUGCCAAGACCAGCCACUCCACCGUAUAGGCUUCCGAGACCUAUAAGUACAUUUCUUCUGUCUAGGUUUACUGGAGAAGGGUUUUCAUGGUCGUGAUCGUUGGAGCUAGUGGAAGGGUUUUUGUUUUGGUCACUACUAUUAUUUGUGGCUUUGCAUGAGACAGCUUGUAAAUUGGAAUGCCUAGGGUUUCCAAAUGAGGAUAUUCGGUGAUACUUUUGGGAGAAAGGGGAGAGGAAAGUUGUGGGGAUGAUACUUGUGGCGGAGGUGACGAGUGGAGCUGACAUAGAAGCCAUGGUUACUUUUGACUCUGAAUAAUACGUUGUAUUGGCUUUGCUUUUAUAAUGUGUUCUAGGUUGUACUUUUCUUUGCACAGGUGGCAGGCCGUACACACGUGGUCGGUCCUUAAGGGUUUGACGAGGAAUACUACGUAGUCAUUUAGUACAGGACAACCAUACACUAUAGCAAGUGGCAUGUAUUUAGAGAUCGAGAGAGAAUUGGGUAAGGUUCACGAGGGAUUUGUAGUUUCAGAAGGUGAAUUGGUUUUGGUCUUCUUGUGUACCAAUAAUAUUUACUUAGUCAUUUAGUGCAGGACAACCAUGCACUAUAGCAAGUGGCAUGUAUUUAGAGAUCGAGAGAGAAUUGGGUAAGGUUCACGAGGGAUUGUAGUUUCAGAAGGUGAAUUGGUUUUGGUCUUCUUGUGUACCAAUAAUAUUUACUUAGUCAUUUAGUGCAGGACAACCAUGCACUAUAGCAAGUGGCAUGUAUUUAGAGAUCGAGAGAGAAUUGGGUAAGGUUCACGAGGGAUUGUAGUUUCAGAAGGUGAAUUGGUUUUGGUCUUCUUGUGUACGGCUGUGGGUCUGCUGUCCCGGACUCUCUGUCUCAUUUGUGUCUUAUUUUUUAUUUUUUCACACGUGUCUUUUACUUAACGUCAAAUCAUGAUAGCAAUGUUAUGCAAUUGGGAGCUAAACGACCGAUGCUUUUAUUUUUUAGUUUGCUUUUUUUCCAGAUCUGAUCAAAUCAUGAUAGCAAUGUUAUGCAAUUUUCAAGAGGGAAAGAUGCACCUGGGAGAGAAACGGUACGGUGACUUCUAAAUCACCGUCCAACAGAACAAUUCUCAGUAGAGACUACUAGAGAGAGAUGCACCUCACCAAUGAAAAAUUUAACUGCAAAAAUUCUGGGUAUUGGGUAAGGAAAUUCGGUGAUACUUUUGGGAGAAAGGGAAGAGAGAAGUUGUGGGGAUGAUACUUCUCGUGGAGGUGACGAGUGGAGCUGACAUAGAAGCCAUGGUUACUUGACUCUGAAUACUACGUUGUAUUGGGUUUGCAUAUAUAUAUAAUUAGGAUUGAAGGAUGUAGAGCUUAUUUUGUUAUGUAUUUUAACGAUUUAAGUGCUUAUCUUUUAGGUUUUCUCUUAAACAUCAUGUCUAUAAAAAAUCACCAAAAUUCAAACCAUAUGACCAUUAGAUCCAUAGUCAUUUUAGUGUUUAUUUGUAAAAUGUAUUCAUUCAUUUUCUUCACUACAAAUGAGUGAAUUAAUGAUUUUAGAAUUUGUCUAAUUUUUUACAUUGAUUAUUUAUGAAUGUUGAAUUGAAAUUUAGACGAUUCAAAAAUAGUUGAUAUGCAUUACAAAAUGAACUCCACAAAAUAAGUGUCAAAAUAUGUAUAAAAAAUGGACAGCGUGAAUGGCUUGGAAAUUGGAAUAGGUUUGAAAAUUGUGCUUUUUGUAGCAAAUUUUAGCAAAGUUUGCUUGGACUUUCACAACCGUAUAAAUUAAAGGGAAACUUGAUAUAACUCCAAUUUUUUGAGCCAAUAGUAGGAAUAGUCCAGUUUAUUAAAAUAAGUUCAAUUCUUUAAAUUUAAUUAUUUAGUUAUCAAUAAUUAUCUCUUAAAAGAAAAAACUUAUUGUAAAAAUCAAAUUUCUUCCUAAUUAUCUCUUUGAUUAUUUCUUUUUAUUUAUUUAUUUGUUAUUUCUUGUUCUUCCUCCUGCUUUAACCCAUUUAUAGAUUUUUUUUUUAAUUUUAUAAUCAACCUAUGUCACAGGUUAAUUGUAUUUAUCUACCUAUAUGACAUAUUCUUUUUCAUAGUCAACAUUUCACAGAUUAAUGUGUCUUGCUUGUAGAUAUAUUAUGUUUUUUUCUACCUUUUAGUUAGGUUUCAUAUCUCACUUAUAGGUAUAAUAUACAUUCAUAUAUUUGCUACUUGAGUUAGGGUAGAAUGUUUUGCAGAUAGAUUUAUGUUAGUAUAUUAAUUUUUUUUUGUUUAUAAGAUAUUAAUUAGAUAUUUUGGAGUUGAAAAAUGCAUAAUAUUAAAAGCUUUUAAUUGAUUUUUAAUAUUUUUAGAAAAUAUAAAAGGAGUAUAAAAGAAAUCAAAACAUAUAAUUAGAUAACGGGAGUCACUCCUAAAAACACUCUAUGUUUUUUGACCUGGAUCUUAAAGCCCCUAAAUUAAACUGUUCGCUUUGUUGGGAAAAAGAAGUGGCCCUAGUUUCCCUUUGAUUUUUCAAGCACGGUGGGAGACUGGUCAUAGUUUCUAGAUUGAUGCUCUAAUUCUAAUGUUAUACAACGCGUACGCUAUAAUAUUUUUAUCAAAAUAUUAGUUUUAGUGUUAUCAAAACAAUAUGUUAUUCUUACCAUGUUUUUGUAUCACAAUUAUAUACCACCUUAGAUGGUAUCUGAUGUGGACAGCCACAUCAUUUAAAUUAAUAAGCAUUUAAUUUCAAAAUGUUAAUCAAUAAUUAAUAAAAAGAUUGUUAAUUAAAUGAUGAUUGUGGUAUACAAGGAGUCUCCUUCUUCCUUCCUCUUUCCAUUCUGCUUUUUCUUCUUACCUCUUUUUUUUUUUUAAUGCCAGUUUUGUAUUGAUUUCUGUUGAUUUCCAUGAUUAUGGUCAAUCUUUAUAGAAUUUACUAGUAUGCCACAAUCACCAUUGAUUUCUAUCUCCAGACUCAUGCCCCGUAGCCCUAAUCCUCAUUCCCCUUCAAGUAUUUCUGUCUCCAAUCUUCUUUGGUACUCCAUGAUUGUUCAUCUCGUGAUAUUUUUUUUUUUGAUUAUUUCAUUAAGUAACGCUUAUUAGCUUUCAUGCGAAUUAGGAGUCAAAAUCAAAUUUGUCUAUCGGAUUAGGGUUCAUACCCAAUUAAGUUACUAACGCCAGAGGGAUUUUGAAGUAUGCAAUUUUCCUUAUUUAAGUGUUUUAAUUAAUAAGAAAAUUGAAAUUAAACAAUUUAGCUUGUCCAACUCAUCUGCCACCUAAGAUGGUAAAUAAAUGUGGUAUAAAAUUGUGGUAAGAAUAUCAUUACUCUUAUCGAAAUUACAAAAAAAAAAAAAAAAGCUGAUUCAAUAUUUAGUUAUUAAAAAAAAAAUGAUCAAGUAACUAUCCAAUACCCAUGUAUUGGGUGCUUUGUUUGAAAAUUUUCAAAAUGAUAUUGGGCUCGUUUGGAUAUGUUUUUAAAAUGACUGAAAGCAUUUUUAGAGAAAAUAUUUUUUUGAUUCCAAAAGCACUUAAAGUGCUUUCUGCAAGAAGCACCCGUUAUGUGCUUCUUCCUGGAAGCACUUUAAGUGUUUUUCCAGCAUUUACUUGCUUUUUUACUAAGGACUGGUUCCAAAAACAUUUUCACAAAAAGUGUUUUCAGUCAUUUUAAAAGCACAUUCAAACGAGCUCAUUGUUUUUCCUAUUUUAAUCGAGUGCGUCGUCCUCUGUUGAGAAUGAAUCUCAUAUUAUGGGAGGAGGGAUCUUGCAUGAAUGGGAGGAGGGACCUUGCAUGAGCUUAUAAGUAAGUUGGGUUACUCUCCAUAUUGCCAAAAGAAAUUUUAUUUGGACCCAGUUUUCCUCUCUCUAAACCCAACUUUAAUAUUUUGUUACCUAUAAACUCUCUAGUUUACCCUCAUAAAUUAUAAACAUAAAUAAACUAGAAAAAGAAAAACUCAUCAAACCCAUUUCCCAACUGUUCUGGCGUCUCUUCCCUGUAUUUGUUGGGUCUGUCUCCCUCCCGACUGUUUUUUUUUUUCUGAUAUCUCUGUGUGUUCCCCCACCUCUCCCACACCCACCAAUUCUUUGUGGUGGCUAUUCCACCAAACGUCCAGUGAAUCUUUCCAUUUUUCUUCUAUUGCGCGUGAUAGGGCCUUGCUAUUAAUAGGCAAAACUAAGCGGCAUCGUCGACUCCGUAAGCGACUUGUUGCAUAAGUCCAAAAUGGAGUCAAAUGGAUUUUGUAUUGGGUCGGGUUGUUGAAGGCGAUGGCUGAUUUAGCAAUCCCGCCUAACUAUUUCUAUAUGUAGGAGAAGGAAGAGGGAGGGAGGUCUGAAGUGGUGGUUGAGUGGUGGCGAUGUAUGUGGGUUCUCUCUCGGUUGAAUGGGUGUAGAAAGAUAUUUAAUUUUCAAUAUCUUAUUUUAUUUUGUAUAAGGGAUAAUAUAGGAAUUACAUAAAAAGUUUUUUUUAUAGCUAGGUGUAGAAAUAGUAUUGUUGGGUCUAAAUAAAAUUACCCUAUUGCCAAUUAGUUUUAUGGUGAAAUCUUAACUUUGUUCAUGCUUUCAUAGUAGGUUGUUCCACGUGUGAAGUCAAACAUCCACACGCGCUGCACGUCACCCCGUUGUGUUGUUCACGUGUUAAGCUUGAAAAUUCAUCACACAUGAGGGAGCGUGUUGAGAAUAAAUUCCACAGUUUAUAAGUAAGUUGUACUACUCCGUAUAUUACCAAUUAAUUUUGUGGAAUUCCGUCAAAGCUGAAUUUGACGGAAAAAAAUAACUUCAUGUUUGUUCUUAACUAUAAAGUCAGUGAUACACUAAUUCUGGUUUGUUUGUUUUUUCCUUCCUUCUUAAGGAAAUUCCCAAUCCAACCAAAAAAAUGAAAUUCCCAAGAGAAUAGUAGCACGAACAAUCGUAGCUUUCUUCUUCGAUAAGCCUUGGGGAAACAGAAAAGGGAAAACCGGACUUUAACCCUAAUUUCUCCCAAUGCCGCAGCACUCUCUAUUUUCUCUCUCGCUCUAUAUCGCGGUCCCUCUCUCUCGCCGUCCUCUAUUGCUCAAACUCAAUGUCUCCAACUUCCUCUGUAUGGUUCCCGAGGAAGAUGGUAAAACAGUAAGGGCAAGAAAUUGUGACAAGGUUAGAUUUGGGUAUUAAUCUGGUGGGGCUACAAUUCUCCAAUCCACACCCCUUUCAUCUGUGCUAGUGUUUGAACCCAAUAUUAGAUAACCGGUCCAUGCAAUCGAUGCCGUUGAAUGAGAAAAAUUCUAGGCCGUGGGAUCAAAUAUAAUGAUGUGGAUUAAAUAAGGAAAAUUUAAAGAGUAAUGAUAUUCAUACCAUGUUUUUGUACCACAUUUUCAUACCACCUUAGGUGGCAUUUGAUGUGGAUAGCCACAUCAUUUGAAUUAAUCAGAUUUUAAAAUUUAGUUGAUUAUUUAAUAAACUAAUAAUUAAGAAAAACUAAUUAAUUAAAUGAUGAUUGUGAUAUACGAGGAGUCUUUCUCGUUCAUUUCUUUGGGUUUUGCAAAUUUUUCAAAUGAUGUGGCUGUCUACAUCGGAUGCCACCUAAGGUGGUAUAGAAAUAUGGUAUAAAAAUAUGGUAUGAAUAUCAUUACUCAAAUUUAAAUGUUUAUCUUGGUUAAAUUACCAUGAUAAUAUUGUGGAAUUAUCUUUUGCAUAACGGAAGAGCGAGAAAAGUCCAAGGGUGUAGGGAAGUUGUGUGGUUGACUACCGCUAUUUUGAUGGUAUAAUCUGUAGAGUAAUAUUACAUUUAACAUCUAUUUGUAUCAUAUUUCUAAUAAAGAUAAGGACCAUCAAUGCAUAAAUAAUUAAACAAAUAUAUAAUAAGAGUAUCAUUUUUGUAACUAGAAUAGGAGAAGAAAGACUUCAAGAUGGGAUCAGCCAAAUAAUUAGCGUUAAGAUAAAAAUAUUGAAAGGAAAACUAAUGAAAAUGGCUUGAAAACUUUGAGUUUUAACGAUAAGGACAAGAUAAAGGGUAAAGUGAAUAGUACCAGGAUUGACUUUUUAAUGUAAAAAUAUAGUUUUUCGUUAAAGUGAACAUUACCGGGAACUUUUCGUUAAAGUUUCCAAUGAGAUAAUAUUGCAACAGCUGGCAUGAGACAAUGAUGGUAUAAAGAUGGCUACUACGGCCAAACUACUACAUAGGAUUCCAUACAUGCGGUCAUUAUUUCGACAAAUCAAUGGCUGCCGCAAUCAUGUGCUCAUUAUUCCGACAAAUCAGUAGCUACUUGCAUUGGAUUAGGAUUGCAUGCGUGUGGUCAUUGAAUGAGGAUUGCGUGCACGUGAUCUUUAUUCAAACAAAUCACUAUUGACCAUAUAUUGCAAUUGGUUAAUGGUAGGCAAAUUGAAUUUUUACAUCAAAUAAUGUGAUUGCUGAUAAUUGAAUUAUUAUUUAAAUGUUGAUUAAUAUGCUUAUUUUUUAUUUGUGAUAUAUCAUUUAAUUUGUACAUUUAGUUUACCUAACAUUACCAACUGUAAUUUGUAUAAAUGGACUGGUACCUAACAUAACCAGUUGUAAUUUGUAUAAAUGGGACUGUAAUUUGUAUAAAUGGACUGGUGCCUAACAUUACCAGUUGUAAUUUGUAUAAAUUUACUGGUCCCAAGAGCACAUGCUACUGCUCAAGAAGCAAAGUUCUUAUUUGCCCAAAAAAAAUCAUGGUUUUUUAAUUGAUGCUCUCAUUUUAAUUUACUAGCCCCUUACUUGGCCUUUUUUAUUUAUCAUUUUAUACAUAUUAAUAUUUUUUUGUAAAAUAUAUUAGUUUGAGUUUUAUUAAAAUUAAAAAUAAAUAAAAAAACUUAGUUUUAGUUUUAUCAAAUUAAAAAAAAAUGACUUAAUAUUUAGUUAUUGAAAUUGUAAAAAAGUGAUCAAGUAUUGGGUGCUUUGUUUGAAAUUUUUCAAAAUGAUAUUGUUUUUACCAUUGAAACCCUGUUAUAUACAGUGAUGGCUAAUUUGUCAAGUUCUACGAAGUUGGGAUACCCAGCGUUUUAGCAUAUAACAUAGCUUAGUAUUACAAGCAUAAUUAAUUAAAAUAAAGGCAAAAUAAGAGGAUAGCUUAGUAUUACAAGCAUAAUUAAUUAAAAUAAAGGCAAAUUGUAACAGCCCGUCCCUAAAAAUGACGAUUUUAUAAUCUUAACACGUGAGUUUAUGAAGAUGCCCUUCGAGGCAAAGUGUUGACUACCGCGUCGUGUCAUGUGAGACUCAUCUUCUUGGCGUAUUCUCGUUUUACUCGUCGCUACGGAUGCGUGGGCGCAAACGACACGUGAUUUGGAGCUAUAACAAAAGAGUUAUUAACAUUUAAAGUUAAGGACAUUUUAGUAAAUUAAUUAAUUUCAGAUUUUGUUGAGGGGAAAAUCUGGAGUGCCAUGUGGGUGGCCCAGAUUAAAGGAAAUGAGGAAUGGAUGGUGGAGGUGUAAAGGAAAGAAGAUAAAAGAAAAAUGAGAGGAAAUGUGUGACUAAUAGGGAGAUGAGAGAGUUAGGAUGGCCCAAUUAGAAACAAACGAAAGGAGGAAAAAGGAGAGAAGAGGGGAGCAGGGGAUCCCUUCAACCCGGUUCCACUUUCCGACCCGACCCGAUCCUUUUCAUCUUUUCCGGUGGUUUUUCGUCAGUUUUUCCGGCGAACCACGUUAUCUAACCCCGUUGAAAAUGUUCCACGACCUUCCCUCUACCAUUACAACCCAAAAUUGUAGAAAUUUAGCCAUGAAAGUAUGAAAACCGCACCGGUGGGUGCGGGAAACCUUUGUCGUCGAUUCUCCCAUUAUUGAAACGAUUUUCACCAAUUAUCACCACCUACAGCAUCCUCUUGAGGUCUGGAAUAAAGCCCAAACAAGUUUUGGGGCGUUGGAGUUCGUUUAAGGUCGAAUUGAGCACACCCAAAUUCAAGGGUUCCGUACCGUUCAUGGUGAUUUGAGGUGUUUCUCGGCCAAAUUGGCCUUAGUCACAAGUAUGAAAGUUGCUCCACUCGUUGAGAUCUUCAUUUAUGUGAAAUUUGAGAAUUUUUUGAAAUAUUUGGAUUUUCCAGCGAGUCGGGGUGGCGGACCGCCACCGGCAGCAGCGCAUGGCCAGUGGUCCACCAAUGUCAUUUUACGUUAAAUUGAUAUCUUGAUUUUAGAUUUGAUGUCUAUAUGUUAUGACUUGAUUAUGUGAACCUAGUUUGAUUAAGGUGCGUUAAUUGGUAAAAAUAUGAAACGACGAUCCGACCGUGGGAUCGUCACCAAACUUUAAUAUGUUAUAGUACAUAAUAUUUGAGAAUCAUAGGGACUGACAGAUAGGAAAUCCGAGAUACAGAUCUUCCCGAAAUGGAAUUGUAAGUUUGAAGAAUAAACGUUAACCGCCACUUUGUUUUGACUAUUGGUGGAGAUCCAACCGUUGGAUCAUAAUGAAAUUUUAGGAUGAUGUUUUAGAAGCAUAAUGUGGAUCUUUGGAAGUUACUGAUCGGAAAUCCGAGGAGUGAAUCUUCCGAAUUGAAUUACGUAGGGUUGUGGACCUUACCGUCGAUCGUUGACCGAUGAUCGACUUUUGGUCAAUGGGGCUUAAAUCAAUCUAAAACGUUUUUAGGGAUGUGUUUUACGUAAAUUACAUGAUCUAUUGAUAAGAAUUAUGAGAUGUGGUUUGAUAAUUGUCCUAGGUGCCGAUCGUUAGGAACGCUUCGAUGGUUAUGCUAGGAAAUUGUAGCACAGACUCCUUGUGAGUGAAUCUUUUCCUUCUUAUCAUAUAUAUAUAUAUAUAUAUAUAUAUAUAUAUAUGAUUGACAAUUCCACAAACGUUUAUAAAUUGAUUAUUGCAUAUAACUACUGUGAAUACUUUGAAGUACUUAUGCGAACUACGAAUGGCUUGAUCCGUGUUUAGGGUACGUAGGCAGUCUAACAAGACGUUAGAUGUAGUCAUACAAUAAUUGAGAUUAAACAAUUGAGAUAAAGCCUUGUUUGGGGAACUGGGCAAGGUGAAGGAAUUUGGUAAAAAGGUGAGAUUUAACCUUAUGAAUUGGUGAUUAAAUGUUGGUCAUAAAUCAAUGUGUAAAGAAUCAAGAAUUUGAAGUAAGGAAACGUAAGUAAUGAUAAUUAAUUAAACUAGUGUCUAGUUGGGCUUGUCACCUAUAAUUAUCCCCGAAAAUGAAUAAUUCGGGAGUAGGGCGUUACAGCUUCUGCAUUUUUAUGCCACAUUAUAUAUAUAUAUAUAAUUGGAAAUGCUAUAACAUGGUUGAGUAUCAGAUUUCAUCAUGGUUUAUCUAUAUGUAUAUUACCUGCACACAAUUAUUAUGAACGCGUUGAAGUGCAAAGGUGAAUGCACGACACCCAGGUAAGUUCAGGUGAGUUUAUGGUAUUAGUUGAAAUGAUGGGGUUAUGGUAUGACUACAUGUAUGUUUAGGUUGCAAUGAUAGGCAACUCCAACACUGUCGUACAGGUUGCCCAUGAAUUGUACAUGUUACAAUAGAUACAGUUAGAGCUCAUAAACCUACACCCCGGUGUUAGUACUCCCGCUCGUGGCCAGGGCACAGUCCUUCACGUGAUGUUCACCUCCCGCACCUUACGCUCACCUUGGAUCCAAGGUAGGUGCACAAUCAUGUCGUACCACUAUAGGUGGUUCCGACUCGUAGAUGACCCGCGAUUAUUUGCACAGUCUUCACGUGAUUGUAGCACUUGAGCGUAUUUAUUUACACCCAGUUCUAUUGUACAGACCACUUUAGGUGGUUCCGACUCGUAUGCAGGUAUACUUAUUAAGCUAUGGAUAAGUCGUACAGGUCACUAGAAGUGACUCCGACUUAUGAGCUAGCAUAUGUGAUGAGCUAGCAUAUGUGAUGAGAUAAGUGAUGAGUUAGUAUAUGUAAUGAGAUAUGUGAUGAGCUAGCAUAUGUGAUGAGAUAUGUGAUGAGCUAGCAUAUGUGAUGAGAUAUGUGAUGAGCUAGCAUAUGUGAUGAGUUAGCAUAUGUGAUGAGCUAGCAUAUGUGAUGAGAUAUGGGUAAGUCGUACAUGUCACUAUAGGUGACUUCGACUUGCGUGCUAGUAUGGGUUAUUAAUCACAUGAUUAUUGAUAUUACUGAUGAGAUGCUGUGUUGUGGUAUAUUUAUGAUCUUUCUGGAAACUAUGCAAGUGUUGUAACGAGGGGUUAUAAUGAGGUGUUGUAACGAGGGGUUAUAAUGUUUUAUAUGGUUUCUGUUAAAAUUUUAUUUCUAGGGUCACUCACCCUUAUUUUGUUUUCACCCUCUAGGUUUUAUUAGCUGAGCUUUCUUAUCGUCGAAGAUUCGUGGCGAUUCUUAGUAUUGGAGAUUAUUUCGAGAGUACGAUUCUUAAUUCACUUUACUGUACUUGCUUAAGCUGUAACGUCACGUGUGAAGUGGGUUCAUUUCCGCUUACCAGCGCAUUCUGGUAUUUAGGCACUCUUAGGUUUAAAUUUAUUCACAUUUUUCCACAUCAUCAAACUUUAUGGCUUUGUCACUCUUUAGGUGUCGGCCAGCACAGCUCGAUUUGGAGUCCUAGUGGACAUUCCGGGUCGGGGUGUGUCACAAAUGAAGAGGAUGGUUGAACUUGUUAAGUUUCUUAAGUGUGUCUACUUGAAGUGUGUUGCUAAUAAAUAUUUUGUUGUAGGCAUAAUUUACUGAACAAUUAUGGAGGCAGAGAGAGAGAGAGGGAAUAUGCGGCAUAGAGAGAGAAGAGAGAGAUGUGUAAUUGUGAGGUGUGUUCUAUUCCACCCCAUUGUACCUUUAUUAUAUUAGUAGGGAAAGUUAAUUCCUUACCCUUUUAGGAUUACAACUCUAAUAGGAAAAUAUCUAGUCUAAGAGAUAUGAUAGAAUCUCAUAAGGAUAUCCUAGAUAUGUUAGGAUUUACACAAUCAUAUUCCUAUUCCAAUAAGACUGCAACACAUUUGUAUUUUUUUAGAAUUUUUUUGAUAAUUUGUUGGUAUUCUCAAUUUUUGUUAACAUUGAAAAUAUAACGGUUCAGAUGAAAAACCUUUGGAAAUCCAACAGCUUGCAAGACGUUGGGCUGUGCUGAAGGAAGCUGGGCUGUCACGUGGAUGGGGCCCUCCCUCUCCCUCUUGUUGAUUCAAAGGGCGCAGGCCCGUGCAACAAUUGGCGAGGCAGCCCAUAGAGAUCCUGCGAUUCACCCAUUCGCCAUUUUUUCCACCGCUGGAGCACCAAAAUUCGGUCAAAAGGCAGGGGUAUCAAUGGCAAGGGCAAUUUGGCUUCCGCUGGAGGUGCUCUUUGUCGACUUUGUUUUUUCUCUCAUUUUAGCUUUUGCAGUAAUAUUGAAGUAAUCACUCCAAUUUUAUCCAAACUUUUGUUGUCCGUCAAUUUUUAUCAAAACUAUUGGUUAAUUUACAUAUUCAGACUAACCUUCUCAUUAUUUUUAGUAUUUUUAUCAUAAAUAAUAUCUGAAAUAGUCACAUUUUAUUCAACAACCACUCAAUUAAAAAUUAAUUAGUGUUGUUUCUAAACCAUUACAUCAAGCUUUUGUAGAUACACAUCAAUAUUGCAGCGAUCCGAGGCAUUGUUUUAGUGACGGUAGUACUUUCUACUCCUUGGAUUUGGUGAAUCGGAAAAGAGAAGAGUUACGAGUAAAAGUCCCUCGCAUUGUUUUGGGGAGAUGAAGAUGAUGAUCUUUUGUUUUUGUUUUUUAAUGAUUAAUCCACGCAGCAACAUAUAAUUAAAUUGUUGGGAUCUACUCAAGUUCCAUAUCACACACUAACAUAAAAUUUGACAAACGAAACGAAAUAUGUGUGUAGACAUCGAAAUUUCGUAAAUAAAUGUUGACCGAUAAAUCAAAGUGUCAACGCUCAUGUAUUACAUAAAUUUUACACGUAGCGUGUGACUCAACGAAAAUUGAAAUGAGUUGGAAAAGUCAUCAAAUAGGACACGUGUCAACACCUGGCAGAAACGACUUAUUUCAUCUGGGAUAUUAUAUUCAAAAUUAGCCAUUGGAAAAUUCUAUAAAUACAAGCCCAUUUCAUUCAUUUAAGGAGAGGAAUUCAUAUUACACCUUGAAGCUCUGAAGCUCUGAAACUCCGAAGCUCUCAAGCAUCCAGGUUCCCGAAGAAUCAAGAAAGUGUUCUUCGUUCUUCGUUCAUCGUUCUUCCAAGAUCAAGCCUCGACGGCCCUUGGAUCAACAAUCAUCCACCUUCAAGAUCAAGCCCCGACGGCCCUUGAAGAAAGCGUUCUUCGUUCUUCGUUCAUCGUUCUUCCAAGAUCAAGCCCCGACGGCCCUCGGAUCAACAAUCAUCCACCUUCAAGAUCAAGCCCCAAAGGCCCUUGAAGAACUUCCACCAAUUCAAGAUCAAGCCCCGACGGCCCUUGAAGAAAGCACCAUCGUUCAUCAUCCGUUCAUCCAAGAUCAAGCCCCAACGGCCCUUUAGAUCAACAACGUCGACAAAUCCACACAUCCAACCGUUCUUCAAGAUCAAGCCCAAAAGCCCUUGAAGAUCCGUUCAUCACUGUUCUUCAAGAUCAAGCCCAAAAGCCCUUGGAGAUCCGUUCAUCACUAUUCUUCAAAGAUCAAGCCCAAAAGCCCCUUUGAAGAUCCGCUCAAAUCCACCUUCAAGAUCAAGUCCACGGCCCUUGAAGAACGUUCAUCCUUAGAUCAAGCCCAACGCCCCUUUGGAUCAAUCGCACAUCCACAAAUCAACACCUUACGGAGAUCGAAUCAGAGGAUCAAAAUAGAGAGAGAUUGUAACCCAAAAUCAUCAAAUACAAAUAUUUGUUUGUGCGCGUUGUUCUUGUCUCUUUCGUUUCAGGAAUUUUCCGUGUUCACAAUGUGCUCUUGAAAUCAAAAUGAGGGCACUGCUCCAAGAACAAGAAGGGCACCUUGUCGAGGUCGCCAUCCGCCGUGAGGGAAAACCGGAAGAAGUUGGACAACAAUGAUAACAUCAAUUUGCGGCACCCAUAUCGGGACAUCACACUGUGAAAUAAAUAUUGAAAUAAAUACUCAAAACUCCUGGAAAGUCCUCGAGACAACAAACUUUCAUCUCCUUCAAACAUUUCAUUUUACUAAGUUUUAUCUUUGAAGGGAGGGAAAAAAAGAGAAGAGAGAAUCCUACUCCUUAUUCCUGAAUAUAUUCAAGAAUAGCUAUUGAAUAAAGAGAGAAUGGAGGGUGAUCGAAAGAGGAGGGAAGAGAAUUCUAGUUCCAAACAUAAAAAGGACCACAACUUUUAAAUUAUCAGCACAAUCAUCACCUAAUUGAAGAGACCAUUCACUGUGAAACAUAUUGUCAAUCAGUCUAUCUAUAUCUAUUUAUAUACCAUAUUUUUAGAGUAAGAUUCUCUCACCUCCUAUUACCAUCCCCUUCCAUCCUUUCAUCUCAUACUCUUUUUUUGUUGUCUUAUUCUCUAUAUAAAAAAAUUCAAAACAAGAUGUAUACGUGACGUAAUCGUAACCGUUUAAAUAAGAGGGGAUAGAAGAGAAGAGAGAUUAGGAGAAGGGAGAAUCCUACUCCCACAUUUUUCUUCUUCAUAAACAAAAGAGAGGUUCUAGAUUACUUGACUCUAUGCCUCAUUUUUUUCAUCAAGUAUUUGUGAUAAGUGGGUUCAUUUUCAAGUAUUUUAGUUUUUUUGUCAAAAUUGAGAAAACUGAAAAUCAAACAUUAAUAUGAAAAAUUAAAAAAUCAACAUAUAAUUAUUUAGAAAUCGCAAUAGAAAAGAAAAAAAAUGGAGGUUUGUGAUGAAAAAUCUUUUAUACUAAGUAAUUUAGUAUCCUUAUGCAUGAAGAUAAAUCAAUUUGUUCGUUACGGUCAUACUCUUUUUUGAAUUUUUGAACACAUUCUCCAUAGGGCCUUCUUAUAUGUUCCUUCUCCAAGCUCGGGUUAUGGAAGAAGUAAAAGAAGGAAUCGAAAAGAAAGUAUUGGUAACAACCGAUUUCAUUACGAGACAACUCUUGAUAUUCAUAUCAAUCUAUUAUGUACCUUUGCAUCUAGCAUUAGACAAUAAUUGUCAUAGCUUUACCAUAUUUUUUUGUUUCAUUUCUUCUGAAACAAUCUCACACACUUUUUUAUUAUGUGUCUACUACUAGGAAUUCAAUACGUAAUCUUAGCAUUCAAUAGUUAUUCCUAAAUAAUUUCAAUUUUCAAAUGAUCAACCAUUUCAUUUUACCAAGUUCAAUCAAUGUUAGUCAGAUUAGUCAACAUUUAUAUAUUUUGAUGCAACAACAAGAUGUUAUUUGUAACAAGUGAUUUUGUUAGUUGGUUAAUUGGUCACAAGUUAAUGUUCGGUUCAGUUUAGUUUUUCUCUCGAUUUUUUGUGAUUCGGUUUUUUCAAUUCUCUUUAGGGUCGGUUCGGUUUUGUUUUUUUAUUUAUACUUGAAUUUUAUUUUAAUUUAUUUUAAUUUAUUUUAUUUUAAAUCUGGAAACACCAAGAACAACACAAGCACAUAGUCAAUCAAACAACUAUCCUUCUCCACAAAUCAUAGUAAUAAUUACAUUCAUUGAGCUGAAAUGCAAAUAACUAACAAACUCACAAAAAUCAAAUAAAAACUACAAAUUGCUUACUCUUUUUCUUUGGGUUUCACUCGAAAAGUGUCGGUAAAAUUUAGGGUUUGCAAGAACGCAACUGAAAUCUAAAACGGAGGCCUUGUGGCCUAUGGGUUGCUAUUGAGUUCCAGUACAGAGAACCUUGCUUAAUCUCGAUCACGGUACAAAGUAUCGAGUACCUUUAGCACUGUAUUUUGGUAUGAUUGGUAGAACCAAAUUAAAAGCUAACAUCAACAACAACUACCAGAGACAAAAGCUCUUAUCAAUGCUUUGGAAACAUUUAUGUAUCUCCAAGUGUAAUGAUAUAAUUGGUUGGAAACUUGUGAUUUCGUAUCAAAUCAAUAAAAAGUUACAAUAUUGACAAUAUAUUAGCAAUUUUUAUGUUAAUUAUGAACAAGUCAAUCAUGUAGAACCAAAUUAAAAGCUAACAUCAACAACAACUACCAUAGACAAAAGCUCUAAUCAAUGCUUAGGAAACACAGUCCUGUAUCUCUAGGUGUAUUGAUAUAAUUGGUUGGAAAUUUAAAAGAAAAAUGGUGAUUUUGUAUAAAAUUGAUAAAAAGUUACAAUAUUGACAAUAUAUUUGACACACCCCGACCAAGAUCAAGGCAUGCUGGCCGUCACAUGAGAGUGACGUAACCAUGUGCACAGUGCGGAAGCAAUAAUGAUAAGAAAUAUAUGAAUAAUUAAAAACCGAAUCUACUAGAGUGCACUACUAAACAGGAAGUAUUAGGAGUAAGAUACAAAAGUAAAUACUCCUAAUCAGAGCAUAGAAAGUCUAGGUGCAAUCCAGUAGGACAAGUACUAAUUAUACAGUAUAAAAUGUCUUACAAUUAUUUAGAUAGGUCAGAACCGCCGAAGUCCUCACACCCAACAACUGCAAACUUACUUAAAACCUGAAGGGGCGCAAAAUAGAAAACGUGAGUGGGAAAAAACAAAUGUUUUACAAAACCAUUUCAUUUAUCAAUAUAUCUAACCCCUCGCUGUAAACAUGUAUAAUUUUUCCCAGAAUCAAGAUAUAAGCAUAUACAUAAAUAUAUAUAUAAAUAUAUCAAUUCAAAUCAUGCUUCACAUAAUCAUAUUCAUAUGUAUGUCAUGCCAAGAUAUAACAGAGUAAGCAACUCAGGUAAGAGUAAUUUCAUAGAAAUAUAACAUGUUAGCCGGAACCCCUGUAGUAGUCUGUACGGCUGAAUUCAUAGCUCAAAAGUCAAUCUAGCCGAAGUCACUACAAUGACCUAUACGGCAAUAUACUGCACAAGAGUCGGAACCAAAUGAAAAGAUCUGUACGACAAUAAUGGGUGUUGUUGAUGCACAAAAUCAGUGAGGACUUUGGUACAACAGAAAGUGUUAAGUUUGUGACAUUCUCUAGAUUACUCCGAUCACUAGUGUGGAUAAGUAUGUAAAUGGAUAAAGACAGGGAAGCAAACACAAGAUGUACGUGGUUCACCCAGAUUGGCUACGUCCAUGGAGUAAAUGAGUUCUUAUUAAUUGUGAAGGGUUUACACAAGUAUAUAGGUUCAAGCUCUCCUUUAGUGAGUACUAGUGAAUGAUUUAGUACAAAUGACAUUAGGAAAUAUUGUGAGAGAAUGAUCUCUAUUUAUAGAAGAGAGUUUCUAGUUUCAUUCUGACAUUGACACGUGUCAUGUUGUGAUUGGCUUCUGAUGUUGACAUGUGUUGCACUAUGAUUGGCUUUAGAUGUCAACAUGUGUCGCGUUGUGAUUGGCCUCCUGGUUUGAGGGAAACUCUUCUGGCUCCUUGACGGUAUAACGUUGAUCGAUGCUCAGUAGUUUCGGGAUUGGUCAAGUAUGGUACAAACAGGUGUAAUAUAAUCAUACUCAAUACUACUCUCACAUAAUAGCUGGGUGAUAAAUCGCUAGUCACCUAUGAGUCAGAACGAUAAUAAAGGUCUGUACGAAGACUGUGCACCUAAAUUGGAUCCAAUAUGACCAUAUGGUGCGGGAUGUGACAUUAUAUACAGGCUUGUGCCAUCACUGGCGGAGCUACACCCACGGCUACAGUAGGCUGUAGCCUAGGGAGGAUUUUAACAAACUGCUGGUAUAAUAGUUUAUAUAUGAGUUUGUUGUUGCUUAUUGUAUGUAUAAUAGCCCACAUAAAUCCUGCCAAAAUUAUUAGUUAAUGUGUUUCUUAAUUUAUAAAUAAUACUUUUAUUACCUUUUAUUAUUUUAUUAUUUUUAGGCUAAAAGUAAAAAUGGUAAAUUAAUACAUAAUUAGGUUUCUCCUAUUCCCCAUGCUUUUUACCUAUUCGUUCAAAACAAAAAAAUUAAACCCUCUACCCUAAGAAAAGAAAAACUAUGAAUCACCAUCAAAUUAUUUUCUAAUGAAAUUCAACACUAGAUAUGCUCUUCAUGUCUUCAUUUAACCUAUUUCUUGAUUCAAUUGUUCAUUCCAUAUAUCUACAGCACGACUUGAAUUGGUAUCCCCUAACCUUUUUUCUUUUGGGUACUUGUUAUCAACAAAAGUGAUAAUAUUUGUUCUCUUUCUAUUGCUUUUUUGUAUGCAUGUUUUAUUUGUGUAAAAAUUAGUUGGAAAGUAAUUAAUAAACUUGUUUGGAUUAUUAGUACUUCAUGUUCCUACUUUUAUGUAGAUUACUAUAUAAUUUUAUGUAGGCAAAAAAAAAAUUCAUAAGAUUAUAUGCUAAUGAUUUUAGUUAGCCCACCCAAGAAAAAUUUUCUGGCUCCGCUAUUAUGUGCCAUAACUCUGGCAAAAUCACAAUCACCCUAAGUGCAGUUUUAUGAGUUCAACGUUAUUCUAUCACAUAUCACAUCAUCGAUAAUUCACAUAACCAAACAUAACUCACAUGAGCUUACCUGAGCGUCCACAGUACCAUAAUUAUAUAUAAUGCAUCAUAUACGAAAUAUAAAUUCAUAUGCAUGGCAUUUAAGGUAUACUUUCAUUUAAACACAUAUUUCUGGGAAAAUAUCAAGUAUAUAAAUAUAUACUGAAAACCAAAAGCCCACUCAUUGGUAUGUCGAAGGGUCGUAGCCCCCGAGUCGCCUUUGAAUACUCUCGUCCUCGUGAUAAGUCUCACCUAUAUGCGAAUUAACUAUAAAAACGUUAUUUUAGAGCACAUACAAAAAAUUAGCUAAUAACUCUCAUACAAUGCUCAAUUUUUGUAUUUGAAUAUAUCACAGUGACCUACACAACCUCAAGAUCAUCCCUAAAUUUUUACAAUAUUUUUCUGACCCCUCACGCGCUGCCACGCACCGGCAAGGGCAACGCCUUACUCGCCCCCACGCGCGGCCACGUGACAAGCAUACUGAUGGCGUCAAUCAACAUCAUCAGGAAUAUUCUAGGGAAUAUUCUGUUAAAACCCAAUGGUAACUGUUAAAGAUGACUGACGGCAUGAGCAUAUUCUGUCAACCUUGACGGAAUAUACUCCUUUCUUCUCCGAUGAGUCGUCGGUCGCCGGCGACUUCGCCGAUUUCUUGGUAAAACUUUAAAUCGCUUAUUCUUCUUCGUUUCUUCGCCAUUUUUCAUGAAAUUGGUACCAAAAUGAAGCUAAUAACAUGUAGAAUCACUUUGUAUAAGUUUCAAGGCUUAAAAUCUACUAGUUUUUCCCUGAGAAAGCUCGAUAGUUCGGCUUACCUAGAUAUGCGUCGAUCUCAGCCCUCCGACGUCCAAUUCCUUCCAACGAAGUACCCCAAGACUCGUGAGGACCUCCUUAAGCUUCCUAUAAGCUUCAAAUUCCCUGAAACACAAGAUUUUACGUAUGCAUGAACAAUGCACAAAGUCGGAGCUAGGGUUUCCACGUGAAAUCGAAGGUUUCCUUACCUGAAAAUGGUUCCUUUGAAUUCGUAUGGUUCUCACGAACACAAUGGUGAUCUUAAAACCUUCGAUCUACAAGGUUUAAGAGGGUUUCUGGGUUGGUCCGUACGAAGAAGGGAGAGAGAGAAUGAGAAUCUGCGAGAGAGAGGGCACGGGAAGGAAAGAGAAAUAAGAUAGGUGUGUGUAUGGUCCAAAAGCCACCAAUCAAAACUAAGAAAAGUCUUAGUUGUAAUUGGGUCACCAAUCUAAAACAAUUUAACCCAAUAAUAACUUACACACAUCAUUUAACAUCCGAGGGUAAUUCCGUCAUUCUACGUCAUCGAGAAUAAUCUUCCGGGACGGGCUGUGACAAUAUCAGCAAUAUUUAUGUUAAUUAUGAAUAGGUCAAUCAUGUAUUUAAUACUUAAAUGUAUUUAAAAUAAACACCUUAUCAAUGUUUUCUGAACUGUGCUCGAUUUUUCUCCUUCGCUUUGGUUCUGUCCCAUUGGAUUUUUCAAGCAAGAUUUUAUCAAGGCAACUAUCAUUAACUGUGAACAUAAUUUAUCAUUGAGACACGAACAUCCAAGGGGGAGUGUCGUGGAAAAAAAUGUAGAUAUCUUUAUACGUUGUAUGGUAGUAAACCAUCAUAAACACCAUAAAUAUGUAGAAACGCCCUUGCGGUACCUUUGAAUGAUAACUCAUGUAUUUGUUGCCCUAUGUAAAGAUGGCUAAUGAUAAUGGAAGACUAAUUUUCUCAUCCCAAUCUCUCCUGUCUCUCUUAUUCUCUUUUCUCUAUAUUUUAUUUCCAACAAGUUGUGUUUUUUUUUUAGUAUUGUUAAGCAACCCAAUAGAUUUUAAUCGUAGUCUUUGUUUUUUUUCUUUUAUAUUUUUAAUCAAUUUCAGUUGCUUAUCAGUUCUAGCUAAUUGAGCUCUUUUACAGCAAUUUUUUUCUUUAAAUAAAAUUAUUAUUAUUAAAAAGAGUGAGAAAAUUCGAAAUUGUUACAAUAAUUUAAAAAAAAUAGGAGUUUCAAAUCAUGAAGGUAGAGGGAGUUAACAACAUUUUAGGGGGGGGUGUAGUCAAACUAGGAUUUUGAAGGAUUUUAAAAGUGAUAGAUUUGAUAGGAUUUAAGAUGAUUAAAGACUCUUACAAAAUUCAUAUGGAUUUUAAAGAAUAUGAAUGGAUUGCGGUGGAUUGUGGGGGAAGGAUUUGAAAUCCUAGGGGGUGAGGUUUGAUUCUUUUUAGUUUUGGUUAUAUAUGGUAUGCUUUCAAAUCCCAGAAAAUCCACAACUUUUUAAAAUCCUUUAAAAUCUUAAUUUUUUUAAUACACUUAGAUUUGGAUGGAUUCUAAAAUCCUUUAAAAUCUUUUAAUUGACUACACCUAGAUUUGAAUGGAUUCUAAAAUCUUUUAAUUGACUACACCUAGAUUUUAAUGGAUUCUAAAAUCCUUUAAAAUCUUUUAAUUGACUACACUAUGAUUUUAAAGUCUUUAAAAUCCUCUCAAAUCCAAGUUUGACUACACCCCCUAAAGAUUUUAAGGAAAACUAAUGAAAAUGGCUUGAAAACUUUGAGUUUUAACUAGGGGUGGGCAAACGGGUACAGGAACCGCGGGUAGGGGUGGGUAAUUCAAGUUCGGGGCAGGUAUGGGACAUGUCCAAUAUUUCUAAACACAAAACGGGGCGAGGCUGUUCGGGUAUAUGAAAUUAUCGGGGCGGGGCGGGUCUUAAAAUAGAAGGGAACGGGCCCCCAGCCUGACCCGUUUCUUUUCCUCAUCCCUAGUCUUCUCUAUCUCUCUUCCCCGACACUUUUCAUUUCACUCAAACCCGGCCCAUUUCUUUUCCUCAUCAGUCAUCCCUAGUCUUUUCAAUCUCUCUUCCCUAACUCCUUUCAUUUCACUCGUACCUCGAGACCUCCUCUUAACUCGCUCCCAGCCUCCCACCGUCCUAGCUCCGUACCUCGCCAUCAUCAUCGUCAGACCUCCAUCUCUCCUGAUUUACUCAUGUCUUCCUCGCUGCGUCCGCCGCCAUGUCUCUCUUUCUGUGACGAACUUAAAGGGACGGACGAAGUUGAACAACUCGAAACGACGCCUCUUCUGUCUGAAUUAGACCCAUAUUUGCAGCGCACGACUCUGCUCAUAGUCCUCUUCGGUUUUAAGGUAUUACGUUUUAGAGAUUUAGGAUUGAAAAUUAAAUUAGGGUUUUCUAGAUUUAGGGAUUUUGUUGGGUUCUUGAACCUUGACCUCUGUUAUGUUCCAAUUUCAAAUAUAUAUUGAAUUGAAUUUGAAUCGACUGUGUUUGAAACUUCUGUUGAAUUAAAUUGAAUUUGAGCAGGAGAAGAGGCAGAUGUGGGUUGGGCAAUGUCGAAUCUCAUUGUGGGUGGUGAGGUGGGCAUGGCGGGCGACAAUAUUGACUGGCAAUGGUACGGGCGGUGCUAUUAAGUUGCAGAAGAAUACGAAGGAGGGGGUGUGGGCAUGGGUGGAUAUCGCAAGCUCAAUUGAAUUUUUUCUGGUUUUGUUUGUGAUUAAUUGCUUGUAUAUGAUAGUUAUUGAUGGAUCUUGACAUGCCCAUUUAAUUGUUAUUGGCAAUGCUAGUUUGAUUGUAACAAAUUCAAACCGAUUGAAUUGUAUCCCAGAAAAAAAAAUCAAUAAAGGAACUGAGGACCCGGCCCGAACCAGCCCAUUUCAACCGGGCCAGGUUAGGUUCGGUUCUUAUAUUAGAAAAUGUUGUUCCCGGCCCGUUUCUCUUAAGCCCGGAUCCAGUCCGAUCACUUCGAAAUUGGCCCCAACCCGGCCCGGGCCCACCUCUAGUUUUAACGAUAAGGACAAAAUAAAGGGUAAAGUGAAUAGUACCAAGUUUGACUUUUUAGUGUAAAAAUGUAAUUUUUCGUUAAAAUAAGAUUUUAAUGGAUUCUAAAAUCCUUAAUUAAGAAAUUAGGCUUCAACCCAACUCAUCUUUGCAACGCCGGUUCCACUUCACAUCAACAGGCAAUGUUUUCUCCUCAACAAAUAGUAUUCUUUUAUGAGACAAAGACUAAUGAGGGUGAUAUAUAUAAUUAAUAAUAAUACUUGUGUUCCCUUUGUGAGUGAAUGCACUUAUUUUACCAUUCUCUAAUAAUGUAUCUUUAUUAUAUAAAUUUAUAUCAUGUGGAUAUCUUCCUAUAAAAAAGUUAUUCAAAUUGGAAAUCCUUACGUCAUCAAAAUAUAUAAAAAAAUGGACGAUCUCAUCGUAAAUAUGUUAGUUACUCACACUAUAACUUUGUAUAUUCCCUCACGUAGGAAACGCAAUAAUUAUCCUCUAAUUAAUUCUUCUUGAGAGUAGAAUUUUUAUUGUUGGUUUUUCGCAACCUUCAGACCUAAAGCUGAUAUGGACCUCUCAUUGUUUUUUGGGUUGCCGUUCUUAUUUUGCUUGGUCCUUUUACCUUUUCUAUAGUUGUUUAUCUAGUUCUUUUGAGCCUCGUACUAAUUUUUAAUGUAAUGAAAAUUAUCUUCGUGAUAAAAAAAAAAAUCAUUAGUCCUCGUAUGAACAUGCGAUGUAACACACUUUCAUGGAACAACAGAUGAUAAAGACGAUAUCCAAAUUUUCUCUGUGUUAUGUGGACUUUCCCAACCAAAUAAAUAAUAACCAAUAAACAAAUAAAUAAGAGUUUAACUUCAAACAUUGAGAAGCGAAAUUCCAACACUACGAGCCUAACUUUUGUCUUCAUCAUCAUCAUAGACUAGUCUCCUAUCCAUCAACUCCUACAUCAAUUUUUUUUUUUACUAGAUUGUAGCUCACUUUCAAAAGAGUUACGUAAAGUAUUUAAGCACCAUAAAAGAAAAUUAAACGACAACGAUUGACAUAAUAUUAGUAGUAUCAUGGUCUAAAAUAUUCAUAAUAUCUUGAUAUUUUUAUUGAAAUUUUCGUGUUUUUAGACUACCUAUAUUUUCAAUAUCAUCGAUAUUUUAAACCUUGCUAAGUCACUCAUGUAUCUUACCAUGCAAUGUAUAAAGUGUAAAAUAUUGUACUAAUUCAUUAUAUAUAAAUGAUUAUAGUGUGUUUAAACUUCUUUCAUUAAUUACUACAUAUUUUCUACACUCACAAUGUUUGCCAGCUCGCUAUAUAAUCAACUUAAAUCAAUUAUAUCUAUCAUGUAAUGCAUUUCCUUCCAAUUUUUUGUGAUAAACUAAUAGAUAAUUGACUAAAUAAACAUCCUGCAAAGUUUCAAUAAAAAUUUCCAAGUUUUUCUUACAAUUUCCGUAGUUUUUAUUCAAUUUUUAUCGAUAUCGAUAAUAUCCCGAUAUUUCCAUCGAAAUUUCCGUAUUUUUAGACUACUGAUAUUUCCGAUAUCAUCGAUAUUUUAUACCUUGGUAGUUAUACAUUUUAUCGGCCUCAUUUUUAUGCAACUUAUACAUUAAAUUAUUGUCAAAAUGUACAUAUAAAGUAGCUGAUCAACGAUGAGAUUUUAGGCAACCAUUUUCUUCUACGACGUCAAAGGUUGUAGAGGUGGCCAUGUGCACUACAUGCGUAAAUCAACUAGGGACUUGGAUCCUCUCUUAAGCCCAAGGAGAGGAUCCUCCUAACCAAAUGACUUGGAUUGUUGGAUGAAAAUCUAACGAUUACAAACAGAUGAUCUCUUUAAAGUUAUAAUAUUUAUUACCGUUGAAUUUUCAUCAAACGGUCAAAUAUCAUUGGUCAAAAGGGUCCUCUCAUUGGGCUCAGAGAGGACCCAAGUGCAUCAACCAGAACUAUUGCUAUUAUAACAAUUCAUGAAAUCAAUUAAACAAUAAUUUUCCUUCUGGCAGGCAUGUUAGUUAUUUCUUAUUUGGCCAAUUGCCUAGUGGAUUUGGUAGAUUUAACCUCUCCACCACAAACACAUUUAAAAAUUUCCAGAAAUCCGUAACGUAAAAUUUAAAAAUAAAUAUUAAUAACAGCAAGUUCUUUUCACCGACCGUGACCGAGAUCUGUCACAUAUCCAAAAUGUCACCUCCUUAUCGCAAAAACCAAAUUUGACUUGGGAUAAAUACCGUGUACAAAUUAAACGCGUUUCUCUAGCUUUUGCGUAAAGAGGCAACCCAACACUAAACUAGGAAAACGUUGGGUUGACAAAGAUACCAUGAAGAAUAAAGGGGUUAUGCAAUCCACUUUGCAAGAUAAUCAAAGUUUCCCGUUGUAGACUUGUCUUAACCCAACACUAAACUAAGAAAACGUUGCUUUCCCGUUGUAACAUGAAACAACAUUAAACAACAUUAAACAAUAUUAAAUAACAUUAAAUAACAUAAAAAUUAUACAACAUAAAAAAAACCAUUUAACAACAUAAAACUUAAAAUGCGUACUUCUUGCUUCUUGUGGCCUAAAGAUGUGCAACAAGAUCUUGAUGUAGGUACUUGUUUGUGGCACGAAAACGUAUCAUCCUAGCCGUUGGAUUUGAAUUUUUUUUGUUUUCGGCCAAAAAAUUUUAAAUUUAAAAGUUGAAGAUGGUGAGAAAUAUGAUCCUACACUGUUCAUUAAAAUAUUAAUUUCUUGAAUGACCAAAAGGCUAAAACAAGCCAUCCUUCGGUUGGAGAUGCCUAAGGAGAGACUAGAGAUAGAGAGUUUCCUAUAUAUGAUUUUCAUUAACAAGAUUGAAAUGAUUUCAGAGAGAAGAUCAAGUAUGGUUAUUUUUAUUUUGUAGAGUGUAGACAUUAUAACUAUACAUUCAUAAUAACAUGAGUAAUGUUAUAUUUAUCACAUUUGUACUCUUUCUCUGAUAAAGGUAGGGUUCAUCAACACAUGUGGGUUCUAUUUGCCCAUCAACACAUGCGGAUCUCAUUUUUAUUAGAAAAAUAGUACAAAUAUGGUACGGAAAAUAUGAUAAGAUCGCAAUUUUGUAAUAACAUAUAUACUCAACUAUUUAUAUACCGACCCAUCUCCUUUUAGUGUAGAUAAUAUCGUUUGUUAAAAAAAAUGUUGAACUUGUCAUAAUCAUUGAAUCCAUUUACCAUGAACAAACGGCAGUUUACUAAACUUGCCCUCAGAGUAUAUAUAAAAGGUGAAUCACAAUCUAUUGCAUUAAUAUAAGGAAACAAUUUAUAGGGUUUGACGGGUGACUUAAUAUGCUAUAUGGCACAAUGAAAAUUAAGUUCACACUUUAUCCCAAAUAAGGUGUUGCACCUUUAAUUUAUGGAUGCUGGUUUGACGUGUGACCGAAAUAAUCAAAUUGUAGCCAUUAAUCAUUUUACAAGUAAUAAUAUGUAGUUUUUACUGUUUACGAUUCACACAACAAUCUGCUAGGAAGUAGAAAAUGCAGUACUUGUCCCUCUCACAGAAGUCAUGAAUAAUUAUCAAAUUCAAAGAUAAAGAAAAACCACACAAUUUACAAGAGGAAAGAAAAUGAAGGGAUAAAGAAAGUAAGAAAGGAAUACCUCUAUGGGAGGACUCUUAUUUGCUUCAGAUGCCUACAAUAUUCAUCAUAUAAACACUGAUUAAGUAGUCAUCGAAAACCAAAACAAAUGUCGAACAUAGGGUGAAAAACAGAAAGAAUAACCGCAGCUCAUCAUACCAAUAGAGAUAGAACUGCCCGAUGCCCAAGUAUGACUGAAAAAUGGCAAUCCAAACAUGGCGCCUUCUAGCUCAUCAAACUGUCAAAACCUAGGUUCCACCAAAAAGAUACAAGUCACCUAGUUACUUGUAAAAUAAAAAUCUGUUUCAAAAUAGUGGAAAAUAUUAUUAACAUUGUUCAAAGUCCACAUUGUUGUACCUACCAAGAAACAAGAAGGAUUGUAUCUUAUCAUGAAAAAGAACAUAGGUACCUUUUCAAUUGUAAUUGUACAAAAAUGAGAGACCACUUCCGAACUUCUCUUGGAACUUCAAUCAAUUUCUGCCCACUUUUAAAUGCCUUGACAUACUUAAGCCUAUUUCUUUGAGCUUCAGUUUUGGCUUCUGAUGCCUUUAAAUUUCUUAAAGAUUCUUACCAAGUUUUACAAACUCACUUCUAUACAACCAUUUGUCAGUAUACAUACCAUUUUCUUUGAGCUUCAGUCUUUGCAACACCAAAACCCCCCAAAUAGACCCGGAAUUUUGCAAUGUGCAGGGAAUAUACAAAAAAAACCCUCCUAUCCAUCUAAAACGAAAUCAGAACCCAAACCACAAUCAAAAUCCGUAAAAUUAAUUUAGCCAACCCUAAAUCUAAUAAUUCUAACAAAUAUUAUAGUAUCAAUUGAGAGAGAAUUUGAGAAGAUACCUAGAGAUGAAAGGAAGAGCGUUUCCUCUGAUAGGGGUUCCGUGAAAGCAUCUGUUGACCAGAAAAGAAAAGGCAAAAAACCCCAAAUUACAUAUCAAGCAAUUAUAGAUAGAUCGAACCUUGAAAAUUGAAAUUUCAAACAAGAGAAAGGUUAUAAACUUACAACGAUCUGGGUGUUGGUUACUGGGUUUGGAUUUGGGUUUCUGAUAAGAGAGAGAAUCGUAUGAGGAACCGAUAGAGGAACUGCACCGGCAACAGAGAGCAACUGAUAUGGUGGAGAAUAGAGAUGGGCAAAAUAUCCCGGUUAUCCGCCCAUUUAAAGUUCACAGUUACGGUUAUGGUAAUUGAACGGUUAUGGGUACUACCCGUGGUUAUAACGGGUAUCUAUUGGUUAUGGGUAUUAUCCGCGGUUAUAACAGGUAUUCAUUUACCCAUUUAAUUUCAUAUAUGUAAAAUUUAUAAUAUUUUUAACAGUUAUAACGCGUUUUUGUAUUUGUUGCCAAACUUUUCGUAUACAAAAAAUUUGAAGCACAAGAAGCCAACAAGGAGAAAGAUCAAAGAGCUUACUUGAAGCUUAUGAUCUAUCCUGCGGUUAAUAGAAAGUACUGGUAUUAGUGUAGAAAAAUGUUUGUUUUUAGAAGCUUUAUUUUGUAAUCAUAUGAAUUAUAAUUAAAGACUUGCUUGGGUGUAGUAAAAAAAUAUCGUUUGUAAACUAUUAUUUCAAUUAUUAGAAUUGUAUGAUGACCUAAAUGAUUAAAAUAGAGAAAUGCAUGCUAAAAUGUAUUUAUAACAGUGUUUAAUUGUCAGAUUUUUUUUUUUUUUGUAAUUUUCAAGUUGUUAAAAAAAACAUGCAGAGAGGUGAAAAAAGGGAUUAAAAAAUGAUAAACGGGUUCAAAACGGGUAAACGGGUAAAUGAUUAUGGUUAAAUAGGUAAACGGUUAUGGGUAAAUGGGUACACGGUUAUGGGUAUGAGUAUAACCGUUUAUGCAAUUACCCAACGGGUAAACGGCUAUGUGGGUAUGAACAUAAAUGGUUAUGAGUAAAUAACCGCGGUUACCCGCCCGCUAUAACCAUUGCACAUCCCUAAUAGAGAACAUACGAGAAUAGCCGCUUGGAUGGUCAAUCCAAGAAGAGAAAAUCUUGCCACAAUCACGGUACUUGAAAAAAAAAACAAUUUUAAAGGAGGGAAACAAUCGCGCCUUUUUUUUAAUAGACUCUGUCGACGAUAUUCUUGACAAAUAGUCGGGUGAGCUUAUUUUUCACAACAUUUUAUUUAGGACUAGGUUCGGUUGGCAAAUCGUGUCAAAUUUCUUGUGCCAUUUGCCAGCCACAUAUACAUAAUUACCAAAAAUCAGUUACCGUUCGCCAACCAUCUUCUUGCGGUUGCCAAAAAUCGGUUCAACCAAAAUGAUUGGCUGGUUCGGUUGGUAAAUGGCACAACCGGUGGUUUCCACUUCUUCCUCGCUAUCUUCUAGUUGCAAGGGCUCAAUUUGAUUUUCAGAUUGGGAUGCUUGUUCGGUUGCAUUGUGUGGUUCAUUUUGGGUUAAUCCAUGUUGUGCACUAGCAAUUAAUUGGCUAGACUCCAUCAUCCUAAACAUAAGCAACACAUAUACAUUCAAAAUCAUAUAUAUGUACGUGUAUAUAUAGUAUCAGUAAUCAUCAUGUUAUCAAUUUUGUUAACAAUAUUUUCUAUAUUGAUUAUGGCAUGAAUCAUAUACAUAUACAUAUAUUUUUUAAACCCUAAAACUAAGGAGUUAUUUAUUUUCUAAGCCCUAAAAUUGAGGAGUCAAGCAUGUAAAAAAAUACUUAAAAUAUCUAAAUAGAAAAAGAAAAAAAAAAAAAAAAAUAUAUAUAUAUAUAUAUAUAUAUAUCGGUAGGUAUGGCAUACCGCCGACAUACAAAAUCAAUUACCAAAGCCAUGCCAUUAAUUGUCGGUUCGGUAAAAUGCCAACCGAUUAUGAAAAAAUGCCAAAACUAUACCAUACCAUUUUGAGCCAACCGGUAUGGUUCGGUCGGUAAAUCGGCUUAUGGCAAAAUUUCUCACCCCUAAUUUUAUUUGUCGCCUUAAACCUAUUGGUUUCUAGCCUACAAUUUGGAUAUUUUGUUGGGGAAAGAUUUUUGUACCAAUAAAAUUUUGCUUUGUCAGCUUAGGAUUUGUCGGCAAAAUGACAUUUUCUAGUCGUUAUAAUAUUAGGUAGAUCAAAUUUGUAAACUAUGUGAUGUGUCACCAAUAGGAAAAAAAUUCAGUGUGCUGAAAAUACAGUCUAGAACACCAAGUGUCAUAAUAUAUACUUGGUUGGAAAUUUUUUAUUUUCAAGUUUCCAACUAAUUGUAUUGUAACAGUUGGUGUUCCAAGCUAUUUUCUCGAUGCGUUGGAAAAUCUCUUCACCAAUUAAAAAUAAACAUAUUAAUUAACACUUAAGUAAUAAUCAAAGUAUCAACAACUACGUCAUAAAAUUUACGAAAUAUGAUCUUAAUUAAUGAUCUCCAUGGCAUUACCCUUUAUCUUAGCGUAUACGUACGCCUUCACAUGUUUAUUUGCUGAUAUGCAGCUUGAGUAAAAAUUUCUUUUUAAGAACAUAUAUGUGAAUAUAAACAUAUAUAUCUAGUGAUCCAUGUUGCGUUAUUUAAAAAUAAACAAAUUAAUUAAUUAAUAAAUGAACUGUGUGCAUGUCUGUGUAGAGUAAUCCAUAUGCAUGCUUGAAUCCUGAUCACCACGAAACCAUAAUAUAAGCUACUCAAGGCCCGGAAGCUAGGAUUGAAGAGAAAAACACCCAGUCAGAUUAAGCCAAUAUAUCAAAGUUAAUACUUCGAAAUGUAAGCUUUAAGAUAGAAAAAUCACUUACUACCUUGAGCAGUCGAGCUUCUUCAAUGGCAUGAAGCUUUUAGCAUGAGAUUGACUGCAUCACAACUAAAAUUUUCUCUUGGAAACUACAUAAGGAAUAGCAUGUAUACCUAUAACGUUGAGAAAGUACGCCAAUUUUUUCCUUCUGCACAUUCAUGUUUAAAAGUAAUCCUCAAAUGAACUUGCCCACAAUGAAAUGCAAUUUGAGGUAGUCGAGUGUGUUCCAUUUCCAUUCCAUGGGAAUUACUACUAAACUUUGAGAUGGUAAAGGAUUCAUGAAAUUUUUUACUUUUGAGAUAGCCUCUUUAACAUUUCUCGACUAUAACAAUGAGGGAAUACUUCACCUUGUAUCAAACAAGGGAGAGCGAAAAUCAACUACUAAUAGCAUCACAGAGCCAGCAGAAGAUUGAGGAGGCCAUGAAGAGGAGAGAGAAAAUACACUCUUUUUUUUUGUAAGGACAGAGAUAAUACAUUCAGUAAGGGGUACUGAUGUUUAUAUGCAAUGCUGAUUAGGUUUAAAUAGUCCUAUUUAUUCUGUACAGUGCCAAUAUUACCACCCGUUAGUACACUUUCAAGACACUGUACUCCAGUGUGUGCGCUAUGCAGUACGUAGUACUCCUCAUUUUUUGGGGAAAUUCAUUAUUGGUCUUCAUAUCUUCUUUAUUUUCCUUUUCCUCAUUGUGCCACGUGUUUAAAUCACUAAUUGUAGGUAAUCUUUCAAUUUAAUUAAAUCUUAUGUAAAAAAAGAUAUUUAAAUAUCAUUUAGUAUUACAAGAUAGUGAUAUUCCUCUUUAGUAUAAAAUUUUUAUAAUUAAAAGCGUUCAGUUUUUUAAUCUUCAUUUGAAUACUAUCUAUAAAGAAAAAUUAUUCGAAUAAGAGAUCGUUUAUGCAUUCAAAUGUACAAAAUGCAUCGACAGUGUGAGAACGAAUUAAUAUAUUUUUGAUGAAGUACAAUUAUUGAAUACAUUUGAAUGAUCAAAUGAUAUAUGAUUCAAAAUACAUAUUAAGAUAAUAAAUAUAAGUGAAUUGUUAUUAGCACUCCAAGAAUCUUAUUAUACACUCUAAAUUUUCUAUAUUUUGAAUGAAAAAUAAAUUUAUGAAGAGUGUAGAAUGAGAUUUUUUAAUGCUAAUAACACUUCUCUAAAUAUAAUUAUGAAAUUAAUAAAGUAAAGAUACAUGACCUCGUGAAUGAUGUAUGUAUUAUUCAAAAAAUUAUUAAAAACAAAUUGAAAAAGGACGCUGUUGUUGCCACCACUUAUGCAAUGAUCGUCGCUGCCAUCACCAACCCCCAACACCCCAUUACAGCUCAUAAAAGCACAUCAUAAGCAAUUUAUGAAAUAAAUUUACUGGAAUACUAAUUUCCCCCUUAGUUUAGGUCACCAAUGUUUAAAUUUAGGGGUGUGAUAUGCACAUACCUUUUUUUGCUUCUCUCACACUUUUUUUGUUGUUGUCGAAUCAGAUGAAUUGAAGAAGAUCAAUUGACAGAAAUUAACAAGGGGUGUAUGAAAAGUAAAAAUGGAUGUGUAGAUAACACAUCCCUAAAUUUAUCACAACUUUCAUUCCAAAUUUAAUUUUUAUGCGUAGUUUUGUUUGUUCAAAUUUACUUUGACAUUUCAAUUAGUAUUAAAAUCUAAUUUAAAUUUUAGCGUUCAAGCUAGAAAAAGUGUUCCAUUUAAUAUUUAAUCUCAGUUUUUCUCUUUAUUCUUUUAUUCCGAUUUGGUUGCAUCGUAUCUCCAUUUUUCUCGGUGUUGUAUGUUCAUAAGGCCUGGGAAACGUUGGCACGGAGUGAAGGGUACUCACUUUUUGGCCCAAAAUGCAUAAGGCAUGUAGAUAUGUUAAUCAAAUUUUGUAAACUAAAGGAUAUAGAAGUUGAUACUUAGAUUAUAAUUUAAGAUAAUACUAAAGAGACUAAAUUUGCAAACUAAAUGAUGUGUCACCAAUAAAAAUAAGCACGUUUAUCAACGCUUAAGUAAUAAAUCAAUCAUCAACUUUCAUGUCCUUUAGUUUCCAAAAUUUAAUAUACAAAUUUAGUCUCCCAAGCAUUACUCUAUUACUUAAGUAUUGAUUAACAGACUUAUUUCUUAUGGUGACAUAUUAUUUAAUUUACAAAUUUAGUCAACCCAACAUUACUCUUUUGAAAUUGUCUUGUCCACUGAUAUAAUUCUAUUUUUCUUGUGAUCAAAACUUCAAAUGUUAGCAAGUCGCACGUAAAGUCACUUCUGAGAGAAUGUGCUCACAUUGUAGUUGAAAGAUUAUGUGGCUAGCAACAUUACAAAUUUAAUUUGGUAUAAUUUAAAAUAUAGAUUGAGGAAAAAAUGAUCACAUUAACUAGAAACUGAAAAGGUUUCAGCACAGUUUGUUCAAGCAAGAAACUCAAUUUUGAUGCUACCGAUCUUAACAGCCUGAGCGCCGUACCUGGGCACUAAAGUCACCACCACACUCUCAUCAUCUUCAGCACCCAAAUCCUCCAACAGGUCCGUUAACCCCAACCUUAAACAACUCUUGCUCUUUUCCUUCUGCUUAUGUGGAACACUCACAAAACUCCCAGCAAACUCGCUCUUGUCGGGUCCACUCGGUGCCGCAUCCUCAUCGUCCACGUCAUUCACAUACACAUCAAACUUCACAGCCACAUCUUUGUCAAGCUCAAUCCCCUGAAUCACCAGUAUCUCCUCCUCAUCCUCUUUCUCCUUCUUGCUCCUCUUCUUCGGCUUCGGCCUUGACACCACCGUACUUAUCUUUGUCUCCAAAUUUAUUGGAAAAUCUUUACCCGCCACCACCUUCCCCGAUGACGUCGUCUCAGCGGCCUUCGCCACUCCAGCCGCCUUUGCCUUUCUCGCAAGCUUUGUCCGACGUGGCGUCGGUCUAGACUUGAGCCAUGGAAUCUCAACAUCUUCAUACGUAUACCCUAGCUUUUUAUUAUCAAGAGUGUCCCUCACCGUGACCCUAACAAGCUCAGCAUUCUCGUCAUAAAACAAAAACCCCGUAUCCAACCAAUCCUUAUCGUUAAUAUCUUUAUUUUUAGUCCCUAUACUUUUCCAAAUAUUCCACAUUCGAUCUAUAUUCGAAUGGUGCGAAAAAAAUAUUGGAUCCCUUGCAGCGGAGUAAAAAUUCCCCAUGUCUUCAAAAUUAGGUUGCGUGUUAUCUCCGGUCCAUGUAUGAACCGGACCAUGUGGGGUCGUUUCGAUUGAACCGGCCCCUGGAUCUGGUUCGGUGCCAGCCCUGUAGGGCGAACCAAAGAACAACAGCGGUUUCUUGGAGUUGGAAACCAUCUGCCUAUACAUGAUUUUGAGGUUGGCGUCGAUUUGAGCAUCCUUGGACAUUGUUUCAUCCGUGCCGUUAAAGUCAAGAUCGAUGAGAGUCGGCGGCUGAUGGCUGGCAGCGCGGAGCUCGUCGUAAAGCGGAGAGUCCGGGUUAGCGAACAAGGCAGGGAGUUGCAUGCCAGCUGGCGCGUCCCAGUUCCAAAACGGCAACGCGAACGUCGGAUCGUCUAUGAGUUUGGCCAAGAUUCUUUCGUGGAAGUAUAGGUAGUAACGAUGGAAGGGGAAGAAAAGCCAGGAUUGAUGGAUUUGGAGCUCGAGGUUGGGGAAGCCGACUUGAUCGUACGCGCCGUCGCAAUAGGCACAGUGGAUAUCGGCUUGCUGGGUGAAGCUACGCGGAUCGUCGUCCGGGAGGGCUUUCAUGAGCUCGAUGGCUUUUGAAUAUUUUUCGAUGUAGGCUUUAUCCACGGUGUGAGCUGCCGGCCUGACGCGGAGUUUGGUAGGGGAGGGGAAUUUGAAGUCUACGAUUUUUUGGGACGUUGGCGGGCAACAGUUGGUCGGGACUGCUCCACUUGGAAAGUCCGCACCUCCGCAUUUGGCUAGGUCAGGCGGCGACACUGGCUUUGCAACAGCGAAGGGGUCGCUGCCAAGACCAGCCACUCCACCGUACAGGCUUCCGAGACCUAUAAGUACAUGUCUUCUGUCUAGGUUUACUGGAGAAAGGUUUUCAUGGUCGUGAUCGUUGGAGCUAGUGGAAGGGUUUUUGUUUUGGUCACUACUAUUAUUCGUGGCUUUGCAUGAGACGGCUUGUAAAUUGGAAUGCCUAGGGUUUUCAAAUAAGGAAAUUCGGUGAUACUUUUGGGAGAAAGGGAAGAGAGAAGUUGUGGGGAUGAUACUUGUGGUGGAGGUGACGAGUGGAGCUGACAUAGAAGCCAUGGUUACUUGACUCUGAAUACUACGUUGUAUAGGCUUUGCUUUUAUAAUGUGUUCUAGGUUUUACUUUUCUUUGCACAGGUGGCAGGCCGUACACAUUGGCGGUCCUUAAGGGUUUGACGAGGAAUACUACGUAGUCAUUUAGUACAGGGCAACCAUGCACUAUAGCACGUGGCAUGUAAUAUUUACGUAGUCUCAGAAGGUGAAGCGGUUUUGGGCUUCUUGUGUACCAAUAAUAUUUACGUACUCAUUAUUCCACUGGAUGGAUUGCGUGCACGUGAUCUUUAUUCAAACAAAUCACUAUUGACCAUAUAUUGCAAUUGGUUAAUGUUAGGCAAAUUAAAUUUUUACAUCAAAUAAUGUGGUUGCUGAUUAUUGAAUUAUUAUUUAAGUUUGAUUAAUGUGCUUAUUUUUUAUCGGUAAUACAUCAUUUGAUUUGCAAAUUUGAUUUACCUAAUAUUACCAGUUAUAAUUUGUAUAAAUGGACUGGUACCUAACAUUACCAAUUGUAAUUUGUAUAAAUGGACUCGUACCUAACAUUACCGGUUGUCCCAAGAGCACACGCUACUGCUCAAGAAGCAAAGUUCUUAUUUGCCCAAAAAAAAUCAUGGUUUUUUAAUUGAUGCUCUCAUUUUAAUUUACUAGCCCCUUACUUGGCCCUUUUUAUUUAUCAUUUUAUACAUAUUAAUAUUUUGUUUGUAAAAUAUAUUAGUGUUAGUUUUAUCAAAAUUAAAAAUAAAUAAAAAACUUAGCUUUAGUAUUUAGUUAUUGAAAUUGUAAAAAAAGUGAUAAAGUAUUGGGUGCUUUGUUUGAAAAUUUUCAAAAUGAUAUUGUUUUUACCACUGAACCCCUGUUAUAUACAGUGAUGGCUAAUUUGUCAAGUUCUACGAAGUUGGGAUACCCAGCGUUUUAGCAUAUAACAUAGCUUAGUAUUUCAAGCAUAAUUAAUUAACGAAAAAUUAGUAUCCGGUCCCUAGUUUUUACUGUUCAUUGACUAAGACCUUAUUAGUUCUCAAAUUUUGAUUCAAGUCCCUAGCAUUAAUGUGAUAAUGAAUUUACAUGUUUAUUAUAUAAUUUUUUAAUAUAAAAAUUAGUAAUUAAUUUAGGGUUUAAUACUCACACCUCUAUUAAACUUCUAAUUAAUUUUCAAUUCAGACAUUUCCAAAAUAAUAAAAAAUUAAAUUAAAUUAAGUUUGUACCUAUUAGUUUUUUUUUAUAUAUAAAAAGAUUCUCAAUUUUUAAUCUUAAAUGUACAUCUUAAAUGUACCCAUUCUCAAAUAUAUCAAUUUGUUAUAUGUAAAAUGUACCCUUUUUUAAUAUAAAAUCCAUUCAAAAUUUUUAAUCCAUGUUUAAACUUAUAUGGGUACAUUCUUUUUCGUUGAUUUGAGAAUGUAUCCAUGUUUUGGUACAAUAAAUUUUUUGUUAAUUUUGGUUAAUGUACCCAUACAUAUAUGUACACACACACACACACACACACACACAAUAUAAUAGAGAGUAUAAUUUAUAUUUUAUUAUUUUUAAUCCCAUAAAUGAUGGGUUUUAUUUAAAAUCUCAUUAAUAUAAACAAUUAUAAAUUUCAAUUUUUAAUUUUUAAUUUAAAAAAUAUAGUAACUUACAUUAUUACAUUAAUGUCAGGGACCUCAAUAAAAAACUAAAAACUAACAAGGUUUCAAUCAAAGAAUAUUGAUAGCUAGGGACCACAUCCAAAGUGUCCCUUAAUUAAAGGGUAAAUUACAUAGUAACCCCUCAGGUUUGAUGUCUAUUACAACCCCAUACAACAUCUUUAAAACAUUUCACUUUCAUACCUCAAGUACUAUUUUAUUUCAAUAUAAUACAUCUGUUAGAUUUUCCAUCCAUUAAUCCGUUAAAUGCUGACAUGGAUACCACAUUUGUGCCACGUGGCUGCCAAAUGCGUGUCAUGUGGCAAAAAUAAUAAUUUUUAAAUUUAAAAAAAAAUGAAUCUUCAACCCAAAAAAAAAAAAAAAAAAAAAACCCCAAACCCAGAUCCCAUCAACCCCCCCCAAACGAUUAUCCCUUCCCCAUAUCCCCCAUCCCACCCCCCAACCCCCCCUCUGCGACCAACCUUACCAUAGCGCCCCCCAACCUCGCGACCCACCUCACUCAAGGCCCUAAUCCACACUACCUACAACCCAGAAACGAAAAAAAAAAACAAAAAACAAAAAACUCAUCUCCCUUUCCCUGCAACCCAAAUCCCAUCUUCCCUAAUGGGUAUGGAUUUAAGAAGUGGGGUGUGUAGAGGAGGGAAGAGGGUGGGUGCGGAGGAUGGGUAUGGUGGGUUGCAAGGAAGGGGGGUCGGGUAAGAUGAAGAUGGGUUUUUUUUUUCUCUCUCUCUUCUUCUUCUUCUGGGUUGCAAGUUGUAGGUUGGGGUUUUUUUUUGGGGGGGGGGGGGAGGGAGGGAGGGAAGACGACGUGGGGUUUGGUUUUUUUUUUUUAAUUUAUUUAGAAGAUUUAGGUUUUUUGAAAAAAAAAAAAAAAUUCCACGUGGCACAAAUGUGGCAGCCACGUCAGCAUUUAACAGAUUAAUAGAUGGAAAAUCUAACGGAUGUAUUAUAUUGAAAUAAAAUAGUACUUGAGGUUAGAAAGUGAAAUGUGUUGAUGCACAAAACCGAAGGUCUUUGAACAACGUAAAUCCGAUCGUGAAUAUGCAAGUAAUGUAAAUAACACAAGAUGUAUCGUGGUUCACUCCAAUGUUUGGGCUACGUCCACACUGAUUAUUGUAUUUCUCUGAGAGGUGAGGGGGAGAGCUUUGAGAAAGCUUAGAGCUUAGGGGAUGUGAGAAGGCUUAAGAAUUGGCCUCCCUUAUUUGUGAGGGUGAUGAGUCCUUUUAUAGAAUAAGGGAUCCUCACUUAUUACAUAUUUGCCCAUUCCUUUAUUACAUAAUUACAUUUAAGUCCCCUGAGUACUUGUACAAGGUCUAAAUACGGAGGCCCUAAGUAUGGUACAAACAGUAGUCCCCCAAGUCUUCAGUCAAGAGAGUCUUUUGGCUAGAGACUUGAAAUUCUGUCCAUGUGUGAGCCGAAAUAACUAGAUGUCGUCUAGAACUGAUAUUUGAUAUGCGGCAGUGCCCAUUUUGAAAUAAUGCUCAACUAGAAGUAGCACAUGCUGCGAGGCUGCUCUGCUUGUGUUGCCUUGGUUGGCUCGACUUGUGGCGUUGAAGGUGAGAGAGUCCCUUUUAUAGAAUAAGGGCUCGCUCCUCAUUACAAAGAUGAUGGGUUAGUUGGUGCUUGCGGUGAGGCGGAUGCUCAGCUGGCGGCGAUGCUCUCUAAUGAUAGUGAGGGAGUCCAUUUUAUAGAAUAAGGGAUCGCUCCUCAAUACAUAAAUAAUAGGUGCUCUCUAAUGAAAGUAAGGGAGUCCCUUUUAUAGAAUAAGGGCUCACUCUUCAAUACAUAAAUAAUGGGCUAAGUCCCCUAAGUAUUUUUUAUGAGGCCUAAUUGAGGCCCAAUAUAUGGUACAUAAUGUAGUCCCCCAAGUCUUCGGUCAAUAGAGUCUGUUGGCUGGAGACUUCAAAUUGAAUCCAUGUAUGGGCCGAAGUGGCGGUUGUUCGGAAGCGGUAUUUGUAUACCCUGCACUGAAGCUUUAUAGGUGAAGCUUUGCAAGUGAAGCUUUGAAGCUGGAGCUCAGUAAAUGAAGCUUUUGAAGCUAGAGCUUUUGUAAAUGAAACUUUUGAAGCUGGAGCUCUAUAAAGGAAGCUUUUGUAAAUGAAGCUUUUGAAGCUGAUUCACAUGAGUGAUGCUCAUGAAUGUUUAUGUUGAUUGAUAUGAGUGAUGCUUAUGGAUGUUGACAUGAGUGAUGCUCAUGGAUGUUGACGUGAUGCUCAUGAAUGUUAACAUGAGUGAUGCUCAUGAAUGUUUAUGUAUGAUUGAUAUGAGUAAUGUUCAUGAAUGUUUAUGUAUGAUUGACAUGAGUAAUGCUCAUGUAUAAUUUGAAGUACUGGGCAUACUUUUGAUUACCUGGUUGGCGAUAAUAGCGGCAGGGUGCCGAAUAAUUUUUUGUAGUACUGGGCGUACUUUUGGUCACCUGGUUGGUGAUAAUAGCAGCAGGGUGCCGAAUAAUUUUUUGUAAUACUGGUCGUCCUUUUGGUCACCUGGUUGGUGCUAUUUUGAGCUUAUGGGCCUUCGCCCUCUACACAACAUUCCAGCCUAUUUAUUUUGGGCUUUACCGUUUUUUUUAAUUACCCUAUGAUGGGGUUUAUACAGAUGUCUCCGAAAGAUAUGAAAAAUAAAUUACAUCAUUCAAAAAUAAAUCCGACCCUCUGCUCAAUGGGUCACGCCAAUAAUUCUUUUUUUUUAUGCAUGCCAUCACCACCGCAAUUAUGUCUGCUUCUUUUUAUCUUCUUUUGCUUUCUGCUUUUGCUUUUACUUUAUCUUUCUCUUUUGGCAUAUGGCAGACAACGCCAAAACGGAAUAAUGAAUUAUUAUGAGAACAUGAAUCUUAUCUUUUGCCUGGUUUUCCACUAGUGCUCGUGGUAUUCUCAGGAGAUUGGAUCUGGGGGUAGGCGACUACCCCAGCACCUUGCCCUGAUACGUAAUAGCCUGAUGUCCCACUGCCAUCUCCAUACUGGAAGGUGUACGAACAAUGGUUAUUCUGUGUGGAACAAAUAGAAUCCGAUUGAGAUUCAAGACUGCACCUUCGAUCUGAGCAAGAAAUGAAUUGUGACGUUGAUGAACUUCUAGGAGGAGAAGCAGAGGAUCUUUGACUAUGAUGAUCUUUGAAUUCCAGAUGAAACUGAAUAAAAUGCAGGUUGUGGAGCUUGAUGUGGGCCCAGAUCUGCUUGACAGCUUUGGGGCGGGAGGAUUCCUUGACACUGAGGAAGAUUCCCAGAGCUGGAGGGAUGAGAAUCGACUUCAUAAUCCCGAUGGUGGGUUUGUGCUUGGUCGAAAGAUCAUUUCUGGCAGGGGAAAACAUGUACCAUACCUAUUGCAAAUCUUGCAAAUUCUCUGCUUCUCCAUGGAAGAUGAAGAGCAUCGAAUCUCUGUUUUCUCUCUCUCUCUCUAAAACGUUUUCGUUAUAGAGUGCCCCAAUAGAAGUGGACGGGCAGUGAGCAUGCCAUUUAGUGCCUCCUCCAAGACAGUAACUGAUACGGUGGUCUUUAUUGGCACUCCAAGUUUACUAAAAAGGGCAGCAAAAAUAGUAUUUACAGCACCCAAACUUGAAAGAUCUAGCUCCAACUAGUGGCUUUCUGUUUCAACAGCCUGAAAGCCGGCAGUGUCAUACCGACGCCGUUUGUCUGGAUCAAAUAAUAUAUUAUAAGAAAACAUGACCUUCUUGAAGAUAUCAGCUGUUUUAGAGUCAUUAGCAUUUUUGUCAGGAUGGUACUUGAGAGCCAUUUUCCGGUAAGCACUUUUGAUUUCCUGGUUGGUGGAAUUCCUAUUGAGGCCGAGGACCGCAUAAGGGUUUUGUCGGAGCUGCUUCUUAGCUUCUUGCUUCUCCGAUUUUGAUCGGCUGCCCUGCAUUUUUGAAAUUGACGGUCAAUUUCUUCACAAAACCCUAGAAAUUGCCUCUCGAUUACCUCCGAAACACAUAAUUCACGACUCUUGGUUGAAAUUUUUUUUUUUCAUUUCAAAGAAGUGGCGGAGGUAAAUCAGUUGUCACAUAGCACCGGAGCAUGAGGAAAACCUAGAAAACCAAGAGGCAGAGAGACUCCAUGCACAUCUAACCUGGAACCUUGCAGGAGAGAGCAGAGAGAAAGAGACAAGAAAGAUUGAGGGAGAAGCGAUCUUGGUGCAUCGUCUGUGAUUCCUUGGUGAUUUGCUCGAUCGGGACUCUGAAUUCGUGCAAGUCAUUGCUGUUAAGCAAGAAUCGCGAGGAGUCGGAGAGCUUGGAAAUCGAGAAGGAGAGAGGGCCUUUAGUCAGGGCUUGGAGGGUGUCGGACUCCGUCGGCCAAGAUUGGUGCACGGUCACGGCGUCUGGGCCCAUGGCGGUUGUGUAAAUGGGGGAGGUUCUAGGAGUCCAAGAAAGAAGAAGAAGCAGCGACCAUAGAUCUGGGAGUCCAUGGCGCUUGAAAGAUACGGCGAACAAGUCGGACUUGCUGCUGGGCAGCUGGCGGUGAUAAUGUUGGUGCAUGGGUUUUGGAGUGGGAGUGUUUGGAAUGGGUUUUUUGUUUAGUUUCUAUGUGUUUUUUCACAGAGAGAGAGAGAGAGAAGUGAUGGUGUUUAAGGGAUGAGUUUUGGAGCUUAGUGAAUGCUUUUUCUGGAAAAGCCCAGUGAGGUUUGUGGGUUUUUGCAGAUUUUGCAGAUUCGCGGUGGAGGUGAAAGAAUGAAAGAGAACCGACACAACUUUUCGUAUUGAUUCCCACAUACGGCGCCAAAUGUUGAUGCACAAAACCGGAGGUCUUGGAACAACGCAAAUCCGACCGUGAAUCUGCAAGUAAUGUAAAUAACACAAGAUGUAUCGUGGUUCACCCCAAUGUUUAGGCUAUGUCCACACUGAUUAUUGUAUUUCUCUGAGAGGUGAGGGAGAGCUUUGAGAGAGCUUAGAGCUUAGGGGAUGUGAGAAGGCUUAGGAAUUGGCCUCCCUUAUUUGUGAGGGUGAGAAGUCCUUUUAUAGAAUAAGGGUUCCUCACUUAUUACAUAUUUGCCCAUUCCUUUAUUACAUAAUUACAUUUAAGUCCCCCGAGUAUUUGUACGAGGUCUAAAUACGGAGGCCCUAAGUAUGGUACAAACAAAAUGUUUUAAAGAUGUUGUAUGGGGUUGUAAUAGACCUCAAACUUGAGGGGUUACUAUGUAAUUUACCCUUAAUUAAAAUAAGGGCAAAUGAAGAGGAUGGUUGAACUUGUUAAGUUUCUUAAGUGUGUCUAAUUUAAGUGUGUUGUUAAUAAACAUUUAUUAUGGAGGCAAAGAGAGGGAAGGUGCGGCAUAGAAAGAGAAGAGAGAGAUAUGUAAUUGUGAGUUGUGUUUUAUUCCAUCCCAUUGUGCAUUUAUUUAUAUUAGUUGGGAAAGUUAAUUCUUUAACCUUUUAGGAUUACAACUCUAAUAGGAAAAUAUAUAAUCUAAAAGAUAUGGUAGAAUCCCAUAAGAAUAUCCUAGAUAUGUUAGGAUUUACACAAUCAUAUUCCUAUUCCAAUAGGACUGCAAAACAUUUGUAUUUUUUUAUAAUUUUUUUGAUAAUUUGUUGGCAUUUUCAAUUUUUGUUAACAUUGAAAAUAUAACGGUUCAGAUGAAAAACCUUUGGAAAUCCAACAUUGAAAAUAUAACAGUUUGACGUUGGGCUGUGGUGAAGGAGGCUGGGCUGUCACGUGGGUGGGGCCCUCCCUCUCCCACUUGGUGAUUCAAAGGGCGCAGGCCCGUGCAACAAUUGAGGCAGCCCAUAGAGAUCCUGCGUUUCACCCAUUUGCCAUUUUUUCCACCGCUGGAGCACCAAAAUUCGGUCCAAAGGCAGGGGUUCCAAUUGCAUGGGCAAUUUGGUUUCCGCUGGAGGUGCUCUUUGUCGACUUUGUUUAUUCUUUCUUUUUAGCUUUGCAGUAAUAUUGAAGUAAUCACUCCAAUUGUAUCCGAACUUUUGUUGUCCAUCAAUUUGUAUCAAAACUAUUGGUUAAUUUACAUAUUCAGACUAACCUUCUCAUUAUUUUUAGUAUUUUUAUCAUAAAUAAUAUCUAAAAUAAUCACAUUUUAUUCAACAACCACUCAAUUAAAAAUUAAUUAAUGUUGUUUCUAAACCAUUACAUCGAGCUUUUGUAAAUACACAUCAAUAUUGCAGCGAUCCGAGGCAUUGUUUUCUACGCCUUGGAUUUGGCGAAUUGGAAAAGAGAAGAGUUACGAGUAAAAGUCCCUCACAUUAAGAGGGCUCCUCCUCGGGGAGAUGAAGAUGAUGAUCUUUUGUUUUUGUUUCUUAAUGAUUAAUCCACGCAGCAACAUAUAAUUAGAUUGUUGGGAUCUACUCAAGUUCCAUAUCACGCACUAAUAUAAAGUUUGACAAACGAAACGAAAUAUGUGCUCUCGAAAGCAAAAUGAGGGCACUGCUCCAAGAACAGGAAGGGCUCCUUGUCGAGGUUGCCAUCCGCCAUGAGGGAAAACCGGAAGAAGUUAGACAACAAUGAUGACAUCGAUUUGCAACACCCAUAUUGGGACAUCAAACUGUGAAAUAAAUACUCAAAACUCCUGGAAAGUCCUCGGGACAACAAACUUUUAUCUCCUUCAAAUAUUUCAUUUUACCAAGUUUUAUGUUUGAAGGGAGGGAAAAAAAGAGAUGAGAGAAUCCUACUCCUUAUUCUUGAAUAUAUUCAGGAAUAACUAUUGAAUAAAGAGAGAAUGGAAGGGGAUCGAAAGAGGAGGGAAGAUAAUUCUAGUCCCAAACAUAAAAAGGACCACAACUUUUAAAUUAUCAGCACGAUCAUCAUCUGAUUGAAGAGACCAUUCAUUGUGAAACAUAUCGUCAAUCAAUAUGUCUAUAUCUAUUUAUAUACCACAUUUUUGGAGUAGGAUUCUCCCCCCUCCUAUUACCAUCCCCUUCCAUCCCCUUCCAUCCCCUCCUUUCAUACUUUUUUUUUUCUUAUUCUCUAUAUAAAAAAUUCAAAACAAGAUGUAGAUGUGUCGUAAUCGCAAUAGUUUAAAUAAAAGGAGAUGGAAGGAGAGAUAAAUUACGAGGGGAGAGAAUCUUACUCCCACAUUUUUCUUCUUCAUAAACAAAAGAGAGGUUCUAGAUUACUUGACUCUAUGCCUCAUUUUUUUCAUCAAGUAUUUGUGCUAAACGGGUUCAGUUUCAAGUAUUUUAGUUUUUUGUCAAAAUUGAGAAAACUGAAAAUCAAACAUUAAUAUGCAAAAUUAAAAAAUCAACACAUAAUUAUUUAGAAAUCGCAAUAGAAAAGAAAAAAUGGAGGUUUGUGAUGAAAAAUCUUUUAUACUAAGUAAUUUAGUAUCCUUAUGCAUGAAGAUAAUCAAUUCGUUCGUUAUGGUCAGACUCUUUUUGAAUUUUUGAACACAUUCUCCAUAGGGCCUUCUUAUUUGUUCCUUCUCCGAGUUGGGGUUAUGGAAGAAGUAAAAGAAGGAACCAAGAAGAAAGUAUUGGCAACAACCGAUUUCGUUACGGGACAACUCUUGAUAUUCAUAUCGAUCUAUUAUGUACCUUUGCAUCUAGCAUUAGACAAUAACUGUCAUAGCUUUACCAUAUUUUUUUGUUUCAUUUCUUCUGAAACAAUAACACACACUUUUUUAUUAUGUGUCUAAUACUAGGAAUUCAAUACAUAAUCUUAGCAUUCAAUAGUUAUUCCUGAAUAAUUUCAUUUUUCAAUUGAUCAACCAUUUCAUUUUUCCAAGUUCAAUCAAUGUUAGUCACAUUAGUCAACAUUUAUAUAUUUUGAUGCAACAACAAUAUGUUAUUUGUAACAAGUGAUUUUGCUAGUUGGUUAAUUGGUCACAAGUUAAUGUUCGGUUCAGUUCAGCUUUUCUCUCGAUUUUUUGCGAUUCGGUUUUUUCGAUUCUCUUUAGAUUCGGUUCGAUUUUGUUUUUUUAUUUAUACUUAAUUUUUUUUAAUCUGAAAACACCAAGAACAACACAAGCAUACUCAAUCAAACAACUAUCCUUCUCCACAAAUCACAGUAAUAAUUACAUUCAUUUAGCUAAAAUGCAAAUAACUAACAAACUCACAAAAAUCGAAUAAAAACUACAAAUUGCUUACUCUUUUUCUUUGGGUUUCACUCGAAAAGUGUCGGUAAAAUUUAGGGUUUGCAAGAACGCAACCGAAAUCCAAAACGGAGGCUCUGUGGCUUGUGGGCUGCUAUUGAGUUCCAGUACGGAAAACCUUGCUUACUCUCUAUCACGGUACAAAGUAUCAGUACCUUUAGCACUGUAUUUGGUAGAACCAAAUUAAAAGCUAACAUCAAUAACAACUACCAGAGACAUAAGCUCUUAUCAAUGCUUUGGAAACAGUCAUGUAUCUCCAAGUGUAAUGAUAUAAUUAGUAAGAAAUUUAAAAGAAAAAUGGUGAUUUCAUAUAAAAUCAAUAAAAAGUUACAAUAUUGACAAUAUAUCAACAAUUUUUAUGGGGUAAAUUACAUAGGACCCCCUCAGGUUUGAGGUCUAUUACAACCCCAUACAACAUCUUUAAAAUAUUUCACUUUCAUACCUCACCUACUAUUUUAUUUCAAUAUAGUACCUCCAUUACAUUUUCCAUCAAUUGAUCCAUUAAGAGCUGAAUUGGUUGCCACAUUUGACACGCCCCGAUCCCGAUAUCCUCGGGAUAUCAGGAUGGUCACGUGCUGGCCGACACCCGAGGGUGACGAAAGCCAUUUAUUGAGUGCAAUUGCUGAAAAUAAAGGAUAGAUAAAACUUAUAAAUGUAAAAGAAUAAGGAAUAUGCAUUUAAGGAACGUGUUCAGAGCAUACAACUAACUAGAACACUAAAAGAAUGAUAUAAAAUGGAAUGAAUAAAAGAAUGAGUCUUACACCAAGAGGACUCGAAGAUGCCGAUGCGGAAGUACCUUGAUUGUCGGGAUUGUACGCCUCGAUCCUAAAUCCUGAAGGGGGCGCAAAACAAACAUGAGUGGACCAAGUUGAUAUAUAUAUAAUAAAACAGUUAUCAAUAUACUAACCCCCAGGUUUAUGAAAACAAAUAUAUAAUGAUGAACAUAGGUUUUCCGAAACCUAGCAUGAUGUGCAGUAUCUCAAAUCAUAACUCAUAUAUAAUAAUCACUAGUGAAUUGUCCGAUAACCUGCAGGCCCCAUGCCGGCUCCCCGUCUCUGAGCAGACAGUCAGAGGAAAAUACACUUCAGGCCCCAUGCCGGCUCCCCGUCCCUGUGCUAAAUAGCCAGAGGAAACACACUCCAGGCCCUAUGCCAACACCAAACCGUCGCCCGGGACGGACCGGAAUCUAUUCCUACGUCCCGUAGCGGAAAUGACCACUAGGUAAGUACAAAACCAUUGAACAUACAUAUAUUGAAAAACAACUUCAUAGUAUAAAGUCAUCCAUCAUCUAUACUAUAAAGAGGUGUUCGAAACAUGUUCUAAAUAUCAUAUCGUCAUCCAUCAGAUAUUCUAUAAGAACACGGGUUAUAGGAAAAAUAGUAAUAAUUCAAGGUAGCCUCAGUAAGCAUGUUAUCUCAAAACGUUUCAUAAAACGUAAUCAUUAAAUCAUGCAUUUCAUGUAUGCAUUUCUACUAUUAAAACAUGCUUUUGAAGGGGUCCACUCACAGUACUUAGCCGCCGAAGAGCCACGCAAACUAACGUCACCAAUAUUGCCCCUAAGCACAUAAAUGGUCCAAUUAAUAAAACUAUAUAAUAGCAAUUGGAUUUGGGAAAACGGACGUUGGAAACGGAUUCAGAACGUCGAAUUACCCUAAGAAGGGUCCCGGACGAAAACCCGAAAAGUCAACUCUAAAGUCAAUGUUGACCGGAGGUCAACGGUCAAAUUAGGUCUAACGGGUUUUAGGCUUGAAAUCCGGAUUAGGGUUUAGGUUAAAUAGGAUUAGGAUUUAUUGGGUUUUGGAAUUCUAAGGUUUUUGGGUUAAAAGGGUUUAGGGUGAAAAUGGGUGGUUUGGGCUUAAUCCCAAACUCACACACAACACACACACACACUACACAAACCCUAAAACACACACACACACACGGGCUGCACUAGGGCAGCCCUCACAACACUUCACAAAGGCCCUAAGGCCUUAUUAAAGGACAGGGCUUUAAGCCCUUUAAAGGAUACUGGCCCAAGGCCCGUCAAAAUAAGGCCCGAGGCCUUUGGGUUUUAAAAAGAACAAGAACAAAUUUAAAAGAAAAGGGGCUGGGGUCUACUGGGCUAAGAUAUAACGGGCUUAAGGCCCGUGGGGUUUUCUAAAGGGCCUGAGAGGCCUGGGUUUGUCGAAGGAGAAGGCCGGAAUUUCGGCCGGAAAACCACCCAACUUUAAAUGGCCAUAACUUUGUCAAUACUCAACGAAAUCAAGCAAGACAAAAAUGAAAGUUGUAGCCCUUGAAGCGACGAAGAGAAUGGUUCCUCACACGACGUCUAACUCGCCGUGGUUUGGCCGGAAAAUGCCUCGAAAUCCGUCGGACUCGCCGGAAACUGGGUAAGAUUCAAAUGAGUAUAACUUCUUCAAUACUCAACGAAAUUAAGUGAAACAAAAAGGAAAGUUGUAUUACUCGACGAGACGAAGAGAUUGAUACCUUACACGCCGGCCAACUCGCUGUGGUUUGGCCGGAAAUGGCCUCGAAAGGGGCGGUGCUCGCCGGAGCUUACUCCGUGCCGUCGAACUCGCAGGGUAGGGUCCGGGGUUCGUUGCAAGCCUCUCUUCGAUGGUGACUCGGUCCUAGUGAGUCCAGGGGAAGAGAGAGAUGCGAAAGGUUGAGGGAGAGAGAGACGGGAGAGCUGAGAAAGAGAGAGCUACGGGAGGGAGAAACGAAGAAGAAGAAGAGAGAGAUCAGAAAACAUAAAAAAAAUAAACAAGGUGGGCCCCACGGGCUCACCAAUUAAGGCUUUAAAACAAUUUUAAAAUAUAAAAGAGGGUUGGGGUGUUUCAACAUUUGUACCACGUGGCAAAAAAAAAACCUAAAUCUUCUAUACAAAAAAACUAAAAAAACCAAAAAAAGCAAAAUCGAACACUCCACCCCGCAAAAAUCCUAGCAUCUUCCUUUUAUUCCCCACAACCCCAAAUUCCCCCCCAAAACCCCUAAAACCCAAACCCUAAUUCCUCCCCCACAUGAAGAAAAUCCCAGUCCAAUUCAAUCCCAAUUACCUCAAAUCCCACCAUAGAAACCCUAAAUUUUGGUUCCUCAAUCCCUAGAUUUCCCACGCCUCUGUUGCCUACACCUUAUCAAUCUUUAGCUUUCUCCCUCAUCCCCUCCAUGAACGACACUUUCUCUCAUCCGCUGUUCCCCAGCAACGGCACCGAUACCUACGAGGCCUGGUACGGCAACAUCCAGUACCUUCUCAACAUCUCCGCCAUCGGCUCAUUCUUAUGUGUCUUCUUUUUCACCUUGGUCAAGCUUUGAAGCGAUCGCCGCCGCAUGCCCGGCUCGUCCUCCCUCGUUGCUAAGCUCUUCGCAGUGUGGUAUGCUACCUGUCGAGAGAUUAUGCUCCCAUGUGGCGCUGAGGCCAUAAUACUCACGCACCCAUCUACACACCCACACCACCACUACCGUGGACUCUCUCUCACUCUCCCUCGUCUUUGUAGAGCUAGGUGAAGCCUAGAAACCGAGAACUAGCUCCAGCAAACCCCGUGAGUUUCGAGCCAGAUCCCUGCCGACUCCGACCAUCCCAUGACCAAUCUAAGGUACAAAACAUUUCCCCUUGACUCUAUGCUCUUUUUCGUAUGUAGAUCGUAGGGAAAAGCCCACAGAAUGAGAGAGAAUAGUGACCUGAGAGAGUCCACGGUGAUGGUGGUGUGUAGAUGAGUGCGUGCGUGGGUGUACUGUCGGGGAUAGAGUCUGAGAGAGAUAGAGAGUGAAAGAGUCUGAGAGAAGAGUGACUUGCGAGAGUGAGAGAUUCGAGAGAGACUCGGGAAAAGAUUUAUGGGUUUGGGUUUUUCUGGUUUUUUAUUUUUAUAAUAAUAGGGUUAAUAUUAUAAUAUUUUUAAUGUAUAAAAAUUUCUUUUUUGCCACGUGGCAGCCACAUCAGCACAAAUGUGGUAGUUGUAGAUGCAAAUUUCUUCCUCUUGAUCUUGGACAAUUUUGCACCUACAAAACAAUUAACACCUUAGGUUAAGGCCAAAAGCCUCACACACCCACAAUGAAUGGGGGGCUUUGGCCGAAGAACCUCUGUUGCCAAAGUUAGAAUUUAGAGAGAAAGAGUCUUUACAGAAUUUUGGGAUUUUUGCCAAAGUGUUGGAAUGGCUUUCUGGUGAGAACGGGAUCACUUUUAUAAGGAUAGGAAGUGGUCGGCCUAGCUAGGGUUUUUGGGUUUAAUUUAGGUUUAAUUCUUCAAUUUAUUUGGCUAAUUAAACCCUAAAGAAUAAAUUGGUGGUUACAAAAUUGAUUAUUUGUAUAAAUGGGGUAAUAAAAUGGAGAAAAGUGAAAAAGGUUAGGAAAAGGGAGGUAGCUAGCUUCUUAGUAGUUUUAGGUGUGAGUGGGUGUUUUAAUUGAUAAUUAAGGGAUUGAUUAGGUAAUUAAUCCCUUAAUUAAACAAUUUUUAGGGAAUAUGAAAGGAAAUUAUUAUUUAGCUAAUUGAUUAGCUAAAUAAUGGAAUACAAAAUAUAUAGAAUAAAUUAGGCUUUAGGUAUUACCUUAUAGAAAUGAUUUGAUGAAAUAGGCUUUAAAUUGUUAACUAUUUUGGGCACUUUUGACUUGGUUGAGGAUGAUUGUCUGCCGCUCGCACGUAGGAAUCUCGAUAUGCCUUAAGGGUAUUUUUGUCCUCUUUUACCCAAAAAUCCACGUGUCGCCUUGUGAUUAUUUUUGGCUCCACAAAUGCCCCCACACCUGUUGGGCUGCUCGCAGAAAAUGGCAGCAGGUGUAGAGAUCAUCUUGCUUUAGGAAACGUAGGACUACUUCCUCUUUAGAUGUAGAUUCUCUCUUUAAUAGGAAAUUAGGUUCUUCUAGGAAAGGGAAAUAAAUUUCUGUUAAAGCCUAUUUAAGUCUACCUUAAGUGGGUUAUUAAAUCAACUUUGGAGAGCGAUUUCUUAUACCCUACAAGAGAGAGGGAGCUUAGAGAAUAUUUGUUCCCCCUCUUCUAGCAAUCUUCUACAUCUUUCCCGUGCAAAGGAUCGUCUUUCGUUGAUUUCUUCGUCUUCUCCGUGCCGCACCGAUGUAAGAAAAAUUUAAUUUUUUGCUUAUCUUCUUCUUGGAUAGUACUAUUACAGGGCAACCGUUAAGGUAGUGCGGCACGUCUACUGGCAGGGGCUAGGAGUUGGCUCGGCAUCGGUCGAUGAGGCAUUAUGGCAGGGGCCACUGCUUAGGCUGUUUGGCUUGGCUAGAGCCAAUGGCAGCUUGUGCGGCUGGGGUCGCGGAUUGUGGCGUUGGGGCGCAAUGCUAGGCGAGCCACAUGGUUAAUGUCCUUUAGGCUCUUAGACCUUACUCGGGCCAGGCUAGCGACUGAAAGAAAUGAGGAGGUCGUGGGCCUCAUGGGUUGUUGGAAUGUUGGGCAUGCAGGCCUCCUGUCUGCUAGAAUGCUAGGUUGAGCUCCUCUGCUGAGUACCGUGAAUGGCGUUGGCUGCUUAGUUCUUUUUACAGAGAGAAAGGUGGGCUGCUCCCGAAAGAGGAAGUAAAGAGGAUCAAGGUGGAUGCAUUGGCUCGUCUAAUCGCUGUCGUGGAACCUCCUAUGAAUGAAGAUGGAAAUAAGAGAUCUUCCCUGCCUACUCAAGAGAUGCCGAUCGAGAAAAAUUGAAGACUUUCUCCACUGCUGCUCAUGAUGAUUUGUCUGCUGUCGAUAGGCCUGUGAUUGGCAUGACUUCUUCCAAUGGGAAGAAAAAUGAGGCUGCUAGAUCUGAUCAUGUGGUGCCUUCCAUGUUGAGAAUUGCUAGUACAAUUGUUGAUAAGAUUGCUUAGCGCAAAGGUUUUAUCAUGCCCCCAGUACCGAAGUCUGUACCAGGACUUUCGUUUGGAGCAAAGUCUGGUUCACCUUUGGAGAUACUUGCUAUUAUGAAAAGUGGUAAGGUGGACUCUGCUGCUAAAGUGGCGUCAAGGCCCACUCCCUUUGUUGCUGAGACUGAUUCGCCUGCUAGGAAGGAAGAUACUACUUGUAUGGGCAGCUGUGAGAAAUCCACUAAACUUGCUUCUGGGGAGGCUGCUGAGAUCAUUGUGCUUUUGAAACUAUAUCUGCUUGAAGACAUGGACGCUUGUGCCAAGUUUGUUGAUGGCGGUAGAAAGGUUGUUUACCUAAGUUCCUUUGCGAAACAUACGACCCAAUAUAAAAUGACUGCUCUGCUUACUAGGAUGCAUAAAUAGCAAGGUUGUCAAGGAGGUGGCGAAGAUUAUGGCAGCUAAAGCUUAUUCCUCAGUCGAGGAGAUCAAAAGGUUGAAUUAUGAGCUUGUUGCUUUGAAAGAAAUGGAAGAACUGCAACACGUUCGUGUUAGUCUGUUUGAGAAGAAUGAGCAGCUAAACGGUAAGAAUGAUGGGCUUGAGGUUUCUCUAUUUUUCCGGAAGACUUGCUUACUUUUACUUUUGAGGCUUCCAUUGGUGAAGUAGUUGGAGACGUUAGUGCCCAGGCUUAGGCAACCGGGGGUGAAGCACCGGAUGAUGCCGCUGCUAAGAACGUUACGGCUGCUGAAGGUGUGGAGACCAAGUAGUCGUGGGAUGUCCAAGCUGCUGUAGUGUAGUAUUUUAGGUAGCUUUUAUGAUUUUCUUUGUUUUUCCUUGUAGCUCUUGUUUUGCUUGAACUUCUUCGGCCUUUGCUAGUUGUAUAAACAUGUUUUCCUUCGCUUUUCUUCAUCUUCGCUUCUUUUGUUCAUGCCCUAACCUUUAGACUUGAUAGACCAAUGGCAGGCAUGCUACUUUUUUAUAAGCAGACAAGCUCGCGUAGCCUAUGCAGCCGUAAAUGUUGGUGUAGAACUUUGCAAAGUUGUUAGCCAUUAGGUUGGUAACCAGAUACCUUACUUACAGAAGUAGACAAGUCCGCAUAACCACUAGGCUAUUAACCUUGACUUUCUCCAAUUCUGUAGGUUGCGUAGCAAGUAUCACAACACUUUAGGAAUUGGUAUAGGUUGCUCCGCACUUGGCAGAGGUGAAGCCUAUCGACUACGUAGCAUGUCGGCAGUGGAUAAAACUUCCAUAUAUGCGCGCUAGCUUGUUUAACCUUUCACAAGAAUGUGCGGUUGUAUAAGUCUAGCACGGUUUUACUGCUUGAAGGGCAAGCCGUAGGCAGUCUUCCGGAAUCCGUAGGCUACCUUAAUGUACUCGGUAGCAGCUUUAGGGUUCCAGGGCAGCCGUCUAUAGAGCGUACUGCGUAAUGUGCCCCAUCCGUCUCUAGCUCCCGGUUCCCCACAGAUUAGACCAAGAGACCCAAAAUCCUUCAGUUAGUUAAGCCUUGAAAAAGACCAUUGUGGCUACUUCUAGGAAUCCCGGCUCAAGCCAUCGUACAUCUAGUUAUACUAGGGUAGCCAGGCUCAUCAGCGUCUGGAUAUUCGGAGUGUAAAGUUUAUCCUCCCGUCUUAGAGAGCUGACCCAUAUGAGUGUCGGGGAAUUGGUUUACCCUCUCACACUAGAGAGUAAUUAAUUUACCCUCUCGCACUGGAGAGCAAUUAGUUUACCCUCUCGCACUGGAGAGCAUGGUUGGUCCAUCGGGGGGCGCAAUUCCUGCGAUGAGUCCCUAAGAAGGGCGCAGUCUUCUUUUGAAGUGCAGGAAUGAUUAGUUGUUAUAAGCAUGUGAUCGAGUCAAGUUGUGAUUACUUCUAAAUUCCUCAUUGAAAAACGAGUGAAACGAACGAGAACUUAGCCGUAAGGUAGGAACUGCAUAACAACUGGAUAGUCCUCAACUUGUGUGGUGGUACCCAUCGAGCUUCUUGAGUCUUCGGGCUUUGAUGUAGUGGGAGGUUACACAUGGCACCUUUUCAGAUUGUAGGCGCUCUACUGCUUUUCGAACUUUUUUUUUGUUGUGUAAUUGCUCUUGCUGCCUACUCGGCUAAUCUUAUACAGACUUUCUCGGAUGAGAUUCAUCUUUUUGGAGCUUCUCUGCUGGCAGUGAUGAAGGCUUUUCUUAGGACUAGAUCUCUGGGCUGGAACUGCCAGAUUUUGGCCUUUUUGUUGUGGCUGGAAAAGAACCACUGCUGGUAAGUUGUAAUGCAGAUGAUAGUCUGCUCGCACUUCUCCUCUGCCAAAUUUAAGCUUGUGGCCAUCUCCUUUCGGUUGCUCGUCUUUUGGUGUUGCGAUGUGCCCAUAGACAUCCAGGGAGUUUGUCUGGCCAUUUUCUUUUCUUAUUGGUAGGGGAUUUCUUGUGGCAGUCGAGGAUCAUCUUAGUGGAUGUUUUGGCCAGCCUAUUGCCUUGAGGAUAUCUUGGCGUAGACAUGUGCUGCUUGAUGCCAUAUUUUUAGAAGAAUUUCGCCAAAUCUUUGCCCACGAAUUACGGGCCGUUGUUGGUGACGAUGGAUUAAGGUAUGCCAAAUCGGCAAAUGAUGCUCUUUCAUAUGAAGCGCUCUAUGUCCGUUUGAAUUGUGAUCGUCAUGGGCUCUGCUUCUACCUAUUUGGUGAAAUAGUUGGUUGCCACGAUCAUCAUGCAUUUGCCCUUAGUAGUCUGGCUGGUGAUUAGCUGGGAAUCAGAAUGAAUUGAAAGCUUUUUCACCACCAAGUCUUUUGUCACUCGAAGGCCUGCUAGUGGGGCUUUGUACUCUGCUUCGUUGUUAGGUGCUUUGACGCUUAGAGUGAUCGCUUACUCGAGCAUUGAACCGUCUGGGGUGGCAAGAACCACGGUUACUUAUAAGCCUUUGUAGUUGGAUGCGCCGUCGACAUGCAAAUGCCAGAAAUUUCCAUUGAGGGAGUAGGUAUGGCUAAAGUGUGCUCGGCUACCUUCGAAGCGUCGUUGGGCCGCUUUGUUACAUUGUCAAGGCUAGGUUUGAAGGCGCGGUAGAGAGUCGUGGAGCUGGGGCCAUGUUACAUGUAGCAGGAGAUGCUCAACUUCCGGUAUUAGGCCACUCUAGAGCUGAAUAAUGGAGCAAAGGUCGGCUAGGGUCGUAUGACGCGCAGCAGAAGGUAGUGCUCGACUGCUAGUACAUGUUGCUCUUACGUAGAAUCUUCUGAGGCGACGAGGACAAAACUUGCUUUUAAGUGUUCCUUCUAGUGUUCGUCUGCCCUUGGCGUGUCUUUUGGGCUGAGUUGUUGCGUUCGUCAGAAAACUUUGCAUCUGCCAGGGUUUACGUCUUUAUCAUCACGGGUUUGGAUUAGGCGGAAUAGUGCGUCAUGAUGAUGACUGCGUACAUUUGAAGGUAAAACUUAAGCUUUUGGGUUACAACAACUAUCACCAAAGUUAGCUUUUGAAUUUUUAAUAGCAUCGAGGAGAGCUUUUGAACUAUAAAAUACAUGUAGUUGGGCCCCCAACUCUUCUCGCAUGACGGUACAGCUUAUUUCUACUUUAGAUACCGUCAAACAUGCGAAUAAGUCCUCUGCUGCUUCUAGGGAGGUGAUGUUGGGUACUUCUUCAAGCCCUUGAAUGUGCAUUGGCGAGCCUCAUCCCAAAGUGCAUGCUUCUCUGCCAAAGAAAAAGAGUCUACCAGAGUUAGAUAUUCUUUCAUGAUCAAUUUUCUAAAUAGCGGUGGUCUGCUGGAAGGCCUUUUUGGAAGGCUGCUCUAGCUAUUGAGUCGCUGCAUCCGACUAUCAUUGCCUUCUCUGUUUUGAAUCUCUUCACAUAGUCACGAAGUGACUCCUUUGGGUUCUUUUUUACGUCAAACAAAUGGUCGGACUUCUUUUUGAUCGAGCAAUAAGAUGAAUAUUCUUUGGUGAAAACCAAAGAAAGUUCGUAGAAAUUCUAGAUAGAUUGUGGCGGCAGGGUGUAGAACCAAUCUUGUGCCUCGCCUUCAUAGUGGUGGCGAAUAUCUUGCACAUGAGAUCAUCGUUGUUUCGAUAAAGGAUCAUUGUGCUUCGGUAGCGCUUUAAGUGUCUCUUCGGGUCUUCAUCCCCUUUGAAAGAUAUGAAAUGUUGCAUACUGAACUCGCAUGGAGGCUCUGCCAGCUCGAUCUCAUCCGUGAAGGGUGACCUGCUUAUGUUGGUCAUGUUCCGUCGUAGUGCCUCGUCGGUGACCUUGUUGCGUUAGAAAUCAUGCAAUCGCUUGAUUAAAAGUCUCUCUACUUCUUCCUGAAUUUUCAUUUGUUAGGGUAGCAGAGCUCUCGGCUGCCCCUAGCCAUAACUUACUGGUCUAGGAUGCUCUUCCAUGUGUUUGGCUCGUAUACCGUGGAUGCAGUGUAUGUGGUGCGGUCCUAGUAGGUGAGCGAGUUCUUCGCAGGCUGCUAGUUGAACUUGAGCUGGAUUGAGUGACUACUUCUCUCCGUCCGUCGUGCUGCCUACUCCAAUGUGAGGUGAAAGAUGCUCCUUGCAGGCUUAGCCACGAAUGAACACUUUACCUGGAAGGUUGCUCAUGUUGACUAUCAGAGUAUGACCCUAACCGUGAAUGUAUAUUCACCCGUGGGCUUAGUCGAGAGUGCACGCUCCUCCGCGCGCUAAGACGAGAGUAUACGUUAUCUCGGGAGCCCAAUUGGGAGUGUACACUGCCCGAACGCUCGGCUCGUGGCUGGUCGAGUGGCUGCUUGCCGAAACGCUGCGGGAAAGGUUCGUCUGCCCUUGUCCUACUUCGGGAUACCUUGUUUGGGGCACGUUGGAUUCUGGUGCAUUGCAAAAGUUGAUUCACCAAGGUUGUCUGUUGUGCAAGGGUGCUCGUAAACGCUACGACUUGUCGAGACAAGUGUUGUUCGUCAUUUGGAUUGGAAUAGCUUGGAAGGAAUGUGCCUUCUUGGGCAGUGGAAGGGUGGUAGACUCCGGGCUCGAGAUUUGAGUUGGGAAAUGUCAAAUCUACGAAAAAAUGUGGUGAGAAUGCCCCCGGCUCGAUGGUAGGUCCGGAUGGUUGAGAUAGUCUUGGGCCGACUUGGGCUGCUUGGAAAGCCACGGGAGCAGGCUGGGCCACGAGAGUGAGCUGCUCGGCAGGAGUAGGCUGGGCUACGAGAGUGGGCUGCUCGGCAGGAGCAAACUGCUUGGAGUGUGAUGCACAUGGGUGCGAGGCUUGGGCUCGGCUUGGUAACACAUUGAGUUCGGGUUUGGCUUGGAGUGACAUGACUUGGGCCGUGGCCUUGGUGUCGUGAGCCUUGGAUGGCACGGCUCGGGCAGUGGUAGCUGUGCCAUGGACCUCGCCGCGGGUAGUGGUGACCGUGAUGGCCACCGCGGUGGUUGCCAUGGUGGAGCCCCGUAGUGAUGGUGCCGCUCCUAUGAUCACAUUUAGCCUCGUGGAUCGUCGUGGUCCCAUUUCUUGAAUAUUAGAAUUUUCACUUAUGGAAUUUUCUAAAUUUCUAGCCAUUAUAUUUUUCUUAUACGUUUUAUCAAAGAACCUUUGCAAAUAAAAAAUUCUAAUAAUAAGAACGUAUGAAAAAAUAUUCAAAUGGACUAGAAAAUAGAGAAAAACCUUUUUAUGCGAGAGUCUUCUACGAGUAUAGAUCUCAACUCUCAAUGAAAGCACCAAUUUGUGGAUGCAAAUUUCUUCCUCCUUGAUCCUAGACAAUUUUGCACCUACAAAACAAUUAACACCUUAGGUUAAGGCCAAGAGCCUCACACGCCCACGAUGAAUGGGGGGGCUUUGGCCGAAGAACCUCUGAUGCCAAAGUUAGAAUUUAGAGAGAUAGAGUGUUCAGAGAAUUUUGAGAUUUUUGCCAAAGUGUUGGAAUGGAUUUUUGGUGAGAAUGGGAUCACUUUUAUAGGGAUAGGAAGUGGCCGGCCUAGCUAGGGUUUUUGGGUUUAAUUUAGGUUUAAUUAGUCAAUUUAUUUGGCUAAUUAAACCCUAAAGAAUAAAUUGGUGGUUACAAAAUUGAUUAUUUGUAUAAAUGGGGUAAUAAAAUGGAGAAAGGUGAAAAAGGUUAGGAAAAGGGAGGUGGCCGGCUUCUUAGUGGUUUUAGGUGUGAGUGGGUGUUUUAAUUGAUAAUUAAGGGAUUCAUUAGGUAAUUAAUCAAUUUUUAGGGAAUAUGAAAGGAAAAUAUUAUUUAGCUAAUUGAUUAGCUAAAUAAUGGAAUACAAAAUAUAUAGAACAAAUUAGGUAUUAGGAAUUACCUUAUAGAAAGGAUUUGAUGAAAUAAGCUUUAAAUUGUUACCUAUUUUGGGCACUUUUGACUUGGUUGAGGAUGAUUGUCUGCCGCUCACGCGUAGGAAUCUCGAUAUGCCUCAAGGGUAUUUUUGUUCUCUUUUACCCAAAAAUCCACGUGUCGCCUUGUGAUUAUUUUGGCUCCACAACAACCACGUCAGCAUUUAACAGACCAAUGGAUGGAAAAUCUAACGGAGGUAUUAUUUUGAAAUAAAAUAACAAGUGAGGUAUGAAAGUGAAAUGUUUUAAAGAUGUUGUAUGGGGUUGUAAUAGACCUCAAACUUGAGGGUCCUAUGUAAUUUACCUAUUUUUAUGUUAAUUAUGAAUAGGUCAAUCAUGUAGAACCAAAUUAAAAGCUAACAUCAAUAACAACUACCAGAGACAAAAGCUCUAAUCAAUGCUUCGGAAACAUAGUCUUGUAUCUCUAGGUGUAAUGAUAUAAUUUGUUGGAAACUUAAAAGAAAAUUGGUGAUUUUGUAUAUAAUCGAUAAAAAGUUAUAAUAGUGACAAUAUAUCAGUAAUAUUUAUGUUAAUUAGGAAUAGGUCAAUCAUGUAUUUAAUACUUACAUGCAUUUAAAAUAAACACCUUAUCAAUGUUUUUUUAACUGUGCUCAGUUUUUCUCCUUCGCUUUGGUUUUGUUCUAUUGGAUUUUUCAACUAUCAUUAAUUGUGAACAUAACUGAUCAUUGAGACACAAACAUCCAAGGGAGAGUACCGUGGAACAAAAUGUGGAUAUCUUUAUACAUUGUAUGGUAGUAAACCAUCAUAAACACCAUAAUAAUGUAGAAACGCUCUUGGGGUACCUUUGGAUGAUAACUCAUGUAUUUGUUGCCCUACGUAAAGAUGGCUAAUGAUAAUGGAAGUCUAAUUUUCUCAUCCCAAUCUCUCCUGUCUCUCUUGUUCUCUUUUCUCUAUAGUUUAUUUCCAACAAGUUGUGUUAUUUUUUUUUUUUAGUAUUGUUAAGCAACCAAUAGAUUUUAAUUAGCAGUCUUUGUUUUUUUCUUUUAUAUUUUUAAUCAAUUUCAGUUGCUUAUCCGUUCUAGCAAAUUGAGCUCUUUUACAGCAAUUUUUUUCUUUAAAUGAAAUUAUUAUUAUUAAAAGAGUGAGAAAAUUCGAAAUUAUUACAACAAUUUAAAAAAAAGAAGUUUCGAAUCAUAAACACAGAGGGAGUUUACAACAUUUUAAUUAAGAAAUUAGGCUUCAGCUCAACUCAUCUUUGCAACGUCGGUUCCACUUCACAUCAACAUGCAAUGUUUCAGAAGGUCACGCGGUUUUGGGGUUGUUGUGUACCAAUAAUAUUAUAUAUAUAUAAAUUAGGAUUGAAGGAUACACGCAUUUUGUAGAGCUUAUUUUGUUAUGUAUUUUAAUGAUUUAAAUGCUUACGUUUUUCUUCACUACAAAUGAGUGAAUUAAUGAUUUUAGAAUUUGUCUAAUUUUUUACAUUGAUUAUUUAUGAAUAUUGAAUUGAAAUAUAGACGAUUCAAAAAUCGUUGAUAUACAUUACAAAAUGAACUCCACAAAAUAAGCGUCAAAAUAUGUAUAUAAAAUGGACAGCGUGAAAGGCUUGGAAAUUGGAAUAGGUUUGAAAAUUGUGCUUUUUGUAGCAAAUUGUAGCAAAGUUUGCUUGGACUUUCACAACCGUAUAAAUUAUGCCGCAGCACUCUCUAUUUUCUCUCUCGCUCUAUAUCGUGGUCCCUCUCUCUCGCCGUCCUCGAUUGCUCGAACUCACUAUCCUUUAUUGCUCGAACUCACCGUCCUCAAUUGCUCGAACCCACUGUCCUUUAUUGCUCGAACUCACUGUCUCCAACUUCCUCUGUUUGGUUCCCGAUGAAGAUGGUAAAACAGUAGGGGCAAGAAAUUAUGACAAUGUUAGAUUUGCAUAUUAAUCUGGUAGGGCUACAAUUCUCCAAUCCACACCCCUUCCAUCUAUGCUAGUGUUUGUACCCAAUAUUAGAUAUCCGGUCUGUGCAAUCGAGAUCGUUGAAUGAGAAAAAUUCUAAGCCGUGGGAUCAAAUAUAAUGAUGUGGAUUAAAUAAGAAAAAUUUAAAUGUUUAUCUUGGUUGAAUUACCAUGAUAAUAUUGUGGAAUUAUCUUCUGCAUAACGGGAUAGCGAGAAAAGUCCAAGGGUGUAGGGAAGUUGUGUGGCUGACUACCGCUUUUUUUUAUGGUGUCAUUAGUAGAGUAAUAUCACACUUAACAUUUAUUUGUACCAUCUCUCUAAUAAAGAUAAAGACCAUCAAUGCAUAAAUAAUGAUACAAAUAUAUAAUAAGAGUAUCAUAUUUGUAACUAGAAUAGGAGAAGAAAGACUUCAAGAUGGGGUCAGCCAAAUAAUUAGCGUCAGGAUAAAAAUAUGAGUAAUGAUAUUUGUAAACAUCGAAAUUUCGGUAAAUAAAUGUUGACCGAUAAAUCAAAGUUUCAACGCUCAUGUAUUACAUAAAUUUUACACGUAGCGUAUGUCUAAACAAAAAAUCGAAAUAAGUUGGAAAAGUCAUCAAACAGGACACAUGUCAACACCUGGCAGAAACGACUUAUUUCAUCUGGAAUAUUAUAUUCAAAAUUAGGCAUUGGAAAAUUCUAUAAAUAGAAGCCAAUUUCAUUCAUUUGAAGGAACCAAAAUCAUUAGGCAAAAUUCUUGAAGCUCUGAAGCUCUGAAACUCCGAAACUCUCAAGCAUCCAGGUUCCCGAAGAAUCAAGAAAGCUCUCUUCGUUCUUCGUUCUUCGUUCAUCGUUCAUCCUAAGAUCAAGCUCCAACGGCCCUUUAGAUCAACAAUCAUCCACUAAUUCAAGAUCAAGCCCCGACGGCCCUUGAAGAAAGUGUUCUUCAUUCUUCGUUCAUCGUUCUUCCAAGAUCAAGCCCCAACGGCCCUUUGGAUUAACAAUCAUCCACCAAUUCAAGAUCAAGCCCCAACGGCCCUUGAAGAAAGUGUUCUUCGUUCUUCGUUCAUCGUUCUUCCAAGAUCAAGCCCCAACGGCCCUUUGGAUUAACAAUCAUCCACCAAUUCAAGAUCAAGCCCCAACGGCCCUUGAAGAAAGUGUUCUUCGUUCUUCGUUCAUCGUUCUUCCAAGAUCAAGCCCCGACGGCCCUUGGAUCAACAAUCCACCAAUUCAAGAUCAAGCCCCAAAGACCCUUGAAGAACUUCUACCAAUUCAAGAUCAAGCCCUGACGGCCCUUGAAGAAAGUGUUCAUUGUUCAUCAUCCGUUCAUCCCGAAGAAUCAAGAAAGCCUUAUUCGUUCUUCGUUCAUCGUUCUUCCAAGAUCAAGCCCCGACGGCCCUUGGGUCAACAUCAUCAACAAAUCCACACAUCCAACCGUUCUUCAAGAUCAAGCCCAAAAGCCCUUGAAGAUCCGUUCAUCACCGUUAUUCAAGAUCAAGCCUUAACGGCCCUUGAAGAAACACUCAUCCUCAAGAUCAAGCCCCAACGGCUCCUUGAAGAUCCGCUCAAAUCCACCUUCAAAGAUCAAGCCCACGGCCCCUUGAAGAAACAUCCAACAGUUCAUCCAAGAUCAAGCCUCGACGGCCCUUGGAUCAACGAAACAUCUACAAAUCAACACCUUACGGAGAUCGAAUCAGAUGAUCAAAUUAGAGAGAGAUUGUAACCCUAAAUCAUCAAAAUACAAAUAUUAUUUUGUGCACGUUGUUCUUAUCUCUUUCGUUUCAGGAAAUUUUCGUGUUCACAAUAUUCUUACCAUCUAAAUAUACUAUAAUUUUAUACCAUCUUAUGUGGCAAUUGAGAUGGACUUCCACAUAAGUUUUAAAAAAAUCUCAUGUCAGCUAAGGUGGAUAUUUACGAUUUUACGAUUUUACUCAAUGAUUUUUAUUAAUAAAAUAAUUAAAAAAUAAUAAUGAAACCUACUUGCUCCCGUUUUCAAGCCUCAUCGCUGGGCCUCCUCCCUCUUCGCUCUCCAAUUUCACCUUCCUUCACCAACGAUCGAUGGUGCUCGACCCCCUUCAUCAUUGCCAACUGGCCGAAUAUCUUGAUGGUGCUCCCAGUGAUUGUUUUGCUCUGCCACCAAAUCAAGUUUGCAAUUUUAAUGGUUUAUGCCUUCUGGCCAAGUGUUGGAUUUGAUAGGUUUUUAAUUCCAGCAACAUUGAACAAAAAUAUGAAAAGGAUUGGAUACGAUAUUUUCCUCUGUUCUACUGCUGAGGAUUUUCCGAAUAGAAGAAGAUUUGGAAGACAACCUCUUUUCUUUUUUCUUCAUGGACUUUUGGUUAGCACCAAAAUCUUUUCCUAAUCCUCUAUAGGAAUGAAAAUUUCAUUCCAUGUUAUAUCCCGAUGUUGUCCAAGGUUUUGGCUUGAAUUUUCAUUGGAAUUAUCAUAUGUUGGAUCAGAUCAGGUGGAGAGAUGAAACGUAUCUAACAAGGAAGUUGAACGGGUAGGGUUUGAGCAAAAAUAAACAGAAAUUCCACCUAGGUUGACACCUAAGCUUCCACAUCAUGUGGUAUACUAAAUGUGGUAUAAUAAGAUGGUAAGAAUAGCAUUAUUGAAUGGGUAAUGUUAAGAGAAAUUUUUAGUUGUGACGGGAACACGGAUGGUACACCAUGCGUUUUUAUGUAAAUGGUGGAAAAUUUUAAUUUUUAAAUUAUUAACCUUUUAGCACACAUAUCCCACCAUUUAUAUGAAAACACGUGAUGUAUCACCUCGUGUGAUAGUCACAUUGAAAAAUCUCUCGUAAUGUUAGGAAAACUAAAUUUAUAAACAAAAGUUACAAAUUAAAUGAUGGGUUACCAAUAAGAAUGAUUACGUUUAUCAAUGCUUAAAUAAUAAAUCAUUCAUCAACUUCCAGUCCUUUAGUUUUUAAAAUUUUGUCUAACAUUACCCUUUCAAAACUCAUGAAAAUAAUUUUCAAUUUUUUUAACUGAAAAGUGAAAGUUACUAAACAAGAUUUCAGUUUUUAGCUUUCAAAAAAAUAAAAACAAAAGCUAAAAAUAAAAUGGUUAUCAAACAUCCCUAGAAGUCAUUCUUAGUGAUAGUAAGGUCAUCUCCAACCGAAAGAUCCAGGGGGCUAGAGGGCCGAAAAUAGUCUGAAAACCAUUUCCAAUCAAAGGCCAUGCCAAAGGGGUCGUGGACCCCAUUAGACAAAAAAGGGCCAAAGGGCCAACUGGCUGGCCCCAGUUCCAACAAUAACUAGAUGACGUCAGUUAACCGUUAUUUUUGAAUUUUUUUUUUAACAAAUUUUAACUUUCUAAGCCAUUAAACAACAUUAAAUUAAGUAAAAAAGAAAAUUCCUAUAACUUCCUAAGUCAUUAAACAAUAUUAAAUUAAGUAACAUGAAACAACAUUAAACAAUAUUAAACAAAAUUAAACAAUAUUAAACAACAUUAAAUAACAUUUAACAACAUAAAAAUUAUACAACAUAAAAAAAAACAUUUAAGAACAUAAAAUUUAAAUGCCUACUUCAUGCUUCUUUUGGCCCAAAGAUGUGCAACAAGAUCCUAAUGUAGGUACUUGUUUGUGGCACGAGAGCGUAUCAUCCUAACCGUUAGAUUUGAUUUUUUUUUGUUUUCGGCCAAAUUUUUUUAAAUUUAAAAAUAAAUUAUGUUUGACCUUUUGGCCCUCGAUUGGAGAUAGUUUUUUUUGUGACAUGACUAUGUUUAGCCCUAUGACCCUUUGGCCCUCAGUUAGAGAUGGUAAGAAAUAUGACCCAACAAUGUUCAUUAAAAUAUUAAUUUCUUGAAGAGCCAGAGGGCUAAAACGAGCCAUCCUUCGGUUGGAGAUGGCCUAAGAAGAGACUAGAGAUAGAGAGAUUCCUAUACUUAGCUGUGAGAGUUUCCUAUAUAUGAUUUUCAUUAACAAGAUUGAACUGAUUACAUAGAGAAGAAGAUCAAGUAUGGUUAUUUUUAUUUGGGAGACUUUGGAUGUGGUCCUUAGUUAUGAAUAUUAUUUGAUUGAAAUCUUGUUGGUUUUUAAUUUUUUAUCAAGAUCCCUGAAAUUAAUGUGAUAAUUUAUUUCUAUGUAAGUUACUAUAUUUUUUUAAUUAGAAAUUAGAAAUUUUAGUUGUUUAUAUAAAUGAGAUUUUAAAUUAAAAAAACCAUAAUUUGUGGGAUUAAAAAUAUUAAAAUAUAAAUAUACUAUUGUGUGUGUGUGUGUGUGUGUGUGUGUAUAAAUAUGGGUACAUUCAUCAAAAUUAACCAAAAAAUUUAUUGUAUCAAAACAUGGGUACAUUCUUCAAAAUCACAAAAAAAGAAAGAUAUUAGGCUUAAUAACAUUAGUAAAUUUCUUCGAUUAAACUUGACAUGGAUACAUUUUAAAAUCAAAGAAAAAAAAUGUACCCAUAUAAGUUUAAAAAUGGAUUAGAAAAAAAAAUUGAAUAGAUUUUAUACAAAAAAAGGGUACGUUUUACAUAUAACAAAUUGGUAUAUUUAAGAAUGAGUACAUUUUAAGAUUAAAAAGUUUUACAUGAAUGGGUUCAUAUAAUUAGCAUGGGUACAUUUAGCAAAAUAAAAAGUACAAAUACAAAAAAAUAUAUGUGUACAAAUACAAAUAAACUUUAAAAAAUAUGGGCACAAAAAGAAAUUAAUAUAUGGGUACAAAUUAAAACCGAAAAGAAAAUUGGUACAAGUUAAAAAAGAAUUACAAAUUAAAAAUGGGUACAAACUAAAACUAAAAAUAUAUGAUAAAAAAUUUAGUCAUAAAUAUAAAUAUACUAAUUGUAACAUUUUUAACAUUAAAUGAAUAUAUUUAGACAUAAAAAAUAUAUUUUAUUAUUGAAAUAAUUAAUGAUGUUAUUAAUACCCAAGGACCUUGAUAAAAAAUUGAAAAGAAAUAGAAUUUUAAUCAAUGGAGUAGCAAAAGAAAAGAUGAGAACCUAAUUUCUCCUUUGUAUUGUGUAGACAUUAUAACUAUACAUUCAUAAUAACAUGAGUAAUGUUAUAUUUAUCACAUUUGUACUCUUUCUCCAAUAAAGAUAGGGUCCAUCAACACAUGUGGGUUCUAUUUGCCCAUCAACACAUGCGAAUCUCAUUUUUAUUAGAAAAAUAGUACAAAUAUGAUAUGGAAAUUAUGAUAAGAUCGCAAUUUUGUAAUAACAUAUAUACUCAACUAUUUAUAUACCAACUCAUCUCCCUUUAGUGUAGUUAAUAUUGUUUGUUCAACCAAAAAAAAAAAAACUGAACUUGUCAUAAUCAUUGAAUCCAUUUACCAUGAACAAACGGCAGUUUACUAAACUUGCCCUCAGAGUAUAUAUAAAAGGUGAAUCACAAUCUAUUGCAUUAAUAUAAGGAAACAAUUUAUAGGGUUUGACGGGUGACUUAAUAUGCUAUAUGGCACAAUGAAAAUUAAGUUCACACUUUAUCCCAAAUAAGGUGUUGCACCUUUAAUUUAUGGAUGCUGGUUUGACGUGUGACCGAAAUAAUCAAAUUGUAGCCAUUAAUCAUUUUACAAGUAAUAAUAUGUGGUUUUAUUGUUUACGAUUCACACAACAAUCUGCUAGGAAGUAGAAAAUGCAGUACUUGUCCCUCUCACAGAAGUCAUGAAUAAUUAUCAAAUUCAAAGAUAAAGAAAAACCACACAAUUUACAAGAGGAAAGAAAAUGAAGGGAUAAAGAAAGUAAGAAAGGAAUACCUCUAUGGGAGGACUCUUAUUUGCUUCAGAUGCCUACAAUAUUCAUCAUAUAAACACUGAUUAAGUAGUCAUCGAAAACCAAAACAAAUGUCGAACAUAGGGUGAAAAACAGAAAGAAUAACCGCAGCUCAUCAUACCAAUAGAGAUAGAACUGCCCGAUGCCCAAGUAUGACUGAAAAAUGGCAAUCCAAACAUGGCGCCUUCUAGCUCAUCAAACUGUCAAAACCUAGGUUCCACCAAAAAGAUACAAGUCACCUAGUUACUUGUAAAAUAAAAAUCUGUUUCAAAAUAGUGGAAAAUAUUAUUAACAUUGUUCAAAGUCCACAUUGUUGUACCUACCAAGAAACAAGAAGGAUUGUAUCUUAUCAUGAAAAAGAACAUAGGUACCUUUUCAAUUGUAAUUGUACAAAAAUGAGAGACCACUUCCGAACUUCUCUUGGAACUUCAAUCAAUUUCUGCCCACUUUUAAAUGCCUUGACAUACUUAAGCCUAUUUCUUUGAGCUUCAGUUUUGGCUUCUGAUGCCUUUAAAUUUCUUAAAGAUUCUUACCAAGUUUUACAAACUCACUUCUAUACAACCAUUUGUCAGUAUACAUACCAUUUUCUUUGAGCUUCAGUCUUUGCAACACCAAAACCCCCCAAAUAGACCCGGAAUUUUGCAAUGUGCAGGGAAUAUACAAAAAAAACCCUCCUAUCCAUCUAAAACGAAAUCAGAACGCAAACCACAAUCAAAAUCCGUAAAAUUAAUUUAGCCAACCCCUAAAUCUAAUAAUUCUAACAAAUAUUAUAGUAUCAAUUGAGAGAGAAUUUGAGAAGAUACCUAGAGAUGAAAGGAAGAGCGUUUCCUCUGAUAGGGGUUCCGUGAAAGCAUCUGUUGACCAGAAAAGAAAAGGCAAAAAACCCCAAAUUACAUAUCAAGCAAUUAUAGAUAGAUCGAACCUUGAAAAUUGAAAUUUCAAACAAGAGAAAGGUUAUAAACUUACAACGAUCUGGGUGUUGGUAACUGGGUUUGGAUUUGGGUUUCUGAUAAGAGAGAGAAUCGUAUGAGGAACCGAUAGAGGAACUGCACCGGCAACAGAGAGCAAUUGAUAUGGUGGAGAACAGACGAGAAUAGCUGCUUGGAUGGUCAAUCCAAGAAGAGAAAAUCUUGCCACAAUCGCGGUACUUGAAAAAAAAAAAAACAAGUUUAAAGGAGGGAAACAAUCGCGCCUUUUUCUAAUAGACUCUGUCGACGAUAUUCUUGACAAAUAGAUGCUUCGUCGGGUGAGCUUAUUUUUCACAACAUUUUAUUUAGGAUUGGGUUCGGUUGGUAAACCGUGUCAAAUUUCUUGUGCCACUUGCCAGCCACAUAUACAUAAUUACCGAAAAUCAGUUACCGUUAGCCAACCGUCUUCUUGCGGUUGCCAAAAAUCGGUUCAGCCAAAAUGAUUGGCUGGUUCGGUUGGUAAAUGGCACAACCGGUGGUUUCCACUUCUUCCUCGCUAUCUUCCAGUUCCAAGGGCUCAAUUUGAUUUUCAGAUUGGGAUGCUUGUUCGGUUGCAUUGUGUGGUUCAUUUUGGGUUAAUCCAUGUUGUGCACUAGUAGUUGAUUGGCUAGACUCCAUUAUCCUAAACAUAAGCAACAAAUAUACAUUCAAAAUAAUAUAUAUGUACGUGUAUAUAUAGUAUCAGUAAUCAUCAUGCUAUCAAUUUUGUUAACAAUAUUUUCUAUAUAUUGAUUUUGGCAUGAAUCAUAUACACAUACAUAUAUUUUUAAAACCCUAAAACUAAGGAGUCAUUUAUUUUCUAAACUCUAAAAUUGAGGAGUCAAGCAUGUAAAAAAAUACUUAAAAUAUCUAAAUAGAAAAAGAAAAAGAAAAAAAAAUAAAUAUAUAUAUAUAUCGGUAGGUAUGGCAUACCGCCGGCAUACAAAAUCAAUUACCAAAGCCAUGCCAUUAAUUGUCGGUUCGGUAAAAUGCCAACCGAUUAUGAAAAAAUGUCAAAACUAUACCAUACCAUUUUGAGCCAACCAGUAUGGUUUGGUCAGUAAAUCGGUUUAUGGCAAAAUUUCUCACCCCUAAUUUUAUUUGUCACCUUAAACCUAUUGGUUUCUAGCCUACAAUUCGGAUAUUUUGUUGGGGAAAGAUUUUUGUACCAAUAAAAUUUUGCUUUGUCGGCAAAAUGACAUUUUCUAGUAGUUAUAAUAUUAGGUAGAUCAAAUUUGUAAACUAUGUGAUGUGUCACUAAUAGGAAAAAAUUUCAGUGUGCUGAAAAUACGGUCUAGAACACCAAGUGUCAUAAUAUAUACUUGGUUGGAAAUCUUUUAUUUUCAAGUUUCCAACUAGUUGUAUUGUAACAGUUGGUGUUCCAAGCUAUUUUCUCCAUGCGCUGGAAAAUCUCUUCACUAAUUAAAAAUAAACAUAUUAAUUAACACUUAAGUAAUAAUCAAAGCAUCAACAACUACGUCAUAGAAUUUACGAAAUAUGAUCUUAAUUAAUGAUCUCCAUUACCCUUUAUCUUAGCGUAUACGUACGCCUUCACAUGUUUAUUUGCUGAUAUGCAGCUUGAGUAAAAAUUUCUUUUUAAGAACAUAUAUGUGAAUAUAAACAUAUAUAUCUAGUGAUCCAUGUUGCGUUAUUUAAAAAUAAACAAAUUAAUUAAUUAAUGAACUGUGUACCUGUCUGUGUAGAGUAAUCCAUAUGCAUGCUUGAAUCCUGAUCACCACGAAACCAUAAUAUAAGCUACUCAAGGCCCGGAAGCUAGGAUUGAAGAGAAAAACACCCAGUCAGAUUAAGCCAAUACAUCAAAGUUAAUACUUCCAAAUGUAAGCUUUAAGAUAGAAAAAUCACUUACUUCCUUGAGCAGUCGAGCUUCUUCAAUGGCAUGAAGCUUUUAGCAUGAGAUUGACUGCAUCACAACUAAAAUUUUCUCUUGGAAACUACAUAAGGAAUAGCAUGUAUACCUAUAACGUUGAGAAAGUACGCCAAUUUUUUCCUUCUGCACAUUCAUGUUUAAAAGUAAUCCUCAAAUGAACUUGCCCACAAUGAAAUGCAAUUUGAGGUAGUCGAGUGUGUUCCAUUUCCAUCCCAUCGGAAUUACUACUAAACUUUGAGAUGGUAGAGGAUUCAUGAAAUUUUUUACUUUUGAAAUAGUCUCCUUAGCAUUUCUCGACUAUAACAAUGAGGAAAUACUUCACCUUGUAUCAAACAAGGGAGACCGAAAAUCAACUACUAAUAGCAUCACAGAGCCAGCAGAAGAUUGAGGAGGCCAUGAAAAGGAAAGAGAAAAUACACUCUUUUUUUGUAAGGACAGAGAUAAUACAUUCAAUAAAGGGUACUGAUGUUUAUAUGCAAAGCUGAUUAGGUUUAAAUAGUCGUAUUUAUUCUGUACAGUGCCAAUAUUACCACCCGUUAGUACACUUUCAAGACACUGUAAUCCAGUGUAUGCACUAUGCAGUACGUAGUACUCCUCAUUUUUUUGGGGAAAUUCAUUAUUGGUCUUCAUAUCUUCUUUAUUUUCCUUGUCCUCAUUGUGCCACGUGUUUAAAUCACUAAUUAUAGGUAAUCUUUCAAUUUAAUUAAAUCUUAUGUAAAAAAAGAUAAUUAAAUAUCAUUUAGUAUUACAAUAUAGUGAUAUUCCUCUUUAGUAUAAAAUUUUUAUAAUUAAAAGCGUUCAGCUUUUUAAUCUUCAUUGGAAUAUUAUCUAUAAAGAAAAAUUAUUCGAAUCAGAGAUCAUUUAUGCAUUCAAAUGUAUAAAAUACAUCGACAGUGUGAGAACCAACUAAUAUAUUUUUGAUGAAGUACAAUUAUUGAAUACAUUUGAACGAUCAAAUGAUAUAUGAUUCAAAAUACAUAUUAAGAUAAUAAAUAUAAAAGAAUUGUUAUUUGCACUUCAAGAAUCUCAUUCUACACUCUAAAUUUUCUAUAUAUUAAAAGAAAAAUAAAUUUGUGAAAAGUGUAGAAUGAGGUUUUUUUAAAUGCUAAUAACACUUCUCUAAAUACAAUUAUGAAAUUAAUUAAGUAAAGAUACAUGACCUCGUGAAUGAUGAAUGUAUUAUUCAAAAAAAUAUUAAAAACAAAUUGAAAAAGGACGCUGUUGUUGCCACCACUUAUGCAAUGAUCGUCGCUGCCAUCACCAACCCCCAACACCCCAUUACAGCUCAUAAAAGCACAUCAUAAGCAAUUUAUGAAAUAAAUUUACUGGAAUACUAAUUUCCCCCUUAGUUUAGGUCACCAAUGUUUAAAUUUAGGGAUCGUGAUAUCCACACACAUUUUUUACUUCUUUCACACUUUUUUUUUCGGUUGUCGGAUCAGAUGAAUUGAAGAAAAUCAAUGAACAGAAAUUAACAAGGGGUGUGUGAGAAGUAAAAAUGAAUGUGUGGAUAACACACCCCUAAAUUUAUCACAACUUUCAUUCCAAAUUUAAUUUUUAUCCGUAGUUUUGUUUGUUCAAAUUUACUUUGACAUUUCCAUUAGUAUUAAAAUCUAAUUUAAAUUUUAGUGUUCAAGCUAGAAAAAGUGUUCCAUUUAAUAUUUAAUCUCAGUUUUUCUCUUUAUUCUUUUAUUGGGAUUUGGUUGCAUCGUAUCUCCAUUUUUCUCGGUGUUGUAUGUUCAUAAGGCCUGUGAAACGUUGGCACGGAGUGAAGGGUACUCACUUUUUGGCCCAAAAUGCAUAAGGCAUGUAGAUAUGUUAAUCAAAUUUUGUAAACUAAAGGAUAUAGAAGUUGAUAAUUAGAUUAUAAUUUAAGAUAAUACUAAGGAGACUAAAUUUGCAAACUAAAUGAUGUGUCACCAAUAAAAAUAAGCACGUUUAUCAACAAUUAAGUAAUAAAUCAAUCAUCAACUUUCAUGUCCUUUAGUUUCCAAGAUUUAAUAUACAAAUUUAGUCUCCCAAGCAUUACUCUAUUACUUAAGUAUUGAUUAACAGACUUAUUUCUUAUGGUGACACAUUAUUUAGUUUACAAUUUUAGUCUACCCAACAUUACUCUUUUGAAAUUGUCUUGUCCACUGAUAUAAUUCUAUUUUUCUUGUGAUCAAAACUUCAAAUGUUAGCAAGUCGCACGUAAAGUCGCUUAUGAGAGAAUGUGCUCACAUUGUAGUUGAAAGAUUAUGUGGCUAGCAACAUUACAAAUUUAAUUUGGUAUAAUUCUAAAAUAUAGAUUGAGGAAAAAAUGAUCACAUUAACUAGAAACUGAAAAGGUUUCAGCACAGUUUGUUCAAGCAAGAAAUUCAAUUUUGAUGCUACCGAUCUUAACAGCCUGAGCGCCGUACCUGGGCACCAAAGUCACCACCACACUCUCAUCAUCUUCAGCACCCAAAUCCUCCAACAGGUCCGUUAACCCCAACCUUAAACAACUCUUGCUCUUUUCCUUCUGCUUAUGUGGCACACUCACAAAACUCCCAGCAAACUCGCUCUUGUCGGGUCCACUCGGUGCCGCAUCCUCAUCGUCCACGUCAUUCACAUACACACAUCAAACUUCACAGCCACAUCUUUGUCAAGCUCAAUCCCCUGAAUCACCAAUAUCUCCUCCUCAUCCUCUUUCUCCUUCUUGCUCCUCUUCUUCGGCUUCGGCCUUGACACCACCGUACUUAUCUUCGUCUCCAAAUUUAUUGGAAAAUCUUUACCCGCCACCACCUUCCCUGAUGACGUCGUCUCAGUGGCCUUCGCCACUCCAGCCGCCUUUGCCUUUCUCGCAAGCUUUGUCCGACGUGGCGUCGGUCUAGACUUGAGCCAUGGAAUCUCAACAUCUUCAUACGUAUACCCUAGCUUUUUAUUAUCAAGAGUGUCCCUCACCGUGACCCUAACAAGCUCAGCAUUCUCGUCAUAAAACAAAAACCCCGUAUCCAACCAAUCCUUAUCGUUAAUAUCGUUAUUUUUAGUCCCUAUACUUUUCCAAAUAUUCCACAUUCGAUCUAUAUUCGAAUGGUGCGAAAAAAAUAUUGGAUCCCUUGCAGCGGAGUAAAAAUUCCCCAUGUCUUCAAAAUUAGGCUGCGUGUUAUCUCCGGUCCAUAAAUGAACCGGACCAUGUGGGGUCGUUUCGAUUGAACCGCCCCCUGGAUCUGGUUCAGUGUCAGCCCUGUAGGGCGAACCAAAGAACAACAGCGGUUUCUUGGAGUUGGAAACCAUCUGCCUAUACAUGAUUUUGAGGUUGGCGUCGAUUUGAGCAUCCUUGGACAUUGUUUCAUCCGUGCCGUUGAAGUCAAGAUCGAUGAGAGUCGGCGGCUGAUGGCUGGCAGCGCGGAGCUCGUCGUAAAGCGGAGAGUCCGGGUUAGCGAACAAGGCAGGGAGUUGCAUGCCAGCUGGCGCGUCCCAGUUCCAAAACGGCAACGCGAACGUCGGAUCGUCUAUGAGUUUGGCCAAGAUUCUUUCGUAGAAGUAUACGUAGUAACGAUGGAAGGGGAAGAAAAGCCAGCAUUGAUGGAUUUGGAGCUCGAGGUUGGGGAAGCCGACUUGGUCGUACGCGCCGUCGCAAUAGGCACAGUGGAGAUCGGCUUGCUGGGUGAAGCUACGCGGAUCGUCGUCCGGGAGGGCUUUCAUGAGCUCGAUGGCUUUUGAAUAUUUUUCGAUGUAGGCUUUAUCCACGGUGUGAGCUGCCGGCCUGACGCGGAGUUUGGUAGGGGAGGGGAAUUUGAAGUCUACGAUUUUUUGGGACGUUGGCGGGCAACAGUUGAUCGGGACUGCUCCACUUGGAAAGUCCGCAGCUCCGCAUUUGGCUAGGUCAGGCGGCAACACUGGCUUUGCAACAGCGAAGGGGUCGCUGCCAAGACCAGCCACUCCGGCUUUGCAACAGCGAAGGGGUCGCUGCCAAGACCAGCCACUCCACCGUAGAGGCUUCCGAGACCUAUAAGAAGAUAGAAUUCAGUUCUUGGCAGUAGAGGACUCUAUUGCAGGGAAAAACUGAUUUGAAUUAGGAAGGCUUAAGUAGUUUUCCAUAAGGAUUUUAAUAGGGAAUCCAUAUUCUAAUAUGAGAAGGAUAUGUGUGUACAUAUAUAUAUAUAUAUAUGGCAAUCUCUUCUCUCACAGGUGUGUGCUCUUUUGGAACUAAGCCCUAUUCUUAGUUUGAGUGAUAAAUACCCUGACAGAGAGAAGAAGAAUUGAUGUGCUUUUCAGGUUGAUCGAGAUCCACCAUGACUGCAUCAAACGGGAGUUCUACAGGUUAGUAUAAUUAGGUUUUAUUUGGAUUGAUGUUUUGUGUCUACUUGGUUGUAGUUUAAGUAACUGAAUCUUGCAGCUAGAUUUUGGUUUACAUGUGGUAUCAGAGCCAUAGAUUCAUGUUCUUAAAUUCAAUCGAUAAAAUUGAUUGAAUCCAAAAUAAAAUUCCGAUCUUCAGACUUCGAAACAGGUUCUGGUAGUUAAAAUUAGGAAAAGAAGAAACGGUGCGUUUUGAUUAAAAUAUGAUGAUUAAUACUUGACCGUUAAGAGCUAAUAAACUAUCUUCUCUUCCGAAUUGGGAAUACAAAUCGACAUCUAUCGAUUUCGAUUUCGGGGUUUGAAAAACUGGGUUAUAUGACAUCUAUCGAUUUCGAUUUCGAGGUUUGAAAAACUGGGUUAUAUGAAUUGUUAUUGAGUAUCCACAAUUUAUAUUAAUUGCUUCCGCUGCUGGGUGUUGAUGCUCAUAGAACAAACGGGUAUGUCUCCUGAACAUUGAAUUGAAAUUUGUUUUUUAAUCAAUCUUAUCUUGAAUUUCAUUAUGUUCUACAGCAUGAUUCGAAUAGUGAGCAUAAAAAUAUGCUUAUUUAUGCUGAUUAGUCCUAUGUUUAUGCGUUUUUCUCUAACCAUCUAUGGAAGGGAGUUCUUCGAUAAGAACCUCUGCAGAUUUCACUUGUUUUAUGCAGAAAGUUUUAUGAAGAACUGUUCAUUUGAUAAAGAUCUGCUAAAACUGUGUUCUUAAAUGGAAAAAUCUUUUAUUCUAUAUGUGCUUAUCAAUUCUUCAUUGUUAAGAUUAUAUAUAUGGAUAAAAGGUUUUGAUGAUAUGAUGUACAAAGGAUUGUGAGAUGAAAUCUGGAACUCUAAACGUUCUUCUGUGAUUCAUUGUGAUUUCAUUGUGCUACAGUGUCUGCAAUAUCAAUGAAGACUCUGAAUUUGGCUAACAUCCCAAUUCUUACUGGUGGGGGAAAUUACAAGAAGUGGAGAAGGGAAAUCAGUUUGCUGUUGACUCUAAACGAGUUUGAUAUAGCAAUCGAGAAUCCCAAACCCGUGGUCAAUGAUCAGAGCAGCACAAGGGCUGAAAAGGCAGAUUUUGAGAGAUGGACAAGGGCUAAUAAGGUAGCAUUGUCCAUCCUUGAGAGUGGCAUGACUGAUACAAUCAGAUGAGGAAUUAAGAAGCACGAUUUGGCUGCUGAUUACCUAAAAGCUAUUGAAAAGAAAUUUCAAGAAUCUGAAAAAGCUGAAGUGAGUCAGUAUAUGUCUUUAUUAACUACUUACAAGAUGGAGGGUACAAGCUCUAUAAGGGAUCACAUAAUGAAGAUGACAUAUGCUGCAGAAAGACUCAAUGCAAUGGAUAUAAACAUAGGUGAAAAGCAGUUAGUAUUCAUGAUUCUUCAAGCACUUCCCAGUAAAUAUAGUCAGUUGAAGAUCUCCUACAAUACUCAAGACAAAAACUGGGAUAUUGAUCAGUUGAUUGCACAGUGUGUGCAAGAAGAAACUCGUCAAAAACAAGAAAGAGGCAAAGAAGUUGAGGACAUCAACUUUGUGCAAACUAUAAAUGACAAAAAGCAGUUCAACAACAGAAGCUUUUCUGGUUCUGGUAAGAGUUCUAAGCCUUUUAAAACUUCUAAUAAGUUCAGUAAUUCUGCUAAAGUAGUUGACUCCCCUAGAAAAUCUAUCAAGUUUAAAGCUAAACCUAAAGAUGUGUCUAAAUUAAAAAUGUUUUUGGUGCAAAACUAAGGGCCAUUUAAAAGUUAACUGUGAAAUUUUCAAAGAUUAUGUAAAGAGCAAAGAAAAGGAACAAGUACUUGUCUGUAUUGAAUCAAAUUUGUGAAGUAUACCUGUUGAUUCUUGGUGGUUUUGAUAUACCGGAUGCUCAGUGCAUAUAACUAAUUCUUUAAAUGGUUUUCAAAAACAAAAGGAAUUUGGAAAUGCUACAUAUAAUGUUUUUGUUGGGGAAGGAACUAAAGUUGCAGUAGAGUCAAUUGGGAUAGUCAAAUUAGUCUUAUGUUCUGGUUAUGUUUUAGAGUUGAAAGAUGUGUGCUAUAUGUGCCUAAGAUGAGAAGAAACUUAAUUUCUGCCCUCUAAAAUUGUAAAAGAUGGUUUUUCUUUUCUUGGUGAUGAUGAGUGCCUCAAAAAUUUUCAAGAAAAACUGUCCUUGUCCUAACACUAUUUUAGGGACUGCUUUUUUGUCUGAUAAUUUAUGGAAUCUAAAUUGCACUGUUAAGGCACUCAAUCACACGAUUUUCAGCAUUAGUACUAAGAGAAUGAUAGGUCAGGAUACUUCAUACAUUUUAUGGCACAAAAGACUAGGACACAUCUCUAAAGAAAGGAUAAUUAAGCUGUAAAAAACUGACUUGAUUCCAAAAUUAGAUCUUUCUACUGCAACUGAAUGUGUUGACUGCCUAAAGGGUAAAAUGACCAAUUUUAGAAAAACAGAUGCCAAAAUGAGCCAGGGGUUACUUGAAAUCAUACACACUGAUAUCUGUGGUCCUUUUCCAGUUAAGACAAUAUGUGGAAACAAGUAUUUCAUUAAUUUCAUAGAUGAUUUUUCAAGGCUGGGAUAUACCUUUCUGAUUAAUGAAAAAGCUGAUGCCCUUAAGUGUUUUAUAAUUUACAAAACUGAGGUUGAAAAACAGUUAGGCAAGGUUAUUAAAAUUGUUAGAUCGGAUAGGGGAGGUGAAUACUUUGGCAGGUACACUGAAUCCGGGCAGCAAAAGGGACCAUUUGCUCUCUAUCUCGAGAAGAAUGGUAUUGUGGCGCAGUACACCACACCUGGAACGCCUCAACAGAAUGGUGUUUUUGAAAGAAGAAACAGGACUCUUAUUGGUAUGGUUAGAAGCAUGAUGUCCAGAUCAAAAUUGCCAGGAUUCUUGUGGGGAGAAGCUUUGAAAACAGCUAAUCAUAUAUUGAAUCGAGUUCCAAGCAAGGCAGUAUCUACCACACCCUAUGAGUUAUGGCAUGGGAGAGUUCCUAGUUUUACUUAUUUCCAUGUUUGGGGUUGUAAAGCAGAAGCUAAGUUAUAUAAUCCUAAUGAAAGAAAGCUGGAUUCAAGGACUCAGUCAUGUUAUUUUAUUGGCUAUCCUGAGAAAUCAAAAGGAUACAGGUUCUAUAUCCCUCAAGGUCACACUCGGAUCCAAGAGACACACAAUGCAGUUUUCCUAGAAGAUGAAGAUGUCUCUCAUUUGUCAAGGGAAAAUUUCAUAUUUGAAGAGAUGCAUUCAGAUGGUGGGGACCAUGUGACAAUGGAUUAUAAUAUCGGUCUCAUUGUUUCCCAAUCAAUCAUCAAUUGCCAUUGAAGAUAUGAGUGAAGAUUUAGGAGUUCCUGAUGACAACUCUGUAGGAGUUGAUUCCACAACAUAAGCUGCAACAAUUCCUUUUGCAGAAGCAUGUGAACCAGUUGCUGUUCCACCUCCAGUUGAAAUCAGAAGGUCACAAAGAGCUCGGAAAACCACUGCAAGCAAUGACUAUGUGUACUUAUAAGAGACUGAGUUCGAUAUUGGUGACAUUUGAUGAUCCUCUUACAUAUACUCAGGCAACUGAAAGUCCUCAAGCAGUUCUUUGGAACAAUGCAAUGAAGGAUGAGUUAGAUUCAAUGUCCAAAAACCAGGUUUGGACAUUGGUGGAAUCCAACUCUGAAAUUAGGCCAAUAGGCUGCAAGUGGGUAUAUAAAACCAAAAGGGAUGCUGCUGGAAGAAUUGAAAGAUAUAAAGCAAGGUUGGUUGCUAAGGGGUUUACUCAAACGGAGGGGAUCGACUAUAAUGAUACUUUCUCUCCAGUUUCCUCCAAAGACUCCAUGCGAGUUAUCAUGUCUUUAGCUGCCUACUUCGAUCUUGAAUUACAUCAAAUGGAUGUAAAAACCGCUUUUCUUAACGGAGACUUACAAGAGGCUAUAUACAUGAAACAACCUGUUGGAUUUGUUGAAAAGGGGAAAGAGAAUUUAGUAUGCAAGCUCAAUAAGUCCAUAUACGGCUUGAAACAAGCAUCAAGGCAAUGGUACCUAAAGUUUGAUCAAAUUGUCUCUGCAUAAGGUUUUGUAGAAAACAAACUGGAUGAUUGUAUAUACAUUAAGUUCUCAGGUUCCGAGUUCAUCUUCUUAGUACUUUAUGUUGAUGCCAUUCUCCUAGCUAGUUCAUGUCCCCAAUUGCUUCAUAGCAUUAAGAGAAUGCUAAGUGAUAACUUUGAGAUGAAAGAUCUUGGAGAAGCACAUUAUGUACUAGGAAUAGAGAUUGUUCGAGAUAGGAAAAUGAGGCUCCUUGGUUUAUCUCAAAAGGGGUACAUUGACAGAGUGUUGGAGAAAUUUCAUAUGGCAAAUUGCAAUUGUGGUCAGGUUCCAGUCAAUAAAGGUGACAAGUUUUCGAAGAUUCAAUGUCCAAGAUCUGAUUUGGAGGUGAAGAAAAUGCAAGCUAAGCCUUAUGCCUCGUUGAUUGGAAGUCUUAUGUAUGCAACUAUCUGUACAAGGCCUGAUAUUGCCUUCAUAGUUGGUAUGCUAAGACGAUUUCAAGCAAAUCCUGAGAAGCACAUUGGGGGUGGCAGCCAAGAAGGUUCUUCGAUACUUGCAGAGAACCAAAACUCACAUGUUAGUAUAAUGGCCGAACUGAUUCUUUGGAGCUCAGGGGGUAUAUACUCGGAUUUAGCUGGAGAUGUGGAUGACAGGAAGUCCACAGGGGUUAUAUCUUCAUACUCAAUGGAGGGGCAGUUUCGUGGAAAAAUGCAAAGCAAACUAUUAUAGCCACAUCAACUAUGGAAGCUGAGUUUGUAGCCUGUUUUGAAGGCAUGAAACAGGCAGCAUGGUUGAAGAAUUUUUUGACAGAUUUAAAGAUUGUGAAUUCGGUUCAGAAACCAGUAACAAUGUUCUGUGAUAAACAACUCGGCUGUGUUUUUUGCUAAGAAUAAUAAAAGGACUUCAGCAUCUAGAUUUGGAUGGACGAAGUUUCUUAAGGUCAGAGAACAAGUCAAGAAAGGAGUUAUUGAAGUACAGCACAUUAGCACUACUAUGAUGAUUGCUGAUCCCUUGACUAAGGCACUGCCAAUUGGAGAAUUCAAGAAACAUGUUUCUUCAAUAGGAGUACUAGAAGGUUUUGAUCAGUGGGAGUAAUCACGUGUGUGUUAAAGGCUUGGGAUUGCAGAAGCAGAAGUAUAUAUGUGUUUCAAGAACUGUAUGUGCAAUUCUGACAAGCUGAACUAAGGAUGCUUUAUGUUUUAACUUGCUUUAGUUAGUUUGUUAAGGUUGUUUGUGUUUUAAUAAGUGUCCUUGUCUGCUACUCAAUACUUUGGCUUUCAGGUGUUGAGGUACGGAUACUGGACUGAGUUAGAAUUUAGUUUCAUUAGUAACUUUGAAAGAACAGUUUGUCUGUUUUUUAAGUUUGUGGUUAAUGAUGUUAUAUAGUCAAUUACUAUGUUGCUUUUCUGUGAAGAUUAAUGUGUGUUGUGAUCUUUUGAAAAGUGGGAGCAUAAUGUUUGACGGUUUAUGUUAGUCAUGAGUCAUAUUUACAAAUUGAAUAUAUGUGAGCCUUGAAUUAAUACUACAAUUUGGUUGUGGUCUGAGAUUCUUGGUUUCUAUAUUUUGAGAUGUAAUGGGACAGUGGUCAUGAUGGUUAAAUCUUAGAUGAGGUUAUGUGAUCACUUCUUAUGAUUGGUGACGGCAAGGUUUGAUCUUUGUCUCAUGUUCAAGUGGGAGAAUGUAAGAAUGUGAACAUGAGAUAAGAUGAUCGGAUAUUAGUUGUUUGAGUCCAAUCCGAAUAAGAAAGCCUCUAAGAAGAUGGAAUUCAGUUCUUGGCAGUAGAGGACUCUAUUGCAGGGAAAAACUGAUUUGAAUUAGGAAGGCUUAAGUAGUUUUCCAUAAGGAUUUUAAUAGGGAAUCCAUAUUCUAAUAUGAGAAGGAUAUGUGUGUACAUAUAUAUAUAUAUAUGGCAAUCUCUUCUCUCACAGGUGUGUGCUCUUUUGGAACUAAGCCCUAUUCUUAGUUUGAGUGAUAAAUACCCUGACAGAGAGAAGAAGAAUUGUUGUGCUUUUCAGGUUGAUCGAGAUCCACCAUGACUGCAUCAAACGGGAGUUCUACAGGUUAGUAUAAUUAGGUUUAUUUGGAUUGAUGUUUUGUGUCUACUUGGUUGUAGUUUAAGUAACUGAAUCUUGCAGCUAGAUUUUGGUUUACAUAUUUUUCGAUGUAGGCUUUAUCCACGGUGUGAGCUGCCGGCCUGACGCGGAGUUUGGUAGGGGAGGGGAAUUUGAAGUCUACGAUUUUUUGGGACGUUGGCGGGCAACAGUUGGUCGGGACUGCUCCACUUGGAAAGUCCGCAGCUCCGCAUUUGGCUAGGUCAGGCGGCAACACUGGCUUUGCAACAGCGAAGGGGUCGCUGCCAAGACCAACCACUCCGGCUUUGCAACAGCGAAGGGGUCGCUGCCAAGACCAGCCACUCCACCGUAGAGGCUUCCGAGACCUAUAAGUACAUUUCUUCUGUCUAGGUUUACUAGAGAAGGGUUUUCAUGGUCGUGAUCGUUGGAGCUAGUGGAAGGGUUUUUGUUUUGGUCACUACUAUUAUUUGUGGCUUUGCACGAGACAGCUUGUAAAUUGGAAUGCCUAGGGUUUCCAAAUGAGGAUAUUCGGUGAUACUUUUGGGAGAAAGGGGAGAGAGAAGUUGUGGGGAUGAUACUUGUGGCGGAGGUGACGAGUGGAGCUGACAUAGAAGCCAUGGUACUUGACUCUGAAUAAUACGUUGUAUUGGCUUUGCUUUUAUAAUGUGUUCUAGGUUUUACGUUUCUUUGCACGGGUGGCAGGCCGUACACACGUGGUCGGUCCUUAAGGGUUUGACGAGGAAUACUACGCAGUCAUUUAGUACAUGACAACCAUACACUAUAGCACGUGGCAUGUAUUUAGAGAUCGAGAGAGAAUUGGGUAAGGUUCACGAGGGAUUGUAGUUUCAGAAGGUGAAUUGGUUUUGGUCUUCUUGUGUACCAAUAAUUUUUACUUAGUCAUUUAGUGCAGGACAACCAUGCACUAUAGCACGUGGCAUGUAUUCAGAGAUCGAGAGAGAAUUGGUUGGGUAAGGUUCACGAGGGAUUGUAGUUUCAGAAGUUCAAGCGGUUUUGGGCUUGUUGUGUACGGCUGUGGGUCUGCUGUCACGGACUCUCUGUCUCAUUUGUGUCUUAUUUUUUAUUUUUUGACACGUUUUAACGUCAAAUCAUUAUAGCAAUGUUAUGCAAUUGGGAGCUAAAUGACCGAUGCUCUUAUUUUUUAGUUUGCUUUUUUUCCAGAUCUGAUCAAAUCAUGAUAGCAAUGUUAUGCAAUUUUCAAGAGGGAGAGAUGCACCUGGGAGAGAAACGGUACGGUGACUUCUAAAUCACCGUCCAACAGAACAAUUCUCAGUAGAGACUACUAGAGAGAGAUGCACCUCACCAAUGAAAAAUUUAACUGCAAAAAUUCUGGGUAUCGGGAGUUGUGGGGUGGGUCUUGGCAGUUUUCUUAUUUCUUUGAAUUUUUUAUAAUUUAUUUUAUAAAAGUAACAGUGUUUUGUGGGGGUUAAAUUGUAAAACACGUGUCAUCAAACUAAAUAAAGAGACACCAAAGAGACAUGGAAUUCGGGACAACAGACCCACAGCCGUUGUGUACGGAGGCAGACUCUCUGCUCUCCUACUUUCUGUGUCCUCCUGUUUUGUGUAGUCACGAUUAAAUCACGUCAAUAUUUUAUAUUAUUAUUUUAUAGAUAUAAUAAGACAAAAAAGAAUAGUAAUUUAAAAUAUUAACGUGACUUAACUGUGACCACACGAAUAGGAAGGCAUGAGAAGUGGGAAGGCAAAGAAUAUGCCUCCGUUGUGUACCAAUAAUAUUAUAUAUAUAUAUAUAUAUAUAUAUAUAAUUAGGAUUGAAGGAUGUAGAGCUUAUUUUGUUAUGUAUUCUAACAAUUUAAGUGCUUAUCUUUUAGGUUUUCUCUUAAACAGCAUGCCUAUAAAAAAUCACCAAAAUUCAAACCAUAUGACCAUUAGAUCCAUAGUCAUUUUAGUGUUAAAUGAACUUCACAAAAUAAGUCUCAAAAUAUGUAUAAAAAAUGGACAGCGUGAAUGGUUUGGAAAUUGGAAUAGGUUUGGAAAUUGUGCUUUUUGUAGCAAAUUGCAGCAAAGUUUGCUUGGACUUUCACAACCGUAUAAAUUAAACUGUUCGCUUUGUUGGGAAAAACAAGUUUGCCGCUGGUCUUGGGUUCCAAGAUCGGCCAAUUUGACGGCACACUUUUUGGCGUUGAGAAGCAGUACGGAGAUGUGCAGAUUAACUUGGAUUGAUACUCCUCCAUCUUCGUUGGUUCGUGUAUUGAACAAAGAUGGCCUUCCUUGCCCUCCUUAAUAUUUUUUGUUCUUCCUGCAGUGGAGGCGGUGACGCCUUGCUCUUGGUGCAGCGUCUAGUGUUCUGUACCCUCCUCUUCUGCAUAUGUUUGUAUUUCCCCUCGUUGCCCCUUCUAAGUGGGCUUCCUAUUGUUUUGGCUUCGGCCCUGGUUAUGAAAUAUUUCCAAUCUUACCCAAAAAAAAAAAAAAAAAGAAGAAGAAGAAGAAGUCAAGCACGGUGGGAGACUGGUCAUAGUUUCUAGAUUGAUGCUCUAAUUCUAAUGUUAUACAACGCGUACGCUAAAAUAUUUUUAUCAAAAUAUUAGUUUUAGUGUUAUCAAAACAAUAAUGUUAUUCUUACCAUGUUUUUGUAUCACAAUUAUAUACCACCUUAGAUGGCAUAUGAUGUAGAUAGCCACAUCAUUUAAAUUAAUAAGCAUUUAAUUUCAAAUGUUAAUCAAUAAUUAAUAAAAUGAUUGUUAAUUAAAUGAUGAUUAUGGUAUACAAGGAGUCUCCUUCUUCCUUCCCCUUUCCAUUCUGCUUUUUCUUCCUACCACUUUCUGUUUUUUUUUUCAUGCCAGUUUUUGUAUUGAUUUCUAUUGAUUUCCAUGAUUAUGGUCAAUCUUUAUAGAAUUUACUCGUAUACCACAACCACCAUUGAUUUCUAUCUCUAGACUCAUGCCCCGUAGCCCUAAUCCUCAUUCCCCUUCAAGUAUUUCUGUCUCCAAUCUUCUUUGGUACUCCAUGGUUGUUCAUCUCGUGAUUUUUUUUUAUUAUUUCAUUAAGUAACGCCUAUUAGCUUUCAUGCGAAUUAGGAGUCAAAAUCAAAUUUGUCUAUCGGAUUAGGGUUCAUGCCCAAUUAAGUUACUAACGCAAGAGAGAUUUUGAAGUCUACAAUUUUCCUUAUUUAAGUGUUUUAAUUAAUAAGAAAAUUGAAAUUAAACGAUUUAGCUUGUCCAACUCAUCUGCCACCUAAGAUGGUAAAUAAAUGUGGUAAGAAUAGCAUUACUCUUAUCGAAAUUACAAAAAAAAAAAAAAAAAAAAAAAAAAGCUGAUUCAAUAUUUAGUUAUUAAAAAAAAUAUAAAAAAAGUGAUCAAGUAACUAUCCAAUACCCAUGUAUUGGGUGCUUUGUUUGAAAAUUUUCAAAAUGAUAUUGGGCUCGUUUGGAUAUGUUUUUAAAAUGACUGAAAGCGUUUUUAGAGAAAAUAUUUUUUUGAUUCCAAAAGCACUUAAAGUGUUUUCUGCAAAAAGCACUUAAAGUGCUUUCUGCAAAAAGCACCAGUUAUGUGCUUCUUCCUAGAAGCACUUUAAGUGUUUUUCAAGCAUUUACUUGCUUUUUUACUAAGGAUUGGUUCCAAAAACAUUUUCACAAAAAGUGUUUUCAGUCAUUUUAAAAGUACAUUCAAACGAGCUCAUUGUUUUUCCUAUUUUAAUCAAGUGCGUCGUCCCCUGUUGAGAAUGAAUCUCAUAUUAUGGGGAGAGGGGUCUUGCAUGGAUGAGAGGAGGGACCUUGCAUGAGCUUAUAAGUAAGUUGGGUUACUCUCUAUAUUGCCAAGAGAAAUUUUAUUUGGACCUACUUUUCCUCUCUCUAAACCCAACUUUAAUAUUUUGUUACCUAAACUCUCUAGUUUACCCUCAUAAAUUAUAAACAUAAAUAAACUGGAAAAAGAAAAACUCAUCAAACCUAUUUCCCAACUGUUCUGGCGUCUCUUCCCUGUAUUUGUUGGGUCUAUCUCCCUCCCGACUGUUUUUUUUCCCUGAUAUUCUCUGUGUGUUCCCCCACCUCUCCCACACCCACCGAUUCUUUGUGGUGGCUAUUCCACCCAACGUCCAGUGAAUCUUUCCAUUUUUCUUCUAUUGCGCGUGAUAGGGCCUUGCUGUUAAUAGGCAAAACUAAGCGGCAUCGUCGACUCUGUAAGCGACUUGUUGCAGAAGUCCAAAAUGGAGUCAAAAGGAUUUUGUAUUGGGUCGGGUUGUUGAAGGCGAUGGCUGAUUUAGCAAUCUCGCCUAACUACUUCUAUAUGCAGGAGAAGGAAGAGGGAGGAAGGUCUAAAGUGGUGGUUGAGUGGUGGCGAUGUAUGUGGGUUCUAUCUCGGUUGAAUGGGUGUAGAAAGAUAUUUAAUUUUCAGUUUCUUAUUUUAUUUUGUAUAAGGGAUAAUAUCGGAAUUACAUAAAAAGUUUUUUUUAUAGCUGGGUGUAGAAAUAGUAUUGUUGGGUCUAAAUAAAAUUACCCUAUUGCCAAACAUAGUAUUGUUGGGUCUAAAUAAAAUUACCCUAUUGCCAAUUAGCUUUGUUUGAAAAUUUUCAAAAUGAUAUUGUUUUUACCAUUGAACCCUUGUUAUAUACAGUGAUGGCUAAUUUGUCAAGUUCUACGAAGUUGGGAUACCCAGCGUUUUAGCAUAUAACAUAACUUAGUAUUACAAGCAUAAUUAAUUAAAAUAAAGGAAAAUGAAGAGGAUAGCUUAGUAUUACAAGCAUAAUUAAUUAAAAUAAAGGCAAAAGUAACAGCCUGUCCCUAAAAAUGACGAUUUUAUAAUCUUAACACGUGAGUUUAUGAAGAUGCCCUUCGAGGCAAAGUGUUGACUUGUGUUGACUACCGCAUCGUGUCAUGUGAGACUCAUCUUCUUGGCGUAUUCUCGUUUUACUUGUCACUACGGACGCAUGGGCGCAAACGGGACAUGAUUUGGAGCUAUAACGAAUGAGUUAUUAACAUUUAAAGUUAAGGACAUUUUAGUAAAUUAAUUAAUUUCAGAUUAUGUUGAGGGGAAAAUCUGGAGUGCCGGUGGGUGGCCCAGAUUAAAGGAAAUGAAGAAUGGAUGGUGGAGGUGUAAAGGAAAGAAGAUAAAAGAAAAAUGAGAGGAAGUGUGUGACUAAUAGGGAGAUGAGAGAGUUAGGAUGGCCCAAUCAGAAACAAACGAAAGGAGGAAAAAGGAGAGAAGAGGGGAGCGGGGGAUCCCUUCGACCCGGUUCCAUUUUCCGACCCGACCCGAUCCUUUUCAUCUUCUUUGAUGGUUUUUCGUCGGUUUUUUCCGACGAACCACGUUAUCUAACCCCUUGGAAAAUGUUCCACAACCUUCCCUCAACUAUUACAAUCCAAAAUUGUAGAAAUUUAGCCAUGAAAGUAUGAAAACCACACCGGUGGGUGCGGGAAACCCUUGUCGUCGAUUCUCCCAUUAUUGCAACGAUUUUCACCAAUUACCACCACCUACAACAUCCUCUUGAGGUCUGGAAUAAAGCCCAAACAAGUUUUGCACUACUACAAUAUUAGCUUUAGAUGGCAGAUGAUGGUGGCGGAUUUAGAAAAAUAUUGUCGGAUAAAUUAUAUCUGACACAUUAUUUAAUUAGUGGUGAAUAUAAGAAAAAUCAUGUCGGUUAUAACCGACAUAAAUUCGUGGCAGAUACUAGCAGAUAUUAAAAAACUCAUGUCGGUUAUAACCGACAUAAAUUCCUAGCGAAUAAUUACUGACAGAUAUUAUAAAACUUCUGUCGGUUAUAACCGACAAUAUUUUUGAAUUGGGGGAAUUUAAAAUUUUGGGAGGGAAUUUAAAAUUUUGGGAGGGAAUUUAAAAUUUUGGAGGAAAUUUUGGGGGGAUUUUUACCCAUAUUAAUUCAUGGCGGAUAAUUACUGACGAAUAUUAUAAAGCUCAUGUCGGUUAUAACCAACAAUAAUGAAAAUGUUUAUGUCGAUUUUUAUUAAAAAAAUGUUUCUGUCAGUUUUAACCGACAUUAAUGAAAAUAUUCCACAGUAAAACCCCUACUUCUUCUCCUUGUGCUGGUGCCUUCUCCCUUCCCCCUUCUUUCCCCCUUUUCUCUUCUCCUCAUUUCCUUUUCCUUUGUAUUUUUGAUUUUGACAAGGUCUCUCCUUUAUUUGAUUCUUUGUUGUUCAUCUCUCACAAAUGUAGAGAGAGUAAAGGAGAUGCUUAGAGCGCUUUCUUUGUUCCUUUUUUUUUUCUUUUCAUUUUUUCCCUUUUCAAACUCCGACUAUGUCUUACAUGGCCGGUCCCAAGCCCGGAUAAAGGAGGAGGGGGAGGGCGUCAGGUAGUCGACAGCCGGCACUCCAUGAUCACGUCGAAUCCUUAUGAAAAUGAAUCCAGAACAAAAUCGCGCUAAAGCUAGGGCGCCACCCGUAAGUGGCGCGCUGUGUGGCCCGAGCACAGUGAUAAGUGAGCAAGGGUCGCUGUAUCUCCAUCGGCACUCGGAUGCAGUGUUAAAUGAGCAAGGGGGCCAUAGAAACUUCUUUUCGAACGACUCCACUCAAAGUUGUUUGGGAGCAUAUGCUCCUAUCAACUUUACCCGGGACACACAAAAGAAGUACUUUGAUCCUAUUAGACGGGGGAGGGUGAAGAAGCUAGGACAGAAGGGUAGAGUUCAAGAGAGCAAAAUGCGUUUAGGAACGUGGAAUAUAGGAACCUUAACGGGAAAAUCUAUGGAAGUAGUGGAAGUUAUGGUGAGGAGAAGGAUAAAUAUUAUGUGCCUACAAGAAACUAAGUGGGUUGGUAGUAAGGCAAAGGAUCUAGAAAACUCAGGGUUUAAACUUUGGUAUUCGGGCACAAAUAGAACGAGAAACGGUGUUGGCAUCAUCGUGGACAAGACCUUGGUACAAGAUGUUGUAGAUGUCAAGAGUGUAGGAGAUAGAAUCAUGGCAAUCAAGAUUGUAAUAGGACAAGAACUUAUCAAUGUGAUUAAUGCGUACGCACCUCAAGUAGGGUUGGAUACGAGUUCGAAGGAGAAAUUUUGGGAAGAUCUUGGAGACUUGGUGCAAGGAAUUGCUCAGACGGAGAAGUUAUUUAUAGGAGGAGAUUUAAAUGGACACGUGGGCAGGGAGACAGGCAACUAUGGAGGUUUUCAUGGUGGCCAUGGUUUUGGGGAGAGAAACGAGGAUGGGGAAGCUAUCUUGGAUUUUACAAUGGCAUAUGAUCUCUUCUUAGCCAACACCUUCUUUAAGAAGAGAGAAGAACAUGUGAUCACCUACAAGAGUGGGUCGUCAAAAACACAAAUAGAUUUUCUUCUAAUGAGGAAAGGGGAUCGUAUAACUUGUAAGGAUUGCAAAGUUAUACCAGGAGAGAGCGUGGCUAAUCAACAUCGCUUGUUGGUGAUGGAUGUACAUAUCAAAAGAGUAAGACAAAAGAACAAGACUUGGAAGUGCCCAAGGACUAGAUGGUGGAAUCUAAAAGAAGAAAAACAAGUCAUUUUCAAAGAGAAGGUAAUCACCCAAUGUGUGUGGGAUAGAGAGGGGGAAGCUAGCCAAAUGUGGGAUUUCAUGGCUAGUUGUAUCCGAAAAGUAGCAAAAGAGGUAUUAGGAGAGUCUAAGGGCUUUGCCCCACACUAAAAGGAAUCUUGGUGGUGGAAUGAGGAGGUACAAACAAAGGUGAAGGCUAAGAAGGAAUGUUGUAAAGCCUUAUACAAGGAGAGGACCGAUGAAAAUGGUGAAAGGUAUAGAAAAAAAGCGAAGCAAGAGGCGAAGAAAGCUGUCAGAGAAGCUAAGUUAGCGGCUUACGACGAUAUGUAUAAACGACUAGAUACCAAAGAAGGAGAGUUGGAUAUCUAUAAACUAUCUAGAGCAAAGGAAAAGAAGACAAGGGACCUAAACCAAGUGAGGUGCAUCAAGGAUGAGGAUGGAAAGGUUCUUGCUACAGAGAACGCGGUUAAAGACAGAUGGAGAGGUUAUUUUCAUAAUCUUUUCAAUGAAGGACAUGAAAUGAGUGCUUCUUUAGGGGAGUUGAGUAACUCAGAAGAGUGUAGAAACUACUCUUUUUAUCGUCGAAUCCGGAAGGAAGAAGUGGUUGUAGCUUUGAAGAAGAUGAAGCAUAAAAAAGCAAUAGGCCCAGACAAUAUACCAAUCGAAGUGUGGAAACUUUUGGGAGAGACAGGUAUAACAUGGCUCACUGACCUUUUCAAUAGGAUUUUGAAAACGAAAAAGAUGCCAAAUGAGUGGCGAACGAGCACUUUGGUGCCUAUCUACAAGAAUAAGGGCGACGUACAAAAUUGCAUGAACUAUAGGGGUAUUAAGCUAAUGAGUCAUACAAUGAAGCUCUGGGAGAGAGUCAUUGAGCAUAGAUUGAGGCAAGAGACACGGGUUUCGGACAACCAAUUCGGGUUCAUGCCAGGGCGCUCAACCAUGGAGGCAAUCUAUCUCUUACGAAGAUUGAUGGAAAGAUAUAGAGAUGGGAAAAAUGAUUUACACAUGGUCUUUAUAGAUUUGGAAAAAGCGUAUGAUAGGGUCCCAAGAGACAUUCUUUGGAGGAUUUUAAAGAAGAAAGGAGUACGAGUAGCAUAUAUCCAAGCUAUAAAGGACAUGUAUGAAGAAGCAAAGACUGCCGUAAGAACUCAUGAAGGACAAACCGAAAGCUUUCCCAUAACUGUAGGAUUACAUCAAGGCUCAUCCUUAAGUCCUUACCUUUUUGCGUUGGUAAUGGAUGAGUUAACAGGACAUAUUCAAGAUGAUAUUCCUUGGUGUAUGCUUUUCGCAGACGAUAUAGUGUUGAUAGAUGAAACUCAGGAAGGGGUAAAUGCAAAGCUUAACCUUUGGAGAGAAGUGUUGGAAUCUAAAGGUCUUCGCCUAAGCCGAUCAAAGACAGAAUAUAUGGAGUGCAAGUUCAGUGCAAAUGGAGGCCAAAACGAGUUAGGGGUGAGGAUCGGAGAUCAAGAAAUACCAAAGAGUGACCGUUUUCGUUACCUAGGAUCUAUCUUGCAAAAGAACGGAGAAUUAGAUGGAGAUCUCAACCAUAGAAUACAAGCUGGAUGGAUGAAGUGGAAGAGUGCAUCUGACGUGUUGUGUGACCGUCGUAUGCCACUGAAGCUCAAAGGAAAAUUUUAUAGGACGGCAAUAAGGUCGGCGAUGAUUCAACUUGGCGGGUUCGAGCAAAUAGGCGUUGGGCCAUAUUAGACACAGAACCUGCACACUGAACACUGAGAGCUAGCGAAUCCUUAACAGCUAACUCAUCAGACCGUUUGGAAAGUAGUCUGUUAUCUUUGGGAGUGAGAAGGUUCCUGGCCACCACCGCAGCGGUCAUAUCAUUCUUCAUCACGGAAUCCCCAACGGUAAGAGGACCAGUAGGGGAGACAAAGGAUGGGCGCCAUAUGUUGUCUGGAGAAGGCGGGGCUGCCUCUUCAACAAGGUUCAAGUCAAAAAACGACGGUCGGAGGGCCAGACAUUUUCAAAGGUGUUGAAGAGAGAAGAGGUCGGACACAAAUCAAGAUCUUAGAAGUGCAAGAAUGAAGCUUCUACUGGUGGAGAUUCAAGUGUGCUUUGGAACUUAAUGCCAGCCCCUAUAAAAAUCUGCACUCGACGGAGCUUCAGAAAUCGAAGAGGCGUUUGCUUUCUCAAAAGCUGGGCUGCUUAGAGAUCACGAGGGUUGAUCUCAGGAAUCGAAGAGGCGUUUGCUUUCUCAAAAGUUGGGCUGCUCAAAGACCACGAAGGCCGAUCUCAGAAAUCGAAGAGGCGCUCACUUUCUCAAAAACUGGGCUCCCCAGAGACCACGAGGGCCGAUCUCAAAAAUCGAAGAGGCACCUACUUUUCCAGCCUUGUCAGCACCUGUCACACGCACACUCAGCUUUGCGGAAAUUAUGGGCAUUCUGUCGAAGACUUCUGGGGAAGUAGAAAACACAUGAAUCUUACUGUUCAAUCACCCACUUCCCACACGCAAUAAUAGCUCAUGGGUACCACAGAUAACUUUGCCAAAGUUCUCUGCCAAAGUUGAGCACGUGAAGCUUGCAGCUCCCACUACAUCGCUCUGACCAAGAAGGGUAAAAAGAAUAGCAAAGAAACAGCACUAACAAAGUUUAGACCCAUAAAUUUUGAAGGUCUAGCUACCAUAUUAUUACCCACAAGGGUAAAGGAACAGUACCACUGCUGGAUAAUUGGAAAGUCCCUAUGUGUCAACCUCUGUGCUUCGUGGCAAGGUAGACUAGCAAACAUGCCCAACCUUUACUCACAUUCGAGAAAACACUCCCAAUAAGAUUGCUUGCUCCAAAAUCGAAGAGGCACCGUCCUCCGAAUCUCGAGAGCCAGACUCCCAACAUGACUACUUUCUUAAAAAUCGAAGAGAGGGUAAAGGAACAGUACCAUUGCUGGAUAAUUGGAAAGUCCAUGUGUGUCAACCUCUGUGCUUCGUGGCAAGGUAGACUAGCAAACAUGCCCAACCUUUACUCACAUUCGAGAAAACACUCCCAACAAGAUUGCUUGCUCCAAAAUCGAAGAGGCACCGCCCUCCGAAUCUCGAGAGCCAGACUCCCAACAUGAUUACUUUCUCAAAAAUCGAAAGAGACACUGCUCCCCGAAUCUUCGAGAGCCAGACCCCCAGCAUGAUUGCUUUCUCAAAAAUCGAUGAGGCAUCGUUCUCCGAAUCAAUCGAAGAGGCGCUCGCUUUCUCAAAAGCUGGGCUGCUCAGAGACCACGAGGGCCGAUCUCAGAAAUCGAAGAGGCACUUACUUUUCUAGCCUUGUCAGCACCUGUCACACGCACACUCAGCUUUGCAGAAAUUAUGGGCAUUCUGUCGAAGACUUCUGGUGAAGUAGAAAGCACAUUAAUCCUACUGUUCAAUCACCCACUUCCCACACGCAACAAUAGCUCAUGGGUACCACAGAUAACUUUGCCAAAGUUCUCUGCCAAAGUUGAGCACGUGAAGCUUGCAGCUCCCACUACAUCGCUCUGACCAAGAAAGGUAAAAGAAUAGCAAAGAAACAGCACUAACAAAGUUUAGACACAUAAAUUUUGAAGGUCUAGCUACCAUAUUAUUACCCACAAGGGUAAAGGAACAGUACCACUGCUGGAUAAUUGGAAAGUCCCUGUGUGUCAACCUAUGUGCUUCGUGGCAAGGUAGACUAGCAAACAUGCCCAACCUUUACUCACAUUCGAGAAAACACUCCCAACAAGAUUGCUUGCUCCAAAAUCGAAGAGGCACUGUCCUCCGAAUCUCGAGAGCCAGACUCCCAACAUGACUACUUUCUCAAAAGCGAAGAGAGGGUAAAGGAACAGUACCAUUGCUGGAUAAUUGGAAAGUCCCUGUGUGUCAACCUUUGUGCUUCAUGGCAAGGUAGACUAGCAAACAUGCCCAACCUUUACUCACAUUCGAGACAACACUCCCAACAGGAUUGCUUGCUCCAAAAUCAAGAGGCACCGCCCUCCGAAUCUCGAGAGCCAAACUCCCAACAUGAUUACUUCCUCAAAAAUCGAAGAGACACUGCUCUCCGAAUCUCGAGAGCCAGACCCCCAGCAUGAUUGCUUUCUCAAAAAUCGAAAAGGCAUCGUUCUCCGAAUCUCGAGAGCCAGAUACCACAGACCACUUUUUCAAAGUGCUCUGACAGAGUUAAAACAUGUGAAACUGGCAGCUCCCACUACCGUGCUAUGACCAAGCAGGGUAAAGGAAUAGCAUUACUACUUGUUGUUAGGGAGACUCCUAUAUAUGUCGACCUCCAUCCCCAACGGACAGGCAGACCUGCAAAAAUGCUCAACCCUUCAUCAUAUCUGAGUGGGCACUCCCAACGAAGCCUUUCGAAAUAUUCAGCUUUCUUUCCCCCCGAUAAUACCUCUGCAAACAAGCUAUACUAGAGCAAGAAUAUCUCAUAUCAUCAGGGUUAAAAGCAAGAGUAUCCCAUAUCAUGCUUUUUCCCUGUCUUUUCCUUUGGCCUUGUUUUUACCUGCAAGACAAGGAGAAAGAGAGCAAUCAGUCAGCACUUGGAAUCAAGCUUCCAACCAGGAAAUGACUGCCUGGAACCCCUUACUUGGCAUUGCUCUCGAGUACUCAUCUUCAACAUCUUAUGUUUCCAGGGAAGAUUCUGCAUCUGCUUGAGGAACAGAUAGGGCAAGUGCGAAGGAUACAAGGAAGCAUGCGGAGACAAGCGUAACAGCACACGUGCCGAUACAUCCAUUACUCUGUCAAAAGCAAAAGUAUCCCAUAUCAGCAGGGUGGAACGUACUCUAGAUUUGAUGGACUUGUUUUGACCCUCAAAUUCUUCAGUCGGCCUUAUAUUCUGGAGGAAACCAGAAAACCCUCCAGCUCAGUUCAAGAAUAAGCCUGUGGAAAGUUACUUCUUCAAAAGCAAAAGUAUCUCAUAUCAUCUCUUCUCAUUUUUCUUCUCUCUUUAUCCUUCAUGCUGCUGCAAGAUGGGGAGAAGGUGAACAAUCAGUCGGAGCUCUGAUUGCUUACCUUGUCUGUCACCUCUUUCAGCAGACCCCCUAGCUCGGCGACUUGGGGGACUCCUACUAAAUGGUUUGUAUCGCGCUUGACCAAGCCUGAAACUACAAGUAAGCUUCAAGUGAAAUUGAUACAUUACCUUGUGCAUCUCCACCAGUUAAAGAUACCACCCCUGGAUGGAGGAAGAGUACUUCCAGAGAAGAUGCCACAUCUACCUAUGAGACAGAUAAGGCAAGUCAAGACGACACCACACUCCGAUACUUAGAAGUUUCGUGAUUAUGAGAUCAUUCUCCCACAAUAUUUCCUAAUGUCAUUUGUACUAAAUCAUUCACUUGUACUCACUAAAGGAGAGCUUGAACCUAUGUACUUGUGUAAACCCUUCACAAUUAAUGAGAACUCUUCUAUUCCGUGGACGUAGCCAAUCUGGGUGAACCACGUACAUCUUGUGUUUGCUUUCCUAUCUCUAUCCAUUUAUAUACUUAUCCACACUAAUGACCGGAGCAAUCUAGCGAAGAUCACAAAAAGCGACCGUUUUCGCUACCUAGGAUCUAUCUUGCAAGAGAACGGAGAAUUAGAUGGAGAUCUCAACCAUAGAAUACGAGCUGGAUGGAUGAAGUGUAAGAGUGCAUCCGGCGUGUUGUGUGACUAUCGUAGGCCACUGAAGCUCAAAGGAAAAUUUUAUAGGACGGCAAUAAGGCCAGCGAUGUUGUAUGGCACAGAAUGUUGGGCGGUGAAGCAUCAACACGUACACAAAAUGGGUGUAGCGGAGAUGAGGAUGCUUCGUGGGAUGUGUGGGCACACGAGAAAGGAUAAGAUUGGGAAUGAGGAUAUCCGAGGUAAAGUAGGAGUAGCCGAAAUUGUAGGAAAGAUGAGAGAAAAUCGGCUCCGGUGAUUUGGACAUGUGCAAAGAAGGCCGACUGACGCUCCGAUUCGAAGAUGUGACUACGGGACAGAGGUUCAGGGCCGAAGGGGUAGAGGAAGACCUAGGAAAACUUUGGAAGAGACUCUAAGAAAAGACUUAGAGUACUUGGAUCUAACGGAGGACAUGACACAAAACCGAGCGCAAUGGCGUUCUAGGAUUCAUAUAGCCGACCCCACUUAGUGGGAAAAGGCUUUGUUGUUGUUGUUGUUGUUGUAUUUUUUCCCUUUUCAAAAUCGAAAUGUUCUAAAUUAUUUCACUAAUCCUUGCUAGUUUGAACUGCAGGAGUCUGUCUCUGGAUUUGAAAGAUUAUCUGGACUUACAGUUUUGAAGAAUUGGGAUUCUAGUGUUACACAUAUUAUUGCAUCGACAGAUGAAAAUGAAGCAUGCAGAAGAACCCUUAAAAUUUUGAUGGGUAUCUUGGAGGGGAAGUGGAUUCUGAGUGUGGAGUGAGUUUUACUGUUUUCGUUUUAAUUGUUCUUCCUCAAGUGCUUGGACUUUACAAUUGUAAUGAGUACAGAAGCCGAAAUGAGAUAUUGAUAUACAUGUUCACAUUGCUGAUAAUUCGUUAUCCGUCUGUUUGUGUAGGAAUUAAUGCUUGCACAUAAGUAAUGAAACUAGUUAAUGAGGAGCCUUAUGAAAUCAACGUUGACAUUUAUGGAAUCAGGGAUGGUCCUCGACUUGGUAGACUAAGGCUGCAGAACAAGGUUAGCUUUUCCUCGAGUUUAACUAUCAUCACGAAAACUUUAGAUUUUCAUGGAUUCACCAUAGGCAUUGUUAAUCUUGUUCAGUCCAUAAAUAGGUUACACACUUAUCUUAACAAAGGUGAGACCUUCUCAAUUCCUCAUCGAGAUGAAUCAAGAGCAUAAUUGUAGCAGUGAUCAAGAGCAAUUUUUUUAUGUUUCUUCCAAAUUGUUGAGAUGAAUCAUCUGUGUUUUGUUCUAAUAAUCUUACAAAUUUGUUGAGCAAUUUUUGUAAAGUCAGAAUCUUUGGUUUCGGUUGUGAGGUAUCUGAUUUGGGUAUAUGUGUUUUGCAGGGCACGGUGGUUGUGGCGGAGGAAGAUUAGGAUUGACGACAGAGCUCUGGCCAUGAACUAUCAGCUCUGUCUUUCUCUCUCUAACUAUGAAUUGAAUACAAAAGUCUGUGUUGAUAUGGAAAAUGUAGCUCAAAAUUAUUACACAAAUGGCAAAAAAAAAAAGUUCGAGUGUGGAGUUUCACUUACUGAUACAGGGCUUUUGAAACAGGGUUGUCUAGACUGUAGAAGAAAUCCAUGGCUUUUGGAAGAGGGGAUGUUCCAAAUCUAUCUUUUCUCCCUCUCUAAUGUUCUUCGAGGGGUUCUUGUGAUGCAAAAAGUGGUUUAUAUAUAUUUUUUAUUAUUAAUAAAUUUUCUGUCGGUUUUAUCAGACAAUAAUUCUUUUAUUUAUUCUUAUUAAUAAUUUCUCUGUCGGUUAUAUCUGACACAAUUUCUGUCGAUUUUAGAGUAUUUUCUAUCGAAAAUUUCAUUUCCUGACGCAUCAAUUAUGUCGCUUAUUAUAUCCGCCACUGCACUCAUUUCAUGUCGGAUUUUGCUUAAUUUCCAACAGUAUUAUACAUUUCUUGUCGGUUUUUAAACCGACACUAAUGGGUACUUUUGUAGUAAUGUUGGGGCGUCGGAGUUCGUUUAAGGUCGAAUUGAGCACACCCAAAUUCAAGGGUUCCGUACGGUUCAUGGUAAUUUGAGGUAUUUCUCAGCCAAAUUGUCCUUAGUCACAGAUAUGAAAGUUGCUCCACUCGUUGAGAUCUUCAUUUAUGUCAAAUUUGAGAAUUUUUAGAAAUAAUUGGAUUUUCCAGCGAAUCGGGGCGGCGGACCACCACCGGACAGCGCAUGGCUAGUGGGCCCCCAAUGUCAUUUUACGUUAAAUUGGUAUCUUGAUUUUAGGUUUGAUGUCUAUAUGUUAUGACUUGAUAUGUGAACCUAGUUUAAUUAAGGUGCGUUAAUUGGUAAAAAUAUGAAACGACGAUCCGACCGUGGGAUCGUCACCAAUCUUUAUUAUGUUAUAGUACAUUAUAUUUGAGAAUCAUAGGGACUGACGGAUAGGAAAUCCGAUAUACGGAUCUUCCUGAAAUGGAAUUGUAAGUUCGAAGAAUAAACGUUAACCGCCACUUUGUUUUGACUAUUGGUGAAGAUCCAACCGUUGGAUCAUAAUGAAAUUUUAGGAUGAUGUUUUAGAAGCAUAAUGUGGAUCUUUGGAAGUUAUUGAUUGGAAAUCCGAGGAGCGAAUCUUCCGGAUUGAAUUACGUAAGGUUGUGGACCCUACCGUCGAUCGUUGACUGACGAUCGACUUUUGGUCAAUGGGGCUUAAAUCACUCUAAAAUGUUUUUAGGGAUGUGUUUUACGUAAAUUACAUUAUCUAUGGAUAAGAAUUCUGAGAUGUGGUUUGAUAAUUGUCCUGGGCGCCGAUCGUUAGGAACGCUUCGAUGGUUGUGCUAGGAAAUUGUAGCAUAGACUCCAGGUGAGUGAAUCUUUUCCUUCUUAUAUAUAUAUAUAUAUAUAUAUGAUUGACAAUUCCACAAACGUUUAUAAAUUGAUUAUUGCAUAUAACUACUGUAAAUACUUUGAAGUACUUAUGCGAACUACGAAUGGCUUGAUCCCUAUUUAGGGUACGUAUGCAGUCUAACAAGACAUUAAAUGCAGUCAUACAAUAAUUGAGAUUAAACAAUUGAGACAAAGCCUUGUAUGGGGAACUGGGCAAGGUGAACGAAUUUGGUAAAAAUGUGAGAUUUAACCUUCUGAAUUGGUGAUUAAAUGUUGGUCAUAAAUCAAUGUGUAAAGAAUCAAGAAUUUGAAGUAAGGAAACGUAAGUAAUGAUAAUUAAUUAAACUAGUGUCUAGUUGGGCUUGUCACCUAUAAUUAUCCCCAAAAAUGAAUAAUUCGGGAGUAGGGCGUUAUAGCUUCUGCAUUUUUAUGCCACAUUAUAUAUAUAUAUAUAUGUGUGUGUGUGUGUGUGUGUGUGUGUGUGUGUAUAAUUGGAAAUGCUAUAACGUGGUUGAGUAUCAGAUUUCAUCAUGGUUUAUCUAUAUGUAUAUUACCUGCACACAAUUAUUAUGAACACUUUGAAGUGCAAAGGUGAACGCAAGACACCCAGGAAAGUUCAGGUGAGUUUAUGGUAUUAGUUGAAAUGAUGGGGUUAUGGUAACUACAUGUAUGUUUAGGUUGCAAUGAUAGGCAACUCCGACACUGUCGUACAAGUUGCCCAUGAAUUGUAUAUGUUACAAUAGAUAGAGUUAGAGGUCAUAAACCUGCACCCCGGUGUUAGUGCUCCCACCCGUGGCUAGGGCACAGUCUUUCACGAGAUGUUCACCUCUCGCAUCUUACGCUCACCUUGGAUCCAAGGUAGGUGCACAGUCAUGUCAUAAAGACCACUAUAGGUGGUUCCGACUAGUAGAUGACCCGUGAUUAUUCGCACAGUCUUCACGUGAUUGUAGCACUUGAGCGUAUUUAUUUACACCCAGUCCUGUCGUACAGACCACUUUAGGUGGUUCCGACUCGUAUGCAGGUAUACUUAUUGAGCUAUGGAUAAGUCGUACAGGUCACUAAAGGUGACUCCAACUUAUGAGCUAGCAUAUGUGAUGAAAUAUGUGAUGAGCUAGCAUAUGUAAUGAGAUAAGUGAUGAGCUAGCAUAUGUGAUGAGAUAUGUGAUGAGUUAGCAUACGUUAUGAGAUAUGUGAUGAGUGAUAUAAUCAUAAUUGCAUACAUUUUCAUGCCCUUUUAGUUUAGAUUUUUGUUAUCCUUUUGAGUGAAUUUAGUUUGUUUCACUUAGUUUUAUGUUUUUCUUAGAUUUGAAGUGUGAAGAUGAAGAAAGAAGAAAAAAGAGCAUUUUUAGCGAUUGAAAUGAGUUUGGCAUGCUGGAAGCAGAGGCUAUUUGUGCGGAUCAGCCAACUUUACGGAUUAAACUGUACUUCCUUAGAAUGCCAGCUGUUGAGUCUUAUACCAUUGGAAAGAUAUGAAAGUUAGCUUUCAGAGGAAUUUUACGAUUCGUGAUUCCGAGUUUCCUAGAAGACGUUAUAGUGGUUUUUCUACCAGAUGUCUGCCAGCAAGGUUUUACGCGGGAUUUGCAAAGAGAUUCCAGAUUUACAAAGUUUAAUUAAAGGAAACAAGCAGAGAAAAAAGAAGAGGAAGCUUUUAGAAAAGUUCAGGACUAUUCUAAACGGUGCAUAGUUAAUAUAUUUAAUAGUUUAGUGUGCCACAUCAUCAAUAAACUAAUCUAAGUCAGAAGAGAAAUUCAAGAGUCCCAUUCAAGUAAGUAUUCCAGCAGUUUUAUUCAGGAAUAAAGGAGGGCAGACCGUCGGACUUUAGGAGCGGACAGAGAGAGUUUUUGGGUUUUCGAAGGUGCAGAGAAGAGGUCGCAGCAAGGAGUGAAACAGAGUCGCCGAUCAUCUGGGCAAUCCAUCACCAUCGUGUGGAAGUAUUUUAUGUUUUUCAGAUUUUUAAUUAUGUUUUCAGAUUUUAUGAGUAACUAAACUCUUUUUCUAAGGUUAGGAUGAUGCCCUAGCAUGGAUGUUUAUGGUUUGUAAUGUUAUUCAUUGGAUUUCCAGUUUCUUUUAGAUGAAUGCUUAAUCACUGUUUGAAUUGUUACUGUUUGUUUGAGUUCUUUGAUUGAUCACCUUAGGACUUUGCAUCUAGUAAGAUUGGAAGAUGAAUUUGAGACUGAACUAACAAUAUAAUUCAAUUAGCUUCUUGUGGUUAAGUGUGGUAAAUUACAUUAUUGCUUGAAAAAGAAUAAUGGUUUGUUUGGGUCCCUUGUUUUCUAGAGGGUAAAGAGUCCUACUUGUUAAAUUUAUGCCUUAACUAGGAUAGACUGCUUGUUAGGAUAUACGACCUCUGCCUAAACUAGGAGAGAAUCAUUCACAUAAGGAAAACUAUGGUCUAAUAUGCCUGACAAGGACUUAGAUACGGGAAUUAUCAUCUAAAGAAUUGAAAGAUCCAUUGAAUGCAUUGAAACCUAAACUAGAUUGCUUGUGGUUGAUUCCGAAUCCCUAGAUUUUCAUCACUUGCCUUAAAACACAACCGUUUCUUUUCUUUAAUUUCAGUUUUUACUUAAGGUUCUGUUUUUGUUCAUUUAUAAAAUCAUCACAACAAAUUUUUUACAUCUUUGAUUGACUUAUUAAUUAAGAUCGAGUCUAGUUCGUUGUUUGGGUUUGUGUGUCUUUAAUAUAAUUAGAUUUGGUUUAGUUUAUCAAAUUGGAGAUUGAAUUAGAAUCCUCGUGGGAACGAUACUUGGACUUGCAAAACGUUAUAUUACGACUAUCUUGUGCACUUGUAAGUUUACACCAAGUUUUUGGCGCCGUUGCCGGGGACUCUAAUUGAGUCCCCCAAUUUGAUAUCAUAUUCCAUAUCUAAUAAGUAGUUUAUUGUAGAUUAUUCAAUUUGAUUUUGUUUUGUUCUCUAGUUUCGAGUAAGAGUCAUAACUAUUAAGAUAAGUAAAAGUAAUUUUCGUCACUGUUUUAUUUCAGUUUUGUAUCACUGUUUCGACACAGUUUUGGACUAAACUAUUCGAUUUUUUACCAGGAAUAUUGUGUAUCGUUGGAAAGCCCCAGAAGUCUAGUUUUCAACCCAAAAAACAGAUCAAUGAUUGGAUUUUUGAGCUGCAAGAAAUGUACAAAAUACUGAGCAGUGGUCAAACAAGGAGCACAGUCUGGUCGUAUAUGCAAGGUAGACGUUCGUUGCAAUUUGAGUUGAUUCAUAUAGACCAAGAACUUGUGCGUACUUUAAGAGAACAGUGGAGGCAGCGAGUGUGUCAAGAACCAGCCAUGGAGGAAGUAGUUAAUAAUGGUGGAAAUAAUCCUCCACCAUUGCUACCACCACAACCAAGGCUCAUGCGUGAUUAUACAAAGCCAACGGAGUACAACGCACCGUCAUGCAUUGUUUUGGCUCCAAUUGCGCAGCGAUUUGAGAUUCGUCCACAAAUCUUUCAGUUGCUGCCUAUAUUUCUUGGGAAGGAGGAAGAAAAUCCAUACCAUCAUAUCAAGGCGUUUUUCAAGCUAUGUUCCACAUUCACAUUCACCAAUGUUACUGAAGAGCAAAUUCGACUUCGGUUAUUCCCAUUCUCUUUGAGGGAUAAAGCAAGCAGUUGGUUGGAUUCUCUUCCCGAAGCAUCUAUCGACACAUGGACAAAAUUAUCGAAGAAGUUUUUGUCCAAGUUCUUCCCCGCUCGAAGAACCAAUGCUCUGAUCAAUGAAAUCAUGAGCUUUCGACAACAAGAAGGUGAACAGUUUCAUGAAAGUUGGGAGCGCUAUAAGGACUUGUUUCUUCAAUGUCCUCAUCAUGGUUUCAACACUUGGCAAAAGGUUCAUUAUUUUUACAAAGGUUUGAACUCUCAAUGUAGGAGUUUGGUUGAUUCAACGGUUGGUGGAACCUUGAUAGACAAAACUCCAGAAGAUGCCAUACAUGCCUUUGAAACUAUAUGUGAAAAUUCUGAGCAUUGGGAUUUUCCUACAAAAGAUUUGAGAGUUCCAACUGCAUCGUCAACAAAAAAAGGAGGCAUUUAUGAAGUUAAUACAAGGACGGGCUUAGAGGCACAAGUGGCAGCCCUCACCAAGCUUCUCACACCACUUGUAAGCAAGAUAGCCACGCAGCCAUGUACUUUAUGUGCGAGCAUCGCCCAUGACAUGGAAAAUUGUCCAACAAAUGCUAAUCUAGAAGGCAUCCAAGAGGUCAAUGCAUUUAGUGGGAGGCCCCGGAAUGAUCCAUAUUCUAAUAAUUAUAACCCGGGAUGGAGAGAACAUCCAAAUUUUUCUUAGAGAGAUUCACAAAAUAGCAUGGGAUCAUUCACUUCAACAAAGCAAUAUCAGCAACCUUAUCAAGCUCCUCCAAUUCAACAAAAAGACUCGUCUAUCAAGGAUAUGUUAUCUCAACUCUUAAAGAAAACUGAUCGGUAUGAACAUGAAGUUGUGUCGCUUAGACAAAGUCAGACGGUGUUGGAAAAGGCUCGAUCUAAUUUUGAGACUCAGUUGGGACAGAUAGCUACUACUUUGAACAAGCUGGAGUGAGCACAAGGGCAAUUUCCAAGCCAAACUGAAACAAAUCCUAGGAAUCAAAAGCAUGUUCAAGCUGUCACCACUUUGAGGAGUGGAAAGACGAUUGGUAAUAAUGUGGAAAGUUCAAAAAUUAAUAAGGAAGAAGAUGAAGGGGUCAGCACAUAUCGGGCAGCAGCUUGACAAGACAAGCUAAAAAAGAGAAGUAUAUGGGAGAUAUUUUAGAGCAAUUUAGAAAGGUGCAGAUUAAUAUUCCUUUUCUCGAUGCCAUCAAACAAAUUCAAUCAUAUGCGAAGUUUUUGAAGGAACUUUGUACUAACAAGAGACGGUAUGAAGAACAUGAGGAGGUGAAGUUAUCAGACACGGUUAGUGCGGUUCUUCAAAGAAAAUUGCCACCAAAACUUCAAGAUCCUGGUAGCUUUACAGUCCCAUGUGUCAUUGGAGAAAGAAAAUUCGAAAAAGCUUUGCUUGACUUGGGAGCCAGUGUGAAUUUGAUGCCCUAUUCUGCUUAUAAACACCUCAAAUUAGGCGAACUAAAGCACAUAUCCAUUUCUCUACAAUGCACUGAUCGUUCUGUGAAAUAUCCAAGAGGGAUUGUUGAAAAUGUACUUGUGUGUGUUGAUCAAUUUAUUCUUCCUGCUGACUUCAUCAUUUUGGACAUGGAAGAAGCCGAAAUUCCUGGUCGUGACUUGCCUCUCAUUCUUGGCAGACCUUUCAUGGCUACUGCAGGUACGAAGAUUGAUGUUAAAUCGGGAUUAUUAACUAUGACUGUGCAAGGUAUUACUGUAGAAUUUCAGGUCUUCGAAGCAUUGAAGAAGCCCAUGGAUCUUUAUGACUGCUUUCGUGUUGAGGUAGUGGAUCCAAUUAUAAAAAAAAACAUUCAUUGAAUCAAGCAUCUCAGAUCCUCUGGAAGUUUGUAUCUCUCAACAUGGGAUGAGUUUUGAAAAGGCUACCAUCAUUGAAGCAGAACGAGAUCUCAAUGCCGUAACGUCCUACUCUCUUAGAUGCCAGCCCAAAUUUGAAGCGUUGCCACUCACAAGCCAAAAUUGUACCAUCCAUUAUACAACCUCCAAAGCUUGAAUUGAAGCCUCUUCCAGAGACUUUAAAGUAUGCAUAUUUGGUGAUUCAGAGACUCUUCCUGUGAUUAUAGCUGCUGAUCUUAACCAAACAGAAGAGGAAAAGUUGAUGCAAAUGUUGAGGGAGCAUAAAACAGCAUUGGGAUGGAGUAUUGCAGACAUAAAAGGAAUUAGUCCUCAAUUUGCAUGCAUCGGAUAUAUCUUGAGGACAAGUCAAAGCCUUCUAGAGAGGCACAGCGACGUCUAAAUCCACAUAUGCAAGAAGUGGUUCGGGCAGAAGUUCUUAAAUUACUGAAUGUCGGCAUUAUUUAUCCUAUAUCUAACAGCAAAUGGGUAAGUCCACUGCAGGUUGUACCACAGAGAUCUGGAAUUACAGUUGUCAAGAAUGAAAAUAAUGAGCUUAUACCCCAGAGGACUGUCACGGGUUGGAGAAUGUGUACAGAUUACAGAAAGAUCAAUAAUUCAACUCGAAAAUAUCAUUUUCCACUCCCUUUCCUUGAUCUCAUGCUUGAGAGACUUGCAGGCCAUAGUUAUUAUUGUUUUCUUGAUGGCUAUUCCAGAUAUAAUCAAAUUCCCAUAGCUCCGGAAGAUCAAGAAAAGACUACUUUCACAUGUCCAUUUGGAACUUUUGCCUAUCGACGAAUGCCUUUUGGGUUAUGUAAUGCUCCCGCAACAUUCCAAAGAUGCAUGAUGAGCAUUUUCUCAAACUUGGUGGAAAGGUGUAUCGAAGUGUUCGUGGAUGAUUUUUCCGUGUUUGGGUCAUCGUUUGAUCAAUGUCUUCAUCAUCUUUCAUUGGUGCUCUAACGGUGUCAAGAAACCAACUUGAUUUUAAAUUGGGAAAAAUGUCAGUUUAUGGUGAAAAGUGGUAUUGUUCUUGGUCAUGUAAUUUUAGCUGACGGAAUUGAAGUUGAUAAAGCUAAGGUGGAGCUGAUUUCGAAGCUUCCUCCUCCCACUUCUGUAAAAGAAGUUCGAUCCUUUCUCGAGCAUCCAAGUUUUUAUCGCCGAUUUAUUAAAGAUUUCUCGAAAAUCACCAAGCCACUUUGUGAUCUGCUUGCUAAAGAUUCUGUGUUUAAUUUAAAUGGUGAGUGCUUACAAGCUUUUGAGACCCUCAAGAAAGAAUUAACACAAGCCCCAAUCAUAAAAGCUCCAGAGUGGUCUCUUCCUUUUGAAAUCAUGUGUGACGCCUCUGAGUAUGCAAUAGGUGUUGUGUUAGGGCAGCGAGUUAACAAACUUCCUCAUGUUAUAUUUUAUGCUAGCCGAAUUCUCACUUAACAACUUUCAUAUCCCUUAGUUUCCAAAAUUUAAUAUACAAAUUUAGUCUCCCAAGCAUUGCUAUAUUACUUAAGUAUUGAUUAAUAGACUUAUUUCUUAUGGUGACACAUUAUUUAGUUUACAAAUUUAGUCUAUCUAACAUUACUCUUUUGACAUUGUCUUGUCCACUGAUAUAAUUCUAUUUUUCUUGUGAUCAAAACUUCAAAUGUUAGCAAGUCGCACGUAAAGUCGCUUCUGAGAGAAUGUGCUCACAUUGUAGUUGAAAGAUUAUGUGGCUAGCAACAUUACAAAUUUAAUUUGGUAUAAUUUUAAAAUAUAGAUUGAGGAAAAAAAGGAUCACAUUAACUAGAAACUGAAAAGGUUUCGGCGCAAUAUGUUCAAGCAAGAAACUCAAUUUUGAUGCUACCGAUCUUAACAGCCUGAGCGCCGUACCUGGGCACUAAAGUCACCACCACACUCUCAUCAUCUUCAGCACCCAAAUCCUCCAACAGGUCCGUUAACCCCAACCUUAAACAACUCUUGCUCUUUUCCUUCUGCUUAUGUGGCACACUCACAAAACUCCCAGCAAACUCGCUCUUGUCGGGUCCACUCGGUGCCGCAUCCUCAUCAUCCACGUCAUUCACAUACACAUCAAACUUCACAGCCACAUCUUUGUCAAGCUCAAUCCCCCGAAUCACCAAUAUCUCCUCCUCAUCCUCUUUCUCCUUCUUGCUCCUCUUCUUCGGCUUCGGCCUUGACACCACCGUAGUUAUCUUCGUCUCCAAAUUUAUUGGAAAAUCUUUACCCGCCACCACCU
This 196341-nucleotide long non-coding RNA is filed under the name Malus domestica (apple). The record is from RNAcentral. Lineage: Eukaryota; Viridiplantae; Streptophyta; Magnoliopsida; Rosales; Rosaceae.